Molecule: long non-coding RNA, 189029 nt
Filed under: Triticum aestivum (bread wheat)
Lineage: Eukaryota; Viridiplantae; Streptophyta; Magnoliopsida; Poales; Poaceae
Description: long non-coding RNA (TAES_LNC028137)
Rfam family: tRNA (bases 895-982)
Source: RNAcentral
AGGAGGCGAAGCUGAGCUCGUUCCAGCAGGAGAUCGUGCAGCUGGCGGCGGUGCUGAACGGCGACCACCAGCUGAGCAGCCUGCAGGAGAGGAUCAGGGAGAGGAUGAACGUGAGGGAAGGCACCUCCUACAUGAGGUCGUCCGUGCGGCGCUUCUUCGAGGCCGGCAUGUCGGCAAAGAGGAUGGGCCUCGCCGGCGAGGAGCAGAUCGUCAAGAUGAGGCCUUCCCUCACCACCAGGACCUCCACUGCAGACCAAGAUGAUCGUCCCUAGAGAGCAUACAUACAUACAUAGGGAAUUGAUUGAUGUUGGGGAAACAAUUACUAGCACUACACUCUACACAUAGAAGAUCAGCCAGCGUACGUAGCCUAGCCAGUACCAUACGGUGUGCUCGUGCUAUAUGGGAUGGAACUGCUGUAGGCCGGAUGGAUUCGGCAAUACAUGGGCUGUAGAAAAACCAAACAUUGGUACUGUGGUAUACAAAUACAAGCAAUGCAGCAUUCCACCAGUCAGCAUUCGGAAAUGCAGCCUUCCUGCAUGCUGUUUAUGAAUCGUCAUCAAGCAGGGCCAAUAUACAUGACUACCGAAGCUAUACAUGACUACAAAAGCUAAUUAACAUGACUACCAAAGCUAAUUAACAUGUCGAUCUAAAAGCCAUGAAAAGUCAGGAGGCUAGGAUCUAGGAUCCUAGCUCGGUGGGCACCUUGGCCACCUGGGUUGGAAACAUCUCGUGCCUAAUUGCGUCCUACCUUUUCGGUGUUCGUCUGCUCAAAAAGCUUCCCAAUGGGGAAUUUCCGAGUGUAGUACUUUAUGCUGGCAUCGCCAAAUAUUGAUGGAAAAAACCUAUACAAUGUGUGUUUAUAAAUAGGGUUGAUUUGCUAAUGUGGCCAACAUUGCCCGUCUAGCUCAGUCGGUAGAGCGCAAGGCUCUUAACCUUGUGGUCUUGGGGCUCGUGGUCUUGGGUUCGAGCCCCAAGGUGGGCGUCCAAGUUUUUUUUUUGAAUUUACAAUAUUGAUUUAAUAGGAAAAAAAUAGUUGAAGUUGUUUAAAAAAAAUCUAAAUAACCCCACUUUAUCGUUGAUUAGGUGGGAUAAGGCAGAAAAAACAAAAAGCCGGUGAUAUGCGUCAUAAAAGUGAAAGUUAAAACAAAAAUAUUUAAAGUUGUGAUCUCUAUAAUCGCCUUUUGCAUCUUGAGUAAAUUACAAUGUCCAACAAAAAAGAUACCAUCUGGUGGAUUUGACAUCUGAUGGUGUCUUCAUAUAAAAUCUUUUUACAGAAAACUUGUUAUUAUAGACAAUGGCUUCCAACAGAAAUAUAUGUGGAAAAUAAAAGUUGCUCCUAAAAUUGAAGUGUUCUAUUGUUGAUGGUUAAGAAGAGCAUAUUGUUGAUGGGUUCGAGCCCCAAGGUGGGCGUCCAAGUUUUUUUUUUUUUUGAAUUUACAAUAUUGAUUUAAUAGGAAAAAAAUAGUUGAAGUUGUUUAAAAAAAAUCUAAAUAACCCCACUUUAUCGUUGAUUAGGUGGGAUAAGGCAGAAAAAACAAAAAGCCGGUGAUAUGCGUCAUAAAAGUGAAAGUUAAAACAAAAAUAUUUAAAGUUGUGAUCUCUAUAAUCGCCUUUUGCAUCUUGAGUAAAUUACAAUGUCCAACAAAAAAGAUACCAUCUGGUGGAUUUGACAUCUGAUGGUGUCUUCAUAUAAAAUCAUUUUACAGAAAACUUGUUAUUAUAGACAAUGGCUUCCAACAGAAAUAUAUGUGGAAAAUAAAAGUUGCUCCUAAAAUUGAAGUGUUCUAUUGUUGAUGGUUAAGAAGAGCAUAUUAACCAAAGACAAUUUUCUGAUGAGAGGUUGGAUAGGUAAACAAAUGUUGUGCUUCUUGUGGUAUUGUUCAUCUUUUUUUUUCAAACGCUUAGUUGCUAAAUGGUUUGGAGUUUGUUCAAAUGAGCUUUCGAUUUGACAAAUCUUCCUGGCAGCUUAAUCACUUGUUUUCGUGCUUGCAUUAUAAGUUUUUCAAAGAUAAUUAAGAAUCUGGUAUUGGUGGGGGUUUCUGCAUUCUUUUGGACUAUAUGGAGAUGCAUGAAUAAUAUCACUAGUAGAAAAUGACCCAUUAAUCCCGGUUUCAGAGGGGUCCCGGUACUAAAGGGUCGGGACUAAAGCCCAAAAUCCUUAGUUAAGCGAAGCGGGGCUAAAGGAGCUCCACGUGGCCGCAGCGGGGCGCCCAGGCAGGAGGACCUUUACUCCCGGUUGGUAACACCAACCAGGACCAAAAGGCUGCCACGCGUCAGCAGCUCGCAGGCGGUGGGUUUUUUGUUUUUUUAAAGGGGGGGUCACUAGUAGAAAAGGGGGCAAUGGUCCAGGCCGGGUCAGCCCAUUAGUCCCGGUUCAGUCCAGAACCGGGACCCAUGGGGGCAUUGGACCCGGUUCGUGAGCCCCGGGGGCAGGCCGGGCCACGUGGGCCAUUGGUCCCGGUUCGUCUGGAUCUUUUGGUCCCGGUUGGUGGGACGAACCGGGACCAAUGUGCCUCACUCUAGGCCCACCACCAUUGGUCCCGGUUGGUGGCUUGAACCGGGACCAAAGGCUUCCCUUUAAUCUCGGUUCAUGCCACAAACCGGACUAAAGGGUUGGUCCUUGUUGCGGUCAGAGUUUAGUCCCACCUCGCCAACAGAAGGGCGUGCACACCGGUUUAUAAGCCCCUCCCUCUCUGCCUUGUUGAGCUCCUCUCAAAGUGAAAAUAGAUGCCCUUAUACAGGGAAUUUGACCUAAAUUCAUACUGAAUUUCUCUGAAAUUCAUAGAAAUUUAUUAUGAAUUUAGGUUGAAUUCUCUCUAUAGGCGCGUCUAUGCUCAUUUUUUAGUGAAGUUAAUCGCAAACUUGUGAUUCACACAAAUUUCAAAGAAUUCAAAUUUUAACUAUUCAUGCCACCAACCGGGACCAAUGAUAUGCCUACAUAUACCAUGCCAAAAUGAAAGAGAGGCGCAAUGCUCACCUGCACGUUACUUAGCUUCAGGCCAACGUGCAGGUGAGCACUGCGCUUCUCCCUUCAUCGUCUCUACACUCAGGGCUUAUAAACCGCUGCGAGUGCCUCUCGCUUGGUAAGGUGGGACUAAAAAACAGCUGCAGAAAGAAUCAACUAAAAAACUCUUUUACCGGUUCAUGCCACGAACCGGUACUAAAAGGUGCUCGUGGGGCACCAGCCUUAAAACCUGUAGCAAAUAAAAUGCCUUUGUAACAGCCUUAGAACUGGUACUAAAGGAAUCAACUAAAAAGCUUUUAUAAACCUCUAGUAUUAUUGAAACUAAAAUUAUAUAGAAUUUUGUUACAAACUUUAAAAGCAAAAAGAAUUAUCAUAAAAGAAAAUAAAUAAGUAAUUAGAAUUCUGUUCAAAACAUUAAAAGCAAAAAGAAUUAUCAUAAAGGAAAAUAAAUAAGUAAUUANNNNNNNNNNNNNNNNNNNNNNNNNNNNNNNNNNNNNNNNNNNNNNNNNNNNNNNNNNNNNNNNNNNNNNNNNNNNNNNNNNNNNNNNNNNNNNNNNNNNNNNNNNNNNNNNNNNNNNNNNNNNNNNNNNNNNNNNNNNNNNNNNNNNNNNNNNNNNNNNNNNNNNNNNNNNNNNNNNNNNNNNNNNNNNNNNNNNNNNNNNNNNNNNNNNNNNNNNNNNNNNNNNNNNNNNNNNNNNNNNNNNNNNNNNNNNNNNNNNNNNNNNNNNNNNNNNNNNNNNNNNNNNNNNNNNNNNNNNNNNNNNNNNNNNNNNNNNNNNNNNNNNNNNNNNNNNNNNNNNNNNNNNNNNNNNNNNNNNNNNNNNNNNNNNNNNNNNNNNNNNNNNNNNNNNNNNNNNNNNNNNNNNNNNNNNNNNNNNNNNNNNNNNNNNNNNNNNNNNNNNNNNNNNNNNNNNNNNNNNNNNNNNNNNNNNNNNNNNNNNNNNNNNNNNNNNNNNNNNNNNNNNNNNNNNNNNNNNNNNNNNNNNNNNNNNNNNNNNNNNNNNNNNNNNNNNNNNNNNNNNNNNNNNNNNNNNNNNNNNNNNNNNNNNNNNNNNNNNNNNNNNNNNNNNNNNNNNNNNNNNNNNNNNNNNNNNNNNNNNNNNNNNNNNNNNNNNNNNNNNNNNNNNNNNNNNNNNNNNNNNNNNNNNNNNNNNNNNNNNNNNNNNNNNNNNNNNNNNNNNNNNNNNNNNNNNNNNNNNNNNNNNNNNNNNNNNNNNNNNNNNNNNNNNNNNNNNNNNNNNNNNNNNNNNNNNNNNNNNNNNNNNNNNNNNNNNAGAAUUAUCAUAAAAGAAAAUAAAUAAGUAAUUAGAACUCUGUUCAAAACAUUAAAAGCAAAAAGAAUUAUCAUAAAAGAAAAUAAAUAAGUAAUUAGAAACAAAAAAGAAAGCAAAAAAAUUGGGAAAAAAUUAAAAAAAAAGUGCCACCUAGAGGGCCACCACGGCCUGCAUACGACUAGAAACCCAUUACUAGGGCCAGGAUGCAGGCCCACAAGCACAGAGAGUGAUUUUAGGCCCGUAAGCCUGCAGUGGAGAGGAGCUCGAGAGGACAGCGGGACUGGGGCUUAUAAACCACUCUCGAGCUCCCUCAGCUAGCGAGGAGGCACUAAAUUUUCGUGCCGCGACGCGGGCAGCACAAGGCCUUUAGUCCCGGUUGGUGGCACCAACCGGGACCAAAGGGAUGCUUUGGUCCCGGUUCGUGGCACCAACCGGGACCAAUGACCCCCCUUUAGUCCCGGGUUGUGCCACCAACCGGGACUAAAGGCCGCCGCUUCCCGCCCUUUGGGCUGCUGAAAAGAGGCCAUUGGUCCCGGUUGGCGGCUCCAACCGGGACUAAAGGGGGCAUUGGUCCUGGUUGGUCUUAUGAACCGGGACCAAUGCUUUGCCUAUAUAAGCAGGACUCCUAAAAAUUUGAUUCAGUUCCUUCUUCCCCGCUCCCGACGCCGCCAGGCUGCCCGUCUCCGGUUCGCCGUCGCCGUCGUCAUCGUCUCCCCACGCCGUCCCUUGCCGUCCCUUGCCGCCUAGACGUCGUCGCCGCCCCGCGCCAUCUCGCCANNNNNNNNNNNNNNNNNNNNNNNNNNNNNNNNNNNNNNNNNNNNNNNNNNNNNNNNNNNNNNNNNNNNNNNNNNNNNNNNNNNNNNNNNNNNNNNNNNNNNNNNNNNNNNNNNNNNNNNNNNNNNNNNNNNNNNNNNNNNNNNNNNNNNNNNNNNNNNNNNNNNNNNNNNNNNNNNNNNNNNNNNNNNNNNNNNNNNNNNNNNNNNNNNNNNNNNNNNNNNNNNNNNNNNNNNNNNNNNNNNNNNNNNNNNNNNNNNNNNNNNNNNNNNNNNNNNNNNNNNNNNNNNNNNNNNNNNNNNNNNNNNNNNNNNNNNNNNNNNNNNNNNNNNNNNNNNNNNNNNNNNNNNNNNNNNNNNNNNNNNNNNNNNNNNNNNNNNNNNNNNNNNNNNNNNNNNNNNNNNNNNNNNNNNNNNNNNNNNNNNNNNNNNNNNNNNNNNNNNNNNNNNNNNNNNNNNNNNNNNNNNNNNNNNNNNNNNNNCGCCCCGCCCCGCCCCGUCCCAAUUUUGUUAGAUUUUUUUGUUAGAUUUUUUUGCUCAUUUAAUUAUUUGAUGUAGUAGUUAAUUUAGAUGUGUAGUAUAAUUUAGAUGUGUACUUAAUUGAGUUAGAUUUUGUUAGGUUUUUUUGUUAGAUUUUUUUGUUAGAUUUUUUUGUAGUUCAUAGAUUUUUUUGUUAGAUGUGUAGUAAUUUAGAUGUGUAGUUCAUAGAUUUAUUUUCAUAUUGUGUAAUUUGUUCAUAUUUUGUUAUAUUUUUUUUCUGUUAAUAGUUUUUUUUGUUGAUAUUGUUGUUGAAUACGCAUGUUUGUAUGUUCGUAUAUAUGCAAAGAUCGAAUAUGUCAAUUUGUUAUGAUUUUUUUUCUGUUCAUAGAAUUUUUACGACUUUUUUCUGUUGUAAUUUUGUUCAUAGAAUUUUAUUGUGUAUGUAUAGGAAAAUUGUGCAUGAUCAAAGUCAUUUAUGAAUAUGUACAUAUUUAGAAUAGAGGAAAAAGGAAAAUAAGAAGAGAAAGUGUUUAAUAUAAUUAGUUAGAAAAAUAAUAGAACUAUAGUUAAACUAGUUUAUUUUUAGUAAGUACUACUUUAUUUUAUUUAUAGUAAGUGCUUCAUAUAUAGUUGAACUAGCUAGUUGAUUUAAUAAACUAAUUUAUUUUACUAUAUAUAGAAGUAGUUUAUUUUUAGUAAGUACUACUUUAUUUAUUUAUAUUAGUGCUUAGUAGUUGAAGUAGUUGAUUUAAUUAAUAAAACUACUUUAUUUAACUAUAUAUAUAGAAGUAGUUCCCGCAUCGACGUCGGCGAUGCCUAUCCCGCAUCCUCGUCGUCGUCGACUCGGCGGUGGAGGAUUGUUUGAUCAGAGCCAUGUUCGGGACUAGGCUCCGCCGGGCUGGUAUUGGGAGGUGCUACCUUCCGGGGGACGUAGGUUGGUGAGGAGGCAACCCGUUGUUGACCCGAUUCUUGUUUGGUGGCGGUCGCAUGGGCCAGUGACGGUGCCGAGGCUUCCGGACACCGCGGAGGUGGUAGGUCACCGUGUCAGCGAGGAGGACGAGCACGUCCGUCGCUACAUGGUUGCAUUGGAGGGCAGGUUCGACUAUACCUGGCAGGUUCUUCAGUGAUCGCACUGGAGCUAUGAUCCUGUGAUGGUUCUUUAUCUUUGGGUAUCCACCGCCCGCGACGAUACCCGUCGGGCGCUACGGUUCUAGCUGUAUUAGUGAUGCUAUAUGUAUGAUAGUAUUCUAGGAGUAUUAGUGAUAAUAUUUGACGAUGUAUGGACACAAGAGAUGAUGUACUUUUGCUUAUAAAUGAAUGCAUGCUAAUUUAAAUAAUACUUUAUUUUAUGAUUUUGUUUUGCUUAUUGAAUGCUCAUAUUGGAAAAGUACUCCUACUUUGAAUGCAGAAAUCUAGGAGCCCACUCCAUCAUCCACUCCGUCGUGGGGGUAGCUUCUCCUUCAUUCCCGUGUGCUAGACAAUUUGGUGUAAUAAUGCACUCGAGAAUGAAAGGAGGAGCUACGUACCAUCACCGAUAGUCAACCCGUGAUUAAUAAUAAUGAUCUAAUUUAGGCUUUUUAGUACAUAUAUUUAAUUGUACAAGUUUAACAUUUGAAUUAUGAACAUAGGCCGGAAAUGUCGUACUCGCACGACGAAAACCGCCCGGGGGAGUGCGACUGGUGCCACGACGACCGAGGUAUGUGCGAUAGGUUCAUUGAGCUGGACGAAGAUCGGCGCUUCAGCAUUAAGCUCGAGGAGACCUUCGAUGUUCAUACGGUACGCAACGACGACAAUAGUUUUUUUCGUAAUUAAGCACGACUUCAACUAUGUUAACGUGUAUUUUUCAUCUUUUUCAAUUCGACUAGCUUAUCUCAUGCUAUGCGAGACGCUAUGUCUUGGAGAGGAUGAGUUUUGAAGACCAUGAAAGUAUGGAAACCAAAAAAUUCUCCUAAGGACCCAUUAUGGUGUGGAUUUUCAAGUAAAGUUGUACAAUGCUGAGAGUGUAACACAUUUUGGUUGCAAAAAUUGGGAGGCAGUUUGCAAGAUGUAUGGUUUUGAUGAGGGUAUGCUUGUCAGCAUGGAUCUUAGUGAUCCUACAAUCGAGCAAGACAGACCUUCGAUUUGGGUCCUUGUGGAUACACCUCCAAUUCUUCCCCAUGUGAGCUUAACAUAGUUAUUAAGUAAUUUAUAUUGUUUAUUUCAAAAUAGUUGACAGCUUAUUUCCAUUGACAGCUUAUUUUCAUUCUUCAAAGAAUGUGCGGAAGAUGGUAGACAAAACCCACUACACCGAUGGCUCCGAAUUAACUUAUAGGGAGAAAAUCAUCUGAUCACAUUUUGUACUAAUCUUGAGAAUUACAAUGUCUACAAUCGAACUCCUCAACAUUAUGCUCAAUAAGUGCCACUAGUGCAUGUGUUGAACUACGGUAACUACCAUGGAGAUACCCUGGUAAGAUUUUUUUACUAUUACGACAUCCGUGCAUCUUUUUGCACACUUCUAAAACUAGUACAUCAUUGCUAACUACGAAGUUAUUACUAUGUUUUUCAACAGAUAAUCCCGAAUGAUUGUGUGGCUCAUCUGAUGUAUACACACGGUAGCCUUCAUGUUUUGAACAUACAACCAGGUCUUCCUACGAAUCUCAACUGUCCAUACCGGGUUUCUAAAAGAAGUGGAGACAUGACAAUCAAAGAAUGGAAAAAAAUGUAUGGACAAUCGUAAGGAGCUUCUUGGAAGCAAAAGGCAGCGAGGCGCAAGAAUUGGAGACAGGAUGAUCUCCAUUCUUCAUAAUGGAGAGUCAGGGUCUAUAUUGUUUUAUGCUAUUUUACCUUAAGGGUGUUUAGGUCCUACCUGAUACUGAUGAUCAUGUGCUAAGAACAAUUAUGUAGGUUUGGGUUCGAUGACUAUGAGGAUGAUGAUCGUAUGACUUUUUAUUAAUAACGAGUAGAAGUUGUAUGAUAAUGCAUGAUUAGGAGGACUUGUUAUUAUAUAUGAUGAUGUAUGAUGCGAGCAUGCAUGAGUUAUUAUAUAUCAGCGGGUGAAAUGAACAUAGCAGUAGCGUUGGUAAACCAACAACGAAGAUAUAAGAGAGGACACUUCUCUCUAUUAGCUAGCUAAUAACAACCUAAAAUUAACCCCGCAAACCCCUAAACCAGCCACUUUUUUUAAAAAGAAAAACCUCAGCUGCUGACACGUGGAAGCCUUUUGGUCCCGGUUCAUGUCAAGAACCAGGGACCAAAGGCCCCCUUUCCUGGGCUGCUCACAGUGGCCACGUGGAGGCCCAUCUGUCCCGAUUCGUGUUAGAACCGGGACUAAAGGGUGGAGGCAUUAGUAACGACCCUUUAGUCCCGGUUCAGGAACCGGGACUAAAGGCCCUUACGAAUCGGGACAAAUGCCCUGUUUUCUACUAGUGGGUGUUGGGGUUUUGGAGGGUUAAUUUAGGGGUUUCAUAUUGUGUUAGCUAGCUAAUAGAGAGAAGUGACCUCUCUUUCUCCGUGCUUGAUCGACGCUAGCUACUAUACAUAUAGAUAGAACUCGACACGCUAGCUAGUAAGCAAAUGAAGGAACCAUUAAUUACACAAGAUCAUCAUGACACUAGUAGAAAACAUGGCAUUUGUCCUGGUUCGUAAGGGCCUUUUGUCCCGUUUUAAGAACCGGGACAAAAAGGUCGGUACUAUGCCCUCCCCCUUUAGUCCCGGUUCUUACAUGAACCAGGACAGAUGGGCCUCCACCUGGCCACUGCGGGCAGCCCAGGCAAGGGGGCCUUUGGUCCCGGUUGGUGACAUAAACCGGGACCAAAAGGCUUCCACGCGUCAGCAGCUGGCUGGAGCUGAGGUUUUUCUUUUUUUUAAAAAGUGGCUGGUUUAGGGGUUCUGGGGGUUAAUUUAGGUUGUUAUUAGCUAGCUAAUAGAGAGAAGUGUCCUCUCUUAUAUCUUCGUCCUUGGUUUACCAACGCUACUGCUAUGUUCAUUUCACCCGCUGAUAUAUAAUAACUCAUGCUCGCAUCAUACAUCAUCAUAUAUAAUAACAAGUCCUACUAAUCAUGCAUCAUCAUACAACUUCUACUCGUUAUUAAUAACAAGUCAUACGAUCAUCAUCCUCAUAGUCAUCGAACCCAACCCUACAUAAUUGUUCUUAGCACAUGAUCAUCAGUAUCAGGUAGGACCUAAACACCUUUAAGGUAAAAUAGCAUAAAACAAUAUUGACCCUGACUCUCCAUUAUGAAGAAUGGAGAUCAUUCUGUCUCCAAUUCUUGCGCUUCGCUUCCUUUUCCUUCCAGGAAGCUUCUUACGACUGUCCAUACAUUUUUUCCGUUCUUUGAUUGUCAUGUCUCCACUUCUUUUAGAAAUCAAGUAUGGACAGUUGAGAUUCGUAGGACGACCUGGUUGUAUGUUCAAAACAUCAAGGCGACCGUGCGUAUACAUCAGAUGAGGCACACAAUCAUUCGGGAUUAUCUGUUGAAAAACAUAGUAAUAACUUCGUAGUUAGCAAUGAUGUACUAGUUUUAGAAGUAUGCAAAAAGAUGCACGGAUGUCGUAAUAGUAAAAAAUCUUACCAGGGUAUCUCCAUGAUAGUUACCGUAGUUCAACAUGUGCACUAGUGGCACAUAUUGACCAUAAUGUUGAGGAGUUCGAUUGUAGAUAUUGUAAUUCUCAAGAUCAGUACAAAAUAAGAUCAGAUGAUUUUUCUCCUUAUAAGUUAAUUCGGAGCAAUCGGUGUAGUGGGUUUUGUCUACCAUCUUCCGCACAUUCUUUGAAGAAUGAAAAUAAGCUGUCAAUGGAAAUAAGCUGUUAACUAUUUUGAAAUAAACAAUAUAAAUUACUUAAUAACUAUGUUUGAGAAGCUCACUAGGGGAAGAAUUGGAAGUGUAUCCACAAGGACCCAAAUGUCCAUAUUGUCUUGCUCGAUUGUAGGAUCACCAAGAUCCAUGGUGACAAGCAUACCCUCAUAAAAACCAUACAUCUUGCAAAGUGCUUCCCAAUUUUUGCAACCAAAAUAAGUUACAGUCUCAGCAUUGUACAACUUUACUUCAAAAUCCACACCAUGAUGGGUCCUUAAGUGAAUUUUUUUGGUUUCCAUACUUUCAUGGUCUUCAAAACUCAUCCUCUCCAAGACAUAGCGUCUUGCAUAGCAUGGUAUAAGCUAGUCGAAUUGGAAAAGAUGAAAAAUACACGUUAAAAUAGUUGAACUCGUGCUUAAUUAUGAAAAAACUAUUGUCGUCGUUGUGUACCGUUUCAACAUCGAAGGUCUCCUCGAGCUUAAUGUUGAAGCGCCGAUCUUCGUCCAGCUCAAGGAACCUGUCGCACAUACCUCAGUCGUCGUGGCACCAGUCGCACUCCCCCGUGCGGUUUUCGUCGUUCGAGUACGACAUUUCUGGCCUAUGUUCAUAAUUCAAAUAUUAAACUUGUACAAUUAAAUAUAUGUAUUAAAAAACCUAAAUUAGAUCAUUAUUAUUAAUCACGAGUUGACUAUCGGUGAUGGUAGCUCCUCCUUUCAUUCCCGAGUGCAUUAUUACACCAAAUUAUCUAGCACACGGGAAUGAAGGAGAAGCUACCACCACGACGGCGUGGAUGAUGGAGUGGGCUCCUAGAUUUCUGCAUAGAGUGCCCUUCAAUUUUAGCAUUCAAUGUAGGAGUACUUUUCCAAUAUGAGCAUUCAAUAAGCAAAAUGAAAUCGUAAAAUAAAGUAGUAUUCAAAUUAGCAUGCAUUCAAUUAUAAGCAAAAGUACAUCAUCUCUUGUGUCCGUACAUCAUCGAAUAUUAUCACUAAUACUCCUCGAAUACUAUCAUACAUAUAGCAAUUCUAAUACAGCUAGAACCGUAGCACCCGACAGGUAUCGUCGCGGGCGGUGGACACCCAAAGAUAAGGAACCAUCACAGGAUCAUAGCUCCAGUGAGAUCCCUGAAGAACCUGCCAGGUAUUGUCGAACCUGCCCUCCAACGCAACCAUGUAGCGACGUACGUACUCGUCCUCCUCGCUGACACGGUGACGUACCACCUCCGCGGUGUCCGGAAGCCUCGGCACCGUAACUGGCCCACGCGAACGCCACCAAACAAGGAUCGGGUCAACAACAGGCUGGCUCCUCACCAACCAACGCCCCGCCGGAAGGUAGCACCUCCCAAUACCAGCCCGGCGGAGCCCAGUCCCGGACAUGGCCCUGAUCAAGCAGGCCUCCACCGCCGAGUCAAUGACGAGGAUGCGGGAUAGGCAUCGUCGACGUCGAUGCGGGAACUACUUCUAUAUAUAGUAAAAUAAAGUAGUUUUAUUAAUUAAAUCAAAUAGUUCAACUACUAAGCACUUACUAUAAAUAAAUAAAGUAGUACUUACUAAAAAUAAACUACUUCUAUAGUAAAAUAAAGUAGUUUAUUAAAUCAACUACCUGUUCAACUAUAUAUUAAGCACUUACUAUAAAUAAAAUAAAGUAGUACUUACUAAAAAUAAACUAGUUUAACUAUAAUUCUAUUAUUUUCCUAACUAACUAUAUUAAACACUUUCUCUUCUUAUUUUCAUUUUUCCUCUCUUCUAAAUAUGAACAUAUUCAUAAAUGACUUUGAUCAUACAUAAUUUUCCUAUACAUACACAAUAUGAACAUAUACAUAAAUUGACAAAGAAAAUUCUAUGAACAAAAAAAAUCAUUAAAAUUCUAUGAACAAAAUUACAACAGAAAAAAAAUCAUAAAAAUUCUAUGAGUAGAAACAAAUCAUAAAAAAUUGACAUAUUUGAUUUUUAUAUAUAUAUGAACAUACAAACAUGCAUAUUCAACAAGAAUAUCACCAAAAAAAUCUAUUAACAGAAAAAAAUCUAACACAAUAUGAAAAAAAAUCUAUGAACUACACAUCUAAAUUACUACACAUCUAACAAAAACAUUUAUGAACUGCAAAAAAAUCCAACAAAAAAAUCUAACUCAAUUAACUACACAUCUAAAUUACUACACAUCUAAAUUAACUACACAUCAAAUUAAAUUAGCAAAAUUCAACCUCACGGGAUGGCGAUGGCGUGAGGGGCGGGGCGAGGGCGAUGGGCAGGGGACGGCGACGGCGAUGGUGCGUGAGGGGCGGCGNNNNNNNNNNNNNNNNNNNNNNNNNNNNNNNNNNNNNNNNNNNNNNNNNNNNNNNNNNNNNNNNNNNNNNNNNNNNNNNNNNNNNNNNNNNNNNNNNNNNNNNNNNNNNNNNNNNNNNNNNNNNNNNNNNNNNNNNNNNNNNNNNNNNNNNNNNNNNNNNNAAUUUUGACGAGUGACAGUUAUAUAGACGAUGCAUUGGUCCCGGUUUCUGAGACAAACCGGGACUAAUGCGACUUUUAGUCCCGGUUGGUGGCACCAACAGGGACCAAAGGCCUCUUUUCAGCAGUCCAAAGGGCGGGAAACAAAGGCCUUUGGUCCCGGUUGGUGGCACCAACCGGGACUAAAGGGGGGGCAUUGGUAUCGGUUUGUGCCACCAACCGGGACCAAAGCCACUCUUUAGUCCCGGUUGGUGCCACCAACCGGGACCAAAGGCCUUGCACAGCGCGGUGCGGUGGGAAGUUUAGUCCCACCUCGCUAGCUGAGAGAGCUCAGCACCUGUUUAUAAGCUGCGUUGCAGCUCAGGUGCUGAGCUCCUCUCUAAUAUGCAGGCAUUAGUUGCCUACCCCUGUCACUGCCGUGUUGGGCCAAUUGGGCCUGCGGGCCUGCAUCCUGGCCCAUGUACAGAUGGGUUUCUAGUCAUAUGCAGGCCGUGUGGCCCAUUAGGUGGCUUUUUUUUUAUUUUUUCCAGUAUUUUUUUGUUUUUUGAAUUAUUUAUUUUCGUUUGAUUUUUGCUUUAUUUUUUAUUCUUUUUUCUUUUCACUCAGAAUAUUAUAAUCUUUCUGUUACUCCAUUAGUUUCCAAACUUGAAUAGUUUAAAUUUUAAUUCUUUGAAAUUUGUGUGAAUCACUAGUUUGUGAAUAACUUCACUAUAAAAAUAUAUUUUGAGUGAUUCUUUUUCUUGCUAUUUAAUAUUACUGCAUUUUAUCAUUAUAUUCAAAAAUAGAUUUUGUUAUUUUAGUUUCUAUCAAAAAAAAUCUUUAUGACAAUUGUUUUUGCUACUAAAGUUUCUAACAAAAAAUUCUUUAUGAUAAUUAUUUCUGCUUUUCAUGUUGUGAACAGAAAAUACUUUGAUAAUUUUAGUUGCAUAAAUUUAUAUAAUUUUAGUUUAAAAAACAUUAGAGGUUUAUAAAAUCUUUUUAGUUGAUUCCUUUUGCUAUUAGAGUUUUAUAAAAGCAUUUACUGGUUUUUUGAGCUAUAAGACCUUGAAUUUGAAAAGCAUUUCAAAUGAACUCUGAAAAGGUUGAAAGUUGUCAUGGUAUCAUCAUUUCACCCACAUAGCAUGUGCUAAAGAGUUGAGAGGGUUAUGCGAAAAACUUGAUAUACUUCAUGUACAAAAUGGACAAUCUCUGUCGAAGUAUCAGGGUUUCAUACGGAAACUCAUCUGUUACACAGGGAUUUCAUUUUUUUAAACUUAUUUGAACUCCUGACUUUUUGUGUGUUCAAAAUGCACCAUUCAAAGCCACAUCAUCAAUUUUCAACCCUUUCUGACUUCAUUUGUUAUUUUUCAUGCAUUUACUGAUUAUUUUGAGCUAUAAGACCCUGAAAUUGAAAAACAUUUCAAAUGAACUCUGAAAAGGUUGGAAGUUGGCAUGGUAUCAUCAUUUCAUCCACAUAGCAUGUGCAAGAAAGUUGAGUGGGUUACGGCAAAAACUGGAUGCACUUCAUGUACAAAACGGACAAUCUCUUUCGAAGUAUCAGGAUUUCAUACGGAAACUUGUCUGUUACAAUAGGCAUUUCAAAUGAACUACGAAAAGGUUGAAAGUUGGCAUGGUAUCAUCAUAAUAGUUGUGGACAAAGUCUUCACUUUUUCUUCGCUUGUGACCUUUCCUUAUUGCGUCGUAACCAUGGAUAAUCUUCAUCAUUUAUCAGGAUGCUUGGGUCAGCCUUGACUUUGAAGGGAGGAAUUUCAUGAAACUUUUCAUAAUCUUCGGACAUGUCUGUCUUGCCCUCCACUCCCAUGAUGUCCCUUUUUCCUGAAAGAACUAUGUGGCGCUUUGGCUCAUCGUAUGAUGUAUUCGUUUCCUUAUUUUUCCUUUUUCUCGGUUUGGUAGACAUGUCCUUCACAUAGAUAACCUGUGCCACAUCAUUGGCUAGGACGAACGGUUUGUCAGUGUACCCAAGAUUGUUCAGAUCCACUGUUGUCAUUCCGUACUGUGGGUCUACCUGUACCCCGCCUCCUGACAGAUUGACCCAGUUGCAUUCAAACAAAGGGACCUUAAAAUCUACUCCAUAGUCAAGUUCCCAUAUGUCCACUAUGUAACCAUAAUAUGUGUCCUUUCCCCUCUCGGUGGCUGCAUCAAAGCAGACACCGCUGUUUUGGUUGGUGCUCUUUUGAUCUUGGGCGAUCGUGUAAAAUGUAUUCCCAUUUAUCUCGUAUCCUUUCCAAAUCAUUACAGUCGAAGAUGGUCCCCUGGACAAUGAGUACAACUCCUCACAAACAGUGUUUUCACCUCUGAGACGUGUUUCCAACCAACUCCUGAAAGUCCUGAUGUGUUCACAUGUAAUCCAGUCGACGCACUGCUCCGGGUGUUUGGAGCGUAGACUGAUCUUGUGUUCAUCGACAUAAGGGGUCACCAAGGUAGAGUUCUGUAGAACUGUGUAGUGUGCUUGAGACCAAGAAUAUCCGUCCCUGCAUAUUAUUGUCUCCCCACCAAGCGUGCCUUUUCCAGUCAGUCUUCCCUCACACCGCGAUUUAGGGAGACCUAUCUUCUUAAGGCAGGAAUGAAGUCAACACAAAACCCAAUGACAUCCUCUGUUUGAUGGCCCAUGGAGAUGCUUCCUUCUGGCCUAGCACGGCUACGGACAUAUUUCUUUAGGACUCCCAUGAACCUCUCAAAGGGGUACAUAUUGUGUAGAAAUACGGGCCCCAGAAUGACAAUCUCGUCAACUAGAUGAACUAGGAUGUGCGUCAUGAUAUUGAAGAAGGAUGGUGGGAACACCAGCUCGAAACUGACAAGACAUUGCACCACAUCACUCCUUAGCCUUGGUAUGAUUUCUGGAUGGAUCACCUUCUGAAAGAUUGCAUUGAGGAAUGCACAUAGCUUCACAAUGGCUAAUCGGACGUUUUCCGGUAGAAGCCCCCUCAAUGCAACCGGAAGCAGUUGCGUCAUAAUCACGUGGCAGUCAUGAGACUUUAGGUUCUGAAACUUUUUCUCUGCCAUAUUUAUUAUUCCCUUUAUAUUCGACGAGAAGCCAGUCGGGACCAUCAUACUAAGCAGGCAUUCAAAGAAGAUUUCCUUCUCUUCUUUGGUAAGAGCGUAGCUGGCAGGACCUUCAUACUGCUUUGGAGGCAUGCCGUAUUUUUCAUGCAAACGUUGCAGGUCCUGCCGUGCCUCAGCUGUAUCUUUUGUCUUCCCACACACGCCCAAGAAGCCUAGCAAGUUCACGCAAAGGUUCUUCAUCACGUGCAUCACGUCGAUCGAAGAGCGGACCUCUAGGUCUUUCCAGUAGGGUUGGUCCCAAAAUAUAGAUUUCUUCUUCCACAUGGGUGCGUGUCCCUCAGCGUCACUCGGAACUGCUAGUCCGCCGGGACCCUUUCCAAAGAUUAUGUGUAAAUCAUUGACCAUAGCAAGUACGUGAUCACCGGUACGCUUGGCGGGCUUCUUUGGGUGAUCUGCCUCGCCUUUGAAAUGCUUGCCUUUCUUUCGACAUUGAUGGUUGGUUGGAAGAAAUCGACGAUGGCCCAGGUACACAUUCUUCCUGCAACUUCCCAGGUAUAUACUUUCGGUGUCAGCUAAAUAGUGCGUGCAUGCGUGGUAUCCCUUGUUUGUCUGUCCUGAAAGGUUACCGAGAGCAGGCCAAUCGUUGAUGGUUACAAAUAGCAAUGCAUGCAGGUUAAAUUCCUCAUGUCUGUGCUCAUCCCACACACAUACACCGUUUCCAUUCCACAGCUGUAAAAGUUCUUCAAGUAAUGGCCUUAGGUACACAUCAAUGUCGUUGCCGGGUUGCUUAGGGCCUUGGAUGAGAACUGGCAUCAUAAUGAACUUCUGCUUCAUGCACAUCAAAGGAGGAAGAUUAUACAUACAUAAAGUCACGGGCCAGGUGAUGUGAUUGUUGCAUUGCUCCCCGAAAGGAUUAAUGCCAUCCGCGCUUAAACCAAACCAUACGUUCCUUGGGUCAUGUGCAAACUCAGCCUAGUACUCUCUCUUGAUUUUUAUCCACUGCGACCCGUCAGCGGGUGCUCUCAACUUCCCGUCUUUCUUACGGUCCUCUCUAUGCCAUCACAUCAACUUGGCAUGCUCUUUUUUUCUGAACAAUCGUUUCAACCGUGGUAUUAUAGGAGCAUACCACAUCACCUUCGCAGGAACUCUCUUCCUGCGGGGCUCGCCAUCAACAUCACCAGGGUCAUCUCGUCUGAUCUUAUACCGCAAUGCACCGCAUACCGGGCAUGCGUUCAAAUCCUCAUACGGACCGCAGUAGAGGAUGUAGUCAUUAGGGUAUGCAUGUAUCUUCUUCACCUCCAAUCCUAGAGGGCAUACAACCUUCUUUGUUGCGUACGUACUGUCGGGCAAUUCAUUGUCCUUUGGAAGCUUCUUCUUCAAUAUUUUCAGUAGCUUCUCAAAUCCUUUGUCAGGCACAACAUUCUCUGCCUUCCACUGCAGCAAUUCCAGUAUGGUACCCAGCUUUGUGUUGCCAUCUUCGCAAUUGGGGUACAACCCUUUUUUGUGAUCCUCUAACAUGCGAUUGAACUUCAGCUUCUCCUUUUGACUUUCGCAUUGCGUCCUUGCAUCGACAAUGACCCGACGGAGAUCAUCAUCGGGCACAUCGUCUGGUUCCUCUUGAUCUUCAGCAGCUUCCCCCGUCACAGCAUCAUUGGGCACAUCGUCUGGUUCCUCUUGAUCUUCAGCGGCUCCCCUCGUUGCAGCAUUAUCGUAUUCAGGGGGCACAUAGUUGUCAUCGUCCUCUUAUUCUUCGCCGUCUUCCAUCAUAACCCCUAUUUCUCCGUGCCUCGUCCAAACAUUAUAGUGUGGCAUGAAACCCUUGUAAAGCAGGUGGGUGUGAAGGAUUUUCCGGUCAGAGUAAGACUUCGUAUUCCCACAUUUAGUGCAUGGACAACACAUAAAACCAUUCUGCUUGUUUGCCUCAGCCACUUCGAGAAAAUUAUGCACGCCCUUAAUGUACUCGGAGGUGUGUCUGUCACCAUACAUCCAUUGCCAGUUCAUCAGCGUGCAUUAUAUAUAAUUAUGUGUGUCAAAAGUAAGAAAAUCAGACAAAAUAUCUAUCUAAAGUAAGAAAAUCAGACAAGUAUCAAAAAGAAGAUAAGAACAAGAGGCUCACCACGGUGGUGCCAGCGACGAGAUCGGCGCGGGCGAUCAACGAUGGUGAAAACGGGGACGAGGCGUGACGGACCGCUAAAUCUAGAAAAAUCUCGAAAAAAUGGAGCUCCGAGGUCGAGCUUCGAGAGGAGAAUGCUUAACUAGUGUGGCUCGAGCAUUUUAUCAAACACCUCAUGUGCAUAGGAGUUGAACUAGAGCACCCAAAUGCCCUCUCCUCGCCGGAUUGAAAAAACAGAGCACUAUGGAGUGCUCUGACGCGGCGGUGGGUAUAUGUAGGCAAGUUAUUUGUCCCGGUUCGUGGCAUGAACCAGGACUAAAGCACACCCUUCUGUCCCGGUUCAAGCCACGAACCGGGACCAAUGAUUGUGGGCCAGGAGCGAGGACCAUUCGUCCCGGUUCGUGGCUUGAACCGGGACAAAUGGUUCCACACGAACUGGGACCAAUGCCCACGAGGCCCCGGCCGCCCCCUGGGCUCACGAACCGGGUCUAAUACCCCCCAUGGGUCCUAGUUCUUGAAGAACCGAGACUAAUGGGCUGGCCAGGCCCGAAUGUUAGCCCUAUUUUCUACUAGUGUGAACAUAUACAGAGAGAAAGUGAACUCUCUUUCUCUGAGAGAUUGGUCGAACAACAAGUUUUUGUAUAUCGAUCCGACGCUACUAUAUAUAUUCAAUAUAACAUCUCUUACAAUCCCUAACAUCUAUAAUCAAUUUCCACAUGGUAUUCUCCCUUCUCAUUUAUGAUGUGGUCAAGAAAGAAUCCCACCAAUUCCUCUUGAAUAGCUCGAAUGCGAUCAUGUGGUAGGAUUUCAUCCUGCAUCUGCCACAUAUAAUUUAAAGAAGGGGGUCAAUACAUAUAUAUGAAUAAAACUCAUCACAUAUGAUGGUAAUAAAAUAAAAUUGUGAAUAUUAUUGUUUACGUACUUCAUAUUAUUUUGCAAAGGGUCGCAUUGUAGAUGAACUCGCAAACGUAGUAUCCACAUAAAUUAUUCCCGCCUUCCUGCCACAAGACCUUUACGAGAAAUAGAGUUCAAUCAAACUAAUAAUCAAGCAUGCUAAAUGGUAUUGAUGAAACUAGAAUAAAUGGGAGAUGCACGGAACUAGCUAGUACUACUUACUUUCGGGUGUGUAAAUCGUAGCUCCCUCGGAAGUCCCGGAACUAUUCCGGUGAACUCUUUCCAAACCCUGUCAGACAAAGAAAAUAACUACUUGAUAUCAGGAAAUGAACAAAUUUGCCGAUAUGGUGCGAUAAUGAUCGAUUGAACUUACUUCUGGAGCAUUACAGUCAUGUCCGCAUAGUCCUGGGGAUCUUUUCGUCUCCAGUCUAAGACAAUUAUUACUCCCUGGUCAAGCUUAAUCUCUAGAAGAAUAAAGUGGAAGCUGCGCAUGCAUGCAUAACUCAUCAAUUACAAUAAUAUAAUUAACCUCGAGUAAGCGAAACCGAAUAUGCACAAGACAAUAACACUCACUUGCAGUUGUAAGGAAAGAGUAUUUUUCCUUCGUUUUGAUUUCGAUGCAACAAUUGUAGCAAGUUGUCCUCGGUAUUCGUGUCUCUGUUUUUAACUGACCAUUCAUUUAUGGUAUUUGAGUUAAUGAACCGAAUGUCAUAGAUUUGUUUUUUUGCAUUCGACGAUCUUCAAUCUGCAUAAUAUAGUGAGGAUAAUUAUAUAUACAUGCAAUGGAAGCCACACUGCUUCUCCACUGAGAUGGUGGGGUAGCUUCUGGUGAAGCGUCGAAGCAAGGAUCUUCGUACCGCUAAGAUGGUUGGCCGGUAGCUGCAAGUUCUUCUAGCUUUGCUAUUCUUGCAUUGAGCUUCUACAGCUCGCUUCCACUUUCCUCUUUCUGUAAAUAUCAUGUUGUACUCAAUAUGCCAGAUUGACAUUUUCAACUAAAUUGUCAUGUUCCAGUGGGAGUUAGUAGAAAAGUGCAUCUAGAGAUUUAUUCAAAGUAGCAACACUUGGGAAAAAAGGACAUAGAUGGAUCAACGUUGUGUGGGGAGACCUAGUGGAUGGGUGGACGACCUCGCCGCCGUCGAGCUCAUCGGGUGCGGGAGAAGGCGAGGGCACUCUGCUGACGCCUGAAAGAGCCGGGAGUAGGGGCAUCCACUCGACAUUGGCUAGAGGCAACCACCGUACCAUCGCAACUCCCGGCGACGAGCAGGGUUAGCCGCCCAACAUUGGCCAGAGCACCCGCCGCACCCGCCUCUCACACUGCUUCAGCCGCCCCUCUUGCCACAGAAUGUCCUCCGUGGUCCGCACGCUGAUGCCAGAGCAUAGCUCCUUGAAUAGCCGGUGAAGGGAUAAGGUGGUGUGUGUGUGUGGGGGGGGGGGGUCAGGCGCUUGCUGUUUACAGGUUGACAGAUUUAUCAUCAUGGUAACUCGAGAGCAAGAAAGAGAAAUAUUACAACAACUUUAUAUGGCAACCAAGGGCAUGACAUCAAAGUACACAUCACACACUACAAUUCAAGUGUUUGGAGCAUCUCCAAAAGAGGCAUAGGUCAAUUAAUAACAAGCUCACAAUAUGGCAUCAUGAAGUUAAUAGAAAAAUGGAACAUCAUUUAGGCAAAUUCAUAGCAACAAAAACAUAUGCUACAAGACUUAUAUGAGGCAUCAAACGGCAUGAAAUGAUAGAGCAUAACAUGGUUAAAAGAUGAUUACUGAACAUCUCCAUAAUAUGCAUAGAUUUGACGGUAGCAUCAAGCAAACAUGGCAUCUUAAUUUAACAGUUUCAGACUUGACAGAAAUUACCAAGUUCCUGAAAACAGAUAACAACAAGUCACCCUCUUUGCAAGCUUGUUCCAAACAACACAAGGCAUAUCAUGAUAAAUGGAUUACACUUCUACAAAGAUGUCAUGAUUAUGCUCAUAAAACAUGUUGACAUGAUGCUAAAAAAAAUCACAAAAACUGCUAUGAAAAAGACAAAUACACAAGUUACAACAGUUUUCGACAGUUUAUAUCACUUAGCACUUUUAGAACAAUGGUUUUGGCAUCAACAUGAAUAGCAACAUGCAUGCAAACUACACCAUCGUGUGGAGCAUCAAGAGAUGAACAUUUUUACAUAUCAUACACUCAAUUCAGAUACACAUGCUCAAAGUUACAUGAUCACAAACAUGCACACAUGUUGCUGGAAGAUAGGGACUUGGCCAAAAUUACUGAGGUGAGUGACGGAUAACUACAGAGUGCACAGGGUGGGGGAUAGUGGGUAGCUCACCAUGGGCUCAGCACAGGACGUGGAGACGAGGCAGCAGGCCGGCGCUGCUGGGCCGGGGAGUUGCUGGCCCAUGCGGGCCCAUGAGGCCGGGCUGAUACGGUCGUUGUCCUUGUGCGCUCGCACGAGCAGGGAGGCAGGGACGGCCGCGGCCGGCGAUGCUAGGGCGGCAGCGAGACUGGAGGUGGCCAGGUGAGGCAGGGACGGGCUGAUCCGGCCGUGGGGGACCGGAUCUGGGUGUCAACAACUGUCGGAGGGUCGCGGGGCGAUGCUGGGAGUCGGCAGGGCGCGGAUUGAUGUCUACUACACAACCUUCUUCUUGUAGACGUUGUUGGGCCUGCAAGUGCACAGGUUUGUAGGACAGUAGCAAAUUUCCCUCAAGUGGAUGACCUAAGGUUUAUCAAUCCGUGGGAGGCAUAGGAUGAAGAUGGUCUCUCUCAAACAACCCUGCAACCAAAUAACAAAGAGUCUCUUGUGUCCCCAACACACCCAAUACAAUGGCAAAUUGUAUAGGUGCACUAGUUCGGCGAAGAGAUGGUGAUACAAGUGCAAAAUAGAUAGUAGAUAUAGGUUUUUGUAAUCUGAAAAUAUAAAAACAGCAAGGUAACUAAUGAUAAAAGUGAGCGUAAAUGGUAUUGCAAUGAUAGGAAACAAGGCCCAGGGAUCAUACUUUCACUAGUGCAAGUUCUCUCAACAAUAAUAACAUAGAUAGAUCAUAUAACAAGCCCUCAACAUGCAACAAAGAGUCACUCCAAAGCCACUAAUAGCGGAGAACAAACAUAGAGAUUAUGGUACGGUAUGAAACCACCUCAAAGUUAUUCUUUCGGAUCAAUCUAUUCAAGAGUUCGUACUAGAAUAACACCUUAAGACACAAAUCAACCAAAACCCUAAUGUCACCUAGAUACUCCAUUGUCACCUCAAGUAUCCGUGGGCAUGAUUAUACGAUAUGCAUCACACAAUCUCACAUUCAUCCAACCAACACAAAGUACUUCAAAGAGUUCCCCAAAGUUUCUACCGGAGAGUCAAGAAUGUGUGCCAACCCCUAUACAUAGGUUCAUGGGCGGAACCCGCAAGUUGGUCACCAAAACAUACAUCAAGUGGCACAUGAUAUCCCAUUGUCACCACAGAUAAGCACGGCAAGACAUACAUCAAGUGUUCUCAUAAAAGACUCAAUCCGAUAAGAUAACUUCAAAGGGGAAACUCAAUUCAUCACAAGAGAGUAGAGGGGGAGAAACAUCAUAAGAUCCAACUAUAAUAGCAAAGCUCGGGAUACAUCAAGAUCAUGCCAUAGAGGGAACACGAGAGAGAGAGAGAUCAAACACAUAGCUACUGGUACAUACCCUCGGCACCGAGGAUGAACUACUCCCUCCUCAUCAUGGAUAGCGCCGGGAUGAUGAAGAUGGCCACCGGUGAUGGGUUCCCCCUCCGGUAGGGUGCCGGAACGGGCUCCCGAGAGGUUUUUGGUGGCUACAUAGGCUUGCGGCGGCGGAACUACCGAUCUAUCUUGAUAUUCAAUGGGUUUAGGGUACGUAAGCUUAUAUAGGCGAAAGAAGUUGGUCGGGGGGUGCUCGAGGGGUCCACGAGACAGGGGGCCGCGCCUUGUAGUGGGGGGGGGGGCUAUCUCCUGGGCUCCUCGAGGAUCUUAUGACUUGAUCUCCAAGCCUCCAGGAUGAUAUUCUUCCAAAAAAUCAUGAUGCCGAAGGUUUCAUUCCGUUUGGACUCCGUUUGAUAUUCCUUUUCUUCGAAAUACUGAAACUGGCAAUAAAACAACAAUAUGGGAUGGGCCUCCGAUUAGUAGGUUAGUCCCAAAGGUAAUAUAAAAGUGUAUAAUAAAGCCCAUAAUCAUUCAAAAUAGAUAAUAAAAUAGCAUGAAUGCUUGAUAAAUUAUAGAUACGUUGGAGACGUAUCAGCAUCCCCAAGAUUAAUUCCUACUCGUCCUCGAGUAGGUAAAUGAUAAAAGAAAGAAUUUAUGAAGUGUGAAUGCUAGAGGUGCACAAGUUUAAUCAAUGAUAAUUUCAAUUACCUUUUCUAGCAUGAUAAUAUGUCAUAACAGUAGUUCAUCUCAUAAAACUUCUCACGAUAAAGUAACAAGCAAUUCACAUGUCAAAGCAUAGACCAUAAACUUUCUUGAAAGCUAGCAAACUUCAUUCUUAGUCAUCAAAACAAUUGCAAUUCAUCUUACUUUCAGGAAGAGUCUAUGUCAGAGCUUUGAUUUAGCAAACUUCACAUACUCAACUAUCAUAUAGUCUUCUACAAUUGCUAACACUCACACAAUACUUGUGGUUAUGAAGUUUUAAUCAGACACAGAGAAAGAUUGGGGCUUUUAAUGUUGCCUCCAAACGUUUUCACCUUUGGAUGAUGUCAACAAUAAUAGUUCAUGCUAACGUACAUCCAAUUGGAUAUAUAUAUAUAUAUAUAUAUAUAUAUAUAUUUAUAUAUAUAUAUCAGGAUCACCCUAACACAAAGUGCUUACCAAAGGAUAAAAUGAAAAAGGGAAAGGUGAAGAUCACCUUGACUCUUGCAUAAAGUAAAGAUAGGCCCUUCGCAGAGGGAAGCAGAGGUUGUCAUGCGCUUCUAGGGUUGGAUACACAAAAUCUUAAUGCGAAAGAACGUCACUUUAUGUUGCCCCUUGNNNNNNNNNNNNNNNNNNNNNNNNNNNNNNNNNNNNNNNNNNNNNNNNNNNNNNNNNNNNNNNNNNNNNNNNNNNNNNNNNNNNNNNNNNNNNNNNNNNNNNNNNNNNNNNNNNNNNNNNNNNNNNNNNNNNNNNNNNNNNNNNNNNNNNNNNNNNNNNNNNNNNNNNNNNNNNNNNNNNNNNNNNNNNNNNNNNNNNNNNNNNNNNNNNNNNNNNNNNNNNNNNNNNNNNNNNNNNNNNNNNNNNNNNNNNNNNNNNNNNNNNNNNNNNNNNNNNNNNNNNNNNNNNNNAAAGGAUAAAAUGAAAAAGGGAAAUGUGAAGAUCACCUUGACUCUUGCAUAAAGUAAAGAUAAGCCCUUCGCAGAGGGAAGCAGAGGUUGUCAUGCGCUUCUAGGGUUGGAUACACAAAAUCUUAAUGCGAAAGAACGUCACUUUAUAUUGCCCCUUGUAUAUGGACCUUUAUUAUGCAGUCUGUCGCUUUUAUUGCUUCCAUAACAAGUUCGUACAAAGCUUAUUUUCUCCGCACUAAUAAGUCAUGCAUAUUUAGAGAGCAAUUUUUAUUGCUUGCACUGAUGACAACUUACUUGAAGGAUCUUACUCAAUCCAUAGGUAGGUAUGGUGGACUCUCAUGGCAAAACUGGGUUUAAGGAUAUUUGGAAGCACAAGUAGUAUCUCUACUUGGUGCUAGGAAUUUUUGGCUAGCAUGAGGGGGAAAGGCAAGCUCAACAUGUUUGAAUGAUCCAUGACAAUAUACUUUAACUGAGAUGUGAGAAAACAUAACCCAUUACAUUGUCUUCCUUGUACAACAUCAACUCUUUAGCAUGUCAUACUUAAUGAGUGCUCACAAUUAUAAAAGAUGUCUAUGAUAAUAUAUUUAUAUGUGAAAUCUCUCUUCCUUCAAUAUUCUUUCAUGAAUUGUUCAAAUGACUAAUACAAUGCUUGCUAACCAUCAAUAAAUUUACAACCUCUACUUCUUAGAUGUGAAGUCAUUACUCCCCAUGGGAUAAGAAAAUGAAACAUAUAUAAAUUCAGAUUUAUGACAUUCAACUCAUUCAACCAUUUACUCAUAGGAUAUAAGUGAAGCACACGAGUAAAUGAAAAACUACUCCAAAAAGAUAUAAGUGAAGAUCAAUGAGUAGAUAAAUAAUUAUAUAACUAUGUGAAGACUCUCUCUCAUUAAAGAAUUUCACAUCUUGGUAUUGUAUUCAAGCAGCAAGCAAAACAAAAAAAAAAUGACAUUGCAAGGAUAGCACAACUCAUGUGAAGAAGCAAAAACUCAGGCUCAACCGAUACUAACCGAUGACUGUUGAAGAAGAAAGGUGGGAUGCCUACCGGGGCAUACCCAAGCUUAGAUGCUUGAGACUUCUUGAAAUAUUAUCUUGGGGUGCCUUAGGCAUCCCCAAGCUUGAGCUUUUGUGUCUCCUUAAUUGCUCUCAUAACAUGGUUUCUUUUUAUCAAAACCUUCAUUCACAACAAACUCAACAAGAACUCGUGAGAUAGGUUAGUAUAAACCAAUGCAAAACCUUAUCAUUUUAUACUGUAAAAAAUCACUAAAAUUAUUAUUCAACAUUUCAUACUAAAUUCCCCUGCAUAUUUAAUACUCCUAUCCUUAAAUAGGAUCAUUAAACAAGCAAACAUAUGCAAACAAUGCAAACAUAACAGCAAUCUGCCAAAACAGUACAGUCUGCAAAGAAUGCAAGAGUAUCAAUACUUCCCUGACUCCAAAAUUAUUAACUAAAAUUCCCACUGUAAUAAAUUUAUCAGAGCUUAAUAUGCAAAAAGAUUCAACGUUAUACCAUUCUCUGACUUUUCUAGGGAAUUUUUGCAACAGCGGUAAACUUUCUGUUUUCAAACAGCAACAUGUAUACUAGCAAAAUAAGCAUGGCAAAGGCUAUCCUUGACAUUUUUAUUGAAACUAAAGAUGAAAAACAUUACUCUAACUAACAGCAAGCAAAUACUAACAAAAGAAAAUGACGCUCCAAGCAAAACACAUAUCAUGUGGCGAAUAAAAAUAUAGCUCCAAGUAAAGUUACCGAUGAACGAAGACGAAAGAGGGGAUGCCUUCCGGGCAUCCCCAAGCUUAGGCUUUUGGUUAUCCUUGAAUAUCUUGGGGUGCCUUAGGCAUCCCCAAGCUUAGUCUCUUGCCACUCCUUAUUCCAUAGUCCAUCGAAUCCUUACCCAAAACAUGAAAACUUCAACCACAUAAAACUCAAAACAAAAAGCUCCGUUAGUAUAAGAAAAUAAAACCACCACUUAGGUACUGUAAUGAACUCAUUCUAAAUUCAUAUUGGUGUAAUAUCUACUGUAUUCUAACUUCUCUAUGGUUCAUACCUUCCGAUACUACUCAUAGAUUCAUCAAAAUAAGCAAACAACACAUAGAAAACAUAAUCUGUCAAAAACAGAACAGUCUGUAGUAAUCUGUAUCAAACGUAUACCUCUGUAACUCAACAAAUUCUGAAAUAAAUUGCUGGACCUGAGGAAUUUUUCUAUUAAUCAUAUGCAAAAAUAAUCAGCCUAAAAACACUCUCCAGUAAAAAAUGGCAGCUAAUCUCGUGAGCGCUAAAGUUUCUGUUUUCUACAGCAAGAUCACAUAAGCUUCACCCAAGUCUUCCCAAAGGUUCUACUUGGCAUUUUAUUGAAACAAAAGCUAUAAAACAUGAUUACUACAGUAUAAUAAUCAUGUGGACACACAAAAACAGUAAGGAUAAAUAUUGGGUUGUCUCCCAACAAGUGCUUUUCUUUAAUGCCUUUCUAACUAGGCAUGAUGAUGACAAUGAUGCUCACAUAAAAGAUAAGAAUUGAAACAUAAAGAGAGCAUCAUGAAGCAUAUGACUAGCACAUUUAAGACUAACCCUCUUCCUAUUCAUAGGGAUUUUGUGAGCAAACAACUUAGGGGAACAAUAGUCAACAAGCAUAGGAAGAUAAAACAAGCAUAACUUCAAGAUUUUCAACACAUAGAGAGGAAACUUGACAUUAUUGUAAUUCCUACAAGCAUAAGUUCCUCCCUCAUGAUAAUUUUCAGUAGCAUCAUGAAUGAAUUCAAAAAUAUAACCAUCACCUAAAGCAUUCUUUUCAUGAUCUACUAGCAUAGAAAAUUUACUACUCUCCACAUGAGCAAAUUUCUUCUCAUUCGGAAUAGUGAGAGUAUCAUAAAAGACUUGAACACUAAAAAUUGUUUCCACAUUAAAAGAGUAAUGUUCAGAAAAAGGGUAAUCAUAAUCAUGACAAGUUUUAUAAAUAUAAUCAUCACUACUUUUUAUAGCAUAAGUUUUAUCACAAUAAUCAUCAUAAGUAGCAACUUCGUUCUCAUCAUAAUCAAUUGAAACCUCUCCCAAGAUAGUGGAAUCAUCACUAAAUAAAGUUGACACUCUUCCAAAUCCACUUUCAUCAACAUUAUAAGAUUCAACAUCCUCCAAAAUAGUGGGAUCACUACUUUCUAAAGUUGACACUCUUCCAAACCCACUUUCAUCAAUAUAAUUAUCAUAGGUACAAGGCAUGCUAUCAUCAUAUCAACUUUGCAUAUCAAAACUUGGGAGGCUAAAAAUAUCAUCUUCAUUAAACAUAGCAUCCCCAAGCUUGGGACAAACAUUAAUUUCAGCAAAUAUAUUCUCAAAUAUUUCAUACUCAUCAAACAUAGCUUCCCCAAGCUUGGGCCCUUUCAUAUCAUAAGCAUAAUCACUCUCAUCAUUAAAAAUAUGGAUAGCACCAAUAGUAAAGCAAUUAUCACCAUCACAAUGAGUAGUAGGAGCAACAUAAUUUGGGAGGGAUACCUUUCUACCUUUGUUGCUCCUUCUUUUCUUUUUCUUCUUCACAUUAUGUGUAGGUUCAACCUUCCUCUUUGAGCUCCUUAUUGAUGAGAUUGGUUGAAUAGAAAGCUCCUCCUCGUUACCUGAUUCAUCAUAAGAAAUAAUAGGAGGAUAUUGGGAAGUCUCUUCCCUUUCAUUAGUAUUCUCAUCAUCUUCCAUUUGCUUUCUAUUCUUUAGGUAAUUGGCAAUAUAAGGAUUUUCAAUGCAAUUCUCCGCACAAAACAUAUAAAUCUUUUCUAGAUCAAUAUCAAGGAAAUGCUUAAGAUUAAAUUCUGGAAUAGGCUUAGUAAAACGUUUCAACUCUUUAUAACCCAAAAGCAAUCUAAGUUCAUUGUAAUGAGAAAGGGAGAUCAAAUCAUCACAAUUUUUGGACACGAUCCGAUCAUGAAACAAUUUGCAUUGGAGGUGUAAAUGAUCUUGUUUAUUGCAAAAUUCACAACGGGAAAGAUAUCUUAAAUUCUCUGCACUCUUAUCUAGCCUUUCUUGCGACCUAUUAGUUUCUAAAUACUUAUGUUUCUUGCAAUAUAUAUAUCUUCUCUAUUUGGUGUGUUCAUGCAAACAUGCACUCCACAAAAGUUGACAUGCUUAUGAGAGAUAUUUUCAUCAUGACUAGAGCAAUCAUCAUUAGUACUAUGGAUAUUCAAAGAGUUCAUAGUAACAACAAUGCAAUCAUGCUCAUCAUUCAAAGAUUUAGUGUCAAACACUCUAUAGAUUUCUUCUUCUAGCACUUGAGCACAAUUUUCCUUUUCAUCAUACUCACAAAAGAUAUUAAAAAGACAAAGCGUACGAGACAAACUUAACUCCAUUUUUUUUGUAGUUUUCUUUUAUAAACUAAACUAGUGAUAAAAACAAGAAACAAAAAGAUUUUAUUGCAAGAUCUAAAGAUAUACCUUCAAGCGCUAACCUCCCCGGCAACGGCGCCAGAAAAGAGCUUGAUGUCUACUACACAACCUUCUUCUUGUAGACGUUGUUGGGCCUGCAAGUGCACAGGUUUGUAGGACAGUAGCAAAUUUCCCCCAAGUGGAUGACCUAAGGUUUAUCAAUCCGUGGGAGGCGUAGGAUGAAGAUGGUCUCUCUCAAACAACCCUGCAACCAAAUAACAAACAGUCUCUUGUGUCCCCAACACACCCAAUACAAUGGCAAAUUGUAUAGGUGCACUAGUUUGGCGAAGAGAUGGUGAUACAAGUGCAAAAUUGAUAGUAGAUAUAGGUUUUUGUAAUCUGUAAAAACAGCAAGGUAACUAAUGAUAAAAGUGAGCGUAAACGGUAUUGCAAUGAUAGAAAACAAGGCCUAGGGUUCAUACUUUCACUAGUGCAAGUUCUCUCAACAAUAAUAACAUAGAUAGAUCAUAUAACAAGCCCUCAAGAUGCAACAAAGAGUCACUCCAAAGCCACUAAUAGCGGAGAACAAACAUAGAGAUUAUGGUAGGGUACGAAACCACCUCAAAGUUAUUCUUUUGGAUCAAUCUAUUCAAGAGUUCGUACUAGAAUAACACCUUAAGACACAAAUCAACCAAAACCCUAAUGUCACCUAGAUACUCCAUUGUCACCUCAAGUAUCCGUGGGCAUGAUUAUAUGAUAUGCAUCACACAAUCUCAGAUUCAUCCAACCAACACAAAGUACUUCAAAGAGUGCCCCAAAGUUUCUACCGGAGAGUCAAGAACGUGUGCCAACCCCUAUGCAUAGGUUCAUGGGCGGAACCCGCAAGUUGGUCACCAAAACAUACAUCAAGUGGCACAUGAUAUCCCAUUGUCACCAUAGAUAAGCACGACAAGACAUACAUCAAGUGUUCUCAUAAAAGACUCAAUCCGAUAAGAUAACUUCAAAGGGGAAACUCAAUUCAUCACAAGAGAGUAGAGGGGGAGAAACAUCAUAAGAUCCAACUAUAAUAGCAAAGCUCGGGAUACAUCAUGAUCGUGCCAUAGAGGGAACACGAGAGAGAACACGAGAGAGAGAGAUCAAACACAUAGCUACUGGUACAUACCCUCAGCCCUGAGGGUGAACUACUCCCUCCUCGUCAUGGAUAGCGCCGGGAUGAUGAAGAUGGCCACCGGUGAUGGGUUCCCCCCUCUGGCAGGGUGCCGGAACGGGCUCCCGAGAGGUUUUUGGUGGCUACAGAGGCUUGCGGCGGUGGAACUCCUGGUCUAUCUUGAUAUUCAAUGGUUUUAGGGUACAUAGGCUUAUAUAGGCGAAAGAAGUCGGUCAGGGGGUGCUUGAGGGGUCCACGAGACAGGGGGCCGCGCCCUGUAGGGGGGGCGCACCCCCUAUCUCCUGGGCUCCUCGAGGAUCUUCUGACUUGAUCUCCAAGCCUCCAGGAUGAUAUUCUUCCAAAAAAUCAUGAUGCCAAACGUUUCAUUCCGUUUGGACUCCAUUUGAUAUUCCUUUUCUUUGAAAUACUAAAACAGGCAAUAAAAGAUCAAUAUGGGCUAGGCCUCCGGUUAGUAGGUUAGUCCCAAAAGUAAUAUAAAAGUGUGUAAUAAAGCCCAUAAUCAUUCAAAACAGAUAAUAAAAUAGCAUGAAUGCUUCAUAAAUUAUAGAUACGUUGGAGAUGUAUCACGGAUCUACUGGGGCUUGGGCUCCCGCGGCUGGAUCUGGCGAUGGUGGCGGGCGGCGGUGAUCCUCCGGCGGUGGUGCGGGGCGGCGAGGGAGGCGAGCUGGCGGCAGGGUCGAGGCGCGGCAUGGGGCGGAGGUCGAGGCCGGCAAGCUGCUCCGAUGAGGGGAGACGAAAGGAGGAGGGCGACGGGAGCCACGUGGCUCGAGGGCGCACGGGCGCCUGCGGGCUGUGGCGGCGGGUGGCUCGGGCUGAGCAGGCCACGGCUGGGCUUCGGCGGGCCAGGGGCGCGGUGGGAGGAGGCCACGGCAUGGGGCUGCGACGUGGCGUGACGCCACUAGUCAGGAGCGGCGGCUGGCGGCGGGUAGUGGGUGAGGUGCGGCCAAGUGGCAGGGUGGUUGGGCAUAUAAUGCGAGGUCGAGGUGGCCGCUGGGAGGUAGGGGAAGGGCUAGGCUAGGGUUUAGUUCGAAAAUGGAAGGGGGAGGNNNNNNNNNNNNNNNNNNNNNNNNNNNNNNNNNNNNNNNNNNNNNNNNNNNNNNNNNNNNNNNNNNNNNNNNNNNNNNNNNNNNNNNNNNNNNNNNNNNNNNNNNNNNNNNNNNNNNNNNNNNNNNNNNNNNNNNNNNNNNNNNNNNNNNNNNNNNNNNNNNNNNNNNNNNNNNNNNNNNNNNNNNNNNNNNNNNNNNNNNNNNNNNNNNNNNNNNNNNNNNNNNNNNNNNNNNNNNNNNNNNNNNNNNNNNNNNNNNNNNNNNNNNNNNNNNNNNNNNNNNNNNNNNNNNNNNNNNNNNNNNNNNNNNNNNNNNNNNNNNNNNNNNNNNNNNNNNNNNNNNNNNNNNNNNNNNNNNNNNNNNNNNNNNNNNNNNNNNNAGAGAGAGAGAGAGAGAGAGAGAGAGAGAGAGUCCCAACGAUUGUUUCCGGAGACCGAAAAUGUUCGAUGAAUAGAUCGGCUAUAUGCCACUAUAGUUAUCCGUUGGGGCAUCAAACGGACUCCGAAUGCAACAAAAUUUGACAGGCGGUCUACCUACACUAUAAUAAGACCACACGCCAACUUUCAAUCCAUUCCCAGAACAUUUUUAUCCACUUAUAAAAUAAUAUUUUGGAGGUGCCGCGGGCGCGUGCAAGUGUGUCUCUGGGCUCAGAACGGACAACAGAGCGGACUGGGAGUUCGGGCAACUACGAACGGAUGCAAGUUUUGAAAAACAUGCAGAUGAAAUGCACAUGAUGACAUGGCUAAGUGCAACACAGAAAUGAGUGACAUGGCAACGACGGAGAAUAAAUGGAAGACACCUGGAGCAUCAGUCUCGGGGCAUUACAAAAGAUGACAAACAUAGCAUUGGUCAAUGGUGCAAUUCAUGAAAAAGUUAAUAGGGAAGAGAAGAUUCACAUGCAAAUAUACUAUCUUGGACAUCUUUUGCGAUUGUGAGCACCCAUUAAGUAUUUUAUGUCAAACGGUGGAUGUUGGACAAGGAAGACAACGUAAUGAGUUAUGCUUGUUCAUAUUCGCGUAGAAGUUAUAUUGUCAUGGAUCCUCCAACAUGGGGUGCUUUCCCAAUACCUUUGCUAGCCAAAAUUCCGCACUAACUAGAAAUACUACUUGUGCAUCCAAAAGUCCUAAACCAAAUGCAUACCAUGAGAGUCCACCAUACCUACCUAUGGAUUGAGUAAGAUCCUUCAAGUAAGUUGUCAUCGGUGCAAUAAAGCAAUAAAAAUUGCUCCUAAAUAUGUAUGAUCUUCUAUUGUAAGGGAAAAUAAGCGUGGUACGAACUUGUGAUGGCAAAGAAUAAAAGCGACAAACUACAUAAUAAAGGUUGCUAUUAUAAGGGACAAUAUCACGUGACGUUCCUUUGCAUUAAGAGUUAGUGCAUCCAAAACUAAAAGCGUAUGACAACCUCUGCUUCCCUCUGCGAAGGGCCUAUCUUUUACUUUUAUGAAUUUACUUUUAUGCAAAGAGUCAAAGUUAUUCCCUCUAUUCCUUUUUUAUUUUACUCUUUGGCAAGCAUCAUGUGGUGGGGAAAGAUCUUGGCACAUAUAUCCAGUUGAAUGCGGGUGAGCAUGAGUUAUUAUUGUUGACAUCACCCUUGAGGUGAAUAAGUUGGGAGGCAAACCCUUAAGCCCCUAUCUUUGUAUGUGUCUGGAUGAAACUUGAUGCUCCAUAUGUAUGGUGUGAGUGUUAGCAAUCAUGAAAGACUAAAUGAUAGUUGAGUAUGUGGACUUGCCAAAAGGCUCCUACAUGUGACCCUUCCUGAAAGUACAAUGAAUUGCAAUUGCAUUGUUGACUGAGAAUAUAGUUUGUUAGUUUUCAAAAAAGUUUAUGCUUCAUACUUCAAUAUUAUGGUGAAUUGUUGCUUGCUCAUGAGAAGCUUAUGAUAGUACUUAUUGCUGCUACAAUAUUGUUCAUGAUGCUUCUAUGUCCGUAUUUUAUUUCUACUGACACCUCUCUCUCUAAGCAUGGGGUCAUGUUUUUCGAUUUAGGCUUCCGCUUGACGACAAGUGAGGUCUAAACUUGGGGGAGUUGAUACAUCCAUUUUGCAUCACGUUUUCCUACUGUUAUUUAUGAAGUUUUUGAUCAAUAUAACACUUCAUGGAGUAUUUCUAAUGCCCUUUCUCUCUUAAUAUGAAGGUUUACACAGAGGGAGAAUACCGGCAGCUAGAUUUCAGGGCCUGAAAAAGCUACAACAGAGAUACAUAUUCUGCACAUCUCCAAAUGGGCUGAAAUUCAAUGAAGAUUUAUUAUAGAAUAUAUAGAAAAAUAUUGGGCCAAAAAGUUACCAGAGGAGAGCCACCAGGUGCCCACAUGGCACUUGGGUGCCCCGGUGCGCCCCAAGUGCCAUGUGGGGCCCCUGGCCCAUCUCCGACUCCCUCCUUCUGGUAUAUAAGUCAUUUUACCCUAAAAAUUUUAUGAGGAGACUUUCGGACGAGGCGCCGCCACCACGAGGCGGAACUAGAGCAGGGGCAUUUUUGCUCUCCGGCGGGCAGAUUCCGCCUGGGGCACUUCCCUCCGGGAGGGCAAAAUCGAAGCCUUCGUCAUCACCAACAACCCUCUCAUCAUGGGAGGACCAAUCCUCCUCAUCAUCAUCAACAACACCAUCUCAUCUCAAACCCUAGUUCAUCUCUUGUAUUCAGUCUUCGUAUCAAAACUAUAGAUUGUUACCUGUGGGUUGCGAGUAGUGUUGAUUACUUAUCGUAGUUGAUGCUAGUUGGUUUGCUUUGUGAAUUACUAAAUGUUCAGAUCCUUUAUGUUAUUCAAUACCCCUCUGAUCUUAAAACUUCAUGAUGAUGAGUGAGUAGUUACUUUUGUUCUUGAGGACAUGGGAGAAAUCUUGUCAUAAGUAAUCAUGUGAACUUGGUAUUCUUUCGGUAUUUUGAUAAUAUGUAUGUUGUUAUUCUCUUAGUGAUGUCAUGUGAACGUCGACUACAUGACACUUUACCAUUUAUGGGCCUAAGGGAAUGCAUUGUGGAAUAGUAAAUAGAUGAUGGGUUGUUAGAGUGACAGAAGCUUAAACCCCAGUUUCUGAGCUAUUCCAUAAGGGGCUGAUUUGGAUCCACACAUUUAAUGCUAUGGUUAGACUUUGUCGUAACUCUUUUUUCGUAGUUGCGGAUGCUUGCUAGAGGGGGUAAUCAUAAGUGGGAGGCUUGUUCAAGUAAGAACAUCACCCAAGCAUCGGCCCACCCACAUAUCAAAUCAUCAAAGUAACGAACUCGAAUCAAACAAACUGGUGAAAGUGACUAGAUGAAAUUCCUGUGUGUCUUCAAGAAAGUUUGCAUCAUUAUAAGUACUCGUUCAGGCCUGUCCUUUGGACUCAAAAGGAUUGAGCUAUCUUGCUGCACUUUAUUUACACUUGUUACCCGUUACAAAUUAUCUUGUUAUCAAGCUAUCUGUCAUCAUUUAUUUCAGUGCUUGCAGGAAUUACCUUACCGAAAACCGCUUGUCAUUUUCUUCUGCUCCUCGUUGGGUUCGACACUCUUAGUUUUCGAAAGGACUACGAUUGACCCCCUAUACUUGUGGUUCAUCAGCGGUGUACAGAGGUAAAUGUCCAGGAGUCUACGAUUUAUGGUCUAAAUGCAAUGAACAAGUGCUUCGCUACGAAGGCAGCUCCCAAGACUCAUUCAAUAGCAGAGAGAAGGCAGAAAAUCAUUACAAUCAGUAUGUGCUUAAGCAGAAGAGAAAAUCUGAAUUAAUGGGUUCAGUGGAUGUGCUAGCCAGAAACGGCUUAUCGGGUUCAGCGGAUGGAAGAACAUGAUAGUUCUUCUUCAGUUUGUGAUAAUUGUGGUAUUGCUUUUAUUAUGUGGUCGCAUGUAGACAUGUAUUGACCACUUUAUUGUUUAGUAAGUAGGAACUUAUACUAAAGAGGUUCCUUGUCAUUUCAAAUAAAGUUUGUGUGAACUAUUUUAUACUAGUAAAUUGCACGUGCUUUGCACGUUUGUCCACAACAAAGCGGGAUAAUAGCGUAAGGUUAACCGACAACUAAUUAGGUGAGUGCAACUUCAGUUUUUUGGAAAAAGUACAAUUUGAGUUUAAAAUAGAAACAAUUAUUGUCAUUUGAAAAUCUAAAGAAAUGACUUAAGUUAUAAUCCAGAUUCUUUUGUCAAAGUCCUUUUUUUUGCACAUGAAUUGAGUUAAUUUUAUUUAUUUGUUGGGUUAGUAUCGAGUCAAGUUAAGGUUAUAUCGUGCAAAUGAGGCGCCCCCUAAUGUUUUUCUUUAUUUCAUUUGACGAUGGAAUAAGCUGUUUGACAUUGCUUUUUAGGUUUAAAUUACUGAUGUUGAUCACCCGUGCAUGUACGUAUUUAAUUUUCAAUGCGCUAUAUUGGUCUAUGGGCCCAAAUUAGUGACAAAGUUUGGCCUUGAACUAAAGGAGCUACUCGGUGAUGAUUAAGAAGGCGCCAUUUUUACACUAUUUGACCAUUCACAACCUAUUUGACCAUAGGAUCUUCUUUCUUUUGCUAGGAGUCAUCCCGAUGUUUCUCAUCUCAUGGUAGUUCUCGGUUUCUAGUACUGUGCUACAGGCAAUUAACCUUCUAUAUUCUGUCAUCAGAUGAUCCCGAUGCGAUGUCUCUGCGCCUGCGCGAGCAGCAACAGAAACCAGGGUCAACAACGAUAAUACCACCAACUAUGUUCUACUCUAUUUUGCCUUGGAGACUGACGAAUGCGUAGGAUUUUAUGGCAACCAGUACGCGGCGGCCGGCGGGAGACCAGCAAAAGCAGCGUGGGAAAGUGGCGGGGCAUGCAUGGUUGGCGUCGGCGACAGGGAUAUAGGGGUAUAGAUAUGGAUAAUGGUUAUGUGAGUUUGUUGUUAGACAUUGUCACUUGAAAUGCAUGUUUGUAUAUUGUAUAUCUAUUUUUGCGGCAGGGAUCCGAGGGAAAAAAAGUAGAAAGUGGUCUGGGAACGGAUCUUUACCGAGCGGGACUCUCGACAAAGUGGCAUGCGCUGGCAGUUGGCUGUGGCAGUUUUGCCGAGAGCCGCUCUCGGCAAAGAGCUGAUGGAACCAGCCGACGUGAAGUCACUUUAUUUUGCCGAGCGGUACAGUUUGCCUCUCACCAAACUUUUUGCUGAGUGCCUAUGUCCUGGGUCUUGGCAAAUUUCUGUUUGCCUGAGAGGUGGACGUCGGGUGGCCUUUGCCGAGUGCAACUCUCGGCAAAGGCGUUGCCAGCGGUUAUUGGUCCUUUGCCGAGUGUCCGUGGCACUCGACGUAUAUACCGAUUUCAGUAGUGUUUUUUUAUGCGACUGUAGAUUCUGACAUUUUGUUUUUGCCACUCUUAAUUUUUGACAAUUAUCAAAUUGCCAUUCCGUGGCAAAAGCAAUAUUUUUAGUGCCCAACACACAUAUCUUGUUUUUUUAGAUCCACACAGAUAUUUAGGCCUGCAAGUAUUUCGGCCAACCCAAGCCCAACCGCACCGCUCACACCCUACCCUAGUUUCUCCAGCCGCCGCCUCUCCCCUCUCGGUCCAUCCCCAAAUCCCCAAAUCGAAGCCAAAUCGGCGACGAGGACGACGGCAUGGGUUGCGCGGCCAUGAAGGAGGAGGAAGGCGGCUGCAGCAGCGAGAAGCGGCGGGCGGAAUGGGCGUCGCUUCAGCCGGACCUCGUCCAGCUCAUCGCCGACUGCAUCCUCUCCACCAGCGGCGUCGAGGAGUACAUGGACAUGAGGGCCGUCUGCCCCAGCUGGCGCUCUGCCUUCUCCAAGCCAUCUCCUCACGCCGCGGUCGCGGAUCUCCGUUUCAGGCCACGGCAGUGGGUCUUGGUUGACCGAGCAGACGACGACCAAGGCCGGCCCCUCUUCCUCAACGUCACCACAGGGCGCUUCCGCCGCCUGCACCGCCCCGUGCUCCGUGACUACAUCUUCGUCGGUGCAUCCGACGGCCUUCUCGUCCUCGGGGACAGGGAGCGCCCGCAUGCCGCUCGUCUCUUCAACCCAUUGACUGGUGACGUGUUUCCCUUUGCGGCGUCCAUACCUCCGGAACCUCGGGUGCACACUGCAAUCGCUGGCUCGGAACCAACGAUUAUCUUCUCGUUCGCACCGUGCCACGGAGAAUACCAAGAUAUCCCAGAUUAUUGUUCUGUUGCCCACAGGCCACGGUGUCACGCUGUUUACUCUGCUAAUCCCACAGGCCAGCUCCGCCCGGUGAAGUUUCAUGAUGCUGCUUUAAGCGACGAAGGCUUGUUCUACCUCAGGAGCAUGGUCACCUAUGCAGGCAAUGUUUACGUGCUCAGUACUGGAGGUAUUUUGUGCAAGAUCGUUCGGACCGGUGGCCACUGGUAUGCGGAGCGGUUACUGGAGAUUGACAUGCACUACACUGGUGGUCUCAUGGAAGCGGUCGGUAAACUGCUGCUUGUUAAAGAGGAAUCUGAAACGAUUCAAGUUUUCAACGUGGAUGUUAAGCGGGAGGUACUUGAACCAAGCGAAAGUAUCGGCAGCAGUGCGCUCUUUCUAAAUCACGGCAACUGCAUUGUUGUUGACGCAGAUAAGCUUCCUUCCAUCGAGCGCAACUGCAUCUACAGCACUUUCAUUGAUAGGAUAUACGUCUCGUAUGACCUCAGUGAUGGCAAGAAAAAAUGCAUCGCCAGCCUCCAUGUGCCGGGAGGCCUCGCUGAUGAUAUCAUUCAGAAGGCCCUUUGAGCCUUGCUCAGGUUCUCCUCACUCCGUAUCCAGAAGUUAAAGAUCAACUUGAUCGUAUCCUGCAUGAGAAAAAACUGAAUUACCUUGCAAGUGUUUUUCUUUCUCGUUGGACAGAACGGCGGAAUGCCAAGAUUGGUUGUUUGCUGGGCACAAGCUGAGGAUGCUCUAAGCAAGAGCUACAGCUGGGUGCCUGGGUUGAUUUUUGCACAUUUGCACCUGGAGAAUUGCUGAAGACUUGGUGCCAUUCUAUUUGUUUUGUCUCUUUAUCCAGUGGUGUAGUUCCUGUGCUUUUUUAGUUGGAUACUUCAGCUUUGUAAUGUAUCUGGUGCUGUUUCUGUCGAGUACUCCCUCCGUUUCUAAAUAUAAGACCUUUUAGAGAUUUCAAUAUGGACUACAUACGGAUGUAUAUAGACGCAUUUCAAAAUGUAGAUUCACUCAUUAUACUCCGUAUGUAGUCGGUAUUGAAAUCUCUAAAAGAUUAUAGUGUAGUUUUUGAUGUUCCGAGGUAUGUCAUUAACCUGGCUCCACCCUUGGUUUGUCCCAGACAUCUUGUACUGAUCUUUUUUGUGAGGGAAUGAAAUCGGUAGCUGUGCUCCUUAUAAUCCUGCCAUCAACAGCAUUUCCUGCCUUUUGGUGGCGCAGGGGUUCGAGCUCUAUCCCGUUGGAGAUGAACACCUCCUUUCCUCAGCCGUCGACUCCCCUGCCAAGAUUUGGGGUUAAAUUUCUUGGGUUUUGGUUGUUGUUUGGUUCACAGAACACAUUUUUAAGUUGAUUGUUUUUUGUGUCUAGAAAUAGAGUAGCACUCUAGUCUGUGUUGGAUGGAAUGUUUUUGCUGCUGAAUGGCUUAACGAUGGUUAAAUGGGUACCUGAAUUAUAUCUGCAGUAACUAUUAUGCAGAGAUAUAGGCCAUAAUAUAUAACCCAAUAGAAAAUAGUUCUCUCUUUUUUCAUAACUAAACUAAUUGAUAGGUCUCUCUUUGCAUAUAUCCUCACAGCGUCAUAGCGUGCCAGUUGUCAUCAGUUCAUGAUUAGAGGCUCAGUACUUUGGUGGGCAAGCUGAAGACCGUCCUCAGUUGUCAUGAACACGAUGUACAAUAUGUGUCUCAUGUAUUAUAUAUUCCACGCAUUGCAUGGUUGAACCUAUGAGGGACCGGCCGCAGCCGCUGCGUCUGUGUCUUUCACAUCGCUCUAUGGGUGCAUAGAAUACAAGGAGAGGCAAGCGUUUGGAGAUCAAAACUCAGAUAGCGGACUGUUUCAGAGUGUGUAAGCAACUGUACUGCCGGAAUUGACAACGAAUUUGGCCAGUGCCCAGUUGUUUGCCGAGUUCACGACAGAAGGACGUGGUCUUGAUGAUUUCUUUCUCCUUCUAUAUGUACUUUCCUGUGGAUCUCUGAUUGCAGGGAGCCAAUCGAGUAGGGUCCUUCCACUCCCUUGAGGUCCCUGCCAAUGGUGCGAGCGGCAGCCAUCAUUGUCCAGCAUGUAUAUCGUUGGCGCUGUCUAGGUAUCCUCACCUCCCAAUACUCAUUCUCAGCAGUCAGUGUUUGCUUCUGGUGAUCUUCAAAUAAUUGGGUUUAAGUUGUGUCUUUAUUGAUUAUUCCGAAUUAACCGGACUAUGUAGAUUAUUGAGAUGCUGGAUUUGAGAUUAUUAUGAGAUACUGAUUUAAUAUUAGAGGACAUUCAUAGUGGGCACCUGCAGGGCAACCAUGCUUGGCGACGUUCGAUCGGUCGGCGUCACCGCGAGUGUGCGAUCAUGAUGCAAGAGUGAUGCCAUUCAAACAGACAUCUGCAGUGGCGCGCAACGGCAUCAUGCUGUAGGCCAUCCUAUUAAAUUAACUGUUUGUGUAGUGUGUAUAGGACUGCACACGUUCCCGCCGAGCUUUUGAAGUAUGAAAAUUAACUAAAACUCAACGUGUAUGUGGAUUCAACCAACGAUGUCUUCAUUGAGUGCUCUAAGAAGUGAUCGAGGUCACUGUCCUGAAGUAGAAGAAGCAGCAUGACAAGUCAGCUUGGUGACAAGGUGUAGCAAGCACAAUAUAAUACAACAUGUGUCUUGCCCUCAAACCUCAAUACACCAGAUUUUUCUUAGUCCCAGCCAGAUGCAUGGGCACAACAAAGAGAAAUAUGAUGUGAUGCAUGGUCUUCAAAAACGAGAAAUCAAAAACCUUCAGCCAAUUGAUUUAUUGUCCUUUGAUAGAUAAUUCAAUUUCUAUUUACUAGCAAAAGGGCCCGUGCGUUGCAACUGGAGAAAAGAAUACCACACGCUCUUAAUUUACAAAAAAUGGUCUAUAAUCUGAGUAUUUGUAGGUACGAUCCAAACAAAGAUGAUCUUUGCCUGCAAAAGCGUAAGUUCAAGAUUUCACAUGUCUUCUAUUUAAACACAACUUGCAUGUAGAUUUAAUACGUACACAAAAAACAGGCGAGUGAUAUUCAAUUUCGUCUCUAGUCCUGAUUUUGCUGAGAUGUUCAUCACAAUCCGGAUCAGUACCGAUAUGAAAGAAAGACGGAUAAUGCAUUGUUGGUUAAGGUUGCACCCUAUAUAAUAUGAAAGAAAGACGGAUAAAUUAUUAACAUGUAAAAUAACAUCAUAUUCAGAUUCUAUAUAUUUUUCUAAUCAAAUUCCAUAUAUAACAUGUUAAAUUUGAAGUUACAGUUUAAAAGAUAUGAGUAUUUUAAAAAACAUUAGAUAUGUACUGCGGGUUAAUGUCAAAAACAUUAGGGGAUUUUCUAUAAAAUAGCGUGACGGACUAAGAAUACCUAUUUCUUUUAUUAUUUCUAAUAUAUAUAUAUGUGUAGCUAAUUUUUGUUGUAUUAUUUACUUUGGAGAGUUAGCAUGUUUGUCUAGAUCUAUCUCUUCCACCUUGUGAGACUAAGAAAGGAAAUCAGGUGGAAGUUGGAGCAUGUCUAGACUCUACAUGGUGCCGGAAUGCAGUAGCGGCCGAAGAAUAAUGAUUAGGAAAAUAUACAUAAUUGUGUUUCUCCCGUUGUCAUUCCAGUGUAGAUUAAAAGAACACAAUUGUGAUCAGUAACACUAAAUAUACAUAAUAGUUUUGGUUCGUAGACAAUCACAAGAACACAAUAAUUUUAAACAUACGUGUGUUUAUUCCUUCCUUUGUGUGCCUGUAUUUUUCUUUAUCAGUAGCGGCUGGAGAAUAAUGAUUAGGAAAAAGGGGGAUCGGAGGAGAUAAUCAUUGGAUCCCCAACUAACAUCCCAAGCUGUUAAGUUAAGUUUUUAUUCUAUUUAUGUAGAUGCUUAAUUAAUAUCAGCAAAAGUUGAUACCCAGCUUCUUGGGAGAAGUAGUAAUUUGUGUGUUCUUUCAGUUUUACCCACACCCAUGAGAAAUUUGAUCUAGAACAUACAGUGAUUUACUGAUCUAUAUGUUCUUGAUUGAUUGGACAUGACAAGGAAAUAAAAGUUCACAAGAUAUAGAAGAGUUUCAUAGCUAUCUAUUCCUAGAUAUUACUGGAAAAGUGCAAAGUAGGGCAUUGUCAUUUAAUAUGUGUAAUAUUUGUCUCCUCAGAUGGAACUCAUCACUGAAUCUGCUAAUCAGAUCAAUUAGGACCAUUGGGGGAUGAGUUAAAAUCUUUUUUUAUAGUUUUACAACAAAAGGUUUAGCUAAAGCUAGCAAGGAGUUCUGAAACAUGAAUGUUCUGCUUCUCUUCUGUAGUUCUAUCUAUGUCAUCGUAAAUUCUCAUUUUUUACAAUUUCGUGACAACCACUUUAUAUAAAGCCACCUGUAGGUAUGGUGAAACCUGAAAGUUUCUUUUAUACCCCUUCCUACAAUAUACGGUUAUUUUCUCAUAGAUGUUGCUUCUUAUGUAAUACUAACAUGUAUUGUGAGAGUGUUCAUGUGUUAAAUUCUUGAAUUCAUGACUGCUUUCCUUAUGGUUUACUAGCUUGACUUAAAAUAAGUAGAUGGUGCUACAAUUUCACCCUUGUCAUUCCAGUGUAGAUUAAAAGAACACAAUUGUGAUCAGUAACACUAAAUAUACAUAAUAGUUGGUUCGUAGACAAUCACAAGAAUUUGUAUAUGGAAAAAUACAAAAGCAUCUACAAAUGCAAGUCAAACCACGACCUAGCAUUCAAUCAAGAGAAUGGCCCUAUCUAAUUCAUUGCUAUGGGCAACUAACUCGAAAAUAGCAUGUGUACAUGCAGCUCCCCCUAAUUCUUCUUUUUGUUGCUUCGAGGAGAAAGGGAUCUUUUCAUAGAAAACUUUAAAAUAAGUGAAUAGAAAAACAAUUUCCAUGGUAUGAUAACGUACGACAUGAUAUCUUUACUAUUUUUUUUCCAAUUAUUAUCUUCAUAUUCACAGGUAUUUGUGUGAUUGUUAUGUCAACACAAGUUUAGAAUUAUCUUUCCCCAACUUCUCUAUUACAUCCUAGAAUUUCAAAUUCGAACCUAAUCUUACAUAUUUUGCCACAUUCUUGUCUCUCAUCAUGCAUAAAAUCUAAUCUUUAAUCUUCCUAGGAUAUCAUUUCCUUAAUUGUUCUAUCUUGUAUUGCCUUGAUAUUUUCGACACAACCAAUUUGAAUGUUUUCACGACAGUGCAUGUUGCCACUUUCUUAUUCGUUGCCUCUUUUCUUUUUUGGAGUUGUGCAAUACUGUUCCAAUAUCUAUUUCACGAAAUUAAAGAGGCUUUAGAAAACUAUUUUCUUGUGUGCUUUUGUAGAUGUAUUUUGUGUGUGUGCUUUCCCAUGUUUCUUAUUCGUUGCCUUCCAUGAUAAGAGCAUCUACAACCAUAAGCACCAAAAUUCUCCCCCAAAACGCCUGUGGACGCCCGAGCACGUCUGCAGACAGUGACCCGGCGGCACAAAAAUUGCCGGAUAUAUCCAUGUACCUCCAACUUCAUUCCUCAAUCCAUACAAGUCAUGCAGAUUAAAAAUCUAUGUACUACAUAGAGGUAUCCUAUCUACUCAUCAUCGGAGAUGUCCACUAUCUUCGUGGCUGGCUCCGGGUAGAUGGGCAGCCGCGGCAGCUCCAGCUCGUCGUCGGACGUACUAGAGGCGAAGAGCCCGUCGAUCUCCGCCCUUUGCUACUGGAUGAAGCACCGAUUGUCCUCCACAAAGGCCUCAUCCUGGAUGGACUCGAGAAUGGCAGUAUGCUCUGCCAUCUCAUCCGCCAAGGCCUGCUCCAUGCCGAAGCCCGCAGUCGGCUCCGCCGUGUCAUCCUCCUACGGCUUCGCCGCCGCCUCCUCCUCCUCCUACGGAUCCGUCGCUUCCGUGGGCAUGGGGUCUUGCUCCGCCUCCGGCUGUUAUCCCCCCUCCUCUUCCUCCCCCGGCUAUGGCGGAUUCGAAUGCAGGCUGGUAGCGACACGAGCAGCGCGCCUGACCCGGAUCUGCUCCUCGAGUUGCAACCGGCGUUCCAACGUCAACAUGGCAUAUGUGGCGAUCCUCUGCUAGGCCAUGGGAAGAGACUACGACGAGCGGAUGGAAGCUGGCGGCACGGGUGGGAGGGAGAGGGAGGAAUGGGGAUGGGCUAGGGCUUGGCUGCCGCCGUCCGGCUUAAGUAGGCGGACUUGCUCCCUAGGGCGGCAUGCCGGAGCGGUGUCAUGUGGUGCCAAGAAUGCAUCCGCACCGAGAACCGGAGUAGGCAGUCGUUGGACCACCAGUCUCUGCGUGUGACCGUGUGGGCCCUUGCGGUCAGUCUGACGCGGUGGCCAUGUCCGGGCGUCCCAUAUCCACUUAGAUUUUUUUUGAGAAACAUAUCCGCCUCAGAUAUGGGGGUCAGUCUGGGCCUUUGGGCCGAAUAUAUGUUCAACGGGUCCAAUCCCAAUCUGUAACAAUCAGUAACACAUAUUUUUUAUUUUAGAUCCACACACACAUUUCUACCAGCCCAAGCCCAAGCGCACCACUCACACCCUACCCUAGGCCCUAGCUUCUCUCCAGCCGCCGCCCCUAUCCUCUCGGUCCGUCCUUUCUCCCCCAAAUCCAAAGAUCCUAACUCGAACCCAAACCCUAAGCAUCGACGAGAUGUUUGUCGAGGACGACGACAUCAGUGGUGCGGCCAUGAAGGAGGAGGAGGGCGGCUGCAGCAGUGAGAAACGGCGUCGCUUCAGCCGGACCUCGUCCAAAGCAUCGCCUACUGCGUCCUGUCCACCAGCGGCGUCGACGAGUACAUGGGCAUGAGGGCCGCCUGCCCCAGCUGGCGCUCUUCCGUCGCAAAGCCAUCUCCGCAAGCCGCGGUCGCGGACCUUCGUUUCCGCCCACGGUAGUGAGUCUUGCUCAACGGGGCAGACGACGACGAAGGCCGACCCCUCUUCGUCAACGUCACCACAGGGCGCUUCCGCUGGCUGCGCCUCCCGGUGCUGCGUGAGCAGCGUGACUACAUUUUCGUUGGUGCAUCCGCAUGCCGCUCGUCUGCUCAACCCAUUGACUGGUCACGUGCUUCCCUUUGCAGCGUCGAUCCGUCCGGAUGAGACGGCAGUCGCUGGGACUGAACCAACCAUCAUCUUCUCUUUCCCACCGGUCUACUUCUCCGUGAGGUGCCAUUGGAGCGAACCGACGGUGACGCGGUUUACUCUGCUGAUCCCACAGGCCAGCUCCGUCCUGUGAUGCAUUUAUAGCACUGUUGCUGGAAACAAAUUUGAUAGCAUGUACGUUUUUAUAGAAAAGGGGGGCUCCCGGCCUCUGCAUUAGAACGAUGCAUAUGGCCAUAUUUAUAAAUAAAUAGGUUCGACAAUAUCUCAAAGUCUGGAAAUGGAAAUAAAGGUGAGCUCACAUAGAGCCUCAACGCAAACAGACAAAAAGCCACAUAGCCACAACCGGCUGGCAGUAUAAAGACAGGAGAACUAAUCGCCUAUCCUAUUACAUGACCGCCAUCGAAACCGGUUGAAGAUAUCCCGUGCAACCAUCUUCCACCGGACAGAUCCUGUAACCAAACGCUCCCUGGCCGCCAUCGGAGUGAGUAAGGACCACAAACGGAUCAGCGCCGUGGCACGGAAUAAAACCCGCAAAAAAUGAAUAGUUGUUGUUCUGUUAAAAGCCAAAUCAUUCCUGCAGUUCUAAAUUGCCCAUAACAACGCACAUACUCCUACACGAAUGUGUCCAGCUGUAUCGGACUCUAUCCCAGCAAGCCAUGUUCCAAACAACGAACCUACCGAGUCCGGAGGAGUAAUGUUAAAGGCUAUUUGCACAGUACGCCACAAGACUCUCGCCAAUAGGCACUCGAAGAAGAGGUGCUUAAUGGUCUCGUCCCGAUCACAGAAGCUACACCUAGUAGAGUCUGUCCAAUUGCGCUUAACCAAGUUGUCCUUUGUUAAAAUGGCUUGUGUAUGUACAAACCACAUAAACACUUUAAUCUUCAAAGGAGCUUUAACUUUCCAAACAUGCUUGGAACUAGGAAUGACACUAGAGUUAAUUACAUCGAUAUACAUUGACUUAACCGUAAACACUCCAGACCUAGUAAGUUUCCAACACAAUUGAUCGGGCUGAUGAGCUAACUGAACCUCCAUCAGUCUAGUCACCAAAUGAAGCCAAGCUUCCCACCUAUCACCAAUAAGCACCCUCCGAAAUUGGAUAUUAAGGGGUACGGACUGCAUAAUCGUUGCAACCAACGCGUCCCGUCGUUGAACAAUACGAUACAGGGACGGGUACUGGAACGCCAAUGGCGUAUCACCAAGCCAAGUAUCCUCCCAGAAACGGGUAUUGUUACCAUUACCGACGAUAAACUUUGUCCUAUUAAAGAAGGCAGCCUUAACUCUCAUAAGUCCCUUCCAAAACGGCGAGUCCGUUUGUCUCACGGUCACCUGUGACAAAGUCUUGGACUGCAGAUACUUGUUACGAAGAAUCUGUGCCCACGUUGUGUCUGUCUCAACAGAUAACUUAUACAACCACUUACUGAGAAGACAUCUGUUCUUGACCUCAAGAUUCUCAACACCCAGACCCCCUUGGUCCUUUGGUCGACAGAUGACAUCCCAUUUGGCUAGUCGGUACUUUCUCUUAAGAUCAUCACUCUGCCAAAAAAAUCUUGAUCGGUAAAAGUCCAGCCUUUUCCGAACCCCGACUAGAACUUGGAAGAAUGGUAGAAGGAACAUCGGCAUACUCGUGAGCACCGAAUUGAUAAGAAUCAGUCGACCUCCAUAAGACAUGAGUUUGCCCUUCCAGCAACUGAGUUUUUUCUCAAAUCGGUCCUCGAUGCACUUCCACUCUCUGGUUGUUAGCUUACGAUGGUGAAUAGGUAUACCUAGAUACGUAAAAGGUGAAGCCCUAAUUCACAUCCAAACAAUUGCCAAUAAGCCUCUUGUUCCUCCUUGGCUCUACCAAAGCAGAACAACUCGCUUUUGUGAAAGUUAAUCUUUAAUCCGGACAAUUGUUCAAAUAAGCAUAGCCCCAGCUUCAUAUUUCUCGCUUUUACCAAGUCAUGCUCCAUCAAGAUGAUUGUAUCUUCAGCGUACUGCAGAAUGGAGACACCCCCAUCAACCAGAUGAGGCACCAAGCCACCCACCAGAUCGGCCUCCUUUGCCCUUCCUAUAAGAAUUGCCAACAUGUCCGCCACAAUGUUGAACAAAAUAGGAGACAUCGGAUCACCUUGCCUCAGGCCUUUGUGUGUCUGGAAAUAAUGACCUAUAUCGUCAUUCACUUUAAUUCCAACACUACCUUUUUGCAUGAAGGAUUCUACCUGACGUCGCCAAGCUUCAUCAAAUCCCUUCAUAUGUAAGGCCUGUUGAAGGAAGGGCCAUUUGACUUUGUCAUACCCUUUCUCGAAAUCCACUUUAAAAAUAACCCCAUCCAGUUUUUUCGUGUGGAUCUCAUGGAGCGUUUCAUGAAAGACCACAACCCCUUCAAGAAUGUUCCUGUCCGGCAUGAAAGCAGUUUGUGUAGGCUGUACCACAUCAUGCGCAAUCUGUGUGAGCCUAUUAGUCCCAACCUUGGUAAAGAUUUUGAAACUAACAUUCAGAAGACAGAGGGGCCUGAAUUGCUCAAUUCUCACGGCCUCUGUUUUCUUAGGAAGAAGGGUUAUCGUACCAAAAUUUAGCUGAAAAAGCUGAAGCUGUCCAGAGAAGAGAUUAUUAAACAGAGGCAAUAGAUCCCCCUUAAUAAUAUGCCAGCACUUUUUAUAAAACUCCGCUGGAAAACCAUCAGGGCCCCGCGCCUUGUCAUUUUUCAUUUGCGAUAUGGCCUCGAACACCUCUUUCUCUGAAAAAGGAGUCGCGAGAAUAUCAUUCUCCACCGCUGUGAGUUGAGGAACAUCCUCAACCCUGGACUCAUCCAAGGACACGUAGUUAUCCUCAGGAGGACCAAACAGCUGCUUGUAAUACUCAGUAAUAUACUGCUUAAGGUUUUCAUGUCCUACAAUUGUUCCUUCAUCUUGCUCAAGCUGAAAGAUCCUCUUCUUUCUAUGUUUACCAUUAGCAAUCAUGUGAAAGAAUUGAGUGUUCGCAUCCCCCUGGACAAACCGUCGGACCUUGGCCCACAACGCCCACUUCAAUUCCUCUUACCGAAGAAGUUCUUUCAGCCUCAUCUCCGCAUCAAGCUUGGCAUGCAGCUCCGUGGCCGGCAGUACCGUGGUUUCAGCUUUCACAUCUAGGGCAUGAAUAAGGGAAAGGAGCCUUUCCUUUUCGACCUUAUAAAUCCCGCUAAGAUGCUUAGCCCAACCACGCAGGAAGCUUCUCAAAUGCCUAAUCUUAUUCUGUCAGCGCUGAAGCGCAGUCUUCCCUCCUGAAUCCUUAGCCCACUCUCUGGCUACAAGAUCAAAGAAACCUUCUCGUUCGAACUAAGCCAGCUCAAACGAGAAGGAGUUUUUAUUACCCAGGUGGGUGGCCUCACCGGAGUCGACAAACAAUGGCGUGUGGUCAGAAAUCCCAUGGGACAAAGCUGAACUGUUACUAGAGGAAACUUCUGUUCCCACUUGACGCUUGCCAACACUCGAUCCAACUUCUCAUACGUCGGAUUUGGCAUCGCGUUAGCCUAGGUGAAUUUCCUACCCGAGAGCUCAAUUUCUCUCAGGUCAAGACUUUCAAUGAUAAUAUUAAACAUGAAUGACCAUCUACCAUCAAAGUUAUCAUUGUUCUUAUCCUCACGCCGUCUAAUGAUAUUGGAAUCACCCCCACCAGGAUAGGAAGCUGCUCAGAGCCGCAAAUCCUAACGAGAUCAGCCAAGAACUCGGGCUUGAGUUCGGGUCGCGCAGCCCCAUACACUGCAACCAGAGCCCAAUUAAAUCCAUCAUCCUUCGAUCGAACCCGAAACUUGACCGCAAAGUCACCCAUAACCACACUUCGAACCUCGAGCGCCUCGCAUCAAAUGCCGAGCAAGAUCCCACCCGAUCUCCCUCUCGGUGGUAGGCAAUGCCAAUCAAAGUCAAUCCCUCCCGACAGAGUAUUAAGAAACUGAGGCGCAAAAUUGUCUCUACCGGUCUCCGAUAGAGCGAUAAAAUCUAAUCGAUGCUCGAUAUCCGCCUCAGCAAGAAAUCUUCUUUUAGCCAAGUCCUUUAGACCUAUGCUAUUCCAAAAGAUUUCCUUCAUAGUUCAUCAUGGAAUUUUUUGGCCGCACGAAUCCUAGCACUCCUACGCACCGCGGACACCGGGUACACCUUCCGUUUCCACUUGCGCUUAGGGUUAACAUGGCUUUACAACUAGUCCUCACAACCCAUCGCAGAAGGUCCAGGCAAAACCGUCUGAGAAGUAUCAUCCUCCUCCUCCGCCUCAGGACUAGGAUGAAUAAGGUCCGCACAGAAAGGAUUUAGCAGCCUAACCCCCAGAGCCUCAACCUCAGAAUCACUCAUGGGCCUAACCGCCGCAAUAUUACGAAUCAUCUCUAAGGCCCUCUCAGCCUCUAGAUCAAGAAGGUCAUUAACGGAAUUAGAGAUUUCAGUGACAUUACUACCAAGUGAGACUCCUAAUUGAUUUGCAUUUUCAACAAUCUCAUCAUUAGAAAAAUGCAUAAUGGAAUUAGAAGUAUUAACCGACAUACCAGUAGUGACCUCAACGUCAUGGAGCUUGGCCUCGCUCAUAGCGCACCGCUGCUGAAUGUCGUCCACAUCUGCCAGAGUCUGGAGGUGAUCGCUCACCCGUCGCCCCUCAGACAUCUGAUCCUGAAUCCGUCCAAACGCAAUCACCUCCUCACGAGAGAACCUGGACGGGGUGUGACCUCCUGCUUCACUCCUCCGGUAAGUCUGGACACAAGCCCCGACCACCGGCGUCGGGCUCACCCCACAAGGCGGAGCUGGAGGCGAGCGGGGGGAAGGGAGUGCAUGGGCCACCUGCCCGAACUCCCUACCCCGCACCGGAGAGGCCAUCGCCCUAGGCGCCUCAGGGGAGGAGGGCGCCGAGGUCACCUGCCCCGAGCCCCUCCCGAUGGCACGGACGCCACUGGCAGCAAAGACGACGCGACGGGAGAAGAGGUGUCCGGGGCCACCUGCCCAAGACCCCCUCCCAGCGCAGAGACGGACUCAGGCGCCACGUGUCCCAACAGUCCAACGUCGGCAGGAGAGGAGCAACCCGAGGCCGUCUGCCCUGGGCCCUCAGCCGACAAACCAGCCACGUCUUGGGGAGGGACACCGUGUUGAGCAGGAGAGGGAGUGGCCACCUGCCGACUCCCCUCCUCCACUCCCCAGACCGGAACCCCCGGAGUAGCACUCAGAGAAUCCACAAAAACCAAAGCAGGCAAUGCCAGCUCAAGAGCCUCCUCGAACUCCUCCCGAUCGCUCCACAGUCUCGGGAGAGCAGAAGCGGGUUCGAAGGACCCAAAUCUCAGAGCCCUCAUUGACGACAAGAGAAAAUACGUCAACUGCCCUCAGGUUCCUCAAGAUGUUCGUGGAGCUGAAAGCGGUACAAUACAUGAACGCCCUUUGAGCCUUGCUCAGCUGCUUCUCACUCCGUAUCCAGAUGUGAUAGAUCAACUAGAUCGUAUCCACCAAACCUAACUCGUAGGCCUUCAGUGUUUAACGACAUGCUCAAUUUCAAAUGUCAUGCUGCAACCUCGAAAAAGGAAUUGACUUCCUUGGCAACUAGUUUCUUUGUCACUGGACUUGAUUGCAGCUAAGACGCUUGUGCUACAGCUUCGGGCUACUGAGGUUCUAAACCAGGAGCUACAGCGUAGUGGAGAAUCGUUGAAGAGUAGUGAAAUCCUAUCUGUUUUGUGUAUUCAUCCACUGGUGUAGUUAAAGUCCUGUGCCUCGCUGUCGUUGGUGGAGCCCUGAUAGUGAUAGUGGUUGUGUAAUGGAUAUGUUGAUGUUUGUAUCAUGCAGUUGCAAGUGCUGGCUAUGUUGCUGUCGUUGGAUAUGAUGCGCCCUAGUAGCAGCUUUGUAAUGCAUCUGAUACCGUUUUUUUUCUUGAAUACGCACGAGUGUGCGUACUACUCCCUCCGUUUUCAAAUAUAAGCCUUUUUAAAGAUUCCAACAAGGGACUACAUAUGGAGCAAAAUGAGUGAAUAUACACUCUAAAAUAUGUCUAUAUACUUUCGUAUGUUGUAGUCCAUUGGCAAUCUCUAAAAAGACUUAUAUUUAAGAACGGAGGGAGUAUAUAUUAAAGAAAGGAGUGGGGUGAAGAGCCCUUCCACAAUUGAGCUGCAUAUUACAUGUGCCCAAAUCCGCCCUAGCGUUGUCUAGUGUAUCUCCUCGCCGUAGCCUAUGUUGAUAACGCUUCUAAGAAGUGCGCUACGUCUCCUUUGGUUAGUGCUGCCUGCUUCCAUAUCCUUGUUUCUCCUUCUAUCCUAUCAACUAUAAAGCUUAUCGACGGCACUACUCCAUCAAAUACAAUCGCAUUUCGGUGUUUCCACAAUUCCCAAAGAACCAGGAUGAUUAUUGCUCUGUCGUUCUUUCCAUUGCGCCGGGUGCCAAUCUUGCUUUGGCACCAUUCUGGAAGCUUCUCCCCUCGCGAUGGAAUCCAGUCUUGCUUGUCGAGUGCCUGGCAGAUGAUUGUCCAGACCUGGCGCGUGAACACACAACCCAGUAGGAGGUGGUUUAUCGUUUCUUCUUCCUGGUCGCAGAAAGGGCAUGCUUCUUGGUGAUCCAGUCCCCUCUAAGCAAGGCGGUCCGAAGUCCAGCAUCUGUUCCGUAGAGCCAGCCAAGUGAAGAAUCUACAAUGCAGAGGGGCUCUUGAUUUCCAUGUAAACGUCGCGGUUGGCGCCACCUCCCUGCCCCAGAACCUAGCCGCGUACCCUGAUCUGAUCGAGAAGUGACCAUCUGUCUCCCAUGCACAUGCGAUGGAGUCUUGCUAAUCCUGCUGUAUCUCUUAUCUCGUGAUCGCGGUCCAGAGGGUGAAGUACUCCUAAAGCAAAGUCGGUGUGAGGUCAGGUCCAAUAUCUCUCGCCUAAGCAUUGUCAGGUAUCGCCUGGUGCACUGUGCGUUCUUCGCGUGUCUUCCUCUUUACUCGACCAUAUAGGCCCGGCGCGAGCUCCUGCACCCGCUGCCCUUGCAACCAUCUAUCUUCCUAAAACAGUGUAUGUCUUCCAUUCCUAACUUUAGAUAGGGCAGCAGCUUGGUAUAGCUGUAGCGAUUGUCUUGGCACACCAAUCCUAAAUUCCGCCCAUGGCCUUGAGGGGUCUGAUCUCUGGAGCCACGGCCAUCUUGAUUGCAUCGCUAUGUUUAGCCAUUCGAGGUGUGGGAUGCUCAGGCCUCCAGCCCAUAUAGGUGUACAUAUUGUCUCCCAUGCAACAGAGCAUUGUCCACCAUUUGCCGUUGCCUUAGCGCACCAGAGGAAACCCCAACAGAUCUUGUUCAUCGCCGCAAUCUUCUUGUGUGGUAUGUCCAUGCAAGAAUGGCGUGAAGAGGCAUUGCACAUAGAACCGAUUUGACUAAGAGUAGGCGCCCGCUCUUUGACAUGCCGGCUGCCUUGCACCUUGGUAAGGCUGCCGCAAGUUGAUCCACCAGGCCCGAGAGUUGAGUAGAUGAUUGCUUAUGGAUAGUGAGUGGCAGGCCAAGAAACUUGCCAGGGAACGUGCCGCUUGGGCAUCCUAUGGUUGCCACCACCCUCUCCCGAGUAUCCGAAGGGCAACGGAUCGGGUAGGUUGCACUUCUGGUAAGGUUCACAUGUAAUCCUGAAGCGCCACCAAAGAUUCGUUGAAGCGAGGAGCAUGCUUGUAGGUCUUGAUCAAAUGGCUUGGCGAAGAUCAUGAUGUCAUCGGCAAACAUCGAGGGGCGGUGUUUCAUUCCCCUCCAUGCAAGUUGAGCCAUGAUUCCACGUGAGGUCGCAAGUUCAAACAUCCGUUGUAGCGGCUCCAUGAUUAACAUGAAAAGCAUCGGUGAUAGUGGGGCUCCUUGCCUUAAUCCCUUGCAAUUGUAUAUGGGUCCUCCUGGAGCUCCGUUUACCAUGAUCCUCGUGGAAGAGGUAGAUAGUGGGCCACAAAUCCACGCAAGCCAAUUAGGCCCGAAGCCCAUAAUUCGCAUUACUUCUAGGAGAAAAGGCCAGUGCACCGAGUCAAACGCCUUCGAGAUAUCCAAUUUCAACAUUACAACCUCCUCCUUUAGUGCAUGUAGUCGACGUGACGUGCCUUGCACGAGCAUGAAGUUCUCAUGGAUCAAUCUACCCGUCACGAAGGCACUUUGGUGCAUUCCAACAAGCGAUGGCAAGUCAGGCGCAAGUCUGUUUGACAAAGUCUUGUCAAAGAUUUUUAUCGUUCCGUGGAUGAGGCUAACUGGCCGGAAGUCUCGGAUGUCUACCGCACCAUCUUUCUUGGCAGGAGCGACACAAUGGCUUUGUUGAUAGCCGGCAGUCCUCUCAUGUCUCCUCGGUAGAAACGUCAACUUGCUCCAGACCAACGUCGCAGACAAGAACAGGAACACUGACCUGGCUUUCUUGAUGGACGACGCGAACAUGCUCCAGAGCGGAGGCAUCAUCACCUGGUGAAGCGCGGCCUCAUCUUGAACCAGAUACCGGUGACGCCGAUGCCAACGCCAACUCCCACGCCGACUCCAACGCCGCAGCCAAGCCCGAGUGAUGAUGCCUUCGCGAUGCCCAGUAGCAUAGAUGUCACGCCGCCCAGCCCAGAAGCCGCGCCGAUGCCGCCCAGCCCGCGCACGCCGACGCAGACCCUUCAAACGCCGGAGGCCAACCCCACCAUUUGAUGAUGCAUUCCUUGUGUGUCCUUUCUUUUUGUGCGCCGAACUUUUCAUUUGAUCGCCGAACUGUGGCACGGGGAUGAUCACCAAAUUGUUGCGCUGAUCGCCGGUUAUGGCAGUUUUUUGGAGCGGGAACGGACCAAGUUUGAAUAUGCUGCGCCUUGGGGGCGGCACCUAGGGGCGUGGCUAGGGCCUUGAUCGCCCCAGGGUGNNNNNNNNNNNNNNNNNNNNNNNNNNNNNNNNNNNNNNNNNNNNNNNNNNNNNNNNNNNNNNNNNNNNNNNNNNNNNNNNNNNNNNNNNNNNNNNNNNNNNNNNNNNNNNNNNNNNNNNNNNNNNNNNNNNNNNNNNNNNNNNNNNNNNNNNNNNNNNNNNNNNNNNNNNNNNNNNNNNNNNNNNNNNNNNNNNNNNNNNNNNNNNNNNNNNNNNNNNNNNNNNNNNNNNNNNNNNNNNNNNNNNNNNNNNNNNNNNNNNNNNNNNNNNNNNNNNNNNNNNNNNNNNNNNNNNNNNNNNNNNNNNNNNNNNNNNNNNNNNNNNNNNNNNNNAAUAAGACGAGCUUAGUAGUUGAUCUUGACCCGGCCUGGGCUUCCUAGAUCCCCCCCUUGCUAUAAAGUUCUGCCUGUGCGUUACUGGUAUGCAUGAUCUUGGGGGUGCCUGUGCGUUGUCAUAGUUGUUGCUGGUGGGAGUUCGUUUGUCAGAUACGAACCAAAUGAUUUCCUUUAUAUAAUUAAUAGAGCAUGCGCAAUCUGUGUGAGCUUAUUAGUCCCAACCUUGGUAAAGAUUUUGAAACUAGCAUUCAGAAGACAGAGGGGCCUGAAUUGCUCAAUUCUCACGGCCUUUGUUUUCUUAGGAAGAAGGGUUAUCGUACCAAAAUUCAGCUGAAAAAGUUGAAGCUGUCCAGAGAAGAGAUUAUUAAACAGAGGCAACAGAUCCCCCUUAAUAAUAUGCCAACACUUUUUAUAAAACUCCGCUGGAAAACCAUCAGGGCCCGGCGCCUUGUUAUUUUUCAUUUGCUAUAUGGCCGCGAACACCUCUUUCUCAGAAAAAGGAGUCGCGAGAAUAUCAUUCUCCACCGCUGUGAGUUGAGGAACAUCCUCAACCCUGGACUCAUCCAAGGACACACAAUUAUCCUCAGGAGGACCAAACAGCUGCUUGUAAUACUCAGUAAUAUACUGCUUAAGGUUUUCAUGUCCUACAAUUGUUCCUUCAUCUUGCUCAAGCUGAAAGAUCCUCUUCUUUCUAUGUUUACCAUUAGCAAUCAUGUGAAAGAAUUGAGUGUUCGCAUCCCCCUGGACAACCCGCCGGACCUUGGCCUGCAACGCCCACUUCAAUUCCUCUUCUCGAAGAAGUUUUUUCAGCCUCAUCUCCGCAUCAAGCUUGGCAUGCAGCUCCGCGGCCGGCAGUACCGUGGUUUCAGCUUUCACAUCUAUGGCCUGAAUAAGGGAAAGGAGCCUUUCCUUUUCGACCUUAUAAAUCCCGUUAAGAUGCUUAGCCCAACCACGCAGGAAGCUGCUCAAAUGCCUAAUCUUAUUCUGCCAGCGCUGAAGCGCAGUCUUCCCUCAUGAAUCCUUAGCCCACUCUCUGGCUACGAGAUCAAAGAAACCUUCUCGUUCGAACCAAGCCAGCUCAAACGAGAUGGAGUUUUUAUUACCCAGGUGGGUGGCCUCACCGGAGUCGACAAACAACGACGUGUGGUCAGAAAUCCCACGGGACAAAGCCUGAACUGUUACUAGAGGAAACUUCUGUUCCCACUCGACGCUCGCCAACACUAGAUCCAACUUCUCAUACGUCGGAUUUGGCAUCGCGUUAGCCCAGGUGAAUUUCCUACCCGAAAGCUCAAUUUCUCUCAGGUCAAGACUUUCAAUGAUAAUAUUAAACAUGAAUGACCAUCUACCAUCAAAGUUAUCAUUGUUCUUAUCCUCACGCCGUCUAAUGAUAUUGGAAUCACCCCCACCAGGAUAGGAAGCUGCUCAGAGCCGCAAAUCCUAACGAGAUCAGCCAAGAACUCGGGCUUGAGUUCGGGUCGCGCAGCCCCAUACACUGCAACCAGAGCCCAAUUAAAUCCAUCAUCCUUCGAUCGAACCCGAAACUUGACCGCAAAGUCACCCAUAACCACACUUCGAACCUCGAGCGCCUCGCAUCAAAUGCCGAGCAAGAUCCCACCCGAUCUCCCUCUCGGUGGUAGGCAAUGCCAAUCAAAGUCAAUCCCUCCCGACAGAGUAUUAAGAAACUGAGGCGCAAAAUUGUCUCUACCGGUCUCCGAUAGAGCGAUAAAAUCUAAUCGAUGCUCGACAGCCGCCUCAGCAAGAAAUCUUCUUUUAGCCAAGUCCUUUAGACCUCUGCUAUUCCAAAAGAUUCCCUUCAUAGUUCAUCAUGGAAUUUUUUGGCCAUACGAAUCCUAGCACUCCUACGCACCGCGGACACCGGGUACACCUUCCGUUUCCACUUGCUCUUAGGGUUAACAUGGCUCUGCAACUGGUCCUCACAACCCUUCGCAGAAGGUCAAGGCAAAACCGUCUGAGAAGUAUCCUCCUCCUCCUCCGCCUCAGGACUAGGAUGAAUAAGGUCCACACAGAAAGGAUCUAGCACCCUGACCCCCAGAGCCUCAACCUCAGAAUCACUCAUGGGCCUAACCGCCGCAAUAUUACGAAUCAUCUCUAAGGCCCUCUCAGCCUCUAGAUCAAGAAGGUCAUUAACGGAAUUAGAGGUUUUAGUGACAUUACUACCAAGUGAGACUCCUAAUUGAUUUGCAUUUUCAACAAUCUCAUCAUUAGAAAAAAUGUAUAAUGGAAUUAGAAGUAUUAACCGACAUAGCAGUACUGACCUCAACGUCACGGAGCUUGGCCGCCCUCAUGGCGCACCGCUGCUGAAUGUCGUCCACAUCUGGCAGAGUCUGGAGGCGAUCGCUCACCUGUCGCCCCUCAGACAUCUGAUCAUGAAUCCCUCCAAACGUAAUCACCUCCUCAUGAGAGAACCUGGACGGGGUGUGACCUCCUGCCUCACUCCUCCGGCAAGGCCGGACACAAGCCCCGACCACCGACGUCGGGCUCACCCCACAAGGCGGAGCUGGAGGCGAGCGGGGGGAAGGGAGUGCAUGGGCCACCUGCCCGAAUUCCCUACCGCGCACCGGAGAGGCCAUCGCCCUAGGCGCCUCAGGGGAGGAGGGCGCCGAGGUCACCUGCCCCGAGCCCCCUCCCGAUGGCACGGACACCACUGGCAGCAAAGACAACGCGACAGGAGAAGAGGUGUCCGAGGCCACCUGCCCCAGACCCCCUCCCAGCGUAGAGACGGACUAAGGCGCCACGUGUCCCAGCAGUCCAACGUCGGCAGGAGAGGAGCAACCCGAGGCCCUCAGCCGAACCAGCCACAUCCUGGGGAGGGACACCGUGUUGAGCAGGAGAGGGAGUGGCCACCUGCCGACUCCCCUCCUCCACUCCCCAGACCGGAACCCCCGGAGUAGCACUCAGAGAAUCCUCAAAAACCAAAGCAGGCAACGCCAGCUCAAGAGCCUCCUCGGACUCCACCCAAUCGCUCCACAGUCUCGGGGGAGCAGAAGCGGGUUCGAAGGACCCAAAUCUCAGAGCCCUCAGUGACGACAAGAGAAAAUACGUCAACUGCCCUCAGGUUCCUCAAGAUGUUCGUGGAGCUGAAAGCGGUACAAUACAUGAACGCCCUUUGAGCCUUGCUCAGCUGCUUCUCACUCCCUAUCCAGAUGUGAUAGAUCAACUAGAUUGUAUCCACCAAACCUAACUUGUAGGCCUUCAGUGUUUAACGACAUGCUCAAUUUCAAAUGUCAUGCUGCAACCUCGAAAAAGGAAUUGACUUCCUUGGCAACUAGUUUCUUUGUCACUGGACUUGAUUGCAGCUAAGACGCUUGUGCUACAGCUUCGGGCUGCUGAGGUUCUAAACCAGGAGCUACAGCGUAGUGGAGAAUCAUUGAAGAGUAGUGAAAUCCUAUCUGUUUUGUGUAUUCAUCCACUGGUGUAGUUAAAGUCCUGUGCCUCGCUAUCGUUGGUAGAGCCCUAAUAGUGACAGUGGUUGUGUAAUGGAUAUGUUGAUGUUUGUAUCAUGCAGUUGCAAGUGCUGGAUAUGUUGCUGUCGUUGGAUAUGAUGCGCCCUAGUAGCAGCUUUGUAAUGCAUCUGAUGCCGUUUUUUUUCUACUCGUGCGUACUACUCCCUCCGUUUCCAAAUAUAAGCCUUUUUGAAGAUUCCAACAAGGGACUACAUACGGAGCAAAAUGAGUGAAUAUACACUCUAAAAUAUGUCUAUAUACAUUCGUAUGUUAUAGUCCAUUGGCAAUCUCCAAAAAGACUUAUAUUUAGGAAUGGAGGGAGUAUAUAUUAAAGAAAGGAGUGGGGUGAAGAGCCCUUCCACAAUUGAGCUGCAUAUUACAUGUGCCCAAAUCCGCCCUAGCGUUGUCUAGUGUAUCUCCUCGGCGUAGCCCAUGUUGAUAAAUCUUCCAAGAAGUGGGCUACAUCUCCUUUGGUUAGCGCUGCCUGCUUCUAUAUCCUUGUUUCUCCUUCUAUCCUAUCAACUAUAAAGCUUAUCGACGGCACUACUCCAUCAAAUACAAUCGCAUUUCAGUGUUUUCACAAUUCCCAGAGAACCAGGAUGAUUAUUGCUGUGUCGUCCUUUCCAUUGCGCCGGGUGCCAAUCUUGCUUUGGCACCAUUCUGGAAGCUUCUCCCCUCCCGAUGGAAUCCAGUCUUGCUUGUCGAGUGCCUGGCAGAUGAUUUUCCAGACCUCGCGCGUGAACACACAACCAAGUAGGAGGUGGUUUAUCGUUUCUUCUUCCUGGUCGCAGAAAGGGCAUGCUUCUUGGUGAUCCAGUCCCCUCUGAGCAAGGCGGUCCGAAAUCCAGCAUCUGUUCCGUAGAGCCAGGCAAGUGAAGAAUCUACAGUGUAGAGGGGCUCUUGAUUUCCAUGCAAACGUCGCGGUUGGCGCCACCUCCUGCCCCAGAACCUAGACGCGUACCCUGAUCUGGUCGAGAAGUGACCAUUUAUCUCCCAUGCCCAUGCGAUGGAGUCUUGCUAAUCCUGCUGUAUCUCUUAUCUCGUGAUCGCGGUCCAGAGGGUGAAGUAAUCCUAAAGCAAAGUCGGUGUGAGGUCUGGUCCAAUAUCUCUCGCCUAAGCAUUGUCAGGUAUCGCCUGGUGCACUGUGCGUUCUUCGCGUGUCUUUGUUGGCGAACGUAGCAGAAAUUCAAAAUUUUCCACGCAUCACCAAGAUCAAUCUAUGGAGAGACUAGCAACGAGAGAGAGAGGGAGUGCAUCUUCAUACCCUUGAAGAUCGUGAAGCGGAAGCGUUGCAAGAACGCGAAUGAGGUAGUCGUACUCGUGGCGAUUCAGAUCGCGGUCGAUUCUGAUAUAAGCGCCGAACAACGGCGCCUCCGCGUUCAACACACGUGCAGCCCGGUGACAUCUCCCGUGCCUUGAUCCAGCAAGGAGAGAGGGAGAGGUUGGGGAAGACUCCGCCCAGCAGCAGCACGACGGCGUGGUGGUGGUGGAGGAGCGCGGUACUCUAGCAGGGUUUCACCAAGUACUACGAGAGACGAGGAGGGAGAGAGGUAGGGCUGACUCAUGUGUUGGGCAGCCCCAAAACCUCCACUAUAUAUAGGAGGAAGGGAGAGGCGGAGGUGCCCUAGGGUUUCCCCUAGGGGGGGGGGGCGGCGGCCAGGGCAGAUGAGAUCUCCCCUUUGGGUGACUUGGCCCCCAAGCCAGGAGGUGGGAACCCUAGAUGGGGCGCCCCAAACCCCCUCGUCAGGUCGGAAUAGGUGAGGGGGGCGCACAACCCCUUAGUGGGCUGGUUUGCCCCCUCCCCUUGGCCCAUGAAGCCCCCCCAACACUUGCCGGGGCUCCUGAAACACCUUUCGGUCAUGCUGGUCAUCACCCGGUACCUCCGGAACACUUCCGGACUCCAAAACCCUUCGUCCAAUAUAUCAAUAUUCACCUCCGGGCCAUUCCGGGACUCCUCGUGACAUCCGGGACCUCAUCCAGGACUCCGAACAACAUUCGGUAACCGCGUACACACCUUCCCUAUAACCCUAGCGUCAUCAAACCUUAAGUGUGUAGACCCUACGGGUUCGGGAACCAUGCAGACAUGACCGAGACAACUCUCCGGCGAAUAACCAACAGCGGGAUAUGGAUACCCAUGUUGGCUCCCACAUGUUCCACGAUGAUCUCAUCGGAUGAACCACGAUGUCAAGGAUUCAAUCAAUCCCGUAUACAAUUCCCUUUGUCUACCGGUAUAGUACUUGCCCAAGAUUCGAUCAUCGGUAUGCCGAUACCUUGUUCAAUCUCGUUACCGGAAAGUCUCUUUACUCGUUCCGUAACACAUCAUCCCGUGAUCAACUCCUUGAUCACAUUGUGCACAUUAUGAUGAUGUCCUACCGAGUGGGCCCAGAGAUACCUCUCCGUCACACGGAGUGACAAAUCCCAGUCUCGAUUCGUGCCAACCCAACAGACACUUUCGGAGAUACACGUAGUGCACCUUUAUAGCCACCCAGUUACGUUGUGACGUUUGGUACACCCAAAGCAUUCCUACGGUAUCCGAGAGUGUUUCAUCAAGUAAAUAUCCUCAGCAUCUACUCAAAUCAUCUGUGAAGUAAGAACACAACGACAUCCACUGCGUGCCUCGGCACUCAUUUGACUGCACACAUCAAAAUGUGUACUUCCAACAAGUUGCUUUCUUAUUCCAUUUCACUGAAAACGAGGCCUUUCAGUCAUCUUGCCCAUGUGGUAUGAUUUGCAUGUCUCAAGUGAAUAAAAUCAAGUGAGUCCAAAAGAUCCAUCUGUAUGGAGUUUCUUCAUGCAUAUAUACCAGUAGACAUGGUUUGCAUGUCUCAGUCUUUUCAAAACGAGUGAGUCCAAAGAUCCAUCAACAUGGGGCUUCUUCAUGCUUUUUAUACCAGUAUGACUCAAAUGGCAGUGCCACAAGUAUGUGGUACUAUCAUUACUAUCUUAUAUCUUUUGGCAUGAACAUGUGUAUCACUACGAUCGAGAUUCAAUAAACCAUUCAUUUUAGGUGCAAGACCAUUGAAGGUAUUAUUCAAACAAACAGAGUAACCAUUAUUCUCCUUAAAUGAAUAACCGUAAUGCGAUAGACAUAAUCCAAUCAUGUCUAUGCUCAACGCAAACACCAAAUAACAAUUAUUUAGGUUUAAUACCAAUCUCGAUGGUAGAGAGAGCAUGCGAUGCUUGAUCACAUCAACCUUGGAAACAAUUCCAACACACAUCGUCAUCUCACCUUUAGCUAGUCUCCGUUUAUUCCAUAGCUCUUUUAUUUCGAGUUACUAACACUUAGCAACCAAACCGGUAUCUUAAUACCCUGGUGCUACUAGGAGUACUAGUAAAGUACACAUUUAAUACAAUGUAUAUCCAAUAUACUUCUGUCAACCUUGCCAGCCUUCUCAUCUACCAAGUAUCUAGGGUAGUUCUGCUUCAGUGACUGUUCCCUCAUUACAGAAGCACUUAGUCUCGGGUUUGGGUUCAAUCCUGGGUUUCUUCACUGGAGCAGCAACUGAUUUGUCGUUUCAUGAAGUAUUCCUUCUUGCCCUUGGCCUUCUUGAAACUAGUGGUUUCACUAACCAUCAACAAUUGAUGCUCCUUCUUGAUUUCUAAUUUCGCGGUGUCAAACAUCGCGAAUAUUUCAAGGAUCAUCAUAUCUAUCCCUGAUAUGUUAUAGUUCAUGACGAAGCUCUAGUAGCUUGGUGGCAAUGACUUUGGAGAAACAUCACUAUCUCAUCUGGAAGAUUAACUCCCACUCCAUUCAAGUGAUUGUUGUACCCAGACAAUCUGAGUACAAGCUCAACGAUUGAGAUUUUCUCUCUUAGUUUGUAGGCUAAGAAACUCGUCGGAGGUCUCAUACCUCUUGACGUGCGCACGAGCCUGAAAUCCCAAUUUCAGCCCUUGGAACAUCCCAUUGAAGGAAAUAUGCCCUAGAGGCAAUAAUAAAGUUAUUAUUUAUUUCCUUAUAUCAUGAUAAAUGUUUAUUAUUCAUGCUAGAAUUGUAUUAACUAGAAACAUAAUACAUGUGUGAAUACAUAGACAAACAUAGUGUCACUAGUAUGCCUCUACUUGACUAGCUCGUUUAUCAAAGAUGGUUAUGUUUCCUAGCCAUGGACAAAUGAGUUGUCAUUUGAUUAACGGGAUCACAUCAUUAGGAGAAUGAUGUGAUCGACAUGACCUAUUCCGUUAGCUUAGCACUUGAUCGUUUAGUAUGUUGCUAUUGCUUUAUUCAUGACUUAUACAUGUUCCUAUGACUAUGAGAUUAUGCAACUCCCGUUUACCGGAGGAACACUUUGUGUGCUACCAAACGUCACAACGUAACUGGGUGAUUAUAAAGGAGCUCUACAGGUGUCUCCGAAGGUACAUGUUGGGUUGGCAUAUUUCGAGAUUAGGAUUUGUCACUCCGAUUGUCGGAGAGGUAUCUCUGGGCCCUCUCGGUAAUGCACAUCACUAUAAGCCUUGCAAGCAAUGUGACUAAUGAGUUAGUUGCGAGAUGAUGUAUUAUGUAACGAGUAAAGAGACUUGCCGGUAACGAGAUUGAACUAGGUAUUGGAUACCGACGAUCGAAUCUCGCACAAGUAACAUGCCGAUGACAAAGGGAACAACGUAUGUUGUUAUGCGGUUUGACCGAUAAAGAUGUUUGUAGAAUAUGUGGGAGCCAAUAUGAGCAUCCAGGUUCCGCUAUUGGUUAUUGACCGAGAAUAGUUCUAGGUCAUGUCUACAUAGUUCUCGAACCCGUAGGGUCCGCACGCUUAUGGUUUCGAUGACAGUUAUAUUAUGAGUUUAUGAUUUUUGAUGUACCGAAGGAGUUCGGAGUCCCGGAUGAGAUCGGGGACAUGACGAGGAGUCUCGAAAUGGUCGAGACGUAAAGAUCGAUAUAUUGGACGACUAUAUUCGAACUUCGGAAAGGUUCCGAGUGAUUCGGGUAUUUUUCGGAGUACCGGAGAGUUACGGGAAUUUGCCGGGGAGUAUAUGGGCCUUAUUGGGCCAUACGGGAAUAGAGGAGAGAGGCCGAAAGGAAGGAGGUGCGCAGCCCCCCUCUGGUCCGAAUUGGACAAGGGGUGCAGCCCCCUUUUCCUUCCCCCUCUCCCCCUCUUUCCUUCUCUCCUACUCCAACAAGGAAGGGGGGAGUCCUACUCCCGGUGGGAGGAGGACUCCUCCUGGCGCGCCCCUCCUGGCCGGCCGACCCCUCCCCCUCGCUCCUUUAUAUACAGGGGCAGGGGGGCACCUCUAGACACAACAACACAAGUUGAUCUUCGUGAUCGUUCCUUAGCCGUGUGCGGUGCCCCCCUCCACCAUAUUCCACCUCGGUCAUAUCGUCGCGGAGUUUAGGCGAAGCCCUGCGCCGGUAGAACAUCAUCAUUGUCACCAUGCCAUCGUGCUGACGGAACUCAUCCCCUACACUUUGCUGGAUCGGAGUCCGGGGAUCGUCAUCGAGCUGAACGUGUGCUGAACUCAGAGGUGCCGUACGUUCGGUACUUGGAUCGGUCGGAUCGUGAAGACGUACGACUACAUCAACCGCGUUGUCAUAACGCUUCCGCUUUCGGUCUACGAGGGUACAUGGACACACUCUCCCCUCUCGUUGCUAUGCAUCACCAUGAUCUUGCGUGUGCGUAGGAUUUUUUUUUGAAAUUACUACGUUCCCCAACACCCAUAUGUUCCGCGACCUUUCAAAAACGUCUUCGGCGCCACAAUUCUAAACCGUUUAACAUUACUGAACUAUCAUGAAGUCAUCAAAACGUGUAUGUCAGAUGUUCGCAACAUCCACAAACGACGUUCGAGGUUUAGCACACCGAGCGAUGCAUUAAGGACAUAAGCCUUCUGCGCAGCAAUGAGGAGAAUCCUCAGUUUACGGACCCAGUCCGCAUAAUUGCUACUAUCAACUUUCAACAUAUUUUCUCUAAGAACAUAUCUAAAUAGUAGAACUAAAGCGCGAGCUUACGACAUAAUUUGUAAAGACCUUUUUGACUAUGUUCAUGAUAAUUAAGUUUAUCUAAUCGCAUUAUUUGAUGAACUCCCACUCAGAUAGACAUCCCUCUAGUCAUCUAAGUGAUACCUGAUCCGAGUCAACUAGGCCGUGUCUGAUCUUCACGUGAGACGGACUAGUCAUCAUCGGUGAACAUCUUCAUGUUGAUCGUAUCUACUAUACGACUCAUGUUCGACCUUUCGGUCUCUUGUGUUCCGAGGCCAUGUCUGUACAUGCUAGGCUCGUCAAGUCAACCUAAGUGUUUCGCGUGUGUAAAUCUGGCUUAAUUACACCCAUUGUAUGUGAACGUUAGAAUCUAUCACACCCGAUCAUCACGUGGUGCUUCGAAGCAAUGAUAUUUCACAACGGUGCACACUUCGGGGGAACACUUUCUUGAAAUUAUUAUUAGGGAUCAUCUUAUUUACUACCGUCGUUCUAAGCAAAUAAGAUGCAUAAACAUGAUAAACAUCACAUGCAAUCAAAUAGUGACAUGAUAUGGCCAAUAUCAUUAUGCUCCUUUUGAUCUCCAUCUUCGGGGCUCCAUGAUCAUCAUCGUCACCGGCAUGACACCAUGAUCUCCAUCAUCGUGUCUCCAUGAAGUUGUCUCGCCAACUAUUACUUCUACUACUAUGGCUAACGGUUUAGCAAUGAAGUAAAGUAAUUACAUGGCGUUAUUCAGUGACACGCAUGUCAUACAAUAAAUAAAGACAACUCCUAUGGCUCCUGCCGGUUGUCAUGCUCAUCAACAUGCAAGUCGUGAUUCCUAUUACAAGAAUAUGAUCAUUCUCAUACAUCACAUAUAUUUCAUUCAUCACAUCCUUUUUGGCCAUAUCACAUCACAUAGCAUAUCCUGCAAAAACAAGUUAGACGUGCUCUAAUUAUUGUUUGCAUGUUUUACGUGGUUGCUAUGGGUUUCUAGCAAGAACAUUUCUUACCUACGCAAAAGCCACAACGUGAUAUGCCAAUUGCUAUUUACCCUUCAUAAGGACCCUUUUCAUCGAAUCCGAUCCGACUAAAGUGGGAGAGACUGGCACGCGCUAGCCACCUUAUGCAACAAGUGCAUGUCAGUCGGUGGAACCUGUCUCACGUAAGUGUACGUGUAAGGUCGGUCCGGGCCGCUUCAUCCCACAAUACCGUCGAAACAAGAUAGGACUAGUAACGGUAAGUAUAUUGAACAAAAUCAACGCCCACAACAACUUGUAUUCUACUCGUGCAUAGAAUCUACGCAAUAGACCUAGCUCAUGAUGCCACUGUUGGGGAACAUAGCAGAAAUUCAAAAUUUUCUACGCAUCACCAAGAUCAAUCUAUGGAGAGACUAGCAACGAGAGAGAGAGAGGGAGUGCAUCUUCAUACCCUUGAAGAUCGCGAAGUAGAAGCGUUGCACGAACGCGGAUGAGGUAGUCGUACUCGUGGCGAUUCAGAUCGCGUUCGAUUCCGAUAUAAGCGCCGAACAACGGCGCCUCCGCGUUCAACACACAUAUAGCCCGGUGACGUCUCCCAUGCCUUGAUCCAGCAAGGAGAGAGGGAGAGGUUGGGGAAGACUCCGUCCAGCAGCAACACGAUGACGUGGUGGUGGUGGAGGAGCGCGGUACUCCAGCAGGGCUUCACCAAUCACUACGAGAGACGAGGAGGGAGAGAGGUAGGGCUGCGCCUUGGGAGAGAGAGACUCAUGUGUUGGGCAGCCCCAAAACCUCCACUAUAUAUAGGAGGAAGGGAGAGGCGGAGGUGCCCUAGGGUUUCCCCUAGGGGGGGCGGCGGCCAGGGCAGAUGAGAUCUCCCCUUUGGGUGACUUGGCCCCCAAGCCAGGAGGUGGGAACCCUAGAUGGGGCGCCCCAAACCCCCUCGUCAGGUCGGAAUAGGUGAGGGGGGCGCACAACCCCUUAGUGGGCUGGUUUGCCCCCUCCCCUUGGCCCAUGAAGCCCCCCCAACACUUGCCGGGGCUCCUGAAACACCUUUCGGUCAUGCUGGUCAUCACCCGGUACCUCCGGAACACUUCCGGACUCCAAAACCCUUCGUCCAAUAUAUCAAUCUUCACCUCCGGACCAUUUCAGGACUCCUCGUGACAUCCGGGAUCUCAUCCGGGACUCCGAACAACAUUCGGUAACCGCGCACACACCUUCUCUAUAACCCUAGCGUCAUCGAACCUUAAGUGUGUAGACCCUACGGGUUCGGGAACCAUGCAGACAUGACCGAGACAACUCUCCGGCCAGUAACCAACAGCGGGAUCUGGAUACCCAUGUUGGCUCCCACAUGUUCCACGAUGAUCUCAUCGGAUGAACCAUGAUGUCAAGGAUUCAAUCAAUCUCGUAUACAAUUCCCUUUGUCUACCGGUAUAGUUCUUGCCCGAGAUUCGAUCGUCGGUAUACCGAUACCUUGUUCAAUCUCAUUACCGGCAAGUCUCUUUACUCGUUCCGUAACACAUCAUCCCAUGAUCAACUCCUUGAUCACAUUGUGCACAUUAUGAUGAUGUCCUACCGAGUGGGCCCAGAGAUACCUCUCCGUCACACGGAGUGACAAAUCCCAGUCUCGAUUCGUGCCAACCCAACAGACACUUUCGGAGAUACACGUAGUGCACCUUUAUAGCCACCUAGUUACGUUGUGACGUUUGGUAUACCCAAAGCAUUCCUACGGUAUCCGGGAGUUGCACAAUCUCAUAGUCUAAGGAAAAGAUACUUGACAUUUAGAAAAGCUUUAGCAUACGAACUACACGAUCUUGUGCUAGGCUUAGGAUUGGGUCUUGUCCAUCACAUCAUUCUCCUAAUGAUGUGAUCCCGUUAUCAAUGACAUCCAAUGUCCAUGGUCAGGAAACCAUGACCAUCUGUUGAUCAACGAGCUAGUCAACUAGAGGCUCACUAGGGACAUGUUGUGGUCUAUGUAUUCACACAUGUAUUGCGGUUUCCGGUCAAUACAAUUAUAGCAUGAAUAAUAGACAAUUAUCAUGAACAAGGAAAUACAAUAAUAACCAUUUUAUUAUUGCCUCUAAGGCAUAUUUCCAACAGUCUUCCUCUUUACUCGACCAUAUAGGCCCGGCGUGAGCUCUUGCACCCGCUCCCCUUGCAACCAUCUUUCUUCCCAAAACAGUGUAUGCCUUCCAUUCCUAACUUUAGAUAGGGCAGCAGCUUGGUAUAGCUGUAGCGAUUGUCUUGGCACACCAAUCCUAAAUUCCACCCAUGGCCUUGAGGGGUCUGAUCUCUGGAGCCACGGCCAUCUUGAUUGCAUCGCUAUGUUUAGCCAUUCGAGGUGUGGGAUGCUCAGGCCUCCAGCCCACAUAGGUGUACAUAUUGUCUCCCAUGCAACAGAGCAUUGUCCACCAUUUGCCGUUGCCUUAGUGCACGAGAGGAAACCCCGACAGAUCUUGUUCAUCGCCGCAAUCGUCUUGUGUGGUAUGUCCAUGCAAGAAUGGCGUGAAGAGGCAUUGCACAUAGAACCGAUUUGACUAACAGUAGGCGCCCGCUCUUUGACAUGCCGGCUGCCUUGCACGUUGGUAAGGCUGCCGCAAGUUGAUCCACCAGGCCCGAGAGUUGAGUAGCAGAUUGCUUAUGGAUAGUGAGUGGCAAGCCAAGAUACUUGCUAGGGAACGUGCCGCUUGGGCAUCCUAUGGUUGCCACCACCCUAUCACGAGUGUCCGAAGGGCAACGGAUCGGGUAGGUUGCACUUUUGGUAAGGUUCACAAGUAAUCCUGAAGCGCCACCAAAGAUUCAUUGAAGCGAGGAGCAUGCUUGUAGGUCUUGAUCAAAUGGCUUGGCGAAGAUCAUGAUGCCAUCGGCAAACAUCAACAGGCGGUGUUUCAUUCCCCUCCGUGCAAGUGGAGCCAUGAUUCCACGUGAGGUCGCAAGUUCAAACAUCUGUUGUAGCGGCUCCAUGAUUAACAUGAAAAGCAUCGGUGAUAGUGGGGCUCAGUGGCGGACCCAGGAAUGAGCCAAGGCCCAGGCGAACUGGGCCAAGGCCCAGACAGCUCUGUUGACUGUAGCAAUUUGCUGUAGCUACAGUGCAUAAGUGUAUGAAGGACAUGGGCCUCACGCCCCAGGCCGCUGCCCCUUCUGCGUGGGGCCUAAAUCCGCCCAUGCUUGCAAUUGUAUAUGGGUCCUCCUGGAGCUCGGUUUACCAUGAUCCUCGUGGAAGAGGUAGAUAGCAGGCCACAAAUCCACGCAAGCCAAUUAGGCCCGAAGCCCAUAAUUCGCAUUACUUCUAGGAGAAAAGGCCAGUGCACCGAGUCAAACGCCUUCGAGAUACCCAAUUUCAACAUUACAGCCUCCUCCUUUAGUGCAUGUAGCCGACGUGACGUGCCUUGCACGAGCAUGAAGUUCUCAUGGAUCAAUCUACCCUUCACGAAGGCACUUUGGUGCAUUCCAACAAGCGAUGGCAAGUCAGGCGCAAGUCUGUUUGACAAAGUCUUGUCAAAGAUUUUUAUCGUUCCGUGGAUGAGGCUAACUGGCCGGAAGUCUCGGAUGUCUACCGCACCAUCUUUCUUGGCAGGAGCGACACAAUGGCUUUGUUGAUAGCCGGCAGUCCUCUCAUGUCUCCUCGGUAGAAACAUCAACUUGCUCCAGACCAACGUCGCCGCGAAGAACAGGAACACUGACCUGACUUUCUUGAUGGGCGGCGCAAACAUGCUCCAGAGCGGAGGCAUCAUCACCUGGCGAAGCGCGGCCUCAUCUUGAACCAGAUACCGGCGACGCCGACGCCGACGCCAACUCCCACGCCGACGCCAACGCCGCAGCCAAGCCCGAGUGGUGAUGCCUCCGCGACGCCCAGUAGCACAGACGCCGCGCCGCCCAGCCCAGAAGCCGCGCCGACGCCGCCCAGCCCGCGCACGCCGACGCCGACCCUUCAAACGCCGGAGGCCGACCCUGCCGUUUGAUGAUGCAUUCCUUGUGUGUCCUUUCUUUUUGUGCGCCGAACUUUUCAUUUGAUCGCUGAACUGUGGCACGGUGAUGAUCGCCAAAUUGUUGCGCCGAUCGCCGGUUAUGGCUUUUUUUGGAGCAGGAACGGACCAAGUUUGAAUAUGCUGCGCCUUGGGGGCGUGGCUAGGGCCUUGAUCGCCCCCAGGGCGUAAAAAUCGCCGGGAGCGUCCAAAAGAGCGCCGGCCUAUGCGCUAGGUGGGGGGAGGGGGGGGCAGCGAGUGGAGAUGCUCUUAAUAAGACGACCUUAGUAGUUAAUCUUGACCCGGCCUGGGCUUCCUAGAUCCUGCGCUUGCUAUAAAGCUGUGCGUGUGCGUUGCUGGUAUGCAUGAUCUUGGGGGUGCCUGUGCGUUGUCAUAGUUGUUGCUGGUGGGAGUUCGUUUGUCAGAUACGAACCAAAUGAUUUCCUUUAUCUCUCCCUAAUAUAUAUAUAUAUAUAUAUAUAUAUAUAUAUAUAUAUAUAUAUAUAUAUAUAUAUAUAUAUAUAUUAUUUAAUAAUAAAGCACGGAUUGGGUCUCCGGGUUCACCGUUAACAAAUUUACAGAAACCCCCUUGAGUUUUAUGGAAAUAAACCCGCAAUCCUGGUCACCAUUAUCCGUAAGUUAGCGUGCCGCUUCGUUUUCCUGUUCUUCAGAUGCCAUCGCCUAUCCCAACCGGCCACCCACGAUCCCCAAUUUCAGGCCGCAUGGCCGCUCGCCGCCGGGUGCUACUCCGCCCCGAGCACCGUCAAUGUCUCCGUUGCCUGCUCAGGUCCGCCCUCUUCAUCCCCCUCCCCUCAUCGUCCUCCAUUGCCCCGAGCUCCCGUCGCCGCGCCGCAGACCACCUGCUCCUCCCGAUGCACUGCCCACGCGCGGCCACGUCUCACCUAGCUGUCCACUCGCGCGUCUCCUACCUCGGUGGUUCAGCGAGCGGCGCCGGCAGCCAUGGCAAACUGCCAUGGGUGCGGCCAGUCCGAGCUCCAGUUUAGGCAGGUCGGUCCAAAAAGAAAAGAAAAAACCGUGACCCCGUCCUCCAAUACGCCACCUGCUCCCAUCCAUUCAGCACCGCCACCCGCUUCAGCACCUGCUCGUCGGCCGCCGCCGUGCAAAGCGACCUGCCCAGCUCUUCGUCCCGCCUGCCUACGCCGGUAGGCUUUCCACCACAGCCACGCACCACUUCGCCUCCCCCUGCCCAUUGCCUCCUACACAAUCGCCUUGAAUAACAGGAGCUGCAUCUCAUCUCUCUCCCUGUAGUGGUGGUCACGGGCUGAUGUUGCUACUCCUCUCCAUCAGGAUCUAUCUCUUUCUCAUUGUCUCUAUCUCUCUCUCAUGGAUCGGCAACUGCAUUCUUCCCAAAUAUGUGUGCCCCUCUGCUCUGGAUAUUACGCCCACAACAUGUUUGAUGUUAUGCUUAUGAGGAGUUGAACUUCAAUUUUUUCAAGUUUUUCUUUGGUGUAGGCAUUCAGGCCUAGUGUAAUUUCUUUUCAAAAGUGAACAUGUUGUACAGUCCAAUGUAUCUAGGAAAAUUAAGUUAUGGAGAGUUGUUCAUCAUGUUGCUUGCAUAUUUUUUUUGUCUAACAAACUAGAUACUUCAAUUUUGGAUAUAAACAUUGAGUACGUGCUGAAAUAUUUCGCUAAUAAUAGUUUCCAACUUGCUUUUUAGCAGAACUACAGAACUAUUUGCAGCUUUUAAUUAUGUGUACUUAAAAUGGAUUUGGUGUCCAGGACAUGUGGAGUUGACAUCAAGUUGAAUUAUGUGCUGAUGUUCUUCGAUAGAAUAAUUGUUCUUCUCCUUUAAAAAUGAUGGACCAUUGACUUAUUUUUUUUAGAUGCUCAAAUACACACACAAACGACAUCCAGUAAGUGCUUGGACACCCGGCAGAUUGAAAGUACAGAAGCAAAGAUAUCCAAUACGAGGCCACGAUGCCCGACAGAGACGCGGCCAAUAUGCUCCUAAUCUUUAUUUCUUGAUUUUGGAACCACAAGUAAGAGCAUGUUCAUGUUUACUUAUUAUUAUUUUUUUGGAGAAAUUUUGGGGAUUUAUAAGCUGAAAUUAUUGACUGUUUGAAAAAAAAUGUUUUAACCAAAACUGUUUGAACAAUGUUGCCCUGGUUCUGCAUUCAUGGAAUUGCUAAAAAAGUUGAACAAGUUCAGUCAGAGUUUUGUCCCUGUUAAUAUUCAGUUUGAAGUGCCAGUUUGUUUCCACUUGCUCAUCUUAAUGUUGAACUAUACAUGUACUUAUCUUUAAAGUUUUGUUGUCUUCAUGAACUAAUUAGAUUUUCAGCACUACUGAACUAAUUGGAUGCCAUCUUAAAUUACCUUCCCUUUGAUAUUAUUGUACAGAUUCCUGGAACACUGCCCAGUGUUUCAGCUGCGUACAUGUCUACAACAAUACUAGCAGAUCUGAAUUUGUGUUGCUAAGGUGUAGACUAACCUGACUUCGAGGGAAAAACAUGGAGAUUAGAGUGCCCUUUUUUCCCUUCCAAUUCCAUUUUCAGCAGCUAUCAGACAUGCAUAGACAAUUUACUUUUGAGUACUUACAAUAUUAUUUUGCUACUUGCAGAGUUGUUCAAGUGGUAAUUUGUUUUACAAAUUUCUACAACAGGCUGCAUCAGCGGUUCACAACGGAGGAAGCUGUGGCGACUGCUACUGCUAGGUGUACCUGAAACAAUAAGUUUGCUUUUCACUUCAGAAUUCGGAGGAAGUCAAUGUUUGUUUUGUAGUUCAAACCAACCACUGGUUGAAAGAUCUAUUCAAAAGAUCUAUUCCAAAAUGAUACUGUCUCAUGGUGCUAGGUUAUCAAAAUAAUCCAUCAUGGCCAAAGGUAAGUUUCAUUCUUGGUAUUAGUUUGUUUCAUCCAUUCUUCCCAAGACAAAAAAUAGGUGGCAUAUGGCGAUGAGAUGAGCUUCUUUGGCUUUUUAUUUGGCAGUUCUCUUCUUGCAUCCCCUCUCUUUUCAAUGUUGUCCUGAAAUUUCAGCAACACAAUUUGUGAUCUUGUCAGGUAAUCAUGCUAAUUGAGAAAGAAAUGGUAUUCAGGACUCUGCACUUCACUAAUAUUCAUGAAAAUGUAUGUUGGUAUCUCUUUCAUUUCUAUCUCACUACUGCACACGUAACUUUAAAUCAUAUAUAUGAUGAAAGCCUGCAAACAAUUAGAGGUCAAUCUUCUUGCAUUUUUUUCAUGAACAGUUUGAUGACUCGCUAGAUGUGUUAGUCUAACUUAUAUAAGUAACCUAAUCUGUUAUUAGGUACCUGGAAUGAAUGGAUGUUACGAAUGCCUAAGCAAUAAGUGAAAAAAUAACUAUAUUUGUAUCUGUCACAAACUAGAAUAUUUUCUUAUUUGCAUUACAAAAUAAAAAAUAUAUAGUACAAAUCCUUUCCUCGUCAUAUUGUAGCCACCCAGGAGUCAUCUUUAUCCUUUAAAUGGCAACUCUUGAUGUAUAAAAGAAGCUUUUGCAGAUUCCAUUGUUAGUAGGUUAUAUUUUCACCAUUCAGUGCAAUUGUGUUGUUUCAUGUGAACUACGGGAGAUAAGAAAAACUUUAUAGAAUAAUUGUGUUUCUAGGUUUUUUUCUGAACUAGAACACUAUGAUUCCAUUAACUUGCAAGCUUAGCUGGAUCGUCAGGUGCAUAGACACAUACAAAGUCCCGUUCGUCCUCAAGCCAAAAGAGCUUGGCUCAUGCGCACCGAAAACCGCUAGAGCGUGUGCUACCUUAUUACAUCAACUGGGACCAAAUUCCACUGCUACAGAAUUGAAAUCUGUGCUAAGGAAGAUACAAAGGUCCCUGUAGAUGAUUCCUUCCGGCGCCCUGCCAUACUCAUUGCUCUUCAGUGCAUGAAAUGUAGAAGCAUGCACAGCGGCAGCACAGGCGGUAGCAGAAUGGGCUAUAAUGAAUGGUGUAUUUGAGUCUGACUGAUCAAACGCUGGUUCGUGUUUCUAGAUUGUCUAGCUAAGGGCUGGAUUUGUUUAGCUGGAACACAAAUCACGAUCAGAUGUACCUAUUAGGAUGAUUUCGUGUCCCUGCUAGCUAUUUCUAAUUUUGUAGCUAUUCCUUCAGGGUACAUGAUUACAUUACAUUACAAGUUGAAAAACUGUGCAAAGUGAAAGUUGGCACUAAAGCGGAUUGCUUUUUUUGAUCUCCACAGAAAUUUCAGUAAUAAUAUGUUCCACUCAUUUUGUUACUAAAAGCUGGGAUGAUUUUUACACUUUGUUUUAUUUUAGUAAUUCCCAUGCUCACCUGAUAUUCUCCUCAUCACCUUUCCAUUUUGACAAAUUUAUCAUCUCGAAGUUUAUGCAUAAUGAUGAAAUAUUCUAUGGUAGUAUGUCAAAUGCAGUUUAGUAUAUUCCCGUUGGUUCUGUAGUGAUUUUUAGUUCCGGCCAUUUUCUUUCUAAUUUUAUUUUAAGAGAAGUGGAAUCAUAGACUAGGACGAGCAAGGAUUUGUUUCUCCCGUUGCAACGCAUGGGUCCUUUUGCUAUCUCUUCCUAAUAAUAAAGCACGGAUUGGGUCUGCGGAUUCACCGUCACAAUACGUUUUCUUCCUGUGAAUUUACGCUUUCGGUUUGAAUUUAAACGUAUAAGCGAGGUGGUACUAAUAUUUUCAUGUGUUAGCGUUCGUUCGUACAUCGCCCAGGUGUCCAUGAUAAAACUCUCUGGUUCGGUCACUUGGGCCUGAAAUUUCAUAAUAACCACGUACAGGCAGCUAUCCCAGCCCAGCUAACUGGCCGCAAAUAACAUGGGCCUUCCCUUAUGGGCUGCAUGCACGAGAGUGGGCUUCCUUAUAUUAGAUCAUAGAGAAAGAAAAAAAAUACAUUACUGUGGAGAAUCGAACAUUAGAUCUCAUCUAUUUCUUUGGGCUACAACUACCAACUGAGAUAAACAUCCCCUUGAUGAAUAGUCCCACCUCGCGAUUUUAAGGACACACAUACCGGUUAAUAUAGCCAAAUAAUUAACAAACAGACGUGAAAAGGGAAGAGCUAAAUAAGCGGAUGGGCCAAUUAAGGAAAGGAAUGUGGCUAAAUAGAUGCGGCUAAUUCAAAGGAAGGAUUGUGGUGGGUGGGCUCAGCACAAUAUUUAAAUGGAUGGGAUCCUUAAUUAAUAUAAGGCACGGGAAAACGGAAGUAAGAAAUUAUGUGAGGCUAAUAAGUAAAAGGAAUGAUUUAAUAAGAAAGGAUUUAACAAGGAAGGAUUUAAACGGGCGGAAUCAGGAUUGUGUGAGGCUAAAAAGGAAGGUUUGAGGGUGCACACAACGAUAUUUAUGGAGGAACGAAAAUGAGCACGGCAAAAAUAACAAAAUAAUUUUUAAUUAAUGUUGUAUUUGUACGACUAAAAUAUUAAUGAUUUUAUUUCUUUAUACUAAGAUUUUUACUCUUGCCGGUUUGAAAUAUCAAUUAACAUACUAGGAGCAUUAAGUCCACAAAAUUAUAAGUUGGUGGGCAAGAGAGACUCACGAAGCUUUGUGAUACAGUAUGAUGAUCAAACCCAUAUUUCUGGGAUUAAUAAUGUUAAGCUACAUGAAAACAGAAAAAACAAAAAAUAUCAACAAGCCCAAUAAUAAAAGCAAAUCUCAUGCUACUGAGCCCCAAGUAUAUCCAUUAUCCUCUUCCAUAAAUAAUAUUAAUGUGUCAAUCAAUCGUGUGAUCUCAUUAUUUAUGUUUCUUAUUAAUAUUAAUUUUAUUUAUAUAGAUAAGUCGGUACAUCUUCUCCUUAAAAAUUUAUGACAUCUGUAUCAUCUUUUCAUAAUUGAAACACGUGUUUUUAGGUCCUCUGGAGCUUGCUACCUACUAUUUUUGUUUUGUAGAAUUGUUUGUGUAAAAUCCCAGCAUUUCCACUUUAUUAUUUUUUGUUUUGUUAAUAUUGUGUGACAACGACAUGGGUCGAUGACAAGUGGUUCUCACCAGGCACCCAACACAUGCCGACACCACCUCUACAACCAUGAUGAAAUAUAUUUCAAGCUGUGAUAAAAGAUAACCAGUUCUAUUUUAAAUUAGAAUAUGAUGAUGAAUUAUAGCUCUAUAUAAAUAAAUUUGAAAUCCAUCUGGAAUUAGCAUAUAAAUUGUUAUUGUGUUGGUCUACGGAUUUUGGUGAGCAUUAAAUUUCACAUGAACUAUCAUUAUGCUUUCCCAAUAAUUCUAACUAAAUUUAAAUACACUUCAAUUAUGUCUCCCGUUGCAACGCACGGGUAUUUGUGCUAGUAGAAUUAAUAGAAAUCAGAGAGGAAGGCUCUCUUUUGCUUAAAAAGGGUGUAAGUUCAUUAAAUUUGCAAUUUGGGUAAGUCGGUUUUGUGGAAGGAGGAACGGUCGGACGAAAAAAAAGCUGGAGGAAGAAAAAAAAAUGAUGGUUGGAUCUUAGUCUAUCGGCAUAGAAAAUAAAAUAAAGGCCCUGAAUAAUUUUUAGGCAGCUUACACAUAUCUGCUGCCUAAAUAAUAUAGUAGGGACCUUUUUUUAUUUGUUUUGGUAUAUUGGGUGCUAUGACUCUCAAGUGUAAACCAUAUAAGCCAAGCGCGUAUUUGGUUACUCCCAGAUUUUUAACUGAAAAAACUGGUCAUAUGCAACCCUGCAAGUACUUGUUCUGUUACCUCCAUACACGCGGGGUUCCUUGCGCAAUCCACGCGGGUCCACAGGUAUCACAUUUGCCGGGGUGUAACCCCGGUCCAACCGUUCGUACGAGACCUGAGGCGAACUCCCGGCGGCGGAGAAGCCCAAUGGGAACUCGACGAUGUGGAUGAGGACAGUACCCAGGGAUAUUUUCACUAAAAUUUGAAUUAUCAAACUCAUCUCAUGCGCGUAAAGCAGAAAAAUCCUUUGCGAUGCACACAAUCAUUCAAAAAGAACGGUGUUCGACGGCAGCACGCGCAAAGUUUCCCUCCACAUUUAAAAUAAUUUGGCCUACCAACGAAAUAUCUACCCCCUCCCCACCCCUUUUCUCCCCGACCACAAGUCACAUUUCCCCUGUUUCCCCUUCCUUCCUUCCGAAGCUAUAGACACUUUCUCGCUUGCUUCCUCGCUCUCGCCGUAUCGCAUCCUACUUCCGGGGUUAGCAAUUCAGCAUGGUCUUCUUCAAUGACCUCUCCAACGGUUCCUCCUCCGACGACUAAUUUUUCAGCACCCAGGUAUACGUCUCUUCUCUCUCUCUCAGGUUAUGACUUGGAACGAAGGAUUAACCCGACGGUCAAUUUGAGUCAUUUCUUCCUCUUGUAGCUCUCUAGGACCAUCAGUUGCAAUGAAUGGAGCGGGUGGCUGAAGAUCUGCCUGCUCGUUGUUAUCAUCAAUAUCUAUGCGUGAAGCUAGUUGCGUUCGAAUAUGUGGACAGUGGGAGGAAGUUUCUGGCAUGUGCAGAGAAGGUUACACUAGUGCAGAACCGGGCUAUAGCACCAGUUCGUAAGGCAACCGGCACUAAAGGAUGGGGACUAAAGGUCCCCCAUUUUAGUACCGGUUUUGCACGAACCAUCGCUAAAGGGCCACCACAUGGCACAUGCCAGCACCAGGGGCGGGGAGCCCUUUAACCGGUACUAAAAGGUUUGGUGGCUUUUGAUAUUUUAUUUAUUUUCCCUUUAAUUUUGUGUUUUCCAUUUAAUUUAGAGAUUCUUUUUCAUUUAUUUAAUAUAAAAACUCUUGCAUCUCAUAUCAUCACCAACAACAACACUAGUUAAUAAUCAUCAUAUAUAUAUAGUCAUUACCACUAUUUUUAUCAUCAUUAUUUAAUCACCACCAACAGUAGCUUAAAGAAGAAACAUUCACUUGUACAAAAAGCAAAGAUAUCAUCGAGUUCAACAUGGUCAUGAGAUUAUUUAUAAGCAUUCAUAACUAAGACCACAAAAGCAAAUCACUAAUAUUUAAGUUCAUGAUGAAACACGGGCAUGAGACGACAAGUACUAAUAGCGGGAACUAGCUAAUCACUCCUACUGCUCUCUCUCAGGUAAAAUGGCAUAAAACAUGUGUAGCUCUCCUGAUUCAUCAUAUUGGAGCAUGCAGAUGAAUCUGUCUCCUAAUCGUGGGUUGCGCUUCUGAUUGUUGCCCCCAAGUACUUCUCUGCGACCAGUCACAAUUUUUCUCCAGUCUUUCACUAUUAAGCAUUCAUCGGUUCUAGAAAUCCUGAAUGCACUCGUGUGCAAUGUAGGAUGUCUUGGCCGUAAGCUAACAAUUGACAGGCGACCGUUAGUCGAGAUCAACUGAGGUACAAAUAUCAUCGGCAGUCCCUUUUGAAAAAUAUAGUAUAGUAAUAUACUUAGCAAUAAAGUUUAGCUUAAAAUAAUGUAUGCAAAAGAUGCAACGAGGACAAAUAGUAAAAAUCUUACCAUCUUUCCUAAAUACAUGUGACCGUAGUUCAAUAGGAAAACUGUUGGUCGCACGUUUUGAUCACUAAGAUUUGCAUGUCUAGGAAAAUAAUUUCUCUUGACAGCAUCAAGAUACUCAAGCCAUGAAACAUAUUGACUUAUCUCCUCGCAGUUUAAUUCAGCCCCAGGACAGUGGAAGGUCAUGUCUACCAAGCGCCGGACAUGUUUGCUUAAAUAGAAAUAAGUUGUCAAUAGAAAUUAGUUGUCAACUAUUUUUUAAAUAAACAAUAUCGAAGACAUAAUAUGGUUGAGAAACACUCACAUAAUGGUAGAACUGGAGGCGUCUGCCACAUCGACCCAAAUAUCGGUAUUACCUUCAAUAUCAUCUUCCGGAUGAAUAUAAAAAAUGAUAACCAUAUCAGACUCGAAUACAUAAGCCUUGCAUAGUGCUUGCCAAGUUUUGCAUUCAAAAUAGGUGUAGGUGAAUGCAUUGUAUAAUUUUGCAUGGAAAGUAUAACCAUGCUCGGUCUUCAAAUAAACUCUCUUUACCUCCAUAGUUUUCAUAGUACUGAAACCUAUCUUAUCCAAUACAAAAAUUCUUGCAUGGCAGAGGAUAUGUUAUAGUAGAAUAGUAAAAAAUUAAAACUAUAAGUUGAAGCAAAUGAAGCAUAUGCUUAAUUAAGAAAAAAAAACUUGUCGUUGUGACUUAUUGCAUUCACUUCGAAGGUCUCAUCCAGCUUGAUGCUGAAGCGCCUAUCAUCAACUAGGAAAUUUUUGUCGCACGUAACGCGCUUGUAUUCGCAGUAUUCGCACAUAACGAAAUCAUUCUCGUCGUCAGACUUUUCCUAUGUUCAUAUAUAGUUGAAACAUUAAUUGAUAUAAAUACUUACUAGCAGUUCUAUUAAUUCAACUAGCUAGUUCUAUUAAUUCAACUAGCUCUAUUAAUUCAACUACUAAGCACUUAUUAAAAAUAAACUAGUUCUAAGCUUCUUACUAANNNNNNNNNNAUAUAUAUAUAUAUAGUCAUUACCACUAAUUUUAUCAUCAUUAUGUAAUCACCACCAACAGUAGCUUAAAAAAGAAACAUUCACUUAUAAAAAAAGCAAAGAUAUCAUCGAUUUCAACAUGGUCAUGAGAUUAUUUAUAAGCGUUCAUAACUAAGACCACAAAAGCAAAUCGCUAAUAAUUAAGUUCAGGACGAAACACGGACACGAGACGACAAGUACUAAUAGCAGGAACUAGCUGAUCACUCCUACUGUUCUCUCUCAGGUAAAAUGGCAUAGAACAUGUGUAGCUCUCCUGAUUCAUCAUAUUGGAGCAUGCAGAUGAACCUGUCUCCUAAUCGUGGGUUGCGCUUCUGAUUGUUGCCCCCUAGUACUUUUUUGCGAUCAUUCACAAUUUUGCUCCAGUCUUUCACUAUUAAGCAUUCCUCGGUUCUACAAAUCCUGAAGGCACUCGUGUGCAAUGUAGCAUGUCUUGGCCGUAAGCUAACAAUUGACAUGUGACCGUUAGUCGAGAUUCACUGAGGCACAACUAUCAUCGGGAGUCCCUGUUGAAGAACAUCGUAUAGUAACAUACUUAGCAAUGAAUUUUAGCUUAAAAAAUAAUGUAUGCAAAAGAUGCACUGAGGAUAAAUAGUAAAAAUCUUACCAUCUUUCCUAAAUACAUGUGACCGUAGUUCAAUACGAACACUAUUGGUCGCAUGUUUUGAGUACUAAGAUUUGCAAGUCUUGGAAAAUAAUUUCUCUUGACAGCAUCAAGAUCCUCAAGCCAUGAAACAUAUUGACUUAUCUCCUCGCAGUUUAGUUCAGCCCCGGGACAGUGGAAGGUCCUGUCUACCAAGCGUCGGACAUGUUUGCUUGAAUGGAAAUAAGCUGUCAAUAGAAAUUAUUUGUCAACUAUUUUUUAAAUAAACAAUAUGGAAUACAUAAAUAUGGUUGAGGAACACUCACAUAAUGGUAGAACUGGAGGCGUCUGCACAUCGACCCAGAUAUCGGUAUUACCUUCAAUAUCAUCUUCCGGACGAAUAUCAAAGGUGAUAACCAUAUCAGGCUCAAAUGCAUAAGCCUUGCAUAGUGCUUGCCAAGUUUUGCAUUUAAAAAAGGUGUAGGUGUCUACAUUGUAUAAUUUUGCGUGGAAAGUAUAACCAUGAUCGGUCUUCAAGUAAACUCUCUUUACCUCCAUAGUUUUCAUAGUACUGAAACCUAUCUUAUCCAAUACAAAAAAUCUUGCAUGGCAGGGGAUACGCUAUAGUAGAAUAGUAAGAAAAUUAAAAUUAUAAGUUGAAGCAAUUGAAGCAUAUGCUUAAUUACGAAAAAAGACUUGUCGUUGUGACUUACUGCAUUCACUUCGAAGGUCUCAUCCAGCUUGAUGCUGAAGCGCCUACCAUCAACUAGAAAAUUUCUGUCGCACGUGCCGCGCUUGUCUUCGCAGUAUUCGCACAGAACGAAAUCAUACUCAUCGUCAGACAUUUCCUAUGUUCAUAUAUAGUUGAAACAUUAAUUGAUAUAAACACUUACUAGCAGUUCUAUUAAUUCAACUAGCUAGUUCUAUUAAUUCAACUAGCUCUAUUAAUUCAACUACUAAGCACUUAUUAAAAAUAAACUAGUUCUAAGCUUCUUACUAAAAUCUCAUAUAUAGUAAACUUUUAAAUCUUUUAAUUAAUUANNNNNNNNNNAUAUCUACAUUAUUUUCUAUUUAAUUCAUCUAUGACAUUAAUAUCUAACAUUUCUAACAUGCAUUAAUCUAACCUAGAUUUAUAAAAACUAAAAAUAAAAAAAAUAAAAAAAGAUUAUAUAUAACAUGUACUACGGCGGCGAUGGCCGGGGACGAUUGACGGCGCGGCGACGGGGCAACGACGGGGACGGCCGGGCGCGGCGGCGCAGGAGGGCGGCGACAGGGUGAAGAGGCGACGGGGGGCGCGGCGGGGGCGGCGACGGGGACGGCCGGCUGCGGUAGGGGGGGGCAGCGACAAGGCGAAGGGGCGACGACCACGGGCGCGACGACGACGAGAAGAAGCAGAUGGAUGAAAAGUAACUGAAAUUUCGUAAGUGCUAUAUAUAUAGGAGAGAAUUUUAGUACUGGUUCGAGACACAAACCGGUACUAAAUGUCAAAUUUGGCCAGGCCAAACGGCGGGAAGCGACAACGUUUAGUACCGGAUCAUGGCUAGAACCGGUACUAUAGACUACCCUUUAGUACCGGUUUGAGCCAUGAACCGGUACUAAUGGCUUACGUCCGGUGCGGCAAGUUUAGUCUCACCUCGGUAGCCGAGAGGCUUUCAGAGUCAUUUAGCUCAAAACAAAUCUGUAAAUGCAUGAAAAAUAGCAAAUUGUCUAGUUUGUACACGAGGUGCAUCCAGUUUUUGCGGUAACCCUUCUCUACUUUUUCGCACAUGCUAUAUGGGUGAAAUGAUGAUACCAUGCCAAGUUCCAACCUUUUCAGAGUUCAUUUGUAGUGUUUUUCAAUUUUAGGGUCAUUUAGCUGAAAACAAAUCUUUAAAUGCAUGAAAAUUAGCAAAUGAUGUCACAAAGGUUUAAAAGUUUAUGACGUGGCCUUGAAUGGUGCAUCCUAAACGCAAAAAAUGUCUGGAGUUGUAAUAAGGUUAAAACAAUGAAAUGCUGGUGUAACAGAUGAUUUUUGUCCGAAACCCUGAUACUUCGAAAGAUAUUGUCCAGUUUGUACACGAGGUGCAUCUAGUUUUUGCCGUAACCCUCUCUAUUUUUUCGCACAUGCUAUGUGGGUGAAAUGAUGAUACCAUGCCAAGUUCCAACCUUUCAGAGUUCAUUUGUAGUGUUUUUCAAUUUCAGGGCCAUUUAGCUCAAAACAAAUCUUUAAAUGCAUGAAAUAUAACAAAUGAUGUCAGAAAUGGUUGAAAGUUUAUGACAUGGCUUUGAAUGGUGCAUACUACACGCAAAAAAUGUCUGGAGUUGUAAUAAGUUUUAAAAAAUGAAGUGCCGGUGUAACAGAUGAGUUUUCGUCCGAAACACUGAUACUUCGAAAGAGAUUGUCCAGCAUGUACACGAGGUGCAUCCAGUUUUUGUCGUAACCCUCUCUACUUUUUCACACAUGCUAUGUGAGUGAAAUGAUGAUACCAUGCCAAGUUCCAACCUUUUCAGAGUUCCUUUGUAGUGCUUUUCAAUUUCAGGGUCAUUUAGCUAAAAACAAAUCUUUAAAUGCAUGAAAAAUAGCAAAUGAUGUCAGAAAGGGUUGAAAGUUGAUGACGUGGCUUUGAAUGGUGCAUACUGAACGCAAAAAAAAGUUUGGAGUAAGUUUAAAAAUAUGAAGUGCCGGUGUAACAGAUGAGUUUUCGUCCGAAACCCUGAUACUUCGCAAGAGAUUGUCCAGUUUGUACACGAGGUGCAUCCAAUUUUUGUCGUGAUGUCAGAAAGGGUUGAAAGUUUGAUGCUGGUGUAAGUUUUCGUCCGUGUAAACAUGUAAAAAUAUACAUCAAAAAUACAUUGAUCAUCAAUGAUCUUUUUGUGUAGAAUCUAAAUUGUCAAUAGGAAUCUACCCCGGUUUAAGAACCGGCGAAGACUCCUAUUGCAGCCACAGAUAAUACACAUAAAGUUCACUGAAGGCCAAGUGGUUGUGAUAGUUUGAGAAGUAACAUAUUUAUGGUCGUAAAAACCUUCUUAGCCGAGCGAGGUGGGACUAAAAAACAGCUGCAACUAAAUAACUUUAGCACCGAUUUGUGGCACGAACCGGUACUAAACGUGCUGGGUGGGGCCCCAACCUGACAAAAGCCUGCCACAGCCUCAUUAGUACCGGUUCGUGGCAUGAACCGGUACUAAAGUUUCUCCACGAAUUGGUACUAAUGAUCGACGACCGCCUAGCCGUUUGAACCGGCACUAAUGUGACCAUUAGUGUCGAUUCAUCGGCAAACCGGUACUAACGUGCUGAACAUUUUACCCUUUUUUUACUAGUGUUAGCCCCACUUUCGUUGUUACAAAUCAGUUGUUAGAUGCGAUUCAAACACUGUCACUGUGCUAUGUUAUUGUGGACGUUAAGACAGUGUCACAGUUUAUACCUAGUAUCUAAAAAUGUUGCCAUCUCAUCAGCGGCGCCAUUAGAAAAUUAUUUCAUACCGCAUCAGCAGUUUGUGCAGCCAACUUUGAUCCACACAUCCGAGCAGCCAAACAGUAAAAUACUAAAUCUUUAUGGCACGAAGGAACUGGGCAUCAGAACAACUAGGUGCUUGGAGUUCGGGUCCCUGAUUUUUUUCCGCUGCAUCGGCUCGCCAGUGCAGGGCACCGGUGCCAAAUGUAGCAACAGUUGUCUUUACACCAAAUUUGGCAUACACAAUGGAUGUCCUUAGUGCUAUUAGUUCUAUGUUACUAAAUUUGUGAAUGUACACAUCUGUUAGUAUCAAUUUGAUUUCAUCCAAACACUGUCGCUAUGCUGUUGCAGUUAUAUUUAACUUCCUCAUAAAAUAUUCAAUUUGUUAUUUAUAGUUCAUGACUAAGAAAUUGUAGCGUUGUUGUAGUUAAUUAUGGCUUUUGAAAUUUCAGAUUUUGGUUGUUGUCUCUGUAGCAAUUAAUUCAUUUGCACAUUGAUCUUUUUGAGAAGAUAUGCCGUUAUUAACCUGUUUCUUCAGUCUAUGAAAAUAUGUCUAUGCUUAUUUUCUAUGUUUCUACAAACCCAUUUCUCUUUCACUUGUUACUGAUCUAGUUUUAGAUAUUAUAGGAUGAACGAAAGUGUUCUUACCUGGAGUGGGUUGAUCAAGAGUGGCCAUAGUCUUUAAAGAUGUGUUUAGCAAAGCUCUGGAGCAUGUAUAAGGAAGGGAAUAUAGGUAUGCUUAGAGAAAGUGUUGUCAACGAUGAAGAAGUGAAGAUGCAGGAUAAAAAGCGGGGAAUGGAGAAUGAGCUCAGAUUUUUUAAAUCACACUUUGCUAAGAUGGUGUUGGCGAAGGAGGAGUCACUUUUCCUGUUGGCCAGUGUGAAACAGGUUCUUACUGAACUGAAAGCAGAGGUGGAUAAGACGAGUCUGGAUGAUUUCGCUUAGGAAAAUGAAUAUAUUGUUCAAAUAUUGUUCUCAUGAAGGUGAACUAGCUAUAUGUUGUACUGUGUUGUUUUCAGGUUGCUAUCAUACUGUGAUAAGAUGUAUUUAUGUGCGUGAUAUGAAAUUGGCAAACAACUGUUCGAUUUGAAAUGUGAAUUUGCGUAAUACUGAAAUUAUUAAUUAUAAACUAAUAAACCUGCUAAAUGGGUCAAGAAACUUUGCAAAUGAUUCUAGCAGUAAAAGCGCUUGUCAUGGACAGCCCGAUGCCAUACAUUAUAGGUUAUAAAUAGAUUUGAUUUGCAGAUGUGGAUAGCAUUGCCCGUCUAGCUCAGUCCGUAGAGCGCAAGGCUCUUAAUCUUGUGGUCUUGGGUUUGAGCGCCAAGGAGGGCGUCAAUUUUUUUUUCAUUUACGUUAUUCAUUUAAUUGGACAAAAUUACUUGAAGUUGCUUUAGAAAACUUUCCAUAUAUCUUUUUCCUUUAAAGCUACAAGUUCAAUGUUUCAUAUUGGUUUAAUAAAUGACCCCACUUUAUCGUUGACUACGUGGAAUAAGGCCGAAAAAUGCAAACCAGGGAUAUGCGUCAUAAAAGUCAAAGUUAAAACGCGGAUAUUUAAAGUUGUUCUGCAUCUUGAUGUCCCACUAGGACUCACUUAAAAAAAUGCACAACAAAAAAUCCUUCUGAAUUGGAUUAAUCUCAGAAUUUUGAAAAACCGGAUGAGUCGAAUAUUGUGAGAACCUAAAAUCAUUGCAAGUCUGGACACAUUUUGGUCGAAGACAAGAGGUUUGCAAGGUGAACUACCACUGCUUCCUUGUUGUAUUAUCGACAACGAAGAUCUUAGGUACAAAAAAUAAAAAAUUGGGGGAAGCUCUAAUCAAAACACAUGUGAUGCCAUCGUGGACACCAUCAUUGCCAAGAGGUUUGUACUUUGUACCGUGAGAGACCACCACUACCAAGAUAAUCAGACGUUUUAUGAUAUCAAAACACCUUAGAUUUUCGUCCACAAAGAAAGAUGUAUGAGACAGCCCUGAGUUUUUCCCUCCUGGAAUAGUAGAUGCCAUUACGGCCGAGACGUUGGUAUGUGUUGGGUUUGAUUUUUCGUGGCGUGUUGGCUCUGUUGGGCACUCUGGAGUUUGUUGCAUCCAUCAUCCGUUUGUUUUUGUUUGCUUCCCCUCACCUGAUUUCACUCACAUUUUCCAUUCUUUCCUUGCCUUUGUUUUACGGAGUUGCAGGAAGAAUUUGGGAGCGAGGAGAGGCUAGAGGAUGCAUGAGAGGGCGAGUUCACAAGAUUCUUGCUAAGGUUGCAACAUAAUCCGAAAAGCAUCGGAACCCAAACAUAAAGCACUUAUAUUUUGCAACACAAGAAGGAACAAAACCCCAAAUUUAGUUGACCAGACAUAAACAGGUUAAAAAAGGACUGGCAAAAAAAAAACAAAGUGUUGAUGAAAAUACAGCACAAGGGGUGCGCCUAUUUCUUGUCCUCAAUGAUAUUUGAGUUGUUCCAUUUUGUUCUUGACCUCCCCACCUUCUCGAUGUCAUUUGUAUUCCAUUUGAUCUUAUUUGCUUAAUUAAGAAUAGUUGUCAUUUCAAUUAUAAUACAUACCACUUUGUUGGUUGAUAGCUUGAUGUCAUGCAUACACAUCACUCGUGGUGCGUGUAUGUGUCUCUUGUUAUGUUAUUGCAAACGAAAUGCAUGUAACAUUUUUAUGCCUAGUAUAUCCCCACAACCAGAUACAUAUAUACGCUUCCACUAUCCCGCAUAGAGAAUGAAUCUCGGCCACGCUAAAAGUACACAUUAAUUCAGAAUCUACGAGGAAGAGUAGGAGGGGGGAUGCAGUAUGGCUAGUCUUGGUCACCCAGACCAACUUUCUCCGGAUAUCUGCGUUGCCUUGCCUUGCUCAUACACCAAACUGAAGGCCGAGACUACAUAACACAACUGUAUGUAUUGUAAAUUAUUCCACGGUAGCUAUAUAUAAGUUGACUAAAUUGAAUAAAUUAAAUGUCUAACAUGAAAGAUACCAUCAGGUGGAUGUUGACAUCUGAUGGUGUCUUCACUAUAAAAUCUUUUUUACAGACAACUUGUUAUUGUGUACUUUUAGCCUGGCUGACAUCUGACGAUACAGUAGCUUCCAACAGAAAUGUAUGUGGAAAAUACAAGUUGCUCCUAAAAUUAGAGUGUUUUUUGGCUGAAGGUUGGAUAGGUAAACAAAUGUUUUGCCCUUUGUGGCAUGUUCGAUUUUUUUUUUCGUUGCUAAAUUGGUUUGGAGUUUGUUCAAAUGUGCUUUCGAGUUGAGAAAUCUUCCUGACACUUAAACACUUGUUUUGGUGUUUGGAUUAAAAGUUUUUCGAAGAUAAAUAAGAAUCUGAUAUUGGUGGGGGUUUCUGCCAUCUUCUGGACUAUAUGGAGAUGCAUGAAUAAUAUUGUGUUUGAGACAAAACACAAUUAUGAUCCUAUUAUUCACAUCAAUUUGAUAUGUCAUUGUAUAUCUUAUUGGGCCAUUCUGUAUAUAAAGGAAAUUGAAGGGUCCUGAUGAUGGGGGGUAAUAGUCAUACAACAUGUGGGAAAUGAGGUGCAUAGAGCUCAUGUCAUACUAGACUCGUGCUUUGUAAUUUUUCUGGAGGCUGACCAUUGCUUGGUGUUGUCCUUCCUCUAGAUGCUGAUGCCUGACUUGGUUCUAUCUUCUGUAUUUGUAGUUGUGGUUGGGCUCUAGGUUUGGUGCUGGUAGUUUCUGAUGUUGAUGAGUUUAGAACUAUGGUGGUUUAUGUAAUGUUUAUGUGUGCCUCUAUUUGUGGCGUUGGAGGCUAGAUAUUCAUCUGGUGAGCUGGUUUUCUUUCAGAUGUUUUGCCGCUUGGUUUUUGGUGGAGCUGUUGUUGGGUGUUAGGGAAUUUUCAAGGUGGACCCACAAACCUCCGCUUCCGUCUAGACCGUGUUGUCCAGACCGCCGGAGCCAUCCACGCGGGCCUGUAUCGGUCCGCGGGGCGGUCCGGACGAGUUUUUUCCUACAAAAUGAAGACAAAUGGGGGGAGCUUUGCGGGAGUCUAGACAUCAGACACGUAUGACUCCGACACCCCAGGCCCACCCAAAACCCUUCCCGGACCCUCUGCCUCCAUCCUCCCCAUUUUCUCUUCUUUCUUCUUUCUCUCUUGCCUUCGCCGCCGCUCCACCACCCCGUCCGCCACACCACACCUUGCUCAUGGUCCUCACAUAUGAUGAGCAUGGUGGGUUCUUCGACCAUGUUCCCAGGCCGGUCGACGGCGUGCCUAGUCCCGACGACAUUGUUGGCCCACCGCCGUACAACUUCACGUUCAACAGGUUAGGGGUGCUUGUCCCGGCCAUCUUGAUCUCUCCAUGGAUUGAGAAGGGAACAAGUCAGUCAUCACUUCUUUGUUAAUACUAUAUGAAAACGGAUGCCAGAUUUGCUCAAUGUACAUUCGUUGCUGAUAUUUGUUUGGGUUUCAGUUAUGCAUGGGCCGAAUGGAAGUCCGUCCCCGAUGUCGCAAUUCGAGCAUUCUUCAGUCCCUGCAACCGUGAAGAAACUGUUCAAUCUGCUUCGGGAUUUCCUGACCAAAAGAGACGCGUGGGCUGGGACCUUCAAAGGCGUCGUGCAAACCAGAACUGAACCGAGGACAGAUUGUCCAGGUAAUUUGUCAAGUUCAGCAUAGGACCUGGCUUGUUUUGUAUUCUGUCUGUGAGUUGUCUGCUUAUCCAUUAAAGUUGUGAAAUGUGCAGAGCAACUCCCGACGCCGACGAGGAUCCGUCAGACGGAGGCGAACGAGGAGGCGAAGCUGAGCUCGUUCCAGCAGGAGAUCGUGCAGCUGGCGGCGGUGCUGUACGGAGACCACCAGCUGAGCAGCCUGCAGCAGAGGAUCAGGGAGAGGAUGAACGUGAGGGAAGGGACCUCCUACAUGAGGAGCGCCGUGCGGCGCUUCUUCGAGGCCGGCAUGUCGGCCAAGAGAAUGGGCGUCGCCGACGACGAGCAGAUCGUCAAAAUGAUGCCCUCCCUCACCACCAGGACAUCCAGUGCGGACCAAGAUAAUCUUCCGUAGAGAGCACACAUACACACAUGCAUAGGAAAUUGAUUGGUGUUGGGGAAUUUUUGGAAAAUGUUUAGAAACAGCCGGAUGAAUUCUUGGCCUCGUCAGCCGCGUCCGUCACCGUGCGAUCGCACGCAACCGUGGGGCGCAGAGUGCUCUCUGUCCCCCACGUAAAGUAACUUCACCUAUCGUGACGUCUGAAGCUGACUGGCACCAUGAUUGUUUAACAAUUUCCUCAUACUUCUUUCUCACACGUAGAGCUUGGCCACGUACCUACACAUGUACGUGACUAGUAAGCAUCGAAACUUCUUGACGUUGAUUAUGGGUGUUUGUUGAAUUUGGUACUAGCAUGCUCAUGGAUUCAUGAUUGUUUGGAUAUAGCAAUGCUUAGAGUAGUGUUCUUGACGUCUACGUCGUCCCCAUAACAGCCGUCGAAGCAUAUCCGUCAUCAUAGCUUCAUCACAACAGUCGGGUUGUCGUCGCAGCAUCGUCAAAACAACCAUGUCAUCAUCACGGCACUGCCACAGGUGGGAAGCACGCCGUCGUAGCAGUCGGGCCUUCGUUGGAGCGUCGUCGCGAUCAUCGAAGCAGGCCGUCGUAGCAGUCGGGCCUUCGUCCGAGCAACGCCGCGAUCAUCGAAGCACACCCUCGUAGCAUGGUCAUGAUCGAUCGAAGCACGCCGUCGACGCGGUUCAUCGCAACAUCACUGCGGCUGUCACAACAUCAUCAAAGGAUCCAGGUUGUUGACGCAGCGUCGUCGCAACCGUUGAAGCACCCGCCGCGGCCGUCUCAACAUAAUUGAACCAAACAGGUUACCGUUGUGGCACCGCCGCGGCCGUCGAAGCAUAAACACCAUCAUAGCGUCACCGGAGCAACCAGGUUGUUGUUGUAGAAUCGCCGAAACAGCCGUGCCAUCAUCGCGGAACUGCCACGGCAGGAAAGCUCGUCGUCGCCGCAGUCGGGCCUUCCUCGGAGCAUCGCCGCAAUCAUCGAAGCACGCCGCUGCAUCAUCGACGCGCCGUCGCGUUUCGUUGCAAAUCAUCGUGGCAGCCAAAGCACGACAUCACAUCGUAGGAGCCGGGUUGCCAUUGUAGCAUAGUCACAGUUCUCGAAGCACCCUCACGGCCGUCGCAACAUCAUUUGAAGUUGACAGGUUGCCGUCGUGGCUCCGCCGCAGCUGCCAAAGCACGUCGUCGCGCCAUCGCCACCGCUGCCGAAGCAUGUCAUCACAAACAUCAUUGAAACGGCCGUGAUUUCAUCGAAGGUGCCGGGCUGCCAUCGCAGAGACCGUUGUCCAAUGUCGCAGCACUGCUCGCGCCCUCACACUACACUCGCAACAGCCGGACCACCCCUCGCGAUAUCGUCGUCUCGGCUUGCAGCGCGUUUGGUCUCGUAUGCAGCAGCCACCCCCGCCGCUGGUCUUUUGAAGCAGCUCAUGUCGCUGCGUGAGCAUGGACGUUUUUCUUUUUUUAGGGCAAUGGCUGACUUGCUACUUAACUGAUACUACUAUACUACAGGAGCAUAGAUGACUCUGGGUCACGUAUGCGUUGAUGCGCUAUACCAACUAGGCUACGUGGAGUCGCUACUUAGAGUAUUACUAGUAGAGUCCUCAUUGUCUCAAAAAAAAACUAGUAGAGCCCUCAAACCCUUAAACCCCUGAAAAUAACCGCUUUUUUUACAGCUUUCGCCGAAAAAAUGCCGUAGACUAGAACCUCUAAACCCUCAAACCCGUAAAAAAAUUUAGAGGUCCAACCCUCAAACCAAUUUGCAAUCUGUAGAAGUAGGGGUUGAGGGGAAAAUCUCCCCCCAACCCACACUCCUCCUUGUCGCUCGCUCCGAGCCCACGCGGGAGCCAACCGCUCCUCCUCCCGCCCGCGUCCCGCCGCACUCCUCCUCGUCGCCGGCCAUGGAAGGCCCCGCCGCCGCCGCGCCCCCGCCCGCCGCGCCCGCCGCUCCCNNNNNNNNNNNNNNNNNNNNNNNNNNNNNNNNNNNNNNNNNNNNNNNNNNNNNNNNNNNNNNNNNNNNNNNNNNNNNNNNNNNNNNNNNNNNNNNNNNNNNNNNNNNNNNNNNNNNNNNNNNNNNNNNNNNNNNNNNNNNNNNNNNNNNNNNNNNNNNNNNNNNNNNNNNNNNNNNNNNNNNNNNNNNNNNNNNNNNNNNNNNNNNNNNNNNNNNNNNNNNNNNNNNNNNNNNNNNNNNNNNNNNNNNNNNNNNNNNNNNNNNNNNNNNNNNNNNNNNNNNNNNNNNNNNNNNNNNNNNNNNNNNNNNNNNNNNNNNNNNNNNNNNNNNNNNNNNNNNNNNNNNNNNNNNNNNNNNNNNNNNNNNNNNNNNNNNNNNNNNNNNNNNNNNNNNNNNNCGAAGCGGCAGCGGGCGGGCCUCGCGGCGCCUCCUCCCGCCUCCCAGCCUCCCGCCCCGGCCCCCGUCUCCGCCCCGGCGCCUGCCCCCGCCACGGCCCCGGUGCCCGCCCCCAAGAAGAGCCGGCCGAAGGCGGCCGGCCAUGGGCCUCGAGGGGCCGCCAAGGUCGUCGGCUCAUGCCCGGCCGUGAAGAAGCCGCGGAAGAAGCCCGCCGCCGCGGCCGCGGCCCGCCCGCCACCAUCGCUGAACCUUCUCCCGCCGCGCACGAGGUGCUCGAGGAAAUGGCAACCCCAUCCUCAUUCAUGGACCUCCUCCAAAACGCGGAGGUGGACCUCGGAGCUCCGCCUCUAGACCCCUUUAGGGUUGGCGACGACUUGGAGGAAAAGGAGGAAGAUGAGGAGGAUGAAGGGGAUGACGAGGAGGAGGUGGCCGAGAUAGGGGUGGAGGCAUUCACCGCCGCUUCCCGCCCACACGCUCGAUCGACAAACUACACCGAGGCGGAAGAUGUCCUCUUGGUUCGUGCUUGGGCAGCUGUGGGAAUGGAUGCUACCACCGGCACCGAUCAAACCGGUAAACUCUAUUGGCAAAGGAUCGAGGACGUCUAUUGUAGGAUCAAGCCGAAGACUAGUGGGUUCAUCCAUCGCACUUACCGGUCGCUUCAAGGCCGGUGGGAGUUGAUCAAGCCCGCUUGUUCUCGUUGGACUGCGGCCAUUGGCCAAGUGAUGGAUGCACCACCUAGUGGAACCGUGGAGAGUGACUAUGUGAGUACAUAUUUCUUCACUAUUUUGAUUAUGUGUCUGCACUAUGCUAUUGGUGGGUUCUUAUGUGAUUUAUGUGUGGUUGAUAGGAGACAAUUGCCGGCUUGAGGUACAAGGAGAUGGCCGCUUCCAAGGGCAAGCCAUUCCCAUUUAAGCAUGUUUGGUCAAUUCUUCAAACCUUUGACAAGUGGAAGUUGAGGGAUCAAGAGACCGCACCCAAGAAGUCGGCAAUGCUAAGGAUGGACGAUAGUGAAGAUGAGGAGGAGAGGAACGUGGGCAAGCCCGAGGGAAACAAGAAGGGCAAGCUAAGGGUGAAGAUGGAAGAAGAGGCGUCAAGCCUAAGGGAGAAGAUGGACCACAUGAUGAAGGCAAGAGAGGAAUUGACAACGAAGACAUUGGAGAUGAAGCUUCUUAUCACCGAGAAGAAGAAAGAGGUCAAGCUUGCACAAGUUGAAGCAAAACGUGAAGAAGCAAAGCGCAAGGCCGAGUUGGAGGAGAGGAUGAUCAAGCUCAAAGAGGCAAAGGUAUAGAAAGAACUCAUUGUGGAAGAGAAAGAGCACAUGAUGAUGUCCAAGAAGGACAUGGAUCAAGAGCAAUUGCAAUGGUGGAAGGACUACAAGGAGGACAUCGCCGAGAGGAAGAGGAUGUUCCGUGUUGCGUCCUCUACUUUUCGAGGUGACACUCCGAUGAGUAGUUGUGGUGAUGGCGGUGUGUACGACUCCACCGGUGCCGAUGGAGAUGCUUGAUGGAGCCCGCUUGUGGUCUAGGAGAUGGCGCCGAGGUGCAACUUUUGGUGAUGGUGCCGAUGAGAGGAGGAAGAUGAUGAUUUUGUGAUGUAAACUAUUAAACCAUGCAUCAAUGAUUGUCAUUUGAUAGUUUGUUUGGAAGUUGAUUGUGUUCUUGUUGUCAUAAAUUGUGAGUUCUCAAAUGAUAGAUUUAAAUGUUAGGGUUGAGGCAAAGACUAGAACCCUCAAAUCCAACCCUUAAAGCAGUUUACGGGUUGGGUUUGAGGGUUCUAGUAUUUGCCCCUAUUUUUGAACCCUUAAAAAUGUCAAAAAGUGGCACUUCUCAAUCCUUAAAAGUGCUUUAAGGAUUUGAGGGUUUGAAGGUUCUACUAGUAAUGCUCUUAGGGCAUUAGUUAAAACGGGCCGGACUCGCGUGGAUCGGACGGUUCACAAGAUGGACAGGUCGAACCAAUCGAGUGGCUGGCCACCCGGCUGAUCAGCCGGAUGACGCCGCAUCCGCCAUUUUUUUUACUAGUACUACACAUAGAAGAUCAGCCAGCGUAUGUAGCGUAGCCAGUACCAUACGGUGUGCUCGUGCUAUAUGGGAUGGAAGUGCUGUAGGAUGGAUGGAUUCGGCAAUACAUGGGCGGUAAAAAAACCAAACAUUCGUUCUAUGUGGUAUACAAGCAAUGCAUCAUUGCCCCUGUCACAGGCCGAAUAUGUUGAGUGAACCGCCGCGUCACGAAGCAAGUCCUGACCAUCAAGCAGGGGAAAUAGUUCAUCCUGACCAUCACCGUGGAGUCACUGGCUGGUUGUGACUACAAACCUAAUUAGCAAUGCUAAUUAACAUGUUGAUCUAAAGCCAUGACAAGUCAGGAGGCUAGGACCCCAUUCCCCGCUCGGUUGGCACCUGGUACACUACACAGAGCUCUCCGGUGCGUUGGCCACCUGGGUUUUAAAAUAUAUAUAUGCAGUGUAUGUAGAAUUGAUUUGCAACUUUGCCGAGUAUUGCCCGUCUAGCUCAGUUGGUAGAGCGCGAGGCUCUUAACCUUGUGGUCUUGUGUUCGAGCCCCAAGGUGGGCGUCCAAUUGUUUUUCAUUUACCUUACUCAUUUAAUUGGACUGAAUUACUUGAAGUUGCUUUACAAAACUUUCUACCCUUUUCCUUCAAAUUUACAAGUUCAAUGUUUCAUAUUGGUUUACUAAAUGACCCCACUUUAUCGUUCACUACGUGGAAUAAGGCCGAAAAAACGCAAACUAGGGAUAUGCAUCAUAAAAGUCAAAGGUAAAACCAAGAUAUUUAAAGUUGUUUUCCAUCUUGAUGUUCCAGUGGGACUCACUUAAGAAAAAUGCACAACAAAAAAUCCUUCUGAAUUGGACUAAUCUCAGAAUUUUGAAAAACCGGAUGAGUCGAAUAUUGUGAGAACCUAAAAUCAUUGCACGUCUGGACACAUUUUGGUCGAAGACAAGAGGUUUGCAAGGUGAACUACCACUGCUUCCUUGUUGUACUAUCGACAACGAAGAUCUUAGGUACAAAAGAUAUAAAUUGGGCGAAGCUCUAAUCAGAACACAUGUGAUGCCACUGUGGACACCAUCAUUGCCAAGAGGUUUGCAAGGUGAGCCCUCAUUGAUGUACCGUGAGAGACCACCACUACCAAGAUAAUCAGAUGUUUUAUGAUAACAAAACACCACAGAUUUUCUUUCAAAAAGAAAGAUGUAUGAGAUAGCCCUGCGUUUUUCCCUCCUGCAACAGUAGAUGCCAUUACAGCUGAGGCGUUGAUAUGUGUUGGGUUUGGUUUUUCGUGGCGUGUUGGCUCUGUUUGGCACUCUGUAGUUUGUUGUUUCCAUCAUCCGUUGGUUUUUGUUUGCUUCCCCUCACUCGAUUUCACUCACAUUUUCCCUUCUUUCCAUAACUUUGUUUUUUGGAGUUACUGGAAGCAUUUGGGAGCGAGGGAGGCGAGAGGAUGCAUGAGAGGGCGAGUUCACGAGAUUCUCGCUAAGGUUGCAACAUAAUCCCAAAAGCAUCGGAGCCCAAACAUAAAGCACUUAUUACAACACAACAAGGAACAAAACCCCAAAUUUAGCUGACCAGACAUAAGCAGGUUAAAAAAGGGACCGGCAAAAAAAAAAACAGUGUUGAUGAAAAUACGACACAAGGGGUGCGCCUAUUUCUUGUCCUCAAUGAUAUUUGAGUUGUUCCAUUCUGUUCUUGACCUCCCCACCUUCUCGAUGUCAUUUGUAUUCCAUUUGAUCCUAUUUGCUUAAGAAUAGUUGUGGUUUCAAUCAUAAUUCAUACCAUUUUGUUGGUUGAUGUUGUGAAUCAGGGGAAUAUUGAAUAAAUCUAGAUUGGAAGAUUGUCGAAGGAAGAACUGGAAGGGGAAAAACUGGAGCGCCUUAUCCUCCAGCCUCCUCUCUCUCUGUAUUCUAUAUGGAUAUGUCCUUUUUCAUCUUAGCCUUGCCACUAUUACAUAUUCACACAUUUACACAACUCAACACUCCCCCUCAAGAUGAGGUAAAUGCAUCAUAUAAUCCCAUCUUGCUACAAUGGAUAGAAAACAUUCUAUCUGGUAAGCCCUUAGUCAAGAUGUCUGCAAGCUGGUUUGAGGAGCUCGCAUAUGUCAUACAAAUAAUUCCUUGAUCCAACUUCUCUUUAAUAAAAUGCCGAUCAAUUUCAACAUGCUUUGUUCGAUCAUGUUGUACAGGAUUUUGUGCAAUAUUAAGGGCUGCCUUAUUAUCACAAUAUAGCAUCAAUGGUUUAGUCUGAUAUAAACCCAGCUCCAUCAAAAGGAUUCGCACCCAUAACACUUCACACACUCCAUCUGCCAUGGAUCUAAAUUCUGCCUCAGCCGUGGACCGCGCUACAACACUUUGCUUUUUGCUGCGCCAUGUGACAAGAUUACCUCCAACAAAUGUACAGUAGCCUGAUGUUGACCUUCUAUCAUCCAAAGAGCCUGCCCAAUCUGCAUCUGUAUAACAUUCCACCUGUAGAUUUCCAUGUGAUGUAUAUAGUAGACCUCGACAUGGACAUCCCUUAAGAUAGCGAAUAAUUCGGAUCACAGCAUCCAUGUGGCGAGUCCGUGGAUCAUGCAUAAACUGGAUAACAACACUUACAGCAAAAGCAGUAUCAGGACGAGUGUGUGAAAGAUAAAUCAAUCGUCCAACAAGCCUUUGAUAGCGUUCUCGAUCCACGGGAGAUCCGGCUUCACUAACUAGGCGAUGAUUUUGCUCAAUGGGAGUGGGAGCUGGACGACAUUUGGAUAGCCCAGUUUCUAGUAAUAAAUCUAAAAUAUACUUUCUUUGACAGAGAUAAAUACCUUUUUUGCUCUGAGAGACCUCAAUUCCAAGGAAAUAUCGUAAUUGUCCAAGAUCUUUCACCUCAAACUCCUUCGCUAGCCGCAUCUUCAAGUGUUCUAUUUCCUUAGUAUCAUCUCCUGUAAUGAUGAUAUCAUCGACAUAGACUAUCAGUAUAGCUAACUUGCUCAUAUUACGCUUAUAGAACGAGGUAUGAUCAGCAUUACUCUGAUGAUAGCCCAUUUUAAGUAAGGAUCUCCUAAAACGAUCAAACCAAGCUCGAGGCGAUUGCUUUAAUCCAUAUAAGGAUCGAUGCAGCCGCAACACUUUAUCCUUAGUCUAAGCAGUGUCAAAACCCGGUGGUAUACACAUAUAAAUUUCUUCUUGAAGAUCCCCAUGGAGAAAGAAAUUUUUUACAUCUAGUUGAUGAAGAUCCCAACCAAGAUUAGAUGCACAUGAUAUUAAAGUUCGUACUGAACUCAUCUUAGCAACAGGUGCAAAGGUUUCUUCGUAAUCAAUCCCAUAUGUUUGUGUGUAUCCCUUUGCCACCAGACGUGCCUUAUAUCGCUCCACCUUGCCAUCAGGGUUCUGCUUGAUCGUAUACACCCACUUGCAACCCACAGGCUCCUUGCCAUGUGGUAGUUUUACGAGUUCCCAUGUGUUAUUUUUCUCCAAAGCCUUCUUUCCUCCAGCAUUGCUUCCUUCCAUUUAGGAUGUUUAAUGGCAUCUCUCCAAUCUGUGGGUAUAGAGGUAGAGUCCAAAGAAGCAAUGAAGGUCUUAAAUGAGGGGCUGCAAUUUUCAUAAGAGAUAAACUUAGCAAUAGCGUGCUUAUAACCCACACAAUCCUUAAGACGUGCUGGUAUGUCUCGAUGUCUCACAGGUUUCCGUAAGGCGAUAGGGCAAUCAUCAAGUGGAGAUCUAGGAGCUGCAAUAGGAAUUUCAGUACCUUCCUCAGUCGUGUCAUCAGUACAACCAUCAACUAAUGGAGAAUCAGUAGGAUCCAUAGCAUGUCCGCUACCUUCCUCUGUUUCUUCACGAGGCACUGAAUCAAGAGGCAAUGACAUGUAACUUGUAGACAGAGGGUUGUCAUGUUGUAUAACUUGUUGAGGAGUAGGAGUGUCACAUACCUCAUGAACGGUUGAGCUGCUCCUACUCUCAUUAGUACUCGCAUUUUCCUCCCCCUCCGUUCCUUGAUCUGGUUGAGAUAUAUCUAGCAAAGGAAUCAAAACUGAACCAAUACGAACAUCUCCCUUAUCAUAAUUCUCCCCCUCACGACCAAUACUAUCAAUAGUAUUGAUGGCUGACGUGUAAUAAGGUUCUUUCUCCCGAAAAGUGACAUCCAUACUCACAAAAAAACCGUUUCUCAGUAGGGCACCAACAACGAUAGCCUUUUUGAGUAGAAGAAUACCCAACAAAAAUGCAUCUGACAGCACGGGGAUCAAGCUUUCCCACCGAGUUCCUGUAAUCAUGAACAAAACAAACACAACCAAACACCUUUGGUGGUACAAUAAACGAAUUAGUACCACUCAAGCAUUCAAUUGGUGUUUUAUAAUUCAAAACCCGUGAUGGCAUGCGGUUUAUUAAGUAUGUUGCUAUUUUAGUGGCCUCGCCCCAAAGAAAUUUUGGUACAUUCAUUGUAAACAUGAGGGACCGAGGCACCUCCAAUAAAUGUCUAUUUUUUCGUUCAGCGACUCUAUUUUGAGCAGCAGUGUUCACACAUGUAGUCUGGUGUAUGAUGCCAUUUGAAGCUAGAAAAUAGUCAAACUCCCGAUUAACAUACUCGGUUUCAUUGUCAGAGAGAAAUAUUUUCACUCUUGCAUUAUAUUGAUUGCAAAUCAAGGCAUAAAAGUCUUUAAAUGCAGAUAACACAUCACACUUUUGUUUGAGAAAAUAAAGCCAAGUAUGUCGACUAAAGCCAUCGAUAAAAGUCACAAACCAACGCUCUCCUAAUAGAGAGGUUACAGCUGAGGGACCCCAAACAUCUGAGUGCACAAUUUCAAAAGGGGUUUGACUUCUCUCACUACUACUAGGAUAAGUAGCCCGCGUAUGCUUAGCUAGUUCACAAACAUCACAUACAAGCUUAUCCUUGCAGCAGGAAGCAAAAAAUGAUGGAAACAUACGACUUAGGACUUGGAAAGAUAAAUGCCCAAGUCUACAAUGGAGCAACAACAACUCAUCUGUGGAUGAGGUACAUGCUGUAGCAAAUGCAAGUGGAGCUGCAACAUUGUCAAGAUAGUACAGGCCAUCACGCUCAGUUCCAGUCCCAAGUAUUUUUCCUGACUUCAGGUCCUGAAAUACACAGAAUUGGGGCUCAAACAAAGCUCUGCAAUUAAGUGACUUUGUGAUUGAACUGACAGACAGAAGGUUCACAGGGAAAUCGGGAACAUGUAAGACAAGACUUAAAGGUAAGGACGGUGUACAAAUAAUGGUUCCACAUCCCAUUAUGGAAGACGAAGACCCAUCAGCUAUACGGACCUUAUCCUUUCCUGAACGAGGUAUGUAUGAUGAAAAAUAUUUUUGUGAACCCGUCAUAUGAUUUGUGGAACCCGAAUCAUUUAUCCAGGGCACAAGUAAAUGGUUCUCACCUUCUGCACUCCGAGAGCUGGCAGCCUCACUAGAUCCUUCAGCAGUAACAGCCAUCAAUUUUGCCUUGAACUCUUCUAGAGCCCGAGCAACAAUUGCAGGUAACUCUCCUGUGGAUGAUGCAAGAUGAACUCGGUCUUGUUUCUUCUCGAAGUUGUUACCGCUGCCGUUGAACCUGUUUAUUUUCCUUUGCUGCCAUCCUAGAGGAUAACCAACCAACUCGAAACAAUCCUUUUUCAUAUGGCCUGGUCUCUUACAAUGAUCACAGACAACUUUGUUUCUCCGUUUGUGGUCAAACUUGGUAGUAUUUGCUUGACCACUUCUAAAGCUAACAGAGGUUUGUGUGUGAGUAAGUGCAGCACGAUUAUCACCAUGCAUCUGUGGCAUUGCUUCCUGAUUAGCCAAACGAGUUUCUUCUUCAAGAAUACUGGCAAUAGUUUCAUCCAAGGUAGGCCAGUCAGGAGAUGCUUGUAUCAUCUGAGAGCGAAGUUUGAACUCAGGAUUCAAACCUUCCAGGAAAACCUGCACCAACAAUGGUUCGAACCAUUCUCUGAGGAGAGACAAAUCUCUAGGAUCAUGUGGCUUGAAUGGUCUAAAAAACUCUAGAUCCCUGUAAAGUUUCUUGAGUUCCCCUGCGUACUCUGUAACUGAUCUCUGGUCUUGCCUCAAGUGCAACAUCUCAUGUAGUAUUCUGCUAACCUGCAUUUUGUUUGAUUUACCAGAAAACUGUUUUUCAAUACUUGUCCAGACUUUAGCGGCAGUUUGAAAACUUUCAACUUGUUCCCGAACAGUUUUUUCCAUUGAGCCCAACAGCCAAACCAUUACUCGCUUCUGAUUUUGUUCCCAUUGUUCCUUCAUUACAUCUUCUGGCUUUUUCUCAUCUCCAUUUAGGUACUUAUGCAGACCAUGCGCUUCCAGAAUUAAUGACGCAUUGCGAGCCCAACUAAAAUAGUUACCCGGACCAGUCAAUUUUACUAGAUUUGGCUCGAGGAUAGACUUCAGAAUUUCAGUCGAGCUACUAGACUUCACCUGUGCUUGUUCCAUCAGCUGAGCAAGCAUUCACUGCAUACUUUCACAUAAUUUCUCAACACUUGAGUCCACAUCCUUGUCCUUGUCUUUGUCUCCCAUGGUCACUAGCUAGCAAGAGAACUCUACAAGAAUAGACCACAACACAACACUCGCAGGUCACAAGUUCUUAUGAGCUGAACUCACCACAAACAAAUCAGCCCAGCAAACGAAGUUGCCCCAACCACAGAAAGAACGGGAUCACAAAGGACUCGAACUGACCAGAAUCUUGACAACUUACGGUGAGAACAGCACCGCACCGUAUUCGUCGUUCGUCUCCGCCGAACCUCGAUCCUGCUCAACCACCACCAAUGUCGCACACUGGACUUUCUCCAAAUGCGGCCAUGCUUGGCUCCGCCAAAUCGCAAAGGAUCUGAGCGAAGACAAGGUCCAGCCGCCACAGCGAAUCGACGGCGGCAACACCUCGAUGAUGUGGCGUCGCGGCACAAUAGGGACAGCCAAAUCCGCUCAAAAUCGUGGUAGAGACGCAAUAGGAUCGUCUUGCUCCGAUGCCAUGUUGUGAAUCAGGGGAAUAUUGAAUAAAUCUAGAUUGGAAGAUUGUAGAAGGAAGAACUGGAAGGGGAAAAACUGGAGCGCCUUAUCCUCCAGCCUCCUCUCUCUCUGUAUUCUAUAUGGAUAUGUCCUUUUACAUCUUAGCCCUCCAACUAUUACAUAUUCACACAUUUACACAACUCAACAGUUGAUAGCUUGAUGUCAUGCAUACACAUCACUUGUGGUGCGUGUAUGUGUCUCUUGUUAUGUUAUUGCAAACGAAAUGCAUGUAACAUUGUUAUGCCUAUUAUAUCCCCACAACCAAAUACAUCUAUACACUUCCACUAUCCCGCAUACAAAAUGAAUCUCGGCCAGGCUAAAAGUACACAAUAGUUUAGAAUCUAUGAGGAAGAGUAGGAGAGAUGUGGUAUGGCUAGUCUUGGUCACCCAGACCAACUUUCUCCGGAUAUCUGCCUUGCCUAACCUUGCUCACCGAACUGAAGGUCAAGACUACAUAACAAAACCGUAUGUAUUGUAAAUUAUUCCACAGUAGCUAUAUAUAAGUUGACUAAAUUGAUUAAAUUAAAAUGUCUAACAGGAAAGAUACCAUCAGGUGGACGUUCACUAGUAGAAAAAGGGCCUAUUGUCCCGGUUCAUAAGGGCCUUUAGUCCCGGUUUUGGAACCGGGACUAAAGGGUCGUUACUAAAGCCUCGCCCUUUAGUACCGGUUCUUACACGAACCGGGACUAGAGGCCGUCCACGUGGCCGCUGCCUGGAGGUCCACCUUUAGUCCCGGUUCGUGGCACCAACCGGGACUAAAGGAAAUUUUAUGUUUUUUUUGAAUUUUUUUAUUUUCAAAUUUCUAAAUUAUUUUAACCUCUAAUCACCCCUCAUCACUGCUCAAUUUAACCUCUAAUCUCUAAUCACCCCUCAUCACUGCUCAAUUUAACCUCUAAUCUCUAAUCACCCCUCAUCAUUCUAAAUCAUCUAACUUCCCGAACGGUCACCCAUCCUCUCACUACCCCAACCUGAGCACGCUUAACUUCCGGGUUCUAUUCUUCCUCGUUUCCAAGUCUGCACUUGUUGUUUUCCUGACAAUAGUAAGAUGUCAAUCCUAUUAACCCUCAGGAAUUUAGCUUGAGCAUGAAGUCACACAUUUCACUGUUUGAGUUUGAAACUAUCAUUCUAAAAAACAAUAAUUAUUUAGUAACACUAAUAUUUCUUGAAUAAGUAGUUUGACCACAGUUUGACCAUAGUUUGACCAUAUUUGACCAAAAUUCAAAAAAACAAAAUAAUUAUUUAGAAACACUAAUAUUUCUUGAAUAAGUAGUUUGACCAUUGUUUGACCAUAGUUUGACCACAGUUUGAUCAUAGUUUGACCAGAUUUGACCAAAAUUCAAAAAAAACUGUAAUAAUUAUUUAGUAACACUAAUAUUAUUGAAUUAUUAUUUAGUAACACUAAUACUUGUUGAAUAAGUAGUUUGACCAUAGUUUGACCAGAUUUAACCAAAAUUAAAAAAAUGAAAUUUGAGCAUAAUUUUUUUUCCUUUUAGAAUUUGAGGAUUCAAAAAAUUUCCAAACAGGCCGUAGACGGUCAAAAUCGGAUGCGGAUUUUCGUGCUGAACAUUUUGAUAUAUUAUACGUUUUUUUGACAUCGUAUGCAAAAGUUAUAGCCGUUUUACAUUUUCCCUACACUUUUUGCAAAACAUGUCCAAAUUUAAGUUUUUAAAUUUUUCUAACUAGUACAUGUAGUAACAUAACUACAUUUGGAAGGAUUUAAAUUUUUGAAGCUUUUAUUCAUUUUCUUUUGCUUUUUAAAAAAUUGAAAAGGCGAUCCACGGGGGGGAGGGGGGUGUGUGUUGAAAAUGGGACCGGUACUAAUGCCUCAAACCCCAUUAUUACCUGUUGGUUGCUUGAACCGGGAUUAAAGGUCUAACCUUUAGUACCGGUUGAUGCCACGAACCGGUACUAAUGGGCAUCGCACCCUUUAGUCCUGCUUCAUGGCACCAACCGGGACUAAAGGUCCCCAUUUGAACCGGGACCAAUGCCUGUACGGUGCCCUAGCCGCUCGAACCGGGACUAAUGCUCACAUUAGUCCCGGUUCGUAAUGCAACCGGGAUUAAUGCUCUUUUCUGCCCGAACGUAAACCCUGUUUCUACUAGUGGUUGACAUCUGAUGGUGUCUUCACUAUAAAAUCUUUUCUAUAGACAACUUGUUACUGUGUACUUUUAGCCUGGCUGACAUCUGAUGAUACAGUAGCUUCCAACAGAAAUGUAUGUGGAAAAUAAAAGUUACUCCAAAAAUUAGAGUGUUUUAUGGCUGAUGGUUAAGAAAAGCAUAUUAACCAAAUACAAUUUGCCGAGGAGAGGUUGGAUAGGUAAACAAAUAUUUUGCUCUUGGUGGUAUGUUCAUUUUCUUUCAAAUGCUUAGUUGCUAAAUUGGUUUGGAUUUUGUUCAAAUGUCCUUUAGAUUUGAGAAAUCUUCCUAACACUUAAACACUUGUUUUGGUAUUUGGAUUAAAAAGUUUUUCAAAGAUAAACAAGAAUCUGGUAUUUGUGGGGGUUUCUGCCAUCUUCUGGACUAUAUGGAGAUGCGUGAAUAAUAUUGUGUUUGAGACAAAACCCAAUUUUAAUCCUAUUAUUCACAUCAAUUUGAUAUGUCAUUGUAUAUCUUAUUGCGCCAUUCUGUAGAUAAAGGAAAUCGAAGGGUCCUGAUGUUGGGGGUAAUAGUGAUACAACAUGUGGGAAAUGAAGUGCAUAGAGCUUCACAAAGGUGGAAACCAGGAGUUCUCAGGAAUUAGUAACUGAUACUAGACUCGUGCUUCAGAAUUUUUCUAGAGGCUGACCUUUGCUUGGUGAUGUCCUUCCUCUGAAUGCUAAUGCCUAACUUGGUUCUAUCUUCUGGAUUUGUAGUUGUGGUUGGGCUCUAGGUUUGCUGCUGGUAGUUUCUGAUGUUGAUGAGUUUAGAACUAUGGUAGUUUCUACCGCAGAUCCGAAGGCAAGAUCUUUGUUGCCAAAAAUGGAACCGUUCUAGAGAAGGAGUUUCUCUCGAAAGAAGUGAGUGGAAGGAAAGUAGAACUUGAUGAGGUAACUAUACCUUCUCUCAAUUAGGAAAGUAACUCAUCCGAGAAAUUCGUUCCCGUGAUGCCUACACCAACUGGAGAGGAAGCUAGUGAUAAUGAUCAUGAAACUUCAGAUCAAGUUGCUACAGAACCUCACAGGUCAACCAGAGCACGAUCUGCACCAGAGUGGUACGGUAAUCAUGUUCUGGAAGUUAUGUUACUUGACCAUGAUGAACCUAUGAACUAUGUAGAAGCUAUGAUGAGCCCAGAUUCCAAUAAAUGGCUUGAGGCCAUGAAAUCUGAGAUAGGAUGGAUGUAUGAGAACAAAGUGUGGACUUUGGUGGAUUUGCCCGAUGAUCGGCGAUCCAUAAAGAAUAAAUGGUUCUUCAAGAAGAAGAUUGACGCUGAUGGUAGUUAUUGUCUAUAAAGCUCGACUUGUCGCAAAAGGUUUUCGACAAGUUCAAGGAGUUGACUACGAUGAGACUUUCUCACCCGUAGCGAUGCUUAAGUCUGUCUGAAUCAUGUUAGCAAUUGCCGCAUUUUAUGAUUAUGAAGUCUGGCAAAUGGACGUCAAAACUGCAUUCCUUGAUGGAUUUCUUAGAAAAGGGUUGUAUAUGAUGCAACUAGAAGAUUUUGUCGAUCCUAAAGGUGCUAACAAAGUGUGCAAACUCUAGCGAUCCAUCUAUGGAUUGGUUCAAGCAUCUCGGAGUUGGAAUAUGCGCUUUGAUGAGGUGAUCAAAGCUUAUGGUUUUAUAAAGACUUUCGGAGAAGCCUGUAUUUAUAAGAAAGUGAGUGGGAGCUCUAUAGUAUUUCUAAUAUUAUAUGCGGAUGACAUAUGUUGAUUGGAAAUGAUGUAGAAUUUCUGGAUAGCAUAAAAGGAUACUUGAAUAAGUAUUUUUCAAUUAAAGACCUUGGUAAUGCUACUUACAUAUCGGGCGUCAAGUUCUAUAGAGAUAGAUCAAGACGCUUAAUAGGACUUUCACAAAGCACACACCUUGACAAGAUUUUGAAGGAGUUCAAAAUGGACCAGUCAAAGAAGGAGUUCUAGCCUGUAUUGUAAAGUGUGAAGUUGAGUAAGACUCAAAGCCCGACCACGACAUAAUAUAAAGAGAGAAUGAAAGUCAUUCCCUAUGCAUCAGCCAUAGGUUCUAUAAAGUAUGCCAUGUUGUGUACUAAACAUGUUGUGUACCUUGCCAUGAGUUUAGCAAGGGGGUGCAAUACUGAUCCAGGAAUAGAUCACCAGAAGAAAGUAACCAGCACGUUCAACGCUGAUGUUGGAACAGACACAACAAGAAGUAAUUGAUAAAGGUAAACCUAAGGUUCAUAUAGUGACUGCGUCACAAAACAAUGGCAUACAGAUGCUUACAAGAACACUAGGAAUCAAGUAAUCAUGUCACUAUUUGAUAAAAGGUAGCUAAAUUAGCACUUCAGACCUAAAUAUACUAAAACAAUGGCACUAGUUAUUAUACCAGAAUUGAAAAAAGGGGAUAGAAGUUAAGAGAUAACAUGCUAAAUCCUAUAAUACACAUCAAGACUACACAAUAAACAACCAUUUUGUCAUAUUUGAUAGCCAUUAAAUUUCAUCUUGGCACUUCAUUGAAUCCUUGAUUGCUGCAGUAGAAACAUGACACGGUGCAGGGGGUAAGUUUGAUGCUUGAUGGGUUUGUGCUCAAAUAUCUCAUCAUUUUUGCUAGUCCAUAGUGCCCACCACAUAGCAAAAAUGCCAGACCACAAAUGCAUCAUAUUUCAGCUAAGGAACUACGUCUUUGAACAUAAUCAGGUGUCCAGUUCCAAGACUAACAAAAAAACAAACAAAUGGGCAUCAACAUGACACUGGAAAAGACGAUUCAUGGAGGACCUGCCAGGACAAGAUACGAAAUUUUAAACUCAUACGGUGCAACAAACAACCUCAUACACGUGAAUAAACAAACAUGAUUAUAAUCAAGAUUCAUAGCUAAAAAUGGGCAGGUAACACCAGAGUUUAUUGUUGGGGAACGUAGCAGAAAUUCAAAAUUUUCCUACGAGUCACCAAGAUCUAUUUAUGGAGAGACUAGCAACGAGGGGAAGGAGAGUGCAUCUACAUACCCUUGUAGAUCGCUAAGCGGAAGCGUUCAAGAGAACGGGGUUGAAGGAGUCGUACUCGUCGUGAUCCAAAUCACCAGAGAUCCUAGUGCCGAAUGGACGGCACCUCCGCGUUCAACACACAUGCAGCCCGGUGACGUCUCCCAUGCCUUGAUCCAGCAAGGAGAGAGUGAGAGGUUGGGGAAGACUCCGUCCAGCAGCAACACAACAGCGUGGUGGUGGUGGAGGAGCGUGGCAAUCCUGCAAGGCUUCGCCAAGCACCGCGGGAGAGGAGGAGAAAGAGAGGUAGGGCUGCGCCAAAAGGAGAAGAACUUCGUGUGUUGGGCUGCCCCUUUGCCUCCACUAUAUAUAGGGGGAGAGGGAGGGCUGCACCCCCACCUAGGGUUCCCUCCCUAGGGGUGGCGGCAGCCCCAAUCCCCAUCUGGGAUGGUGGCCAAGUGGGGGGGAGAGGGAGGCGCACCAGCCAUGGGCCUUUAGGGCCCAUCUGCCCUAGGGUUUGCCCCCCUCUUCUCUCUAGGCGCAUGGGCCUUGGUGGGGAGGCGCCCCAACCCACCUAGGGGCUGGUCCCUUCUCACACUUGGCCCAUGUAUGCCUCCGGGGCCCGUGGCCCCUCCCGGUGGACACCCGGACCCCUCCGGUAGUCCCGAUACACUACCGGUGAUGUCUGGAACACUUCCGGUGGCCAAAACCAUACUUCCUAUAUAUCAAUCUUUACCUACGGACCAUUUCGGAACUCCUUGUGAUGUCCAGGAUCUCAUCCGAGACUCCGAGCAACAUUCGGUAACCACAUACAUCUAUUCCCUAUAACCCUAGCGUCGUCGAACCUUAAGUGUGUAGACCCUACGGGUUCGGGAACCAUGCAGACAUGACCGAGACGUUCUCCGGUCAAUAACCAACAGCGGGAUCUGGAUACCCAUGUUGGCUCCCACAUGUUCCAUGAUGAUCUCAUCGGAUGAACCACGAUGUCAAGGACUCAAUCGACCCCGUAUACAAUUCCCUUUGUCUAGCGGUGUUAUACUUGCCCGAGAUUCGAUCGUCGGUAUGCCGAUACCUUGUUCAAUCUCGUUACCGGCAAGUCUCUUUACUCGUUCCGUAACACAUCAUCCUGUGAUCAACCCCUUGGCCACAUUGUGCACAUUAUGAUGAUGUCCUACCGAGUGGGCCCAGAGAUACCUCUCCGUUACACGGAGUGACAAAUUCCAGUCUCGAUUCGUGCCAACCCAACAGACACUUUCGGAGAUACCCGUAGUGCACCUUUAUAGCCACCCAGUUAUGUUGUGACGUUUGGUACACCCAAAGCAUUCCUACGGUAUCCGGGAGUUGCACAAUCUCAUGGUCUAAGGAAAUGAUACUUGACAUUAGAAAAGCUUUAGCAUACGAGCUACACGAUCUUUGUGCUAGGCUUAGGAUUGGGUCUUGUCCAUCACCUCAUUCUCCUAAUGAUGUGAUCCCGUUAUCAACGACAUCCAAUGUCCAUGGUCAGGAAACCAUAACCAUCUAUUGAUCAACGAGCUAGUCAACUAGAGGCUUACUAGGGACAUGGUGUUGUCUAUGCAUCCACACAUGUAUCUGAGUUUCCUAUCAAUACAAUUAUAGCAUGGAUAAUAAACGAUUAUCAUGAACAAGGAAAUAUAAUAAUAAUAACUAAUUUAUUAUUGCCUCUAGGGCAUAUUUCCAACAUUUAUCCCUACACUAAAGCGCAACACAUAAUAUGAUUGAUUCCAAGAAAAACAUAACACUUGUUCUAUCAAUACACAAUGGCACUAUAGAACUUGUUUUAUUUUAUAGCCAUUAAAAAGUUUGAACCAUAGCAUAUGGAUGCUAUAGAAACUAAGCAUGGGCACCAUUACAAAACCUGCAGCAUGCAGUACAAAUAAAGAACCUGCCACCGAAUUACGAGAAAACCAAUUCGUCGACAAGAAAGAUCAUCACAAUUCCAAGAUUGUGGUAGGCACAAGAACACCACCACAGAAUCAAAAACUAAACCAUUGUCUCGAUGGCCAGCACCAUAGUCACACACGACAUGAUGGAGAGAGAGAGAGAGAGAGAGAGAGAGAGAGGGAGUCACUUGAACUAAGGGAGAGGCAGGCAUGACGUAUCGAUCUUUUUUAUGCCUUAGGUUUGUCCUACCUUAGUUUUUUUCGUCCUCCACCGCAGGGUGGUUUCAUAUAGAAGUCACAAAUUGUCUGAUAUUUUCAAAUCCAUUAUUAAUACCCUGGCACUUAGAGAAAUUCACAUUAGUGGUGGUAAGUACACCUGGACUAAUAACCAAGCCCAUCCCACUUUGGAGAAGCUUGAUCGCAUCCUGAUGUCUGAGUCCUGGGAGGAUCUGUUCCCUUUGGUCUCUGUCAGAAAGUUGGUUCGUGAGAUCUCAGACCAUAACCCCCUGUUAUUGUCCAGGGGUGAGGAGGGACGUGAGGCUCCGAAACCUAGAGAGUUUCGGUUCGACCUAUCUUGAGUGAAAGAUGACAGAUUCAUACCGUUGGUCCAGAAAAUUUUGUCUCGUAGGGUUUUUUCUUCUGAUCCCAUUGAUGUUUUAAACAUCAAACUCAAGAGAUUUAAGUCGUACUUUAAAGGAUGGGGUUCGGAUAGAUUUGGUCACGAUAAAAAGAGAAAGGAAGACCUUCGGAUGGAGCUGGAGAUGCUGGAAGAAGUAGAAGAAGAGGCCCCUCUUUCCCCUGAGCUAUAUAGUAGAAAGAUUGUUAUUUGUUUUGAGCUUCAUGAGCUGCUUGUCAAUGAGGAAAUAUGUUGGCUACAACAAUCACACGAGCGGUGGUUUCUCAAAGGGGACCUGAACACUGAUUAUUUCCAUCGUAUAGCGAAUGGACGUAAACGAAAAAACACGAUCCACUCCCUUAAGGCUGGUGACGUGGAGAUUGAGGGCACUGAUAAGCUGAUUGAGCAUGCCACGAAGUUCUACAAAGAACUGUUCGGUCCUGCUCCUGGGAAUCAGUUUCAUCUUGCUCCUGACACUUGGGCGCUUGAGGAAAGGCUGAGCGAGGACGAUAAUAAUGACCUGUGUAGAGAGUUCUCGGAGGAGGACGUCAAGGAGGCUUUGUUUGACAUGGCCUCCAAUAGGGCCCCAGGUCCUGAUAAUAUCCCAGUAGAAUUCUACCAGGUAUGUUGGGAUAUAGUUAAGGAGGAAAUCAUGGCCUUGUUUAGGCACUUUCAUCGAGGGGAGUUGGAUGUGCAGAGGUUGAAUUAUGGGAUUAUCACGUUGCUCCCGAAGCUUUUCGGGGCUGACAAAAUCCAACAGUUCAGACCUAUAUGUUUGCUUAGAUGCCCAUACAAGCUCAUCACAAAAGUCCUAGAUCGUCGGGUUUCGGUGUAUGCUGAUAAACUAAUUAGCCCAGUCCAGAAUGCUUUUGUCGAAGGGAGAAGCAUCAUGGAUGGUGUUCUUUCGCUUCAUGAGAUCCUAAACUACACUCAUGUGAAAAAAAGGGUUGGCGUGGUGUUGAAAUUGGAUUUUGAAAAGGCAUAUGAUAAGGUUAACUGGGACUUCUUGCUAGAGUGUCAUAAGUUGUGGGGAUUCAAUGAAACUUGGUGUGGGUGGAUUAACCAGAUCCUUCAGAAUGGCACAGUUAGCAUUAAAUUGAACAAUUGUGUAGCUCCGUAUUUUCAAAGUGCUAAAGGGGUGCGUCAAGGCGACCCUCACUCCCCAUUCUUGUUUAACUUAGCUGCUGAAUGUCUCACAAAGAUGAUUAAGAAUGCACAACAUAAUAAGCUGUUGGUUGGCUUAGCUGUGGAUUUGAUUCCUGAUGGAGUUGCGGUUCUCCAAUAUGCGGAUGACACAAUUAUUUGUCUCGAGCAUGACAUCGUCAAAGCAGUUAACCUGAAGUUGCUGCUGUACAUGUUUGAAAUGAUGUCAGGUUUGGAAGUUAAUUUUCAAAAAAGUGAGAUUUUGACUGUUGGGGGAGACGAUGCUGUUAUUAAGCAAUAUGUCGACCUCUUUAAUUGUGAUGUAGGUAGCUUCCCCAUCAAAUACUUGGGCAUGCCUGUUAGUUACACCUCAUUGAGGAACUCUGACUGGGAGUUCAUUGUGUGCAAAUAUCUGAAAAGAUUCGAAGCCUGGGUGGGCAAUGCUGCCUCCAUGGGAGGGAGACACACCCUUUUAGACUCGGUUGUCACCCAGCUAUCACUGUAUCAUAUGUCUAUGUGGUUGAUGAACAAAACUUUUAUUGAAAAACUGGAUAAGCAUAGAAGAAAAUUCUUCUGGCAGGGUUGUAACAAGAAGAAAAGAUAUUAUCUUGUGAAAUGGAGCAGAAUUUGCAGAUCCAAAGAGAAAGGUGGCCUAGGGAUUAAGGACUUGCAUAAACAGAACAUCACUCUGAUGGUGAAAUGGUGGUGGAAGCUUGAAACACAAAGUGGGGUGUGGCAAGAUAUUAUUCAUGCUCGCUACUUGCGGAAUAAAACAGUAGCGGAUGUCGCCCCAAGGUUUUCUGACUCUCCGAGUUGGAAAGCCCUAUUGAAAGUCAAGGAGAUUUAUAUGGCUGGUAGAAAAGUUAUUACUGAAUCCGGGAACAUUGCUAGGGUGUGGAGCGAUCCUAUUAACGGACUGCUUCCGUUUAAGGAUCAAUAUCCGCAGCUCUUUAAUAUCUGUAAUGUCCCUGAGUGUACCAUUAAACAAGUGCUAAGUGUGGAGACCGACUCCUUUUUCAGGCGCAGGCUUAAUCCUGCUCUUGCUGAACAAUGGGGGACAAUCUUAGAUACAGUUAACAACCUGCGUCUUACUGACAAAGACGAUCAAGUGGUUUGGAGUUUAAACCAGAAUGGUAAAUUCAGUACCAAAUCUGUUUACAAAUGGCUUGAAAAACCUCUCAACAGGUGCCAUUAUAAGUGGAUUUGAAAGGCCAAAAUUCCUCUCAAGAUUAAAAUUUUUAUGUGGCAGCUUUCGCAAGACGCGGUGUUGACUGGACAGGUGAUGCGCCAUAGGAAUUGGCCUGGGAAUCCUGUUUGUUCUUUUUGCAAUGAGAUUGAGACUUCCCGGCACUUGUUCUUUACUUGUCCUGUUGCAAAGAGUGGUGUGGCGAUCUAUUGGGGUGGCUAUUGGCACCGAUAAAUGUCCAGAUAACUAUUGGCAAUUCUUUGCUUGGUGCCACUCCUUUCUUCCUGGAGAGGGCAAGUUCUAUACGGUUGGACUUGCAGCCGCGUGCUGGGCAAUCUGGCUCGCUCGCAAUAAGGCUACGUUUGAAAAAAAAGCAAAUCAAGUCUCCUUUUGAAAUCGUGUUCUCCAUGUGCUCUUUUCUUUUGUACUGGACAGGACUGCAUAAAGGUGAAGACGCCGACAAGCUUCGAUCAGGUGCCGAGAUGAUNNNNNNNNNNNNNNNNNNNNNNNNNNNNNNNNNNNNNNNNNNNNNNNNNNNNNNNNNNNNNNNNNNNNNNNNNNNNNNNNNNNNNNNNNNNNNNNNNNNNNNNNNNNNNNNNNNNNNNNNNNNNNNNNNNNNNNNNNNNNNNNNNNNNNNNNNNNNNNNNNNNNNNNNNNNAGGAGCUUGAAGGAUCAUGCAGUUGGGAGGGCCUUCUUCCUUCAUAGUGGCUUUUUAGUUUGCGCUUUGUGAUCUUUUGUCGUGUUGGCAUGUUUGUCUCUUUUGGGUGUACUGGAGCUUGUUGCUCUUGAACUGUAUGUGUUACCAGGUUUUCGCCCCACAGCGUUCGGGUCGACGACGACCGAAUUGCAGUGGGUUUCCUGGUAAUGCUUGAACUCGCCUUACCUCUUUCCCUCCUCCUGACUCUGUUCUCGGAACUGGUUGUAUUUCCGUUGUUUGCAAUGGAAAGGGGUAAUGCCUAGUUCAAAAAAAAAUAGAAGUCGCGAGUUCGUAGAUUGUCGGUUCUUAUGUUUGAUUUAAUUGUGGUUCUGCCUCUCCCGUGUUUAUGAUCCGCGGCAUGUUGGUGCUGUUUGACAAGGCAUUCUUGGUGAUGUGCUGUCUUUGGUCAUUGUGUUUUUCUGUUAUCUAAUCAGUUUGCAAGGGGAAUUUUUUUGCACAUUGCAUUGUUUGACUAUAUGGUUUAUUCUGUAUAAAGUAGAGCGAAAGCUUGCCUCGUAAGAUAUGAUUGAUGCAGUUCCUCCACUGGCAUGCUCUUUAGUUUGCGUGCAUGUGUAUUAUUCUAAGCUAGCGGAAUCUUCCGUCGACCCAGCUGCAAGCAAAGCGGAGUUGUGCCAGUCCAAGCAAAGAAUCAAUGGAGAGUGCCAUGGACGUGUGGGCAUUGAAUUGGUACGUACUGGUACUAUAAAAACACGACGAGCAUAAGCAGCUCUCCAUCUUUCCUAAUUUCUCCCACGCUCCAGCCGCUGCUUGCGGUUUCAUGUUGUUGUCGGAGCAACAUGAGGGUGCUGAAGGAAUGUGGAGACUGCGUCUGCGCCGUGCCAACCUGCCCGCCCACGACUCAACACAGGUAGCUUCAAGACUUAAAAUCCUUAAUAUAGAACGCUCUAGAUAUUGUCGUAAAUCGUAUUCAAUUUGAUCGUACUUUCUAAUAGAUAAAAGUAUACUUUUCGUUACUCAAUUCUUGGUGGAGUCCAGAUUUAGUUUUUCAAGUCUAAAACCAGACAAUUUGCACCCACAACAAUAAAAAUCGGACAAGUUUAGUCCAUCAUCUUGGCUGACCCGGUAUUACUGCUGACUCAUUGUGGUUUUGACUGGUUUUUCAUCCACGUGGCGGUAUUUCUCUCCCCAACCUGGCCCUAUCUCUUCUCCCUAUUUCUGUUUGGGCAUUUCAUCAAACACACGAUGCGUGCCUACCAUCAGAUGGUCCUGCUAGCUACCACAUGCUGCCGUGGCCGCAUCGUGGGCUGCCUACGUACUGGCCACUCGAAGCCGGCGCCGCCUUCUCACCGCUGGCAGCGUGUAACAGUGCCGCUCCAGCACUGGUAGCCCCGUGCACCUCGCCAUGGCGCAGUUCCUUGCUGCCUGCCAACCUCUGUGCGCACCGCCGCUAGCCGCACCAGUACGAGCGACACGAGCGCGCCAGCCAUGCAGGUGACUAAGCUGACGCCCGCGUCGUUCUGGAGCUCCCCUUCAGGAAACCAACGCCGCCUAGGUACGCAUCGAGCUCGACGGUGGUCUAGCUGCUUCCGACAAGCAGCCACACGUUACUUUGCCGCCGGUGGUGCUUUCCCUCGAGCUCGCAACGCUCGCGUCCGGGGCCACAUUGGUGCGCACGUGCUGUGGCAAGGGCAAGGCCGAGGUGUCGAGGUGAAGGUGGCUUCUAUUGAUAGGUUGGUGCACCUCACCUCGAUGCCUCCUUGAGCACCCGAGCACGAGCUCCGGCACGGUGCUCAGGAGGCUUCUAUGGCUGAUUUGGGUGCACGUGCAAUGGCGGCAUGGCUCAGAGCAACUCUAGCAGAUCCCGCAUCCCGCCGACCCGUAAAACGUCUUUGUAGUUCGCGCAAAACCGCUUUUGCGGGCCAGCAUGGGCUCGCACAGAUGCAGACCCCGCAUAAUGGACCCGUAAAAAAGUAUAUUCGCGGAAUAUACUAUUAUUACGGGUCGACUUCUGCGGGUUCUGAUCUGGCGCAGCUCCUCCCGGCCCGUAAAACUUAGAUUUGCAACUUAAAUUGAUCUAGCAUAAUGCUUUUCUUUGCCUUUGCAACUACAUUAGAUACAAAAGAUAUCACCAAAUCUUGGCUAGAAUAGCAAAACCAAAGAAAACAAGAACCACAAGUAUGCAUUUCAGAAGAUUUCCAACUUCCAUAACUGCUCCCACUAGUUGAAGCAAUAUCUUCUCCAUGCACUCAUUGUUGAUCUGCGGAUUCUUGAUCUUGCUUUCUUCAUUCUUCAUCUUUGGUUCCAAAGAAGUAGACGUUGCUUCCCCUCUAGUUGCACAUGCAGCCGCAUCAUUGCCUUUGAUUGUACUAAGGAGUGCACUAACAUCUAUUAAGUUUCUUUGUAUCAACAAAUUAAUGUUUUGGCCUUCCCAAAACCAAAAUGAGCAUCCAUCGUCCUACACAAAAGAAUGAGCAAUCUCGAAGUGAGCUAUCACAAUUGAACUAAAGAAUGAGCUAUGGAACGAGCUACCGCAAGUGCACGUACCCCGUCGUUUUCGCAUUUGUAGAACACCCAUCCGGAGUGCUUCGGCGUGCCCGAAGUGAGCCGCAACACUUGGCGCGGGCAGUCGUCGCACUCUAUGAACGGCAUCGGCCGGCGACAAAAACGCUGCGCGAGCGCCAAGCCCGGUGGACGGCCGGACGAGUCCAUGCCCGCAAACCUUCGGCGGUGGCAGGCGGACGAACCGGUGCCUGCAUGCGGCGAUGCGCCCGUGCCUGGGCUGCGGGAGUGGCUCCCCGACCACUCCAUCGCCUGGGGCAGCAACCGGCGAUCGGAAAAAGCCAAAUCCGGCGGCCCCCGAUGAAGUGCCGCAGAUCUGCAAAUCCGACGGCCCGCCGACGCAGGGGGAAGGGAGGGGAGGCCUCGUGCGCGUGGCGGCCUUCCGGUGUGCUCCUGCCGGCUGCUGUCGCCAGAAUCUUGGGCGGCAGCUGGCGGCGGCGCGAGGGGGGAGAGGAGAGGUGGUUGGUGGGAGAAAGCGCGGGAUGAAAUGCCCCCCCCCCCACCAACCGCUUCCGCUUAUAUGUAGGGCACCGCAGCCAUGAGGGGGAAACCCGCAUUUUCCCGGGUUAGAGUCAGGAUUUUGUCGCACCCCGUAAAAUUUUUUGCGGGCCGGGGCAGGAUGCGGAUCUGAUCGGGCUGCCUACGAAGUGUUCGAUGAAAUCCCCGACUCCAGUAAGAUGAAGAUGAUGAGGUGGAUGUUGUGUUAGACUUACGAGUCAAAACCGGGUUGACUCAGCAGGGAAACAACCUGAAGGACUCGGUGAAGGACUAGUAAACCCUGUUUUAAAAGUUAUAAGGUGCGAGUUAUCUAGUUUCAAGGUUUAAGGGCUAAAUUUGGACUCCACCAAAAGUUGAAGGAUAAACAAUAUACUUUUUCUCUUUUUUAAGGGGGAUUAUCCAUUUUGACUGUAUGUUUCCACAGAGCACUUAUUUACUGUUGUAAAUGUUAUUAGCAUCUUAUCUUUUUUUUAGAAAAGGAGGAUGACCCCGGUUUCUGCAUCUGGGCGAUGCAUAUGGUCACUUUAUUAAUUAUUCUCACAAGACCUUGCAAAAUCAAUACAAUAGUAAGACUAAAGCCGCCGUCUAAGCAACAAACUGUCGCUACACCUAUCCAGUUGAUGAAGCGGCGCAGAUAGUCUGGGCCUAAUACCAAAUAGACAUCGCAGCCAAGCCUAACAUCUAAGAUUGAGACCCCAACCUAGCCACUUGUUGGGUCUGGGGCACACACUGGUCCGGCGUGCUCUCAAAGGCCGCCGCCGCCAACUGCCAUCACUCCAUCUUCAGAACUGUAUUGAUGCAUCAACCUUGCUCAGUCCAGCUAUCGUCGACGCCACCACAGCGCCCAACGGCACCUACUCCCUACGCGCAAACAGCUGAACACGUCGUGGUCGCCACUGAUACACCUAAGUGUCAUGCUGCCAAGUAUCACCAGCCGACACAGCUUGAAGUCCUUGGAGGAUCUGUCGUCCGUAGCACCUGCAGACCAGACAUGACCAAGCGUAGAACCUGUCGCUCAGGCAUGACUUGACAUCUCCACCGAAGCUCCGUGCAAGACGAAGCCGCUCCACCUUCUGCGUCUGACUUCCAGCGCUGUUCCACAAAUGAUGCUCCCAAGAGAGAAACGACACCGCAGUGCCGCCAUCGUCCGAUCUGGAACACCAGAUCCUAGGGUUUCCCCCGGAGCAGCACGAGUGGGUCGACAGUAGUUACACGACGAUGCCUUCAUCAAGGUAACGGCGUAGAACGCCGCCAUCGCCUACCGUCGGCUCGGUUUUCACCGGCAACCAUGUCUCCCCAACUCGCGGCCGGGACUAGAUGAUGGAUCUCAAGAUCCGAUCACCAAGCUUCUGGCCGGCCACCGCUGACGAAGAAGAUGACCACCACCACUGGCUACACCGGCCAGAACAGAUCUGCCAUGGGUGCCGCCAAGCAGUCCACCAGGCCCUCGACGCCGCCGCCGAUCUAAAACCAGAUGACAUGCCGCCGAAGACCGCAUCGCGCCGCCGCCCGAUCCAGGCCAGCCGCCGCAGCAGCUGCCCUUGGCCCGAGGCAGGGCCGACCGCCGCUGCCGUCGAAGCCAACGCCGUCACUUCUAAAUCGGCCGCACCUCCACGCAUGUUGGGGUCCCGCCACCCCUGAGAUGCGGGAGGGAGGAAGAGCCCCCUAAGACAACCAUCCUUCUCUAAAUAGCCCAGAUGUAUGCACAUUAUGGCUAUGGCAGGACGCUCCAUGCUUACACGUGAUGCGAGUCAUCUGACCAAAGCCUGAUGCAUAUCGCUAGAUCCUCCCGAUCCAGCAAAUCACAUCGCCGCCAAACCAUGCGAUCCCGCUCCACUGCUGCAUUCGCGCGAAGACCACCACACCAACAAGACAUCGACCACAGCGGCGCUAGCAGAUGCAUGGUGGGAGACCAUAGACCGUCAACACGGUCAUCAGAAGGCCAGCCAUAAGCCCAUAACACGACGUGGACAUCACCGCUGUCACUCCACACCGUCGUGUACCAACUUGCGACAUGCACACUCCACACCGUCGUGAACCAACUUGCGACAGGCACCACGUCCCUAGGGCCAUUUCCCCGGCAUCCUCUAUGUGAAUUAAUGACGCCCAGAAUGAUGUGGGCCGGUAACGGCAUCUCCAAUGCCGACCCAUAAAUCGUCCACAUACGUCCGGACCACGUUGUCCAGACCUGUUUUGCCAUCCGACAAGGGUCUGUAUCAUUUAUGUUAGCGAACGUGUGUUAGUCGUGUGUUAGUGGGCCUUGUAUAUGGCUAGUUUUCAGGCCUUGCGUUGAGUUUUUUCUGUUGAGCCGUGUAUGUAUAUAAACUGUGUAACCUCCACAUAAUGAGACACGAGUUGCACAACCUCUCUCUCUGCUCGCGAGGGAGUAACUGCCAGGCCACCAGCAUAGCCAAGGUCACCAGAUCAAAAGGACAACUGUCACAUCAUUGGGAGUCAUGGGUUGAUAGGCAGCUGCUGCGCGCCGACACACACAAUGACCAAUCGACUGUGCGUCAUGGUGUGGAGGUGCGCGCUUUAGGUGCGAGCUCAAGCAAGAACGGAUCCUGGCCUGGCGACAGAGGUGGGCAACAGGAUGGAGGUCGUUGGUGUUGCCUCAAGCUACUUCCUGUCGUCUCAUAUGGUGCUGUCGUGGGUAGGACCGCAUGAGGAGGCUGAGUCGCCCGCCCCUACGAGAUUAUAGGAUCAGGUGCUUCCAUAAAUUGUUUAACAUAACAGGAACACAAGAUCAAAAGCUACCACUUAUGCAUUGUCUAACAUUAAGAGAUAAUCCAUUGCAUAAUAUGCUUAUUCGUCUCACUACCGGAAUUUCGCCUAAUCCCGAUGGUCUGUCAUAUGCCGAGGGCCCCCAUCGGCUUAUAUGGAGGUAUGCCGACGGCCUAGGGCAAGCCGUCCGCAUACUUCCACAUAUGCCGACGGUGACCGUCGGCAUAGUUAUGUCAUCGGCAUAGUGGGACAUAUGCCUACAGCGGCCGUCGGCAUAAACCUGGGCCCGGCAACCCGGUGGGGACGAGCGUUUGAUGCCGUCAUAGCUAUGCCGACGGCACUAAUGGAGGUCGUCGGCAUAGCUAUGCCGAUGGCAAAGCCGUUGGCAUAGGCUUGGUCCACGUCCUCGAUUCGCGGCACGUGCCACGUCAUCGAUCCGAGGAGUGUCGGUUGGGCACACCUCAUCGAUCCGGGGCAUAGCUAUUUGAUUAACUUAAAUGGCAUAUCUGUGUAUUGUCUGUUUUUUUAGUUUUUAUCUCUUUCUAAAUUAAAAUUUCAUUAACUUAUCUAGACAUAAGCAUUCAUAAAUUAUAUAUUGAUUUGGUGUAGAAUUUACCAUAGAUUAUGAAUAUGUAGUUUGUAUUUUUUUCAAGUAUGUUAGUAAUGUGACCUCAUGUUUUUUGUAUAUAGGUCCCUAUACUUUAUUAAAAUCACAAAAAAUUGAUAAUUACAUCUAUUUUGACAAGUUUUAUAUGUUUUUUUAAUAAGAAUCUUGAAAGUGCUAGAUCCACCGGUCAACGGUGCCAGGGUUAGUCAUGAGGAUCCUAUCACAACCAGGUGAAAAGGUCCAUCGGUCAAACACCGUCUGGUGAAAGUCAAAGGGCUAGAUCCGCCAGUCAACUGUGCUAGGGUUAGACGGAACGGGGUACUUGGGGGGCAGCUGGGCCGUCGACAUACCUUAGUGCCAGGCUGCACCAGUUGUCGACACAUGGCAGAACUAUGCCGACGGUCUGGCCGUCAGCAUAGAUAUAAAACCAUGCCGACGGAUUGGCCGUCGGCAUAGCUGUGCCACGUGUCGCCCUUUCAUUGAUCAGAACAUGACGACGGCGCCGUUAGCCGCCGUCAUACAUAGAAGUUUGCCGAUGGUUGUAUGAAGGGCGUCGGCAUAGGCCUCUAUGCCUACGGCUUUUCUACGCCGAUGGCCCUGCCCAGCUACACCGACGUACAAGUUGCCGACGACCCUAUGCCCACGGUUGCCGUCAGCAUAGGCCUAUUCCGACGGGGUUUGUGCCUAUGCCGACGACUGCGGGCUGUCGGCAUAGAAUGUCAUUCCGGUAGUAUCUUCUUUAAAUGGCAUGCGUGGGGUAAGAUAUGCAUAUAUUGAGUAGAUCAACUUUUGUUCCAUGCGAUAUCUAGCCCUUUUUUUUUAAUGAAAGGGUCUCCCCCGCUCAACUUUUUAAAACAUGGUAUAAUCGAAGUCGCUCACAUACACGAGCAUACGCCCUCUAUACCCCUAUGAGCACGUCCGAGAGACUGAGCCGGCACAUCAUCUUGAGAUUAACGAGGUCGCCACAGACGCCUUAGUAGUCGACGGGAACAUCUCCUCCGUUUUAUAUAUGAAGCAAAAAUAAAAUAACAGAGUUCUCAGGCCAGGCCUUUUGCUUUUAGCCUUUUAGAAACCAAUGUUAAAUGAUAGUAUUACCUUCGUUCCAAAAUGUAGGACGUUUUGGUAGGCUUAAAUAUCCUACUAAACUGUCCUAUAUUUUGAAUGGAGGUAGUAUCACUUUCCAGCCCAAUGCUUGACGCAAAGUUUGUCGCCCUCAAACACUUACGCGCUGACGUUUGCUCUAUAUAUAUUCCUUUUCGUCCUUUCUAACUUUUGUUUCGUAAAACGUAUCAGCUCAGUGGAGCAUGUCCAGCAACUCUGGAAGGAAUGGGAGAUCCAGUUGCUCGUGCUAGCGAGCUUCUCCCUUCAAGUCAUCCUCCUCUUCUCUGCAGCGUUCCGGAAGCGCCACAGCUCCCGCGUGCUGAGCGCGCUGUUGUGGCUGUCAUACCUAUCGGCAGACUCCAUCGCGGUCUUCGUCCUCGGACGCCUCGCCGCCCACACUAGUGACCCACAGCACCAGCUUGUGCUAUUUUGGGCGCCCUUCCUGCUGCUCCACCUUGGCGGACAGGACACCAUCACCGCCUUCUCCAUGGAGGACUGCAUGCUGUGGAAGCGCCACCUGCUGAACUUCACCAUCCAGGUGGCACUGGCCAUUUACAUCGUCCGCAAGCAGUGGCACGGAGGCAGUCAGCUUGUAGCUCCCAUGGUACUAAUGUUCAUCUCUGGAACUAUUAAAUAUGCUGAGAGAAUUAGGGCACUCAGGAGAGCAGGCUCAAGGAGCAGCAGCUUCAAUGCCGGUGGGAGGCAUCUUGCCUCCGGCUUGAGCAGAUAUUAUGAUGGCCUGCUAUCAAUAAUUUCUGAGAAGAAAGAGGAAAAUUUCGAACAUGUGAUGGAUGUGACCUGCGGGGGCUUCUUUAUGAAGUUUGAUUUUUUGAUGGACGUAAAUCCUCCAUUUAGCGGAAUUGAUUUACAGGAUUUAAGGAUUGCAAUUGCAGAAAGGAUUCACAGGUUUGACGAUGGAGCUAAUGAUCUAGUGUACAAGAUUGUUGAGAUUCAACUCUCACUGGUACAUGACUACUUGUACACCAAGUUUGGACGGGUCACUGGUGUGUUACAUCGACUCAUCACACUUGUCCUAACCUCUACGGCUCUCGUUUUGUUUUUGGAAGCCAGGGUUGAUCAUCAAUUGCAGGGACUAGUCAACUACAGUAGAGCUGAUGUUACCAUAUCUUACAUAUUGCUUGUGGGCGCUGUCACAAUGGAGAUAUCCUCUACCUUCAUGUGGUCCCUGUUAUCAUAUUGGCCAUACAUGCCAAUUGCAUAUUGGCGGACAUUUGAUUAUGACAAAAUCUUCCAUUGUGUACCCAAGGGUCUCCAUCCAGGAAGCAGAAUGGAGUGGCCGGGGAAGAUGAAACAGUAUAACAUGCUUGAUGGAUGCAUCCAGGAGAUACAAGCUGGCCGACUGGAACGGAUUAUGGGCAGUAUCGGCAUCAAGCGGGAUUACACAACACAUGUCGUCAUAUCUCCUGAGGUAAAGAAGGUGCUACUUGUAAAACUGCUUGAGAUAAAAACCAAUGCACCUGGUGGUGGGGGAUUGUCCUCCAGCAGCUUCCGUGGCCAAUGGUCUCAAUGGUGGGCUGCGCUCCAGACCAAAGAUUAUCUUGGUGCAGGUCAACAAUCUGAAAGUGCAGCUCAACGGGCACUUCAGUUAAGCAACAUCCAAGGUUUGGCUUUUGUGUCAAGUGUCUAUCUUUGGCACAUGGUGACUGAUAUAUGCUUAGUGGCCGAUAAGACUGCCAGUGCCUCCGAAUUCAGAAGUUUUAGCCAAGCAUUGUCCAAUUACAUGAUGUAUCUUGUCGCCAAGCGUAAUGUGAUGCUUGAUAGCUGUGCGUAUCAUGUGCUUCAUAAAAGUCGACAUAGUUUGUUGUGCACUCGUCCUGCUAUCGUUGCUGAUCGGAGUGCGUUCCUCCAGAAAGUCUAUCACGGUGUCUACCAUGGUACCCGUGCACUUGACCAAGCUCGUGAGGUCUCCUUGGAAUUGCUUAGGCCCGAAGGAGCAGCUUAUCGGUGGGAGCUGAUUGCAACGGUAUGGGUGGAUAUGCUAUGCUACAUUGCUCGUAAUUGUGGGGCUGAAUUCCACGCCAAACAUCUAAUCACUGGCGGGGAGUUCGUUAGUCAUGUCAAAAUUGUUCUGGUUGUUCUAGGCUUUUCCUUCCAUGAGUAUGAAGAGGUCGAGCUAGCCUGACAUACAUUUCUUUCCUUACUUUGGAAGCUUAACUGUUACUGUUAUGCCACGUGAGGGCCAGUAUGGUUGUAAUUUAUUAGAAAAACUCCAUUAAUAUAUUGAUUGUAUAUUUUGGAACUUAUUAAUAAAAUGGUACUAGUAAGUUGUCUAUGUGUUGGUACGAAAGAUAGCUUUUCCUUGGUUUUGAUUCCUGCUCUGAUCCGAAGUCAAUUCUCCUAUGGCACGUGUUUCUCUGAUGACAAUGAGUCGAACAAUUUUAAAUUAUUUUUGUUUUGGUAAGGUAUAAGAGCAGCAGGUAAAGAUAACAUUCUGUAGAAAAUUUGUAGUCUAAAUCAGUAGCAGUUUAACAGUCUGUAGUCUAAGUUUCCAAGCUUGUCUACUAAAGAAAUUGUAUCAACUUAAUAAUUAGUCAUGCAUAAGUGUUUGACAUCAAAAACAUAUAGAAGUGCAGACUCGAGAUUGACAAUUAGGAUGCAUGCUCUGAACAUACAGAAGUUCUACAGAGCAGUAGCAAUGGCAUCACAGUUGAGUUGCCAAACCAAAACAAAGCCAUGUAUGUAUGUAUGUAUGUAUGUAUGUAUGUAUGUAUGUAUGUAUGUAUGUAACAAAAUCAGCCAAACUGAAUAUGCAUCAUCAGCUGAUUAAAAGCAGUGGAUAAUAGUAUAUUUCAUCAACUGAUAUGGGCAGCUAGCCAAGUUUCCCAAUGGGAAGAGCUCACAAGAGCAGACAAAGAAAUGGAUGUUUUAAACUAGACUAGCUUGCAGGGGAAAGGACACGGGAUGUGUGGCGUUACCAAGACAACACUCCUAAUUUUUCUCAUGAAAGGAUCAUGAUAGACAUAGACAGAUACCAACAGGAAGAGGAAAAUGGAAAAUGCAGGCUACAUGACAGAGGUUCUACCGACAAGAACCAAGCAAAUUAUUAACCCAGCAAGUCAGUCAGAUGAGGCAAGCAGCCCAGAUGCAUAAGGGUGGAUUGCUCAGUUCACUUCAGAAUGGCCGGCUGGGUUCACUUCUUGUGCACCCUGCAUUUUGGGGAGUUUGGCUGCAAGGGGGACAACGGCUGCCUCGAUGCGUCCGGGCUCGUGUCCUUCAGGCUCGACGACUUGCGCUUCUGCUGCAACACCAAGAAUGCCAUUGUUAAUGUAGUCAAGGUAGCCAGACAGUAGGGUAAUUCAGGUUUCGACUAACAGUUGUACUCCUGUCUUGUGUGUGUACUAAAUAAAAUUAAAUCAGUAAACACUUGAGCUUUUAUGGUUGGGUUGGUUGGUGCUUUUACCUUGGUGGAAUUGUUGGCAGAGUGCUUCCAUUCAGACCGAUGUUUCUGUCCCAGCAUGUAAAGGUCCAGAAAUUGGUGCAUACAUAUUGUGGCCCCUACAGCAAAAUAAACAUCAGUUGUGCAAUUCAAAGAAAUGGCAAUAUAACAACAUCUAGCAUCAUUCAGAGAGUUGAGUAAAUAUAGUGACCUCACUACAUUUAAUGCAAGAUUACAAAGGUAGGAUUCAACAAAAGUUAAGCAAUGUAGACACCUUUCAGUCAACUAAGCGACCAUCGUUACAAACAUAGUAAGGAAAUCUACAACGUAAAAAAUACGCAAGAGCAACACAAAUUGCUUCUACUGACAUUAAAAGUACCAAACUAACAACACUUUUAGCCAACUAACACUAUUAGGAAAAACCUUAUACACAGAAUCUUAGCAGCAGCGCAACACAAAAAGAGGCGCUACUGCUAAUUAGUAGUAGCGCGGGUUGUAAACCCACGCUACUACUAAGUUGAUAGCAGUAGCGCGGGGUGUAAACCGACGCUACUACUAAGUGUUCUCCACCGCGCCCGCCCGGACAAGUAGUAACGCGGGGUAUAAACCCACGCUACUACUAAGUUGAUAGUAGUAGCGCGGUUUGUAAACCCCGCGCUACUACUAUGUGGUCUUCAUCGUGCCUCGCGUGACAAUGCCGUAGUAGCAGCGUGCGGUAUAAACCCAGCGCUACUACUAUAGAACCACCGACGCAUGUAUACACACAUAGGCGGAGGCCAAAGCCCAAAUUCCCCUCCUGACCACUCCGCCGCCCGACGCCGCCGCCAAGCACCACCCGUCCGCCACCGCCACCGCCUCCCUCUCCCUCUCCACCCCCGCGCGCGCCGCCUCCCCCAGCGCCCUGUCCCCCUUGCCAUCUCCUCCGGCAGACGGGGUCAGCCCCGCGGCGCCGACACGGGGCGACGAGUACCUGGGGCGGCAGCUCGCGGCCGGGGCCGCGGCGGGCGCCUGCACAUGCGCGCCGGAGGAGGACGCCGAGAGGCGCAGCGGCCACAAGGAGAAGCAGAGGGCCCUGGCCAAGAAGAUGACCCCAACACACACACUCCCGCUCCCAUCCUCUUCUCCCGGGAUGCAAGCAGCUGCAAGAAAGGGCGCGGCGGCGGCAGCGGCAGCGUCGGCGUCCUUCCACUCCACCGCCGCAGCGCUCUCAAAGUCCACGGUGCGCCCACCCUGACUUUCCCCAUCCAUCUCUUUCUCCCUCUUUCUUUUUUCCGAAUGACGAAUCAAUUCGAUCCACGCAUCCAGUUCAGUUCUUGCUCUCCAAAUCCCGUUAGGAUUGCUAUACUAGAUAGGCUAGGAGAGAUGGCUAGGCUGUAAAAGAGGAAUAUUUACUGCCCGGGAUCAUCAUCACAGUCAGCUUAGUAGGGUGAUUAGUUUGCAUGCUUCAGCAAUGGAAGCUCUCCAAAGAAGGCUCUGCUAGAUGGUGCUCUGAGCCAGCUGGACACAUACGAGAAACUAGAAUGACUCAGUCAGGUCACUAUGUUGCUGAGCCUCUUCAGUCCAUGGUUUCGCUGUUGUACUCUACAGUCUACAGUAUGAUUAUGGUUGGCAAACAUUUUUGUUAGCUAAUGCCUGAUGCAUUGUUGUUUGAAGUGUCAACAAGCCAUGUGGUGUAAAUUUCCAUGCCACUACAGUCUACAGCAAUGACUCAGUCUGGUUCAUUUAAUUUUACUUACUGAAAUGUGAUUCGUAAGCACCGCAGAGUUGCCUCUGUUUAGAUGCAAGUUAAGUUCAGAAACAGAAGCACUGCAGAGUUGCCUCUGCUUAGAUGCAAGUUUAAGUUUCAGAAAGAUAUCAUUUUCCAAUAGGCAAAGCAGGAGCACCAUCAGAAACAGCAAACAAAUGCACCAUUCAAAUGCACCAACAGUUCUAGGCAAAGCAGAAGCAGCGCCGGAACAGCUAGUGUACAAAUUCCAUCGCAUUUGAGAUCAUACAGGAGAGCACACAAAUGCCCGUGUAUGCAAUUGCAGACCAAAAUGAAACUACAAUUAACAGCCCCUGUUUUGCAAGUAAAUUUGAUAUCUUAUACUCCCUCCUCUCUGGUUUACAGAUCCUGCGUGUAAAUCUAGGUUGUCUAUUUUACCAACAUAACAAUACAUAUCACAAAAGUUAUACAGUACCGUUAGUAGAAAGUACAGCAAGAACCAAUAAGGUCUAAAUAGGGCUCUGGCUCCAACUAUAUUAUGUUUUGUUUAAACACGGUAUGUUUCAAUUCCUCCUCUACACAAAUCUUCAGCAAUCCGGAAAGCCACUCUGUUAGUAAUACAGAACUAGCAUUUAUUUAGACUGAAAAUAUGCACUGUAAUUUAAUGUGCAUUUUUGCCCAGUAAUGUGUAUUCCUUCUCUUUUUUGUUGCCUGAAUUUAAAGUGGUUUUGGACUGUAAUUUUCAGUAAUGUGUCACUUCUAGUUUACCUGAAUAUUUUUGUAUUCUUAUCAGUUUUGUGCCCCAUUCUAAAGAAGUUCAGUAAAUGUGUACGUCCCAUUUUGUAAAUACAAUAUUUUACAAACCAUUUAGAUACAAAAACCUGAUCUUUGUUUUCUUUUUCACAAGAAGCUAUUUUUGGCUUACAUGAAGGGAUGCAUGCUCUUCAUCUUGCAGGUAUGACUCAUCCUCGCAUUCUUACUCUGCCUUUGUUUCCUUCGGCUUCUUGAUUAUGAAAUUUUAAGAUAAUUGUAAGUACUCAAUAUCAUGUUCUUAAGCAAAGCUACUGUUUUUUGCUUGAAUUACAGUGUUUUGUCUGACCUAUGUAUAGUGUCAAUAAAAUCUAAAUUUCAAGAUGGAGAUACAUUUUUUGGUGGCAUCUUACAUCACAGUCGUUGGUCAUAGGAUUUUAGAAAAAAACACUGUAUGAGGAAUACAAGUGUUUAUGAAACUACUGUUGUUGGUCUAGCCAAACACCUCACAGUUUCCGAAACUUUAGUUUUGUAGAAACCAAAGUAUUCUGAUUGAGCUAAGCUAGCCGUGUAUUUCCACUUGUGGGAGUCAAGGUGCGUACGCUCCUUGUCUUUUUCACUUUUUAGAUUAGGUUGAAUAACAAGAAUUUCCAAUCAACUGUAAAAAAAAUUCAUUACCAAUCUGCAUGCACAAGACAUAUAUCUUUCUCAUCAUUUUAAACAGUAACCGUUGAUACUCCAAGCAUACAUUUUCUGAGAAUUACUCCAUAUAUGUAGGCUGGCAGCGGUGUUCGCAAAUCACCACGGAGAAAGUAAAGAUCUCGAAAGGAUUCCGUUUGUUUACUCUAUGUAUUGUCUUUCGAAGCGCACGAAAAAACACAAAAAAAUUCUAGUUUAUUUUAGUGCCUUUUGUAGUAUGAAAAUCACAAAAAAAUGUUUGUUUCUCUGCCUUUUGUACUAAUGGAGAGGGAAAGUCACAAAAAAAUGUUUGUUUUUAGGGUCAAGCAGUCAGUUGGUUUGUUGCUCACUCAGAAAUGUUUUUGGUUUUGGGGGGUUAGAUGUGUACAUUGUGCAUCAGCAUACACUGCUAGCUGCCUGUGGAGAUCAGCACUAAAGAAUAAACAAAUCCUGGUAAUUCUUUCAUCUAGGAUGCUUAUGUCGUCUCAAAACUGUCAACCUCGCUCAUAGAAUGAUCUUUUUAUUUAGGAUUCAUGGUUAUUUUUCCUUUUUCUUGUUAUUAUGCACUACUAUGAGUUCAUUGUAUUAAGAUUCCUUACAAUGUUAGGCACCUGAGCUAUUUACAGAAGGAGGGGACCCAACCUUCUUCACGGCUCGCGGCAAUGUCUCCCAAUGAUUCGUUCGUGCAACAAGGAGGGGACCCGCCCUUCUUCAUGUCUCGUGCAACAAGUAAGGACCACCCUCUGGCUAUUACUAUUGAUUCGUGUGCAUGUGCUAAAAAGUAAGAAAAUACCCUACUAGAUUUGGACGCUGACGAGCACUAACAAGUUUUCACUUUCCCGACGUGGCCACAGGGGUGAUCGACACGGACUACCGCUGCCUGGUGGGCGUCGUGCUCUUCAACCACUUGGAGGUGGACUUCACCGUGAAGCCCGGCGACCGCGUCGCACAGAUGAUCGUCCAGGUGAUCGUGACGCCGGAGGUCGCUGAGCUGGAGGACCUCGAUNNNNNNNNNNNNNNNNNNNNNNNNNNNNNNNNNNNNNNNNNNNNNNNNNNNNNNNNNNNNNNNNNNNNNNNNNNNNNNNNNNNNNNNNNNNNNNNNNNNNNNNNNNNNNNNNNNNNNNNNNNNNNNNNNNNNNNNNNNNNNNNNNNNNNNNNNNNNNNNNNNNNNNNNNNNNNNNNNNNNNNNNNNNNNNNNNNNNNNNNNNNNNNNNNNNNNNNNNNNNNNNNNNNNNNNNNNNNNNNNNNNNNNNNNNNNNNNNNNNNNNNNNNNNNNNNNNNNNNNNNNNNNNNNNNNNNNNNNNNNNNNNNNNNNNNNNNNNNNNNNNNNNNNNNNNNNNNNNNNNNNNNNNNNNNNCAUCUGAACUCCGAGCCUUGGUAGAUACAUUUAGAGAAGUGGUAUGUUUAGGCUAUUGGUGGAACACUAGGAAAGGUACGUACCCACCUUUGGUUGUGUGCGUUUACUGUUAAAUGGAAUCACGUGAUCUCUUGCAGUUGAGAUGUUCAAUGUUGCAUCCAUGAAUGGUGCAAGUGUUAAGAUGGUCAUGUGACCUUAAUUUAUUUUGCAAUGGACGUGUCUUUGAUCUUCAUCCAUGAAUGCUGCAUCUAAUUUUUAUUUUUUUAUUCUUAAUUUGUUAGUAGUAGCGUGGGGGGAAAAUGUAUGCUACUAGUAUUUAAGAUACUAGUAGCGUGUGUUAUAACAGAUGCGCUACUACUAUUCUUUUAUUAGUAGCGCGGGCUUCAAAUAGUAGUAGCGUGGGUGGCAUCCGCGCUACUACUAACUUUUCAGUAGUAGCGCGGGUUGCACCCACGCUACUACUAACUUUUAGUUGUAGCGCGAUACUAGUAGCGCGGGUACCCGCGCUACUAGUAGCCAAUUUACCCGCGCUGCUAGUAGCCUUUUCCCUAGUAGUGUAAGCAACUUCACUAGCAAACAAAUGAACGACAACUGCGCACAGGAGUAACGAGGAUCUUGGCAGACCAAAAAGAGUCCUGAAUUAACAGACCAGACCAGCAAUUCUAGAUUACUCCAAUAGCAACAAGAUCAACAGUUUAUGCAAGCCAUCAAGGUAAUUCCCCUAUUGAUCGACCAAGCAUCUAGCCAUCUAAAGCAAAACGAUACAGGUAGGUAACAGUACCAACAUAGCAGCAAUGAAAAUAACAGAAAUUAAAAUAUAAGUGUGGCAGCGCAUAUAACAUUUGCCAGAAAGAACAUGCUUCCACCUUGUUUUAACAAGACUUUUAAACUUAAUAGUAAUGUGGUUAUCCAUGGCAUCAUCAGUCUUAUCCAAACCAGAGCAAGUAAAGGAGCUAAUAGUCCUAAUUCAGGUCAUGUUAUCAUAUCAGGUAUUGCAUAAAGACAUAAUUCACACUUUCACAGAUGUGGUAGACAGAGAUGCGGAAGCCUUUCACCGAAUAAACCUCCCCAGAUUCGGUGCAUGGAACAGCUCCCUUCCGUUCCCAACAGCAGCAAGGUACUGGUGCUGCUGCCUUGCUAGGGUCCAAUGGCAUCCUCGCCGUCCCCCUCGCCGGGUUCCACGAAGGCUCACCAAUAACAUUAAUGAUAUGUCCAAGGGUGGCCCUCCCAACAGGAACCUGAGAAAGAGAAACAUCUUCCAGGUCAACAAAUGAAGCGACUACAUGUGUGUAUGAUUCAACUUCCAAAAAGACACCACCAGUGUACAUGUAUGUAUCAUAUACAAGAGGCUCUUGCACCAGACUGUAAAUUGAUCCAACUAAGGACAUCAAAACCAAGUUUCCAGUAUUCACAAAGCAACACUUGAUAUAGAUAACUGUAACAAACAGACUGUAAAUUGAUCCAACUCAGUCCAGCAGACACUAGUGUAGGUCGCAUCGCCAUAGAAAAACCAGCAGCAUGGGUCAAUCAUGGAUAGAAACCAGCAUCAAUCAACUGCUAGUACAUAGUAAUUCAUAGAGAAAAGGUUCAACAAGUUACUACUACUAAUUAGUCCUAGUACAACAAAAUAGGAUAACAUGGCAAAUAUUUGAUAUUACUCUGUUUAGAACAUGCAUGGUCAAAACAAGCAGUGCUGGUACAAAAUUCCUCGGAAAAACAAGUCUGAAUAGUUGACUAUAAUAAUCUACUGCAACGAAAUUCCCAAAACAGAGAAUCUGACACUAGCAGUGGUAAGAUUAUGUAAUGUUUUACGAUCAGAGGAGCCGACAUGCCUGAGAAGUUGUGGCAUUACAAAAGGAUUUGAUUAAACCAACAGGCUAGAGCACAAGUACUGUGUGUUGAAUUGAUAAACGCAACGAACGAUCACGACCCCUUACUCAAAUAGAUUUAAUCAAAAGGACAAACGAGAGUAAUUCAGUAAAGUACUGCAAUAUUAUCUAUUAUUGAUUCCAAAUAAGUGGUAUCUGACACAGACACUUAACCUGACGGAACUAUGCAUCAACUAGGCACGAUUUCAGAACUGAUCGUGUCGUGCAGCCGAAUAAUUCAGGAGGGCGACUCUGCUAAAUUCCAAUCCACUGUUGCAGUCGAUCUAAAGUACUGACUGAAACAAACAAGUUGCCUCAUCCGCGACCAUCUAAAAUUCAGUAAGUAUGCGAUACCGCUUGCUUUUUGUUAAGCCGACGAAAGUAAACAAACUAGCACAAUUUGACAAAGCAACAUACGAAGGUGGCCUCUCCCUCUCUGCUCUCUCCCCACCCCCCAAAUCCAGCAGUAGCGGGAGCAUGCCCACGGCGACAACAAACACAUGCCCUAGUGCACGAGCUACUCCCUUGGAAACCAAACGCGUCAGCGAAGGGAAUGGAUGGGAUGGGGAGAAGAUGGGCGAGAUAGUGGCUACCUUGACGUGGGAGAAGCUGCGCUGUGGCGUCUCUAGCACUCCUAUGGCGUCCGAGCAGAAGCAGACGGAGGAAGGAAGGACCCCGCCUCAAUCUGGAACCUGUGCUGGCGCCGCUCUGCCUCCUCUAUUGGAAAACCUCUGCAUUGUGUCAUUAUAUGUGACCAAGUUUCCAGGAAAAAUAAUAAACUUGUAAUAUGGUAAUUAUUUUAAAAAAGUGUUCUCAGAAAUGACCUACCAUGUGUGGAGAUCAAUGGCUUUCAAGCCAAACGAUCAAUCUUAUGGCCAUAUUCAUGAUAUAGUUUGUUCAAAUGACCUCAUAUCAUGCACAAGGGUGCAUCUUGACUCACAAACAAUGUUGCCUAAGGAAGUUUUCAUUUUCUUUGGACGAAAAAUUCAUUUUCAAUUUUUUCGAGUGCCCAAAAUGAGUUUUUUUGUGAAGGACCUACCAUAUAUUUGUUGCAAAAUUGGACCUAAUCAAUUUUAUAAAAUACUAGGACAUAUAUAAUGCACAAUUGACAAAAUGGUUGGGUGUCAAAAGUUUUGAUCCACCUCUGGUGAAAACGACAAAUUCCCGCUGAUUUAGUUGGAAGCGGGUCAAAUUUGAACUGCAGGUGCCUCAUAGUUUGCUCUUUAUUUUUUCCAAAAAUCAUUUCUAGGUAAAUAAGUAUCUAUUUAAUCAGAAAUACAUUUUUUGAUGGCGAGACAUCGAGGUUUGGACGGUGGCUGAGGGCCCCAACUCUAGAGCACAUAAGCUCGCAUGCCCGCCGCGUGGUCACCGCGUGACCGUGGCGUUGCCAUGCAUUUUGGGCGGCCUAGGCAUGUCUAGUGGGUUGGUCACUCCCCAGGUAGGUGCUAGGAAGAAAAUUAUAACAUAAGAUUUUCAUGAGGAGACCGAACUAUGCUCAAACAUGAAUUAGCAGCCAAGUGUUUUAUUAGCGGUACGGGAAAUGCACAUGGCCAAUGGGCGUGAGUUUUGGCUAAGGAUGAUCAUAUACUAAGAAGAAUGUCUUCACAAAUAUGUAGGGAAAUCAAGAAUAUAUAAAUAACACUUCCUUCACAAAGUGCUGCUCUGAAUAGGAAAAUGAAUAUAGUUGAGUUAUUUUUGAACUAGGCAAGGAAGGUUUUUGACAUAUUUGAUGAAGAUAUGAUCCAAACAAUUUAUGAGAUUUUUUUGGGAAUUUUUGGAAUAACAGAAAUAUAGGUUGCUUCACAACCUAGGGAAAAAAUUGACACAUGGACAUGACACAUAGGCAAAACUGAUGAGAUGGCGCCUAGUCAUCACAACCCACCACAAUCUACAAGGCUAUGACCAUCUAUAUUGGUCGUUAACAACUAGAAAUAAGGCAGCGAACCAGCACUGUUUGCUUUAUGACCAUUUUGUGUAAGGAAAUUACGACCUUUCUGACCAAAAUGGUCGCAAUGGUUUAGGGUUUGGACCCCCCGAACAGCUUUUGACCAAUUGGUCUCAAAUGGUCAUAGAUCUAUGACCAAUUCUUCUAGGGUCAAUGACAGAAGGUCACUAGUUGACAUAUUUCUUGUAGUAUCUUCCGAUAUGAGGAUGUAUGGCAGUCCCAUGCAGAGUAUGACAGUUUUGUUGCUGAGGCGUGGAGAAGGAACCAUGCUGGACAAGGACUUGCAGGAAUAUAGGACACCUUACAUAAACUCCAAAGUGAUCUAGGAGCGUGGGGUGCCAAGGAAUUCGUAUGCCUUGCCAAGAAGGUUAAAAAGCUACAGUCCAAGCUUGAGGUUUUGACGAAGCAAUCUAUUGGCAGAGGCCCAACGGAUGAGGAGAAAGCUACAGUGCUGAAACUUCGUGAAGCAUUAAGGCAAGAGGAGGUGUGGAUGAGACAGCGUUCCCGAGUGUCGUGGCUGCGGAAAGGAGACCGAAACACAGCCUACUAUCAUGCACAAGUGGCACAGCGGAAACGUUUGAAUAUGAUUGCCAAUCUUCGUCGUGCGGAUGGAUCUUUUUGCGCAUCUAAGCCUGAAGAUAUGGCGGAAGUAUAGUCAUUCUAUCAAAACUUAUAUUCCUCUCAAGAGUAUAAUGAUAUGAGUGAGUUGUUGCAGUAUGUUCCCGAGCAUGUCACCGGGGAAAUGAAUAUGAUGCUGGAUAAACCAUAUGAAUUGGAGGAGGUCCGAGCUGCACUGUUUCAAAUGUCGCCCUCGAAGGCUCCGGGAGUUGAUGGUUUUACUGCGGGGUUUUUCCAGCGGCAUUGGAAUAUCAUUCAAGGAGAUUUAGUACCCACUAUUCUGGGUUUUCUUAACGGGGGCGAGCUACCAGAGGGUUUCAAUAAUACUUCGAUCACACUCAUCCCAAUGGUACGCAACCCUCAAUGCAUUGCUCAAUACCGACCCAUUUCGUUGUGUCCGGUUCCUUACAAGAUCGGGGCCAAGAUGAUCACUAAUCGCUUCAAAGAGCUAAUGGACAUUGUGGUUGGUGAAGAGCAAAGUGCUUUUGUCCCCGGUAGGUUGAUUACUGAUAAUGUUGUGGUGACUUUUGAGAGCGUCCACACGAUGAGAAGGAGGAAGAAAGGGAAGAAUUUUUCUUGUGCUGUCAAGUUAGACAUGAUGAAGGCCUAUGAUCGAGUCGAAUGGCACUAUUUGGAGGCAAUUAUGACUAAACUUGGUUUCAGCGGUAAGUUUGUGAACUUAAUAAUGAAGUGUGUUUCUUCAGUAAGGUUUACAAUGAGAGUUAAUGGGGAGCUUCUGCCAUAUUUUACACCAUCCUAUGGUUUACAUCAAGGAGAUCUCGUAUCACCUUUUCUCUUCUUAUUAUGUGCAGAAGGACUUACUUCACUGUUGAAUUCCUAUGGCUCCCCUCUUAUUGACAGAGGCAUCCGUGUGUCCUUUCGGGCACCAUGGGUGAGCCAUUUGUUAUUUGCCGAUGAUAGUCUAAUCUUCAUCAGUGCAACGCAGGAGAGCGUGGUUCGGCUGAAUGAAAUUUUGAUCAUAUACGCCUCAUGCUCCGGCCAGGCUGUAAACAGAGGAAAAAGUGCAGUCUUCUUUUUGCCGAACACUCCAACAGAUAGAAGGCAUGAGUUGAAGAUCCUGUUGGGCAUACAAGUGGAGGCAUUCAGCGAGUGGUAUCUUGGACUCCCAACUGCGGUCGGGAGGAUUACUAGUGGUACUUUUGACCACAUUGGUGAGAGAUCACGCAGUAAAAUGAACGGGUGGGCCGAGAGACUUCUAGCCUGCGCUGGAAGAGAAUCACUUAUCAAAUCGGUCAUCCAAGCAAUCCCAAUGUUCAGUAUGAGCUGCUCCCUUUUGACAAAUAAGGUCUGCAAAAGUUUGACGGCCAGUAUGGAUAAGUUUUGGUGGAGUGGAUCCCUGGAUCGUCGAUCUAUGCAUUGGUUGGCAUGGGACAAGCUCGAUUCCCCAUAAGCUCGUGGGGGCAUCGGUUUUAGAGACCUGAAGCUCUUCAACUUGGCGCUGCUCGGCAAGCAUGGGUGGAGGUUUAUCACUAACCCUGAAUCGCUUUGUGCUCGGGUAAUGAAGGGCCGUUAUUUUCCUGAUGGUGACUUUAUGGAGGCCACGGUGCCAAAGAUUUCCUCUGCCAUUUGGCGAGCGAUAGUGGCAGGCAGGGCGGCGCUCCAAUCUGGACUGAUUAAGAGGGUGGGAGACGGGACUACAAUCUCGAUUUGGCAUUACAGAUGGAUCCCAGGCCUCGUGGGGGUAUGUGUUUUAUAAGGCAGACGGGGAAAAAGUUUCGGCUGACGGCAAAUUCUUUGCCGUCUAUCAGAUAAAAAGUUGACGGCAUAUUAUUCUUUGCCAACUUAUCUUUGCCGUCUGAGUUUGCCGUCUGCUUCCUGACGGCAAAAUCUUUGCCGUCUGGAUUUAGGUCUUUGCCGUAUGUGAUCCACAGACGGCAAAUUACCUGUUUCCUAUAGUGUUACUGGAUCCCCACAGACCGAAGAACAGAUGUGGAAGUCGCUCUGGAAACUCAAGGUGUUGCCAAAGGUUCAUGUUUUCUGGUGGAGGGUGGUGCGUGGAAUACUCCCAGAUGAAUGUACCUUGAGGCAUCGACAUAUAAAGGUAAUCAGCAGAUGUAAUGUCUGCAAUUUAAUGGAUGAGGACCUAAUGCACGCCCUAUUGCAUUGCUCCCAUGCAAAGUUGUUCUGGGAACAAGCAUUUGCUCUCUUCAAUCUUCGAAGGCCGCGAUUGCACCCGGAUACAUGGUCCCGUGACAUUUUAUGUGAGGGGCGGUUUUUUGAUGUUGAAAGGGCUCAAAUGAUAUCAGUAAUGUGGGCGAUAUGGCACUCGCGGAAUAGAGUUACUCAUGCAGAUGAUCAGCUUGACCCUUAUACUUCGGUUAAGAGAAUCCUGGAGGAUUUGGCCUUGCUUGAUAUGCCAGACAAACAUGCAUCGGUGCUCCCGGGCUUUGGGUUGAUUCCACCAGAGUUGGGGAUCGUCAAGAUCAACACAGAUGCGGCUCUGAACUUGGACUCCAACAGGAUAGGAGUGGGUGGUGUUGCUCGCUCCACAAAUGCUUUGUUGGGUGCAUGGAGUAAACCCCAUCCGGGGAUUUCGGAUCCGUUCAUUGGGGAGACAAUGGCGUUGCGCGAUGGAGUUAUCUUUGCUAAUCUACGUGGCUUCUCCCAUGUGAUCAUGGAAACAGACUGCCUGAAGACUGCACCUUUGUGCUAAACAUAUUCAACAUGUAAGUAGAUCAGCCAAUGUUUCGUCCCACCUUUGUGCUAAACAUGCAUGCACAUUGAUGGUCAUCGAAAGUUGGACUGGAUCUAGACCAUCUUUCCUACUCACCAGCCUCUUGGCUGAUGAUGCUAGGAGUUCUUUCGUUGAAUAAAAAGCUCUCAAUUGGAACGCAAAAAUAAUAAUUCCUACAUGCAGUCAGCACCUGCUAAUGACACUAGUGCACAAGGGCCUGGUCCAGAUUUCGAGCAGAUGUUGUCUGCACGGACGCGGUGAUAACCGGGUGCCUAGACACCCGGGUGCUAAAAGUCCAUUCUCAUGUGUUACCACAGUAAUACUAAUGCAAAGGAAUGCAGAAGAAUGUUUUGCGUACAUCUAUUUUCUUCGGAAUUUAAGACCUUAUAUAUGUCUUUGCCCCAAACAUUUCUAAGGUAUUCGUUUUAGGAGAACAACUAUAGUUUUUGCAGUUGGAUUUUAUUUCUUCUUCUUGCAAAUCUUAAGUAACUCAAACAUGAAUUAUAUGAAGUGGCAUACUCAAUAUGACUACCGACAUUUAUUUUGUGAAUCACAAGGCAAUUAAUGGUGGCAUCUCACUAGUAGAAAAAGACUCAUUUGUCCCGGUUCUAGAGGGCCUUUAGUCCUGGUUCUGGAACUAGGACUAAAGGGUCGGUACUAAAGGCCGCCCCCUUUAGUCCCUGUUUUUAUACAAACCGGGACUAAAGGCCCUCCACGUGGCCGCUAUCUGGAACUCCACCUUUAGUCCCGGUUGGUACGAAAUUUUAUUUUUUGAAUUUUUUUCUGAUUUUCAAAUUUUGGAUUUUACAAUUUAAUCUCUAAUCACCACUCAUCACUGCUCAAUUUAACCUCUAAUCACUAAUCACCCCUCAUCAUUCCAAAUCGUCUAACUUCCCGGCCGGUCACCCAUCCUCUCACUACUCCAGCCUGAGCACGCCUAACUUCCGGGUUCUAUUCCCCCUCGUUUCCAAGUCUGCACUCGUUGUUUUUCUGACAAUAGUAAGGUGUCAAUCCUAUUAACCCUCAGGAGUUUAGCUUGAGCAUGAAGUCAUAUGUUUCACUGUUUGAAUUUGAAACUAUUAUUCUAAAAAACAAUAAUUAUUUUGUAACACUAAUAUUUCUUGAAAUAAGUAGUUGGACCAUAGUUUGACCAGAUUUGACCAAAUUCAAAAUACUAAAAUAAUUAUUUAGUAACACUAAUAUUCUUGAAUAAUUAUUUAGUACCACUAAUACUUCUUGAUCAUAGUUUGACCAAAUUUAACGAAAAUAAAAAAACUGAAAUUUGAGUAUAACUUUUUUUCCUUUUAGAAUUUGAGAAUUCUAAAAAAUUGGAAAUAGGCUGUAGGCCGUCAAAAUCGGAAACGGAUUUUUGUGCUGAUUUUUUUGAUGUAUUAUGCAUUUUUUCGACAUCGUAUGCAAAAGAUAUAGCCGUUUAUGUUUUCAUAACACUUUUUUUGCAAAACAUAUCCAAAUUUAAGUUUUUUAAUUUUCCUAAGAUGUAGUAGCAUAACUACAUCUCGAAGGAUUUUAAUUUUUGAAGUUUUUAUCAUUUUUUUUUGCUUUUUACAAAACUGAAAAUGCGAUCCAAGGGGGGGUGGGGGGUAGACUUUGAAAAUGUGACCUUUAGACUAAAGUGGGCGAUGCCCUUUAGUCCCGGUUCGUGUCUCAAACCGGGACUAAAGGGCUCAUUUGUACCUGGACUAAUGCCUUUAGCCGCAUGAACCGGGACUAAUGCCCACAUUGGUCCCGGUUCGUGACUAAACCGGGACUAAUGGGCUUAUCUUGCUCGAAUGAAAGCCCUGUUUUCUACUAGUGUCUACUGCAUAAUUUGUAGAUUAUCGAUCACUACUGUGAGGUCUACAUCUUAUCAUUUUGAUAAUAUGACUACCUUCAAUGUGCUCUUCCAAAUAUUAAUACUGAAUGUGACUACCUUCAAUGUGCUCUUCCAAAUAUUAAUACUAAAUGUGACCACCUCCUUCCACGUCUGCGCACAUUCCCGCCCAACACCAGCAUUGAAUUGGCGCUCCGGCCAAGGGCGCCACCCGCUACAUGCCUGACUGAAUACGCCUCCUCACCGCAUUAAACCCGCGUGGAAGUCGAGAAACCUACUCCGGCCACACGUCCGUUCACGAGCAUGGCGACAUUAAACACAAUGCUAGGCAAGAAGGAGGCCAGACGUUGGGGAAAAAUAGCAUCACUCCGCCGUUCCCCAUCUCCUCCUUCCACCAUUUUUCUUCACCCUUUCCAUGGCAUUUGAUGAGAAGGAAGAGCAGUUUUUCGGCAUAAAAGCCGGUUGGGUAGCCCGCCGGAUGUGAGCGGCAGCUUGCUGCUCUACCUCUAAGACAGAUGGAGCAAAUUGCCGCUCCAAGCCGGCGCGUGGUUCAGCAACUCGCCGCUCCAAGCCAGCUCGCAGAGGAGUGCCGAAUUGAUCACAGACGACACGGGGGAGCACGGCGGCACGGGCAUCAUCGCUGUUGUGGACAGUGUCGGGUCGUACCACGCCUCCCGUGCCUGCGACCGCGCCAUCCGUCGUGCAUCUGCGUCUGCCGCCAACAUCGAAGGAAAGUAAAACAUGGAAGGAUGCCGUUGCUUGGGUCCCAGGAAGGCCACCACCGGCGCAUCACCGACUUGUACAGUCGUUGACAUGUUCGGUUCUUUAUCUCAGACCAUCGUCGGCCACCAUCUGGGCUCCACGGAAGCGCAGGAGCCCCUCCCAUCCCUUCCGGCCGGAGCACCCUCUUUGCCAGUCUACUGAGCGGAGCAACCUAACAUAGGGAAGAUAGGGGACGUAUGUGCCUCCGGGACUCUCAGUAGUAUGAUGAGCAGGCUGCCGGCCAUGGGAAAGACAAAGCGAUGCAUCACGGUUGGUCGUAGGCUAGCGUAGUGUAUCCUUGUCAUGGAGUGGAGCUCUGCAUGAACGUACGUGCACAUAGUUUUAUCUUUUUUAUUUAAAAUAUGUCCAAAAUGUAAAUUUACAGUUUUGUGUGAAAUCUGCUUAGUUUGUAUGAAUUAUAUCUGGUUUGCUGAAAAAAUGUUUGUAAUGUAUGUGGGCAGCGUUUGAUGGUUGCCUCCCGCGUCCUUGUCUAGGACUGGUCUCUUUUUGGGGACGAUUACGGGAGGAAAUUUGCGAGUCACCGUCGAAGUGGCACGAUGGCGACAUGACAUGAAUUGGAAGGAACCCUUGCACGGACACACGCUAACACGAAGGCACCAACAAUUCCCCGGCUAAGCAAACAUGCGCCACUCCAACUUUUCGUCGAAGCAGAUUUUCCCCGUGCGCUCCCCUGCUUUUCUCCUCCACGAGAACCAUCUCGACUGUCACGCCAAAGUCACGUAUGCCCCCACGAAAGCUUCACAUCCUUUUCCACUUGCUAUCAUUUGUUGAACUACGAGACUAUGACAUGCUCACAAUUAUUCACCUCUUUUUUCCCUUUUCCACUUGUUAUCGAGUGUGCACCCUCCUUCCUCUUUGUGCCACUUCCAUUUGUGUGUUCUAUAGAUGGUGCUUGGAUAGUGAUCUCACAUGGAAAUGAUACUCCAAUAAAUGACUCAAGUUCUUGCACCUUCAUCUGUUGACAUGGUCAACAACAUCAAGAAUACCCUUAUGCAAAUAUUUCAUCUUCUCCUCAUAAUUUUUGGCAGCCAUCAUGCCCAUAUUGUACAUAGUGCAUGUACCUGAGUAUAGUUGAUUAGUGGCAAGUGAAAUUGAUUUAGUUGACCCUUGAAUGGUGGUGCCAUUUGAGUCAAUUAACGUCAUCUUUGUAGCCAUUUUGUCCACCUAUCAAGAAUAUAUUGACUUGGGAUCUCCUUCAAUUUCUCUCUUUUGAGGACAAGGAUGAUGUGUGAAUAGGGUAUACCCACAUAUUUAAGCAAUUUGCAAAAAUAGUGUGAAAUCUUCGUCGUAGUAUUUUACAUCACCUCUCUAACUUUGCCACUUAAAUUAGAGAUACGAGUGGUUUGUACCUUCACCAACUUGUUCUAUUGUAAGUACAUCACACAUGUCCCUAACAGCGAUCAACUCAUCUUGAAAUAGAUGAAAAAAUAGUAUGAGUAUAGGCAUCUCUAGCAUGACUCUUAAUGCUCCAAGUGGUCUCUAGUAACAGUAGUGUAUGAAUUGUGCUAUUGUCAUCACCCAAUUCUUUUUGGCAUUCCUUUUCAGUGACACUUUCAAAUCCUAUCCAAAACUCAAGUAGAGAGUCGACGACUAACAAAGUGACUAAAGAAAACAUUUUCACUCUCAGAUGUCGAUGUAGUCCGCAAUAACCCACCAAGGAAGACACCUAUGAAGUAUGCAGGUAUCCAUCAUUGACUAACUUGCCAGUCAACCAUGUGUUGCUCUCUAGUCCACUAGUUCAUGUUCAGUCGAAUUAGUGUGUAAGACACGAUAGUCAGUUAAAAAUUCAUAAUUCUUAUCGUUUUGUACUAAACUUUUUUAUUUUGUAACAUUUGGUAUUUUCACUAAAUGUAUGCCGUGUUUUUUUUGUACAUCGUUGCAUAAUAUUUAUAAAUACUAUUUUAAUGAAUAACUAGCAUGAUUAAUAAUGUAAUCAUGCACAUGCAUGUUAUAGUACAUAAUUUUCAUAUUGAUUAAGCAUUUAUCACUACAACAAUAGUGUGCUUUACUAAAGUGAAAUUAUGUUCUCGAAAUAAUAAAUUUAGUUUUAUAUUGGGCUGUUUAAGGAGAUCCUUUGUUACAAUGGAUUUCACACUAAAUCUAAGCAAACCCAAAAGUUUCAAAUUACACUCAAUAUUAAUGUAUGCACCUUAUUAUUUAUUAGAGUGAAUCUAUAUCAAUUCAAUGUCCAUGGUAUCCUUAAAUAUCUAGAAACCUUGUAAGUAGUGUUUCAAAUUGUAUGAAUCUAACAAUAAUUUGGAGGUUUCUAGAAAAUCGGACUAUUUAGUUUAUGAGUAAUGAAAAACAUAUAUCUUAUGUGUAUCAAGUGUGAACAAUUAGAUUGUCGUCGAGACCCUUCUCCAGCUCUGACUCGUUAACAGUGAUAUGUUUGCAACAAAAUUUUCCUUACUUGUUUUUGAACAUGCAUCCUCUAUUGUUGCGGUAUAAACAUACAAGAUCAUAUUAUUUGUUUAGCAUGCAUGAUAUAUUUUUUAGAAUAAAACAUAUGUCUGCUGUUUUAUUCAUUUGGUUUUAGCUACAAUUCUUCCUGAAAUAGCCGUUGUUACUAUAAGGUACCUAGUUAACUAAUACCAAAGAAUUAGUCUUUUUGAAGUCGACUCGGAAAUGAACCCCAUCAGAUUGGAUUUGUGUUUUAAAAGCAACAACAGAAGAGACAAUGAAUGUAUAAACGCACUACAAUUCAUAGGUUUAUAGAUGCUACCGCUACUCUUUAAUUUGUAUGCAUGCCGAAGUUUUAUUUCCAUGAUAUCUUGCAAUGCAAGUGUAUGCAUACAUUUCCGGCUGAAAAUAACAUUAGGUUCGAUAUUAGAGUUCCAAAGCUGUAGUGUGGAAAUCAUAAUCAUGGUUGGGACAGCGCGUAAUGCAGAAAAACUUAUACAUCAAUUUUGAGAAAUGGCAUUGCAGAAAUGGUCUAUAAACACUGUACAUUUGCAAACUUGUAGAAUCUGUCUCCUCCAAAGGAUUACAAAUAACGUCUAUUCGAUGGCUUUAGAUGUGGAUGUUAUCUCUAUGAUACAAAUUUGAUCGUUGUUUUACUAUAUGCACACACUAGUACAAAUAACUAAAAAAUGUAUACCUUUAAACAUCAUAUAAUACUCUGAAACGAGCCAAGUAAGGUAAAUUCUACAAAACAUAUCAUAAAACAUGGCAGAAAUCUCAAAGCGAGAGUGAACAUUGUAUCCGAUGCACGGUAAAACAAGAAAAAAUGAAUCUAUGGAAGAGGUGAAACACGUGAAAUUGAUACUUACAUGCUGGAGUAUUUAACAAAAAAACUACCACAUUUAAGGUUUCGAUCCUACGGAACUACUACAUUAAAAUCGUAAGCAAAAACUAUCAGCUGAACCUAAUUUUUUUCCAAAACGACCACGGAUAGUGGCCGGUUUAGACGAUUUAGAUGCAUUUACGGCAGGAGGGGCCUGCUUUUCGGGGGAAGUGUGAGGGGAAAGUCAACUCCAUUACGUUGGACCGUUAAGUUGACCGUUAUGACUCGGGGCUCACAUGUCAACAGGAACUUUCUUCUUCCUCCCCUCUUUCUCUCUUUGACAAUUUAACUAGCACCUUGUGUGCAUCGGGCAGCACCACCGCACCGACAUCGGCGAGCAGCGGCAGCCCGUACUCGUACGCACCUUGUGUGCAUCAGCGCUCCCAACCAAAUAAAUGGUUGGAAAACACUACCGCUCCAUCCAACUACAGCGGCACGAUGGCGACAUGCAUGAGAAGGAAGGAACCCACACACGCACGCACGCCAAACGCGGAGGCGGCGCCCACAUUUUCCCGGCAAAACAAACGCACGCGCAGCCAACGUCGAACUUUUCAGUCCCCGAAGCAGAUUUUCCCCGUGCCUUCUCCACGAGAACCAUCUCGGCCGUCACGCCAAAGUCACGUACGUCCCCCACGAAAGCUUCGCAUCCAUUCCUGGAGAAGACUACUGACCUGCCGUGGUUGACCACCCAGAAGAAAAAGAAAAACCCGCCGUCGUCGAGCCCGCCACACGGCAUGUACGUACGUCCACGACGACCACGGCAUCUCUCCUCGGGCCCUGCAUGCCGUGAAGCUUCCAAGGACCGCGUCGCGCCCGAGUAUAUAUGCACACGCGCACCUCCAAGAUCACGCAGCAGCAACCUACAGCUCUAUAGCAAAGCAGAUGAUCUAGGAAACACAGGCAGGAUCAAGAUCAACUAAAGUCUUAUCAAGUGCCUCUCGAUUGUCGACCAUCCGGCGAGAAUGGUUGUGACGAAGUCGGGCGAGCUGAGGGCGCUGUUCUUGUCACUGGACCGGGACGCGGACGGCAGGAUCUCGGCGGCGGAGCUGCGUGGGUGCAUGCGGGCGACGCUGGGCGAGGACGUGCCGGUCGAGGAGGCCGAAGCGAUGGUGUCGUCGGUAGACGCGGACGGCGACGGGUUGCUGUGCGAGGCGGAGUUCCUUGAGCUGGCGCAGCAAGCGGCCUGGGCGGGCGCGGACGACGAGAACGACGAGCUGAGGAUCCGGGCGCUGAGGGAGGCGUUCGGGAUGUAUGAGAUGGAGGGGCAGGGGUGCAUCACGCCGGCCAGCCUUGGGCGGAUGCUCGGCAGGCUUGGCGCUGAGCAGGGCGCCGGCGAGUGCCGCGCCAUGAUCUGCCGGUUCGAUCUUGAUGGUGACGGCGUGCUCAGCUUCGACGAGUUCAAGAUCAUGAUGAGCUAGAGGCCUGACCCCGGACCCAAGCAUAUACCAUCUCCGUCUUGCAUAUAGCCCCUUCGCUCGUUCAUUCAUUCGAUUGUUACAUGGUAGUAGACUAGUAGUACAAAAUUUGUAGUGAUGAUGCACAGACAGUAAUUGAUCUAUGUGAUACCUUUGGUCUCAAUCGAUUGUCGGUGCUUUUGGUAUUUGAUUGUGUGUAUCUCGAGGAAUUCAGAUGCCGGAAAUGAAUGGAAAAGGUGUAUGUGAAGGGGCUGACUUCUCAUCCUCGGCUCCAACCCUUUAAGCUGGGGAGUAUCAUACACUAGUAUCCUGUUGUUGUAUGACACUACCUCCGUAAUGCAUAGCAUGAACUAAUCUGAAAUAUCAUGACACAUAGUACUCCCUCUCUCUCAGUUUACAAGGCGUGCGCGUAUCCCUAGGUCGUCUAUUUGACCAACCUAAUACAAGUCAUAUAUUACAAAAAAUAUAUCAAUAUAAAAUUCAGAUAUUCUAUUUUCAAACCGUAUAAUUUUUGUGUUAUAUAGUUUAUAUUAGGGUGAUAAAAUUGACAACCUAGGUAUACGCGCAGGACUUGUAAACUGAGACGGAGAAAGUAGCGUAGAAUUUAUUGAAGAAUAUAUACACAGGAGCUCCUGGGUGCAUCAGGCCUGCCAGCCUCGGGCGGAUGCUUGGCAGGCUUGGCGCCGAGCGGGGCGCCGUCGAGUGUCGCUCCAUGAUCUGCCGGUUCGACCUCGAUGGUGAUGGCGUGCUCAGCUUCGACGAGUUCAAGAUCAUGAUGAGCUAGAGCGCCUGACCCCGGACCCAAGCAUAUACCAUCGUCGUCUUGCGUAUAGCCCCUUCGCUAUUUUAUUCAUUCGUUCAUUUGAUUGUUACAUACAUGGUAGUAGUACAAAAAUUGUCAUGAUGAUGCACAGUAAUUGCUCUAUGUGAAUACCUUUGGUCUCGAUCCAUUGUCGGUGCUCUUGGAAUUGGAUUCUGGGUUUCUCAAUGAACUCAGAUGCCCGAAAUGAAUGGAAAACGUGAUUGUGUGAAGGGGCUGACUUGUCAUCCUCGGCUCCAAACCCUUUAGACUGGUCGUAGCGGGGAGUACCAUAUACUAGUAUCACCCAUAUGAUACUAGCAUAUGAUACUUGCAUAAUAUUAUAAGUUAGUAUCUUAGAUGGUCUCAAUUAUUAUCAUGCAUGACACAUAGUAGCAUAGAAUAUAUUAUGAUAUGGUAUCAUAAUAUGAUAACUCAACCCUCUCUUUCUUUGUUUAAUUCCACGCCACCUCAUAAAAUUACCUAGUUCGCAUGCAGGAUACUAGCUAUGGUACUCCCAUUACGACCAGCCUUAAGCUUUGUUCGGUAGUCAGGGGACCAAACCAACCCCCUAGGGCAUUCAAUCCACCCAGAGAUUGGGUAAUCCCCACUCCCUCACCCAAUCCAUGUAGGGAUUAAAUCUCUAGAUGCCCUCAAUCCAUCCCUCACCCAAUCAUGUUCGGUUAAAUCCCUGCUAGUAGGUAGCCGCUGCCGCCAAGUUCACAUUGGGCUUCGCCGCCGCCAAGAGUUCACCUCCUGGUCCUACGUGGUUUGUUUUCUACAGUUGAGGUGACGAUUCUGUUUCCCCAUGUUUUUUGCAAGGAUUGAAGGGGUUUCGGUUGGGAAACGGCCCACGCGGGGCUUAACUGAACCCGCACGAACGGAUGGGCCGAGAUACACCCCGGCGAAGGUGCUACCUGUGGACCCAUGUGGGAUUGAGCAGGGAACACCGCGUGUAUGGGCGUAAUCGGACAAGCACUUAGAGGGCUGCAUGUGAAUAGUUUGUUUCUAAUUCAAAAUAUAGGAGUAACCAAAUACACACUCGGGUUAUAUGGUUUACAUUUGAGAGUCAUAGCACCAAAUAUACCAAAAUAGUCCCUGCUAUAUUAUUUAGGCACAAAAUAUGUGUAAGUUGCCAAAAAUUUAUUUAGGGCCUCUAUUCAAUUUUCUAUGCCACUAGACUAAGAUCCAACCAUCAUCUUUUUUUUCUUCUUCCUCCAGCUUUUAUUUCGUCCGACCGUUCCUCCUUCCACCAAACCGACUUACCCAAAUUGCAAAUUCAAUGGACUUACAUUUUUUUAAGCAAAAGACAGCCUUCCUCUCUGAUUUUCUAUUAAAGAGAUAAUUUGGUUCCUAUCUUACUAACUAACUCCCACCAGCAACUACAACAAAGCUAAAAACAUCUUCAACCCAAGAGGCAAAACAUCUGGGAAAAAACAGCUCAGCAGAUGAAGAACCUAGAGUCUCCAACGCCACAAACAAGGGCUGACACAAACAUAUUACACAAAAACUCCAGAGUUUUAAACUCAACAAUACUAGAAGCUACCAACACAAGACCUAGAGCCAAACCACAACUACAAAUACAGAAGGUAAAUUUGAAGCAGACAUCAGCAUCCAUGGGAAAGAUAUCACCAAGCAAAAGUCUGCUUCCAGAAAAAUUCCAAAGCGCCAGUCCAGUAUUAGCCACUGAUCCCUGAGAACUCCUAGUCUCCACCCUUGUGAAGCUCUAUACACCUCGUUUGCUACAUGCUCUAUGAUUCUUGCCCCCAGCAUCAACACCCUUUGAUUUUCCUCAUUUAUCUACAGAAUGGCCCAAGAAGAUAUCCAGUGAUAUAUCAGUUUGAUGAGAAUAAUUGGUUCAUGAUUGCGGCGGAGAAGAAGCGGAGUGGAGCCCGGGUGUAGCAUUGGAGGAGACGGAGUCGUCGAGUUCCGGCAAUGGUGUGACCGGGUGGCUAGAGUGGUGGAGCGGCGGCGGAGGCGAGAUAGAAAACGGAUGUAGAGAAAAAUGAAAGGAUAGAUGCAUGGGGUCCGGGAUGAGUUUUGGGUGGCCGGGGGUGUGCGAGUCCUACAUGACUACUAUUCAGUCUCCCGCAAAGCGUCCCACGUUUAUUUUGACUUUGCAAAAAAUGCGUCCGGGUCGAUCAGCAGAUCGAUAGAGACCCUUGUUCAAUGGCUAAACACGUUCGGAGGUCCGAACGGUUGUGGGUGGUGGUCUGCUUUGGAGAUGCCCUAACAGAACCAAACCUAUCGCAAAAAAACACACACAAUUAUUGAACGGAGGCAAGUGAAAUGUGUACACCUUGCAUCAACGCUCGCAACCAAACAGCUGACAAAAUAAAUUGCUCCAUCCAACAGCAGUGGCACGACCUAUCUCAUUGCCAAAACGCAUCCCCCCGCGGCUCUCGCGUCGCCCCUCACGGGCGACUCGAGAGCGACCUAACCCUAGCCUCGCCGUCCCACUCCCUCCCCCUUCCCCGCCCCGCCGCCACCCAAGGCGCUCGCCGGCGCGGCUGCUGGUGAAGGUGGCGGCGAGGCACUGCUGCUCUGCGCUGCAGGGGCCCCUGGAUCUCAGGGUGGCGGCCCUGGUUGGCGAGGGCGGCGUCGAUCUCGUCCGGCGGAUGGCACCGCCGGUGCUGGCCGUCCCCACUGGCCGUGUGGGCGGCGGUGAGGCGGUGGAGACUCAUCGCUGCUGCGGGCUGCGCUGCUGGCCUCGGCUGGCUUGCUUGCCGGUCUUCUCUCCUCUGCUGUGGUCCUCCCUCGCCGAUCUGGGUGCUGCUCCUCCGGGCGGCCAGAUCUGGCACUUGAGGGUGGGUGGUGGCCGUCCUAGAACGGGGGAAACCCCUGGUCGACCUCCCGCGACCCCGACGAUGGCGGCGCUCCGGUGUCGAUCUCCCUCCUAAGGGUGUGUCGGGCUUCUUCGUCACCUCACUCCUCCUCUCCCACGAUCCCGGGCGAAAGCCUUGGCCUUGCUGGUGGAACGGCGGCGGCGCUGUGGCGUCUCGGUCCUCCUUGGAGGCAUCGUUCAAGGGAGGGUGAGGUUGUGGUCUCGCGGCAAGGUGCGUGGUGGCGGCGGCGUUGCUCUGCUCUCCGGGAUGGCGGCUAUGGUGGUGACGAGGUGGCCCCCCCCUGCAAUCCUUCAACGGCUCUUCGUCUUGUUCGGCUCUGGGCAGCCGGUCGGUGGACGGCGUCUGCGUGUUGUGGCAUGGUUCAGACGUAGGGGCGAUGGGAUCUCCCCUCCGGCAAGGCUCGGGGCGGCCAGAUCUGGAGCCAUGAUUUUCUCCAUGCAGCACGGGUCCUCUCUGCAUUCACUUGUGCUGUCUACUGAUUGCAGUUGCUCCGCUGUUCUAGCUUGCGUAGAGUUCUCCGGCAGCUUGAUCCUGUUUUCGCUGUGGUGGCGCCCUGCUCGCCAUUGCUCUGCUUAGCUCUGUAAUAUGUGUGCACGCCGCCUUUUUCUUUCAGUUUUUCUUCAAGCUUUCGCCUUUGUAUCAGCACUAUUAUAUCCUAGCCGGUUGAUGGCUUCACUAAUUUGAAGUCGGGCUUUACGUCUUUUGUCUAAAAAAAGAGCAGUGGCACGAUGCCGACAUGGAACGAAUUUGCGUAGGAACCCACGCACGCGAGCGAACGCGGGGACGGCCAGAAGACUACACGCGACGCCAACCGACGCCGACCCCUUUUGCCAAGUCGGACCGCACGCACGCGCAACCAACGCUCAUCUUUCGGGAAACAAAACACUCUUCCCCGCGCGCUUUUCUUUGUUUCUCGAAUAAAUCGACACACGGACGCCACGCGAAAGCUUCGAAUCCAUUUCCUGGAGAAUACUGACCUGCAUGCCGUGGUUGACCGCCCAGACCACAAGAAUAACCCGCAUGUCCACCACGACCACGGAAUCUCUCCUCAUGCCGUGAAGCUUCCAUGGACCGCGUCGCGCCCAGAGUAUAUAUAUGCACACCCGCACCUCAGGACCUAGGAAGCCCAGGCUGAGCCUGUCUAUAGUCGUCCAUCCAGAGAGAAUGGUUGCGACGAAGUCGGGCGAGCUGAGGGCGCUGUUCGCGUCGCUCGACAGGGACGCGGACGGCAGGAUCUCCGCGGCGGAGCUGUGGGGGUGCAUGCAGGACACACUGGGCGAGGAUAUGCCGGCGGAGGAGGCCUAGGCGCUGGUGGCAUCGGCAGACGCGGACGGCGACGGGCUGCUGUGCGAGGCCGAGUUCCUCGAGCUGGCGCAGCAGGCGGCCUGGGCGGGUACGGACGAGGAGAACGAUGAGCUUAGGAUCCAGGCGCUGAGGGAGGCGUUCGGGAUGUACGAGAUGGAGGGGCAGGGGUGCAUCACGCCGGCCAGCCUGGGCCGGAUGCUCGUCAGGCUCGGGGCCGAGCGGGGCGCCAGCGAGUGCCACACUGCCACGCCAUGAUCUGCCGGUUCGACCUCGACGGCAACGGCGUGCUCAGCUUCGACGAGUUCAAGAUCACGAUGAGCUAGCUACCUCGCGCCUGGACCCAAGCAUAUACCCCUAGUUUCGUCUGCAUAUAGCUCUUUCGCUCGUUCGUUCGUUCAUUCAUUCAUUCAUUCGAUUGUCAUAUGGCACUAGUACAAAGUUUGUAAUGAUGAUGCUCAGACAGUAACUGAUUAUUUUUACCAAAAGGGGUCAAAAAAUAUUUUUUGAACAUCAUUUUAUUACUUACGUUUUACAAAUAUUUAAAAGAUUAUCUUGAGUGUUUUAUUUAAAAAAAAUAUUAUUUAAGUUUUAUUAAAAAAUAGAUAAUACACAAUUUAUACUAAAAUGUUCCUAUUUACUAAUCAACUUGUGUAUGUAUAAUAUUUUUACACACAAAUAUUUGAAAAUAAUCAUAUUUCUUAUGUUUUACAAAUAUCUUAAAAAGAUAGCGCGUGCAAAAUGGGUCACAGUAUCUGUAUCCCAAAUAAGCUCCACAUGAUCCUCGCUUAAUAUACUCCCUCCAUUCCUAAAUAUAAGUCUUUUAGACAUUUCAAUGCGGACUACAUAUAUACGAAGCAAAAUGAGUGAAACUACAUUCUAAAAUAUGUCUAUAUACAUCCGUAUAUAUUUUUUAUUGAAAUCUCUAAAGAAAAAAUUUAGGAAUGGUGAGAGUAUAAAUUUGUUCUCCAGUUUACACAUCCAAAUGUGAAUGCUGGAGUGGCCAUACGAGCAGUUGAUCUAAAAGUGGGUGUCUGGUUAGAGCUUGGAGGUACCCUUUUUGUGUGUGUAUAUAUAAAUUCUAGGACUUUUUGUGCAAGUGUAUUGCGUAGUUGGAUUUUUUGGCAAAUGAAAAAUACGAGUGUGUCCUACACAAAAAUGCAUAGGUCCAGGGUCCUCACUCAAUGACAAGUGGGGCCAUACACAUGGAUAUGCCAGCAUACGCGUUCGUGACCGUAUCUGCACGCUUGAGUUAUGUUUCAAUACCAUAUUUUUAAAAUUUUAACACCAAGCUGAACAUGCAAUGCAAGUUUCUAUGUGUUUCAGUGAUAUUACCUCUUUUUCAACUGGUAAUUGAUUUUUUCCUUCUUUUUAGUGUCAGAUUUUGUGUGUGUGCGUGUGUGUCAUGCAUGUGCCGGUGUUGUGCAGGUGCAGGUGUUGUGUAUAGUGUGCGUGUGUUGCCACCAUGUCCGUGUACAUGUACAUGUGCAUGUCUCUGUGUGUGCUUGGUUCUGAGCGUGUGUGUGUGCGCGUGCGCGCUUGUGCGGAAGAUGACAUCAUUGGUGGAGAUACGUUCUAUUUCGACAUGUAAGGUACAAUUAAUCUUUUAAUUUAAAAACUACAGAAAACAUAAAUAUACACAUUUCAGUUUGACUUUUUUUUAUUGUUUAUCAAGUACAAUUAAUCUUUUAAUUAGUCGUUUUUUCCUUUAUGUGUGUUGUGAAUAUUAGGGGUAGGGGGGGUUGUACAUAUACACAUAAGUAUUAUACCAGAUGUGAGAAAAUUACACUAGAAUGCAAAAUUUGCAUUAUUAUACGGUUAUUUUUGCAUUUAAGAAAUUAUGCAAUUUCAUUAGAAAUUGUGUGCAAAACAAUUCAUCAUUUGCUUUUAUUUUCUUAUUUUAUUUUCUUUCUUAUUUAAUAAUAAUACCAACACAAAUAAUUGAUUCUUUCCUUGAAAUUUAUUUUUUCAAAAAACCACUAUUAUGCACUUAUUGUUUCAUAUUAUGAAAACGCGUAAUUUCCAUGUAAUUUUGUGCAAAAAAAAUUCAUUCUUUUUUUCAUUUUCUUUCUUCUGGAAGGGUAAUACCAAUACCACUAAUCCAUUCUGUCUUACAAAACUUUAUUAUUUUGGUUUAUUUUCUUCUUUAAUUAAGGGCAAUGCACAUGCUAAUAAACCAUUCCUUCUUAGAUUUUUUUUGCGAAAAUACCAUUAUUAUGCUUAUUCUUGUAUAUUACAAAAAACGUAUUUUUUGUCUAAAUUGUAUGCAAACUUUAUCAUUACUAGUAAAUGUGCACGUGCAACGCACGUUAUAUCCGAGGAAUUUUUUUCAUUAGGACGCGCAUAUUCAAUCGAAACAAAUUAAAUCCCCUUUUAAAUCUGAUCACAACUCACGAGUUGAAUUGCAGAAAAUUUAGUACACAAUGGGUAAUUGAGCAUACACAAAAAGUCCAGUCACAUAUCUCUCGUAAUGCUACGCCUUUAAUUCUUCUAUCGAAAAAACUACCAUAUGCCCUAGGAUAACCACCAUGUGCGCAUCCAUGUGACAAUAGCUUGUACCUUUCACCUGACAUGAUUCUUAGUUGGUUGUGCCUCCUCUAUUUCUCUAAAAGAUACAAAAAAAGACAAUGUCAUGUGUAAAGCUAGAAUAACCAGACAAUGAAGUUGUGCGAACUAAAAGCUAUCUAACUUGAUUACAACUCAAAACUACUCCCUCUGUUCCUAAAUAUAAGUCUUCUUAGAAAUUUCAAUAUGCACUACAUAUGGAUGUAUAUAGACUUAUUUUAGAGUGUAGAUUCACUCAUUUUGCUCCGUAUGUAGUCCAUAUAUGAAUCUCUAAAAAGACUUGUAUUUAGGAACGGAGGGAGUAAAAUUUUUCAGGUUAAGAAUGAUCCUGAUGACAUAUGAUGGCCGCACCUUGAAACUAAUUAUUUGAAUUAGAACAUGCAUUUGGAAAACAAAGAAGUACUACACUGGAACAUGCAUUUAUAAAAAUACAAUGAUGCAUCUGAAGAAAGAUACUACUAUACUGGGAAUGCACUUGGAAAAAUCAGUGCAACUUGCUUAUCACGUGUAGAAGAUGUGAAUUUUAACAAGCAAGAUAUGAGCAAUAGCGUGAGCCUGGUCUUGACAAGUUAGACAAAGCCACAUAUGCACUCUUCUUUCUUAAUGCCUCAUUGUCGCCAACAUCUGAAUGGUUGCCUUGAUACUUUGGCAAAGCCACUGCAAUCUAUAAAAUAAAUCCAUUGAUGGUCACACUAAAAGUUUGCUCUUUAUAAGCAUUGAGUUUUCGACAGCCUCUAGAAUAGAGAACACUACAAAGAGCUAUUUUUGUCAUGGAUAAUAAAUUAAAUAGGCACUAAUGAACUGCUGCAUGCACGCAAUCAGUUUCAGUGAUUGUACAAAACAAAAACGAAGGUGAACAAACAUGUACAUGGGCGUUUUGAAGGUAAGGGAAGCAAUAACAUCACCCAGUGCAGACAAUGACUUGUCGAUGAACUUUGCCUCCUUAUACCUCUCUCCUUCUAAUUCAGUUUUGGGAAAGUGGUCACUUCCAGCAUGGUCAAACAACCAUAUGUGGGUUCUACUCCUUUGCCCAGUAAGCAAAUGCCCACUCAUGAUGGUGACCCUAACCAAGAUGCAAGUGAAACAGAAGUUCGGAUGUCAUUAUCCCAUUGCUAAAAUAUGCUCAUUACUAUGUCAAGUAUGCUAAAUUAAAUAGAACUGGUUCAGUAACACUUCUUGAUUAAAUCAACUAACACAUCUAUUAUCUGGAACAACUUCCAUAGUGAACAUUUUCACUGUUCCAGUUUGCCCACAUUGAAACCAUACAUCACUGACCUCACGACUGACAGAUUCUUAGCAAAUACAACAUCUGAAUAAAACAUAUAGAACAGAACCAAUUAAAUUCAACAUCAUCCAAUAAUAUUAGCAUAUUUAAAAUAUAUUGAGAAAAGGAAUACAUAUGCUUAUUAUCGUGUUGAAAGACUGUCCAAUUCAUGAAUUUGAUACAUCACAACAUUUGGAAGAAAACUUAAAUGAUUGCCCUAUUCAUAAAUUUUCAUGAAUGCAGGAGCGGUAAAAUUCAAUUUGCAUGAAGCUUUUGAAAAUGCAGAUUGUGAUGUUCCACACACCAUCUAUUGUAUUAUUUUCUCAUCCAAAUUUCAUACCAUGCAAUAAAUAGGAGAUAGAAGAAUAUAAGGAACAUGCUUAGGCCUGCCUCUGUCAUUCCCUCUCUGCCACUUCCCUUCUGUUGUACUCCUGCUAGUGUUAUGCAACAUAUAAGAACAAUCUGCAGGGUGGAAGAACAGAAUUACAGACGGGAAAUAAAGUUUGAUGCAAAUAUUUUAAAACUGCAAACAUUAUACAAUGCCAAGCUCUCUGAUAUUUUUUAGGGAAGAAAUCACUCUUUUUCGGAUGAGUGAUGUGAGAGACGCAUCAAACAAGGGUUUUACGUCAAAUUUGGACUAAAAAGUAAGUUUUUAGAUAUUUAUACUAUUAUUAAAGAGGGAUCUGUGGGGAUGAUCCGUCGUAUUUCCAGCUCUGAAUUGCGUCUUCCAAAAAAAUCGUCCGCUAAAAUGAGGGCCAUUGAAUCAGCACUCUCUUGUCUCCCAUUCUCCCUUCAAGCCUUGUGUCUUCUCCAGCAGAACCAUAUGCUGAUCUGCAUAUCUACCACUGCCACAUACACAUACUAAACAUUCAGAUUAAGCUCAAGUUCCACUCAUCACUCUUUUCGUAAAAGACAAACGAUCUGUUGUUCUAGGCUGCUUGCUAUAGACAGAGGGGCACUAUAAAGCUUUGUUUAGUUUAGGCACUUGCAGAUAGCAUGUGAAUCUAUGAAGUGUCCUUACUUUACACUACACAUGUUCUUUUUAGAAAAGACGCUACAUUUAGCAAGAUGUUAAGUAAGAUGAAGAUCCACGCAAUGGACGGGUAGAUUGCUGCACAAAAGCACCCGAGGGGCAACAAUGUGUAUGAACCUGAAGUCCCGAAUAACUCACGAAAUUUAUUUUGUUACCCUCUAGCGCUUCAGCCCAAGAUCAACUCAAGUUUACUGUUCGGAUAGUUCAGACAACUGACAAGUUGGUCGCUCUACCUGUGCCCGGCCAACAAGAACCCUACACAUUCUAAAUGUCAUCGCAAUCAUAAUGCCAACACAUCUGUUCAUAAAUUUUGCAGUUCUAUGUAUAAUCUGGACAUACCAUUUGCAAUGGUGCCGAAGCUUUUCUGGCAGAUUUGACAAUUAGCUUCACCAAUUAGGUUCUUCAUAUAACGGAAGAGAAAAAAAGGCCAGUCACAAACUCACAAUGUUGAAUGGAUAGAUAAUCAUCUAGUAGCAAUAUCAACCAAUUAACAGGACAAAAGAAACAGUAAGCAAACACUACAAAGUGGUCUUGAUAUAUGAAUAAAGUUCUGUACGUUACAGUAAAUUACUAUAUAUGAAUAAGAUUAGGCGUAAGUAAUUGGACACUGCUAUGAGAUGCUAAUAUUAAAAACAUUAACCAUGAUAUUUACUGGGAAUAUGGAGUAUCACGUCGCUCCUAUGCUUCAUCUGCUUGCUUCUCAAACAGAUUGGAAGAGCCAAAUCACCUUCAUCGGAAUGGUACCCAAUGGUUGAAACGACAUACUCCCUCCGUUCCAAAUUACUCGUCGUUGAAAUGGAUGUAUCUAGAACUAAAAUACAUCUAGAUACAUCUAUAUGCGCGACAAGUAAUUCGGAACGGAGGGAGUAUCAGUGUACAACUUCUGCCUUCAGAGAAAAAAUAUCGAACACAUACCUAGGGCGGCAGGGCUGGCUGGGAGGUGGGACAGAUGCGCACUACGGCUAGCCAAGGCGGACACGACGGAUGCUGCGCGCGGGAGGAAGGGGGGGGGAGGGGGGAGAUCCGCUUGUGGUCUGACGGAGCUCUGCUCCAUGCCAUGGCGCCCUGCAGCGCGGAACGGAGAGAGGGAGAUAUAUUAGUCAGGGGAUGGAGAGAGAAGGAGUUUGAGGGCGUUGAGCGCAGCUUGCGCAGCUUACCAGCAGAGGAGGUCGGCGGCGGCUUGCUGUACGGCGGGCGACGACCAGAGGACGGGUCGACUCGCGGCGAUGGGGAAGGAAGCACACGGGAGGAGGGGAUCAGGGGAAGGAAGGUGGGGCCGUGCAAGUUGCUGCGGAUCCGUUUUUGUGGCAUGAUUUCGGGUGGAGUCAAUCUGGAAAUCUGUGAACUGCCUGCGGGAUUGCGGGGAUUGGGGACGCGGAGCGCUACGAGGAUUGACAGACUACCGCGUCUGGUUGGUAGAACAUCUGAUCUGAGACGUUGAUCUCGGUAACAGACUAUUGAUGCAUUAUGAAUGGUGGGAUGUAUUUAAGUUAAUUUGAUCCGAGGGUCCUGGUAAACCUGUGUAUAGUUUACCGUGUGGCUUUAGGGGGAUUGAUGUUUGCUUUUUUAAUAGUAGUAUAGAUAUAGAUAUAAAUUUAUUUUAUUUCAUUUCUUCUAGAAGGAUGAUUCCAAUGCUACUAAUUCAUUUCAUGAACACGGAAUUUAAGGAUCGAGUACAUAUAUUAGUGGUGUCACAUUUUCCAUCUCUCACACACGCGCACGCAUACUCUACACAUGCACACACACGUUGCACCGACAGCCACUAACGUGCACGUACAUAAAGAAAAUAAACACCGUUGAAUGAACUAGCUACCAUCGUAUCACUAGUAGUUUGGGCAUAGCUUGGCGUAGCUAGCGGAUGGACAGGGUCGUUCAUGGACCACCCUAGAAUUCCACCAUAGCUCAUGCACAGUGUAGUAAAAAAAUCAUUUCCGUGAAAAUAAACAAAAUUCAUGUAAUAUUUCUAUUACGGGACCACCCUAGCACAUCAGGUUGGCUACGCCACUAGCCUAGGUGCAGUGAGUACGCUCCAAGACUGACCCUUAUAUUAUUUUCAAUCGACUGGCAUAUAGCCACGCUCAAAUCUGGAGUAACUAAAUACGCACUCGGGUCAUAUGGUUUACACUUGAGAGUCUGUGACGCCCGGAUAAUUAAGCUACAGUAACUCUCUACUAAUGACAUCAUGUCACCACAUUUACUGUUGAUAAACUCGCGUUGAUUCAAACCCGCUCGAAAUUCAAAUUUAAAAUGGAGUCAAACGGUAAAGGUUUUCAAACAUUAAAACUAAAAUCUCGAUCAUGUGGCAAAUAUUCCAUUUCUAAUUAUGGUUGUGAACCAACAAGUUUGCAAAGUGUUUAAAUGACCUAAGAUAACUAAAAUAGUGGCUAAAAAAUUUGUUUAAAUGUUUUUUAAUUUAUAAAAUACUAAACUAUUUUAUUUAAACCUCACCUAAAAGUGGCAGUGGCCUAAGUUUAUUAAGCUACAUUAGGUACAAGUUUUAUAAAUUAUAAAACUGUUUUGGUUUUAAAAAGUUUNNNNNNNNNNNNNNNNNNNNNNNNNNNNNNNNNNNNNNNNNNNNNNNNNNNNNNNNNNNNNNNNNNNNNNNNNNNNNNNNNNNNNNNNNNNNNNNNNNNNNNNNNNNNNNNNNNNNNNNNNNNNNNNNNNNNNNNNNNNNNNNNNNNNNNNNNNNNNNNNNNNNNNNNNNNNNNNNNNNNNNNNNNNNNNNNNNNNNNNNNNNNNNNNNNNNNNNNNNNNNNNNNNNNNNNNNNNNNNNNNNNNNNNNNNNNNNNNNNNNNNNNCACCCGAGCCAGGCAGCCCACCUACCCCCACCGGUCGUCUUGUUCUUCUGUUCACCCGACCGAGCCGACGGAUCUGGCAGCUGCCAGAGUUGCGAGGUAGGAGGAGGGAAGGGGGAGGGCCGGCGGCGAGCUGCGAGAUGAUGGAGGCGGACAGGUGGUGGGUGGCGCCGAUGCGUUGGAGACGAUGAGGAAUCGGGACGAGGGUCUAGCCACGAGCCGAGGAACAAGGUAUUAGGGUUAGAUUUUAUAUGGGAGUGCCUAGGCGGGCUUUAGCGGGCCUGGCAGGCUGUACCGGGCCAUCAAUGACAGUUUGUGAAUCUGUCAUAAGAAAUCCGUCAUGGAUUAACAUAUUUCUUGUAGUGAGUGCACGUCUCCAUUCCAUACCAAGCUCCUUCUCUAGUCGGGGAAAGGCCAUUCUAAAACAUCAGAUCUCCCAUUUUUGCUGAACAAAAAUCAGUUUAUUCACCUAUAAUAUAUGACAGGUAGCAAAAAAUUGGAUGCGUCAACAAGAGAUUGUAUGUCAUUUCUGAACACCACCUCGGAGGAAAGCGUUGGAAGGAUUCCUUUCAAAGCGUAAGAACCACCGAAGAGCAUGGGAUUGGUAUUUCUUUUCUGGGAGUUUCCAGUUCUUGAGCACUAAUAACGUUUUGAUCAUUCUUGUUGACCCUCCAUGACCAUAGGUUGGUUUCAUAACUAGAGCUUCUGUUCAACUCUUUACAUACCUUGAUGGGAAGGAAAACUCCACUUUAGAUGGAUUAAAGGUUUUACAAUUAUACCUUGCUAAUGUUAUCAACCGGAUGAAUUUAAAAUUGUUCGACUCAUUGUCAUCAGAGAAACACGUGCCAUAGGAGAAUUGACUUCGGAUCAGAGCAAGAAUCGAAACCAAGGAAAAGCUAUCUUUCGUACCAACACAUAGACAACUUACUAGUACCAUUUUAUUAAUAAGUUCCAAAAUAUACAAUCAAUAUAUUAAUGGAGUUUUUCUAAUAAAUUACAACCAUACUGGCCCUCACGUGGCAUAACAGUAACAGUUAAGCUUCCAAAGUAAGGAAAGAAAUGUAUGUCAGGCUAGCUCGACCUCUUCAUACUCAUGGAAGGAAAAACCUAGAACAACCAGAACAAUUUUGACAUGACUAACGAACUCCCCGCCAGUGAUUAGAUGUUUGGCGUGGAAUUCAGCCCCACAAUUACGAGCAAUGUACCAUAGCAUAUCCACCCAUACCGUUGCAAUCAGCUCCCACCGAUAAGCUGCUCCUUCGGGCCUAAGCAAUUCCAAGGAGACCUCACGAGCUUGGUCAAGUGCACGGGAACCAUGGUAGACACCGUCAUAGACUUUCUGGAGGAACGCACUCCGAUCAGCAACGAUAGCAGGACGAGUGCACAACAAACUAUGUCGACUUUUAUGAAGCACAUGAUACGCACAGCUAUCAAGCAUCACAUUACACUUGGCGACAAGAUACAUCAUGUAAUUGGACAAUGCUUGGCUAAAACUUCUGAAUUCGGAGGCACUGGCAGUCUUAUCGGCCACUAAGCAUAUAUCAGUCACCAUGUGCCAAAGAUAGACACUUGACACAAAAGCCAAACCUUGGAUGUUGCUUAACUGAAGUGCCCGUUGAGCUGCACUUUCAGAUUGUUGACCUGCACCAAGAUAAUCUUUGGUCUGGAGCGCAGCCCACCAUUGAGACCAUUGGCCACGGAAGCUGCUGGAGGACAAUCCCCCACCACCAGGUGCAUUGGUUUUUAUCUCAAGCAGUUUUACAAGUAGCACCUUCUUUACCUCAGGAGAUAUGACGACAUGUGUUGUGUAAUCCCGCUUGAUGCCGAUACUGCCCAUCAUCCGUUCCAGUCGGCCAGCUUGUAUCUCCUGGAUGCAUCCAUCAAGCAUGUUAUACUGUUUCAUCUUCCCCGACCACUCCAUUCUGCUUCCUGGAUGGAGACCCUUGGGUACACAAUGGAAGAUUUUGUCAUAAUCAAAUGUCCGCCAAUAUGCAAUUGGCAUGUAUGGCCAAUAUGAUAACAGGGACCACAUGAAGGUAGAGGAUAUCUCCAUUGUGACAGCGCCCACAAGCAAUAUGUAAGAUAUGGUAACAUCAGCUCUACUGUAGUUGACUAGUCCCUGCAAUUGAUGAUCAACCCUGGCUUCCAAAAACAAAACGAGAGCCGUAGAGGUUAGGACAAGUGUGAUGAGUCGAUGUAACACACCAGUGACCCGUCCAAACUUGGUGUACAAGUAGUCAUGUACCAGUGAGAGUUGAAUCUCAACAAUCUUGUACACUAGAUCACUAGCUCCAUCGUCAAACCUGUGAAUCCUUUCUGCAACUGCAAUCCUUAAAUCCUGUAAAUCAAUUCCGCUAAAUGGAGGAUUUACGUCCAUCAAAAAAUCAAACUUCAUAAAGAAGCCCCCGCAGGUCACAUCCAUCACAUGUUCGAAAUUUUCCUCUUUCUUCUCAGAAAUUAUUGAUAGCAGGCCAUCAUAAUAUCUGCUCAAGCCGGAGGCAAGAUGCCUCCCACCGGCAUUGAAGCUGCUGCUCCUUGAGCCUGCUCUCCUGAGUGCCCUAAUUCUCUCAGCAUAUUUAAUAGUUCCAGAGAUGAACAUUAGUACCAUGGGAGCUACAAGUUGACUGCCUCCGUGCCACUGCUUGCGGACGAUGUAAAUGGCCAGUGCCACCUGGAUGGUGAAGUUCAGCAGGUGGCGCUUCCACAGCAUGCAGUCCUCCAUGGAGAAGGCGGUGAUGGUGUCCUGUCCGCCAAGGUGGAGCAGCAGGAAGGGCGCCCAAAAUAGCACAAGCUGGUGCUGUGGGUCACUAGUGUGGGCGGCGAGGCGUCCGAGGACGAAGACCGCGAUGGAGUCUGCCGAUAGGUAUGACAGCCACAACAGCGCGCUCAGCACGCGGGAGCUGUGGCGCUUCCGGAACGCUGCAGAGAAGAGGAGGAUGACUUGAAGGGAGAAGCUCGCUAGCACGAGCAACUGGAUCUCCCAUUCCUUCCAGAGUUGCUGGACAUGCUCCACUGAGCUGAUACGUUUUACGAAACAAAAGUUAGAAAGGACGAAAAGGAUUAUAUAUAGAGCAAACGUCAGCGCGUAAGUGUUUGAGGGCGACAAACUUUGCGUCAAGCAUUGGGCUGGAAAGUGAUACUACCUCCAUUCAAAAUAUAGGACAGUUUAGUAGGAUACUUAAGCCUACCAAAACGUCCUACAUUUUGGAACGAAGGUAAUACUAUCAUUUAACAUUGGUUUCUAACAGGGCCGGCCCUGUGGGGGGGCAGGGGGGCGGCCGCUCCGGGCCCCCAAAAUCCAGGGGCCCCGAAGGGUAUGUACGUAGCCUAUAGGCCUAUGGCCCAUACAGGCAGGCGCGCGCUAGGGAGCAGCAGGCCAGCAGCCCGAUCUCCCCGAUCCCCAGCGAUCGAGUGUUUUGAGCUAUCAGCGGUAUUUCCUUUCACGUAAGAAAAAAGCGAUCAAUCAGCGGCCUGGACCAUUCCUUUCCUGUUCUGUUAGACUCUUUCAUCACGCGGAGUCACGCAACACCCAGGUCCCAGCGAUAGUUGAUGUCCGCCGACGCCGCCGUACACGCACGCUGCACGCACGCACUCCCGCCUUGCCGCCGCCUGGUAAUUUCCUUCGUAAUCUGUAUAUGUUCGCCACUGAUUUCAAUUCCGGGGCCCCCUUUCGCAUCUGCUCAAUUGUUCUCUUCUCAAUCCUUUGCAAACUCUAGGCGCUGUGCAAUCCCCUGUGUAUUGUAUUGUAUAUAUACGCGCACGCACUGAAGUUUGACCAUCACUCCAUCACGUAUUGAGGUAUAUUGAUAUAAUACUGAUACAAGAAAAAUCCUUUGAUGGAUAGCCGGCAAUGUUCAACAAUUGAUAGAACAAUUUUUUUUAUUUUCAGCAUUUUGUGUGUGUUAUUAUGAAGUCCUCCAGUAAGAGGAAUUAUCCAUCAUGUAGCAGCAAAAGGAAAAAGAAGAAGGAAGUGGAGAAAUUGACACACACAAAACGCUGGUGUUUAAAGAUAUAUUCAGAUUUUUAUUGAGCUCGGGCACUCUGAAAUCAUUAAGUGACAAUGAACUUGAAGAAUGUUGCACAAAAUUUGCAGAAACUUUCUCUCUUAAUGAUUCAUCUCAUAUUGAGGUAUAUGAUCUUAUUUCUGAAUUAGAGAUUAUGAUUAUGAGAUUAACUUUGCCAGAUGGCGUAAUGUCUGCUAUGGAGAUUUUCGGGCAAGUGAGAGAAGUCAACUGCUAUCCUAAUAUCUCUAUUGCCUCGCAUCUUAUGUACUGUGCCUGUGACGGUCGCAUCGGCCGAAAGAAGCUUUUUGAAGUUGAAAUUAUUGAAGAAUUAUUUGAGGUCAACAAUGACUUAAGAGAGGUUAAAUGGUCUGGCUAUAUUAUGCAUCGAGAAGAAAUUAUUGGAUGAUAUUAACAUCGACCCUAUCAUAAGCGACUUUGCAUCGAGGAAUGUUAGAAGAAAAUUUUAAGGUAAUAUCUAUAAAUUAUUUGAUACGCAUACUGAUUUUAGAUGCAUUGAAGUGUUACUGAUAGUAAUUUAUAUAUACACUAUUUUUUAGAUAACUUUAUAUAUAUACGUAUAUUAUAAUGACUUGUAUAUUAAGGGCCCCCAAUUUUUAGUUCGCCCCGGGCCCCCGAAAUCUCAGGACCGGCCCUGGUUUCUAAAAGGCUAAAAGCAAAAGGCCUGGCCUGAGAACUCUGUUGUUUUAUUUUUGCUUCAUAUAUAAAACGGAGGAGAUGUUCCCGUCGACUACUAAGGCGUCUGUGGCGACCUCGUUAAUCUCAAGAUGAUGUGCCGGCUCAGUCUCUCGGACGUGCUCAUAGGGGUAUAGAGGGUGUAUGCUCGUGUAUGUGAGCGACUUCGAUUAUACCAUGUUUUAAAAAGUUGAGCGGGGGAGACCCUUUCAUUAAAAAAAAGGGCUAGAUAUCGCAUGGAACAAAAGUUGAUCUACUCAAUAUAUGCAUAUCUUACCCCACGCAUGCCAUUUAAAGAAGAUACUACCGGAAUGACAUUCUAUGCCGACAGCCCGCAGUCGUCGGCAUAGGCACAAACCCCGUCGGAAUAGGCCUAUGCUGACGGCAACCGUGGGCAUAGGGUCGUCGGCAACUUGUACGUCAGUGUAGCUGGGCAGGGCCAUCGGCGUAGAAAAGCCGUAGGCAUAGAGGCCUAUGCCGACGCCCUUCAUACACCCAUCGGCAAACUUCUACGUAUGACGGCGGCUAACGGCGCCGUCGUCAUGUUCUGAUCAAUGAAAGGGCGACACGUGGUACAGCUAUGCCGACGGCCAAUCCGUCGGCAUAGUUUUAUAUCUAUGCUGACGGCCAGACCGUCGGCAUAGUUCUGCCAUGUGUCGACAACUGGUGCAGCCUGGCACUAAGGUAUGUCGACGGCCCAACUACCCCCCAAGUACCCCGUUCCGUCUAACCCUAGCACAGUUGACCGGCGGAUCUAGCCCUUUGACUUUCACCAGACGAGAUUUGCCGAUGGACCUUUUCACCUGGUUGUGAUAGGCUCCUCAUGACUAACCCUGGCACCGUUGACCGGUGGAUCUAGCACUUUCAAGAUUCUUAUUGAAAAAACAUAUAAAACUUGUCAAAAUAGAUGUAAUUAUCAAUUUUUUGUGAUUUUAAUAAAGUAUAGGGACCUAUAUACAAAAAACAUGAGGUCACAUUACUAACAUACUCGAAAAAAAUACAAACUACAUAUUCAUAAUCUAUGGUAAAUUCUACACCAAAUCAAUAUAUAAUUUAUGAAUGCUUAUGUCUAGAUAAGUUAAUGAAAUUUUAAUUUAGAAAGAGAUAAAAACUAAAAAAAUAGACAAUACACAGAUAUGCCAUUUAAGUUAAUCAAAUAGCUAUGCCCCGGAUCGAUGAGGUGUGCCUGGCACGUGCCGCGAAUCGAGGACGUGGACCAAGCCUAUGCCAACGGCUUUGCCAUCGGCAUAGCUAUGCCGACGACCUCCAUUAGUGUCGUCGGCAUAGCUAUGACGGCAUCAAACGCUCGUCCCCACCGGGUUGCCGGGCCCACGUUUAUGCCGACGGCCGCUGUAGGCAUAUGUCCCACUAUGCCGAUGACAUAACUAUGCCGACAGUCACCGUCGGCAUAUGUGGAAGUAUGCGGACGGCUUGCCCUAGGCCGUGGGAUGGCAAAACAGGUCUGGACAACGUGGUCCGGACGUAUGUGAACGAUUUAUGGGUCGGCAUUGGAGAUGCCGUUACCGGCCCACAUCAUUCUGGGCGUCAUUAAUUCACAUAGAGGAUGCCGGGGAAAUGGCCCUAGGGACGUGGUGCCUGUCGCAAGUUGGUUCACGACGGUGUGGAGUGUGCAUGUCGCAAGUUGGUACACGACGGUGUGGAGUGACAGCGGUGAUGUCCACGUCGUGUUAUGGGCUUAUGGCUGGCCUUCUGAUGACCGUGUUGACGGUCUAUGGUCUCCCACCAUGCAUCUGCUAGCGCCGCUGUGGUCGAUGUCUUGUUGGUGUGGUGGUCUUCGCGCGAAUGCAGCAGUGGAGCGGGAUCGCAUGGUUUGGCGGCGAUGUGAUUUGCUGGAUCGGGAGGAUCUAGCGAUAUGCAUCAGGCUUUGGUCAGAUGACUCGCAUCACGUGUAAGCAUGGAGCGUCCUGCCAUAGCCAUAAUGUGCAUACAUCUGGGCUAUUUAGAGAAGGAUGGUUGUCUUAGGGGGCUCUUCCUCCCUCCCGCAUCUCAGGGGUGGCGGGACCCCAACAUGCGUGGAGGUGCGGCCGAUUUAGAAGUGACGGCGUUGGCUUCGACGGCAGCGGCGGUCGGCCCUGCCUCGGGCCAAGGGCAGCUGCUGCGGCGGCUGGCCUGGAUCGGGCGGCGGCGCGAUGCGGUCUUCGGCGGCAUGUCAUCUGGUUUUAGAUCGGCGGCGGCGUCGAGGGCCUGGUGGACUGCUUCGCGGCACCCAUGGCAGAUCUGUUCUGGCCGGUGUAGCCAGUGGUGGUGGUCAUCUUCUUCGUCAGCGGUGGCCGGCCAGAAGCUUGGUGAUCGGAUCUUGAGAUCCAUCAUCUAGUCCCGGCUGCGAGUUGGGGAGACAUGGUUGCCGGUGAAAACCGAACCGACGGUAGGCGAUGGCGGCGUUCUAUGCCAUUACCUUGAUGAAGGCAUCGUCGUGUAACUACUGUCAACCCACUCGUGCUGCUCCGGAGGAAACCCUAGGAUCUGGUGUUCUAGAUCGGACGAUGGCGGCACUGCGGUGUCGCUUCUCUCUUGGGAGCAUCGUUUGUGGAACAACACUGGAAGUCAGAGGCAGAAGGUGGAGCGGCUUCGUCUUGCACGGAGCUUCGAUGGAGAUGUCAAGUCAUGCCUGAGCGACAGGUGCUACGCUUGGUCAUGCCUGGUCUGCAGGUGCUACGCACGGCAGAUCUCCAAGGACUUCAAGCUGUGUGGGCUGGUGAUACUUGGCAGCAUGACACUGAGGUGUAUCAGUGGCGGCCACGACGCGUUCAGUUGUUUGCGCGCAGGGAGGAGGUGUCGUUGGGUGCUGUGGUGGCGUCGACGAUAGCUGGACCGAGCAAGUUUAUGCAUCAGUACAGUUCUGAAGAUGGAGCGGUGGCAGUUGGCGGCGGCAGCCUCUGAGAGCACGCCGGACCAGUGUGUGCCCCAGACCCAGCAAGUGGCUAGGUUGGGGUAUCAAUCUUAGAUGUUAGGCUUGGCUGCGAUGUCUGUUUGGUAUUAGGCCCAGGCUAUCUACGCCGCUUCAUCAACUGGAUAGGCGUAGCGACAGUUUGUUGCUUAGACGGCGGCUUUAGUCUUACUGUUGUAUUGAUUUUGCAAGGUCUUAUGAGAAUAAUUAAUAAAGUGACCGUAUGCAUCGCCCAGAUGCAGAGACCGGGGUCAUCCUCCUUUUCUAAAAAAAAAAGAUGCUAAUAACAUUUACAACAGUAAAUAAGUGCUCUGUGGAAACAUACGGUCAAAUUGGAUAAUCCCCCUUAAAAAAGAGAAACGUAUAUUGUUUAUCCUUCAACUUUUGGUGGAGUCCAAAUUUAGCCCUUAAACUUUGAAACUAGAUAACUCGCACCUUAUAACUUUUAAAACAGGGUUUACUAGUCCUUCACCGAGUCCUUCAGGUUGUUUCCCUGCUGAGUCAACCCGGUUUUGACUCGUAAGUCUAACACAACAUCCACCUCAUCAUCUUCAUCUUACUGGAGUCGGGGAUUUCAUCGAACACUUCGUAGGCAGCCGAUGCCUAGGUGCUUGUCAUCUCGUCCAUCCCGCCUGUCAUGGUGCUCAACCCCCACGUCUAGCAGCCGCCUUCCAAGAUCCCAUGGCUGGCGGCCAGUAGCAACUCGCGGGGGCCGCGGCGAUAGUUGGAAAGCUGGCCUGCGCGGCAUGGAUACGGCGGUGGAAGGGCGGGCCGGCCGCAUACAGCAGCCUGAGAGCAACUCUAGCAGACCCCGCAUCCCGCCCCGACCAUUUAAAUAACAGUCAAAAUACGAGUCGGGGCGAAAAAACCAGCCCGAUCAGACCCCGCAUCCCGCCCCAACCCGCACAAAAUUUUACGGGGCGUGGCAAAAUCCCGACCCCAACCCGGGAAAACACGGGUUUUCCCAUCGCGGCUGCGGUGCCCUGCAUAUAAGCGGAAGCGGUUGGUGGGGGAGACAUUUCAUCCCGUGCUUACACCCACCAAACACCUCUCCUCUCCCCCCACGUGUCGCCGCCGGCCGCCGCCAAAGAUUCCGGCAACAGAAGCCAGCAGGAGCACGCCGGAAGACCGCCACGCGCACGAGGCCUCCCCUCCCUUCCCCCCUGCGUUGGUGGGCCGUCAGAUUUGCAGAUCUGCGGCACUUCAUCGCGGGCCGCAGGAUUUGGCUUUUGCAAGCCGCCGGUUACUGUCCCAGGCGAUGGAGUGGUCGGGGAGCCACUCCCGCAGCCCAGGCAAGGGAGCAUCGCCGCAUGCAGGCACCGGUUCGUCCGCCCGCCGUCGUCGAAAGUUUGCUGGCAUGGACUCGUCUGGCCGUCCACCGGGCUCGGCGCUCAUGCAGCGUCUUUGUGGCCUGCUGAUGCCGUUCAUAGAGUGCGACGACUGCCCGCGCCAAGUGCUGCGGCUCACUUCGGGCACGCCGAAGCACCACAUAUGGGUGUUCUACAAAUGCGAAAACGACGGGGUACGUGCACUUGCGGUAGCUCGUUCCAUAGCUCAUUCUUUAGUUCAAUUGCGGUAGCUCACUUCAAGCUUUCUCAUUCUUUUGUGUAGGACGAUGGAUGCUCAUUUUGGUUUUGGAAAGGCCAAUACAUUGAUUUGUUGAUACAAAGAAACUUAAUAGAUGUUAGUGCACUCCUUAGUACAAUCGAAUGCAAUGAUGCGGCUGCAUGUGCAACUAGAGGGGAAGCAACGUCUACUUCUUUGGAACCAAAGAUGAAGAAUGAAGAAAACAAGAUCAAGAAUCCGCAGAUCAACAAUGAGUGCAUGGAGAAGAUAUUGCUUCAAUUAGUGGGAGCAGUUAUGGAAGUUGGAAAUCUUCUGAAAUGCAUACUUGUGGUUCUUGUUUUCUUUGGUUUUGCUAUUCUAGCCAAGAUUUGGUGAUAUCUUUUGUAUCUAAUGUAGUUGCAAAGGCAAAGAAAAGCAUUAUGCUAGAUCAAUUUAAGUUGCAAAUCUAAGUUUUACGGGCCGGGAGGAGCUGCGCCAGAUCAGAACCCGCAGAAGUCGACCCGUAAUAAUAGUAUAUUCCGCGAAUAUACUUUUUUACGGGUCCAUUAUGCGGGGUCUGCAUCUGUGCGAGCCCAUGCUGGCCCGCAAAAGCGGUUUUGCGCGAACUACAAAGACGUUUUACGGGUCGGCGGGAUGCGGGAUCUGCUAGAGUUGCUCUGAGCCAUGCCGCCAUUGCACGUGCACCCAAAUCAGCCAUAGAAGCCUCCUGAGCACCGUGCCGGAGCUCGUGCUCGGGUGCUCAAGGAGGCAUCGAGGUGAGGUGCACCAACCUAUCAAUAGAAGCCACCUUCACCUCGACACCUCGGCCUUGCCCUUGCCACAGCACGUGCGCACCAAUGUGGCCCCGGACGCGAGCGUUGCGAGCUCGAGGGAAAGCACCACCGGCGGCAAAGUAACGUGUGGCUGCUUGUCGGAAGCAGCUAGACCACCGUCGAGCUCGAUGCGUACCUAGGCGGCGUUGGUUUCCUGAAGGGGAGCUCCAGAACGACGCGGGCGUCAGCUUAGUCACCUGCAUGGCUGGCGCGCUCGUGUCGCUCGUACUGGUGCGGCUAGCGGCGGUGCGCACAGAGGUUGGCAGGCAGCAAGGAACUGCGCCAUGGCGAGGUGCACGGGGCUACCAGUGCUGGAGCGGCACUGUUACACGCUGCCAGCGGUGAGAAGGCGGCGCCGGCUUCGAGUGGCCAGUACGUAGGCAGCCCACGAUGCGGCCACGGCAGCAUGUGGUAGCUAGCAGGACCAUCUGAUGGUAGGCACGCAUCGUGUGUUUGAUGAAAUGCCCAAACAGAAAUAGGGAGAAGAGAUAGGGCCAGGUUGGGGAGAGAAAUACCGCCACGUGGAUGAAAAACCAGUCAAAACCACAAUGAGUCAGCAGUAAUACCGGGUCAGCCAAGAUGAUGGACUAAACUUGUCCGAUUUUUAUUGUUGUGGGUGCAAAUUGUCUGGUUUUAGACUUGAAAAACUAAAUCUGGACUCCACCAAGAAUUGAGUAACGAAAAGUAUACUUUUAUCUAUUAGAAAGUACGAUCAAAUUGAAUACGAUUUACGACAAUAUCUAGAGCGUUCUAUAUUAAGGAUUUUAAGUCUUGAAGCUACCUGUGUUGAGUCGUGGGCGGGCAGGUUGGCACGGCGCAGACGCAGUCUCCACAUUCCUUCAGCACCCUCAUGUUGCUCCGACAACAACAUGAAACCGCAAGCAGCGGCUGGAGCGUGGGAGAAAUUAGGAAAGAUGGAGAGCUGCUUAUGCUCGUCGUGUUUUUAUAGUACCAGUACGUACCAAUUCAAUGCCCACACGUCCAUGGCACUCUCCAUUGAUUCUUUGCUUGGACUGGCACAACUCCGCUUUGCUUGCAGCUGGGUCGACGGAAGAUUCCGCUAGCUUAGAAUAAUACACAUGCACGCAAACUAAAGAGCAUGCCAGUGGAGGAACUGCAUCAAUCAUAUCUUACGAGGCAAGCUUUCGCUCUACUUUAUACAGAAUAAACCAUAUAGUCAAACAAUGCAAUGUGCAAAAAAAUUCCCCUUGCAAACUGAUUAGAUAACAGAAAAACACAAUGACCAAAGACAGCACAUCACCAAGAAUGCCUUGUCAAACAGCACCAACAUGCCGCGGAUCAUAAACACGGGAGAGGCAGAACCACAACUAAAUCAAACAUAAGAACCGACAAUCUACGAACUCGUGACUUCUAUAUUUUUUUUUUGAACCGGGCAUUACCCCUUUCCAUUGCAAACAACAGAAAUACAACCAGUUUCGAGAACAGAGUCAGGAGGAGGGAAAGAGGUAAGGCGAGUUCAAGCAUUACCAGGAAACCCACUGCAAUUCGGUCGUCGUCGACCCGAACGCUAUGGGGCGAAAACCUGGUAACACAUACAGUUCAAGAGCAACAAGCUCCAGUACACCCAAAAGAGACAAACAUGCCAACACGACAAAAGAUCACAAAGCGCAAACUAAAAAGCCACUAUGAAGGAAGAAGGCCCUCCCAGCUGCAUGAUCCUUCAAGCUCNNNNNNNNNNNNNNNNNNNNNNNNNNNNNNNNNNNNNNNNNNNNNNNNNNNNNNNNNNNNNNNNNNNNNNNNNNNNNNNNNNNNNNNNNNNNNNNNNNNNNNNNNNNNNNNNNNNNNNNNNNNNNNNNNNNNNNNNNNNNNNNNNNNNNNNNNNNNNNNNNNNNNNNNNNNNNNNNNNNNNNNNNNNNNNNNNNNNNNNNNNNNNNNNNNNNNNNNNNNNNNNNNNNNNNNNNNNNNNNNNNNNNNNNNNNNNNCAGCUGCAUUGUGCUGUGUGCUGGUUCUGAUCAUCUCGGCACCUAAUCGAAGCUUGUCAGCGUCUUCACCUUUCUGACAGUCAUGUCCAGUACAAAAGAAAAGAGCACAUGGAGAACACGAUUUUAAAAGGAGACUUGAUUUGCUUUUUUCAAACGUAGCCUUAUUGCGAGCGAGCCAGAUUGCCCAGCACGCGGCUGCAAGUCCAACCGUAUAGAACUUGCCCUCUCCAGGAAGAAAGGACUGGCACCAAGCAAAGAAUUGCCAAUAGUUAUCUGGACAUUUAUCGGUGCCAAUAGCCACCCCAAUAGAUCGCCACACCACUCUUUGCAACAGGACAAGUAAAGAACAAGUGCUGGGAAGUCUCAAUCUCAUUGCAAAAAGAACAAUCAAGAUUCCCAGGCCAAUUCCUAUGGCGCAUCACCUGUCUAGUCAACACCGCGUCUUGCGAAAGCUGCCACAUAAAAUUUUUAAUCUUGAGAGGAAUUUUGGCCUUCCAAAUCCACUUAUAAUGGCACCUGUUGAGAGGUUUUUCAAGCCAUUUGUAAACAGAUUUGGUACUAAAUUUACCAUUCUGGUUUAAACUCCAAACCACUCGAUCGUCUUUGUCAGUAAGACGCAGGUUGUUAACUAUAUCUAAGAUUGUAACCCAUUGUUCAGCAAGAGCAGGAUUAAGCCUGCGCCUGAAAAAGGAGUCGGUCUCCACACUUAGCACUUGUUUAAUGGUACACUCAGGGACAUUACAUAUAUUAACGAGCUGCAGAUAUUGAUCCUUAAACGGAAGCAGUCCGUUAAUAGGAUCGCUCCACACCCUAGCAAUGUUCCCGGAUUCAGUAAUAACUUUUACACCAGCCAUAUAAAUCUCCUUGACUUUCAAUAGGGCUUUCCAACUCGAAGAGUCAGAAAACCUUGGGGCGACAUCCGCUACUGUUUUAUUCCGCAAGUAGCGAGCAUGAAUAAUAUCUUGCUACACCCCACUUUGUGUUUCAAGCUUCCACCACCAUUUCACCAUCAGACUGAUGUUCUGUUUAUGCAAGUCCUUAAUCCCUAGGCCACCUUUCUCGUUGGAUCUGCAAAUUCUGCUCCAUUUCACAAGAUAAUAUCUUUCUUCUUGUUACAACCCUGCCAGAAGAAUUUUCUUCUAUGCUUAUCUAGUUUUUCAAUAAAAGUUUUGUUCAUCAACCACAUACACAUAUGAUACAGUGAUAGCUGGGUGACAACCGAGUCUAAAAGGGUGUGUCUCCCUCCCAUGGAGGCAGCAUUGCCCACCCAGGCUUCGAAUCUUUUCAGAUAUUUGCACACAAUGAACUCCGAGUCAGAGUUCCUCAAUGAGGUGUAACUAACAGGCAUGCCCAAGUAUUUGAUGGGGAAGCUGCCUACAUCACAAUUAAAGAGGUCGGCAUAUUGCUUAAUAACAGCAUCGUCUCCCCCAACAGUCAAAAUCUCACUUUUUUGAAAAUUAACUUUCAAACCUGACAUCAUUUCAAACAUGUACAGCAACAACUUCAGGUUAACUGCUUUGACGAUGUCAUGCUCGAGACAAACAAUUGUGUCAUCCACAUAUUGGAGAACCGCAACUCCAUCAGGGAUCAAAUCCGCAGCUAAGCCAACCAACAGCUUAUUAUGUUGUGCAUUCUUAAUCAUCUUUGUGAGACAUUCAGCAGCUAAGUUAAACAGGAAUGGGGAGUGAGGGUCGCCUUGACGCACCCCUUUAGCACUUUGAAAAUACGGACCCACAGAAUUGUUCAAUUUAAUGCUAACCGUGCCAUUCUGAAGGAUCUGGUUAAUCCACCCACACCAAGUUUCAUUGAAUCCCACAGCUUAUGACACUCUAGCAAGAAGUCCAGUUAACCUGCAUGACUGGCGCGCCCUACUUUAUAUAGAAUAAACCAUAUAGUCAAACAAUGCAAUGUGCAAAAAAAUUCCCCUUACAAACUGAUUAGAUAAAAGAAAAACACAAUGACCAAAGACAACACAUCACCAAGAAUGCCUUGUCAAACAGCACCAACAUGCCGUGUAUCAUAAACACAGGAGUGGCAGAACCGCAACUAAAUCAAACCUAAGAACCGACAAUCUACGAACUCGUGGCUUUUAUAUGAAACCAUCCAGCGGUGGAGGACGGAAAAAAAAACAAGGUAGGACAAACCCACCCUAAAGCAUAAAGAAGAUCGAUACGUCAUGCCUGCCUCUCCCUUAGUUCAGGUGACUCAUCUCCCCCCCCCCCGACCCCAUCAUAACGUGGUGGCUAUGGUGCUCGCCAUCGAGACAAUGGUUUAGUUUUUAUUCUGUGGUGGUGUUCUUGAGCCUACCACAAUCUUGGUACUGUGAUGAUCUUUCUUGUCAAUAAAUUGGUUUUCUUGUAAUUGGGUGGCAGGUUCUUUGUUUGUACUGCAUGCUGCAGGUUUUGUAAUGGUGUCCAUGCUUAGUUUCUAUAGCAUCCAUAUGCUAUGAUUUAAACUUUUUAAUGGCUAUAAAAUAAAACAAGUUCUAUAGUGCUGUUGUGUAUUGAUAGAACAAGUGUUAUCCUUUUCUUGGAAUCAAUCAUAUUAUGUGUUGUGCUUUAGUGUAGGGAUAAACUCUUGUGUUACCUGCCCAGUGUUAGCUAUGAAUCCUGAUUAUAAGCAUGUUUGUUUAUUCACUUGUAUGAGUUUGUUUGUUGCACCCUAUGAGUUUGAAAUUUUGUAUCUUGGCCUGGCAGGUCCUCCAUGAAUCGUCUUUUCCAAUGUCCUGUUGCUGCGCUUUUGUUUUUUUGUUAGUCUUGGAACUGGACACCUGAUUCUGUUCAAAGACCUAGUUCCUUAGCUGAAAUAUGAUGCAUUUGUGGUCUGGCAUUUUGGUUUUGUGGUGGGCACUAUGGACUAGCAAAAAAGAUGAGAUGUUUGCGCGCAAACCCAUCAAGCAUCAAACUUACCCCCUACACUAUGUCAUGUUUCUACUGCAGCAAUCGAGGAUUCAAUGAAGCGCCAAGAUGAAACUUAAUGGCUAUCAAAUAUGACAAAAUGCUUGUUUAUUGUCUAGUCCCGAUGUGUAUUAUAGGAUUAAGCAUGUUAUCUCUUAACUUCUAUCACCUUUUUCAAUUCUGGUAUAAUAACUAGUGCCAUUGUUUUAGUAGAUUUAGGCCUAAAGUGCUAAUUUAGCUACCAUUUAUCUAAUAGUGACAUGAUUAUGUGAUUCCUAGUGUUCUUGUAAGCAUAUGUAUGCCAUUGUUUUGUGCCGCAGUCCCUAUAUGAACCUUGAGUUUACCUCUAUCAAUUACUUUUUGUUGUGUCGGUUCCAACAUCAAUGUUGAACAUGCUGGUUACUUUCUGCUUGUAAGAACACUUCCUGUGUUCUUCUUCUUCAUGCCACAAGUGAAUAGAAUUACUGAUUUGUAUGCCCUCUUCAUUAGGUGUUGCCCUGAUCUAAGCAUUUUUUCUUGGUGAACAGCACCUCUGGUGGGCAUUGUCGCCUAGACGGGAACUAAAACAAGAUGGCGAGCAAUAACAUAUCUUCCUUUCAUCAACAUGUGUUCUUCCUCGUCCUUGAUCCGAUGGUGCACCCCAAGCAUCUGCGAUGACCUCUCCAUCUCUAAUUCAAAGCCUUUGUAGUGUGUGAGGUGAGCUAUAGGGACUUCUAUGCUUUAGAUUUGUUUUGUGGAUGAGGAGUUUAAUCUGUGACUUGGUUUGUGCAUGCAAAUAUUUCUGUUACGGACUAAACAUGGCUUUCUAUCGUUAUAUUCUUGGUCUUUGGGGCUUGUUUAUCUUGAUAACUAUUCAUUAUUAUUUACAUGUCGUAAUAUCUGUUCCGUUUUGGGUAUGCACGACUCCUCUCAUGUUUAAGUUCCACGUGUGAUGGUAUUAGGCAUAAUACGUGUAUGUUUGGUGCAUAUUUAGGUGCCAUAUACUCCUAUUUCUGUCUUUAGCUAAGCUGUUAGUUCAUGUAUGAUCUGGAUAGUGUAGUGUUGUGCUAAUCUGGGUUAAGAAGGAGCAACCAUGCGAUCGCAAUGCAUGGUUCUUUCUCUAGCACAAUGCCGAUAUGUACAAGGUGUAAUGGGUUGACUCUGGAUCUCUAGUUUAUGUUAUUUCUAUCUACAAAAAUGCUUAACAACAUGCCAUGCUUGGUGCAUAUAUUACUCAAGCCUAUAUGGAGUGUAUAAUUUUAUUAUUCUUUCAAAUAUGAGCUUUUCUUUCCUCUAAUUUGCUUUGUUUCACCAUCUUCCUUUUUCCAGAAAAUGCAGAUGAUUAUGUGAGGUACUCUAACCUUCUACAUCAUUGGCUUCCUCAACCUCAACUCAUUACAUCGCUGCCUCUCCCUCGGUUCAGGUGACUCCUUGCUCUGUUUCUCUGUCGCCAUCGAGCUGUGGGUGACUGGUGCUGGAUAUCGAGAUGAUGGUUUAGUUUACGGUUUUAUGGCGGUGUUCUUCUGUCCACCGCAAUCUUGUUAUUGUGAUAAUCUUUCUUGUCGAUGAAAAUGGUUUCUUGUAAUUCUUUCUGGGCUAUUUUUUGUACUGCAUGCUAUAGGUUUGGUCUUGGGUGUCCAUGUUUAGUCUUAAUAGCAACCAUAUGCCAGGAUUUAAAACUUUUUAAUGUCUACAAAAUAAAACAAGUUUUGUAGUGUUGUUGCGUAUUGGUAGAACAAGUGGUAUCCUUUUCUAGGAAUCAAUCAUAUUAUGUGUUGUGCUAUAGUGUAGGGAUAAACUCUCUAGUGUUACCUGCCCAGUGUUAGCUAUCAAUCCUAAUUAGAAGCAUGUUCAAUUAUUCACCUGUAUGACGUUGUUUAUUGCACUGUCUGGGUUUGAAAUUUCGUAUCUUGGCCUAGCAGGUCCACUACUACACCUGAUUCUGGUCAAAGACAUACUCCCUCUGUAUCAAAUAUAAGACAUUUUUUUAUACUCCCUUUGUAUCAAAAAAGUUUUAUACUUAUCCCCUGAAAUAUAACACAUUUGAUACAAAGGGAGUAGUUCCUUAUCAAAAAAUGUUUUUGAUACACCUGAUUCUGUUCAAACAUGUAGUAGUUCCUACUUGACAUAUGGCACAUUUCUAGUUUGGCAUUUUGGAUGUGUGGUGAGCACUAUGGACUAGCAAAAAUGAUGUGAUAUUUGAGUGCAAACCCAUCAAGCAUCAUACUUACCCCAUGCGCCAUGUCAUGUUUCUACUGCAGCAAUCAAGGAUUCUAUGAAGUGCCAAGAUGCAGCAACCUCUUGCACCCUCAUCACCAAACAUAUGCUAAGCAGUGUGGUUGGGCCUUUUGCAGAGUCAGUGAGUUGAUAGGAGUUGUUUUACCAGCCGUUUCCGCAACUAAACUGUUAGUGGGGGUGCCUUUUGGUAGCAAUGACCUUGUACAAACCUAUAGUGUUGGGUUUGGUUAUAGUUGAUGCUUGCUUGUAUACGGCUUUGUUGCUUUUUUGUUUUGUGAUUUUCUUAGGGGUUUUAGGAUUUUCUCAAGCAAUAUGUUCAAGGAGCAGCACAUCCAUCUUGUUUGGAGGAUGCUUUAUCUUCCUGUAGUGUUGAAGUCUUGAUCUCUAAAGCUUUUGUAGUCCUUACAAACCUGUAGUGUUCUAGUUGAUGCUUGCUUGUUAUCCCCAGAGAUCUUUGUUUUGGUGCUUCUUUUACUUUGAGAUAAAUAAAAAAUCGUAUAGUUAAGUUGUUUCUAUCAUACUUAGAACUCUUCUGUUUUGUUGUCCUACGCAAUACCGACAUUCAUUCUUUUUGAAAUGGCAAAAUGAUUCUCAGUGAUUAAAUGCAUUGGUUUGGUUUUUAGCGCCCGGCCUACUGCUGCAAAUCAAAUCAUUUCCAACUACUCUCCUUUUGUGUUUGAACAAUCUGAUUUUUAGUCUACAUUUGAUCUUGGAAAUACUGUGGAUUUUUUUUCCUGUAACAGUUAUUGGCAUGUUGUACAGUAUCCAUCUCAGCUCUAUGUGUCAACCAACCGGUUGGAGUUUAGGGAAAACAUACUUAUACUUUGGUUUCCAGAUGAAUUAAUUAUAGUAGUUUGUUAACAUUUCAAGUAGGAGCUACACUUCCUUGCAGAUCUUAUAAUAUUUUCAGUAUUUUCAGGGGAGUGCUUCUAGCAUGACUGUAAGUCCUCUAGUUGUAAAGGCAACAACUUUGGUUUCUUCACAAAAGGGUCCCUUGCUGAGUUUGCAACUGUGCCACCGUAGACAAUGGAGCCGGCUUUUGGGUCCCUCCUUUAUAUAAAAAAAGGCAUGCCUUUUUUUCUUCAAAUUUUCCUAACUAUCGAUAUUUUUUAAAAUAUUAUCUAAUAAUAAAAAUAUUGUGCUUUCACGGACCCUACUUAAGUUUUAUUAUGUUUUUCCGUCCAUUGUUGGCAUGCUCUCAAAGCAAAAUCAUCUUAUUUGCAAACCUUAAAGGUGUGGACUAUUGACAAAAAUGUUACAAAUAAAACUGAAGGUGCUUAUUUAGAUUGAUUCAAUCCUUCCUUUGUUACACAUCAAUACAAGAAAGCGGGAUAGGGACACUUUGGUUUCGUCCUUUUGGCCCCACUUAUAAUUAUACUACCUUAUUUGCUCCCAGUGCAAUGUACUCAUGAUGGAAUGGAUGACUGGAAUUUGUUAGUUUUGUUUAAUGAUAUAUUGCAUUGAAGUAAACAAUAUGCCCCCUCGGGCUUUUCGUUUCCAUGGAGUCUUGUAAUGUGAAUAACACUCAGGCCAAAGUCCACAUCAAAUUAACUACAUCUAGUUGCAUCAAUGCUCCCAACCAAACCAUUGACACGAACUAACCUUUGGGUAGAUGGUUAGGAGGAUUGUGCUAUCCCAGCCCAUCAGGGUUCGAGUCUAGUGCUCGCAUUAUCCUGGAUUUAUUUCAGGAUUUUCGGUGAUGUGUGUUCAGUGGGAGGAGACGUUUCCGUCGAUUACGAGACAUCUGUGGUGACUUCGUCAAUCUUAAGACGAUAUGCCGACUCAGUCUCUCGGAGGUAAUCAUAGGGAUAGUGUGUGCGUGUGUGUUUAUAGAGGCAAGUAUACGUCCGCCUGCACGUCCUCGCCCAGCGUCGCCCGCAUGCACCCCCGCAGCUCUGCCGCCGAGAUCUGGCCGUCCCCGUCCCUAUCCAGCGACGCGAACAACGCCCUCAGCUUGCCCGAUUUCGACAUAACCAUGCCGGAUGGUCGACGCUAGAGAGGUUUUAAAGACUUUAGUUUUUGAUCUUGAUCCUGCCUGGGCUUCCGAGAUCUUCUGGUGCAGAUAUACUCUGGGCACGACGCGGUCCAUGGAAGCUUCACGGCACGAGGAGAGAUGUCGUGGUCGUGGUGGACAUGCCGUGUCGCGGGUUGGACUGCGGGUUAUUCUUCUGGUGUGGGUGGUCAACUAGGGCAGGUUAGUAUUCUACACAAAAUGGAUACGAAAAUGUGGCGUGGCAUCCGUGUGUCGAUUAACUCGAGAUGGUUUCCGUCGAGGAGAAACCAAGAAAAGCACGCGGGGAAGAGGCCGGGGUGCUAGUGGAGCCGGCGGACGCGGACGGCGACGACCUGCUGUGCGAGGCUGAGUUCCUCGAGCUUGCGCAGCAUGCAGCCUGGGCGGGCGACGCGGGGGAGGGUGACGACGAGCAGAGGAUCUGGGCGCUGAGGGAGGCAUUUCAGAUGUAGGAGAUGGAGGGGCUGUUAGAGUUGUGUCGAAUAUAAUGUACAAGGUAGGUUACAAUUGGACUUGUAGUUGUAUUGUGUCUAUAUAGGAUAUGGAGUCGUGUCCUGAUAGGACACUUGUAUCCUAGGCCUCUCAUAUAUAGCAGGGAUAGACACACGAUGUAACCUAUGCCAACAUAAUAGCACAUGCGCGCAAGGGGGAGCCGGCGACGUGUGCCGGCGCCCGGGUGGCCGGUGUGCGGUAUUGUGACGGUGUCAUGGAGAGGCGCGCCCAUAGUCAAGCACCGUGGAUGUAGCCAUAUCGGUGAACCUCGUUAACAAAUCUCGGUGUCGUGCCUCGUGUGAUUGCUUGGUCCUCGAAUGAUCGAUGAUGUGCCUCGGAUUUAUUCUAACAAGUGGUAUCAUGAGUUAGGUUGUUCGGAGGUUUCAGAAUUGAUUCAGAGGAGGCCGAGUUGGUUCGUUGAUUUAGUUCGUCAUAGGAGAAGAUCGUGUAUCAAUGGAUGGAAGCGGUGGUCAAAGCAAUGGAUGCAAGGAGGGGGGCUAGCAAGCUGGUAGAUUUGUCCGAGUCUCGGCGAGAUGCGAUUGGAAACAAUGGCGUCAGGCGGGUCCUGCAGCGGUGGAUCAAUGGAUCAACCGGGUGAGCGUACUGGAGGCGCGUGCUGAGACAGACGCCGCAGCCGCUCCGUCUGCUGCGGCGUCUAGCAGUACAGCCAGAGGCGGGAGGCAAUACAGAUACGGUCCUUCUCUCAAGCCUCUAGAGAAGUUACCGUACGAGAGGACCAAGGAGGAAAACGCGAAGAUCGUGCGGGCCGAAGUGGACGACUUCUUUGAAGGGUUGAAAGCAAAGAGACAUCCACCUCCGGAGGAGAAGGUAGAUCUGGUGAAAGCAAAGCGCACUCUCGAUGCCCUGAGGAAACCAGCAAAGUCUCCGCCGAGAAGCAACUAUGAGCGCAUUGCUGAACAGACAUAUCUCCAAGCGGAGCGGUCGGGAAGUACUGUCAGACAUCAAAGGUCAAGAGAACGAGCAGCUGUGAAAAAAAUUGCCCAGCUCGGCGAACAAGCAAAUCAAUCGUGCCCCCCGCUCAAUGUGUUUAGAGGCGAUUUCAUCGCUAAUGCUCCGGGGACGGUGGCCGGUUAUGGCAAUCUUGCAGAUUACCUACCUGAUGAUCAACUUCCUGAUUUCAUGGAGGUGGACGAACACAGAUACGAGUACGGGAAGCCUCUCGUCAAAGAUGAAAAAUCUCUAACAACGAUGAUGCGAAGAUUCCAUAAUUGGUACAUGAAAACCUGCAGAGAGUCUGGGGGGACGAAUAGUUUGUAUCUGAGAAUUAAAGAGGAGCACGACCUCGUUGGAACUGAUCUGUUGCCUGUUCCAUUUGAGGUGUUCUUCGCGUUCUUCAAUCAAAAGGCCCUCGAUAAAUUAACGGUCUUUUGCUACUGUCUGUAAGUACUAUUUUUGUCAUUAAUUCUCUAUAUAUAGCUCAGCUCUUUCAUUGCAUGUAUUUAUAAUUAAUUAUCCUCAAUAUAUUAUGCAGAUUGAAGAUCGUCGAGUGCAGAAAACAAGAAAUGUAUGAUAUUGGGUUCAUUAACAAAAAUAUCAUAGAUGAAAUUCAGAUUCAAAAGCACGCCGAAGAGGCCGAGGCCAACUUGCUAGAAUCGUUGAUCAAAAAUCAAAACAAAGAUACCAUACUCUUUCCUUACAACUUUGAGUGAGUGUUACUGUCGUGUGCAUAUUCGGUUUCCCUUAUUACUCGAGCGAGGUUAUAGUAAUGUAAUUGAUGAGUUGUGCAUGCGUGCGCAGCUUCCACUAUGUUCUUCUAGAGAUUAAGCUUGAGCGGGGACUAGUAACCGUCUUAGACUCGAGAUGAAAAGAUCCCAAAACCUAUGCGGACAUGAAUAAAUUGCUCAACAAGUAAGUUCAAUCAAUCAUUAUCGCACCAUAUCGGCAGCUUUUUGUUCAUUUCCUGAUAUCUCAAGUAAUGAUAAUUAUUUUAUUUGUCUUGCAGGGUUUGGAAAUAGUUCACCGCAGAAGCUCCGAGACUGCCGAAGGAGCUGUGAUAUACAUACCCGAAAGUAAGUACUACUGGCUAGCUAGUUGCGCGCAUCUCCCGUCGAUUCUAUAGCUAUACUUUCAUCAAUGCCAUUUAUAAUGCUUCAUUAUCAGUUUGAUUGACCUCUAUUUCUCGUAAAGUGCUUGUGGCAGGAGGAAGGGAAUGAUUUCUGUGGAUACUACGUGUGCGAGUUCAUCCACACCGCGACUUUGAAAAACAAGCGGGGCUACUCUCAAAGACAAUAUGAAGUGCGUAAGCAAUAAUAUUCACAAUUUCAUUUUAUUACACCAUCAUUUAUGUUGAGUUUCAUUCAUAUAUAUGUAUUAAUUAACCCCCUUCUUCAAAUUAGACGUGGCAGAUGCGGAAUGAACUCCUAGAACAAGAUCGCAUGAAAGCAAUUCAAGAGGAAUUGGCGGGAUUCUUUCUUGACCACGUCAUCAAUAAAGCCGGAGAAUACCAUGUGGAAGUUGAUUUCAAUUGCUAGGGGAUUGUAAUUAAGAGAUCUUACAUAUUGUAUAUGUAUAUAGCCAGUAACGUAGGAUAGGUAAUACGAAAACUUGUUGUUCAACCAAUCUCUCGGAGAAGGAGAGGUCGAUCGAUCACUUCUCUCGGUAUGCAUGACGAACUUCUGUACUUAAUGGUUCCCUUCAUUUUCUUACUAGCUAGCGUGUCGAGGGCCUCUCUAUGUAUAGUACGUAACGUCGACCAAGCACGGACAUAAGAGAGGACACUUAUCCCUAUUAAUUAGCUAGCUAACACAAUAUAUGAAACACCUAAAUUAACCUCNNNNNNNNNNNNNNNNNNNNNNNNNNNNNNNNNNNNNNNNNNNNNNNNNNNNNNNNNNNNNNNNNNNNNNNNNNNNNNNNNNNNNNNNNNNNNNNNNNNNNNNNNNNNNNNNNNNNNNNNNNNNNNNNNNNNNNNNNNNNNNNNNNNNNNNNNNNNNNNNNNNNNNNNNNNNNNNNNNNNNNNNNNNNNNNNNNNNNNNNNNNNNNNNNNNNNNNNNNNNNNNNNNNNNNNNNNNNNNNNNNNNNNCCCUAGCCACUGUAAUGCUGACGCGUGGAUGCCUUUUGGUCCCGGUUGGUGGCACCAACCGGGACCAAAGGCCCUCCUGCCUGGGCUCGGCGCACCGGCCACGUGGAGGCCCAUCUGUCCCGGUUCGUGUUAGAACCGGGACUAAAGGGGGGAGGUAUUAAUAACGACCCUUUAGUCUCGGUUCAUGAACCGGGACAAAAGGCCCUUACGAACCGGGACUAAUAGGUGUUUUUCUACUAGUGCCUGUUGACCCUCCAUGACCAUAGGUUGGUUUCAUCACUAGAGCUUCUGUUCAACUCUUCACAUACCUUGAUGGGAAGGAAAACUCCACUUCAGAUGGAUUAAAGGUUUUACAAUUAUGCCUUGCUAAUGUUAUCAACUGGAUGAAUUUAAAAUUGUUCGACUCAUUGUCAUCAGAGAAACAUGUGCCAUAGGAGAAUUGACUUCAGAUCAGAGCAGGAAUCGAAACCAAGGAAAAGCUAUCUUUCGUACCAACACAUAGACAACUUACUAGUAUCAUUUUAUUAAUAAGUUCCAAAAUAUACAAUCAAUAUAUUAAUGGAGUUUUUCUAAUAAAUAUACAAUCAAUAUAUUACACAUAGACAACACAUAGACUACAGACUGUUAAACUGCUACUGAUUUAGACUACAAAUUUUCUACAGAAUGUUAUCUUUACCUACUGCUCUUAUACCUUACCAAAACAAAAAUAAUUCUAACUAGGAGUAGUUUUUUGUUCAGAUUUUGUAUUUAUUACUGCUCACAUAUUGUCGUGAUUUACUUUUUGUACUGAAUAGAUCUUUCUAAUAUUCACAGGUUUUAGCGAUCAGCCGUAGCUCUUUCAUCAAAGGUGCAUGGUGCAACUGAGGACAAGCACUUCAUGUCCAACCAAGGUGCAUGGUACUUGCAAUUGAUGAAUAGGAGGUCUAUGAAAUUUGAAGUUCAAAGCCGGAUAGCCCUACUUAGCAAAGAGUUGUCUCUUUUGUUUGACUGUAAAUAUUGUUAUAUUGUAAUAGUAGGAAUAUUUGGGUUGUAAUAGACUAUGUACAGAUUGUAGUAGACUUAGUUAGUGUUAUUUGAUGAACUACAUUUGUACUGUUCCAUUUGAAAUAUUGAUUAUGUAUGUGAUUUGAAAAUGUGUGGAAUGGAAACCUGACUUGUGGGACCCACUUAUGAGAAUAAUCUGAGCAAUUUUGAAUUUUCUGUCAAGUGGGCCUAAUGUGUGAGAAGAUGAAAAAUGGGACCAGCCCCAAAAUAUAAUGGCCCAAACAAUUUAAAAGGCCCCGGCCCAGAAAUAAAUAAAAGGCUGAAAUGAAAAAAAAAACAAUAAAUGGGCUGAAUUAAUGGGCUCAGCCCAUAUAAACACUGAAUUGGACCGGGCUGAUUCUUGUGCCACAUCAGAUUGCCACGUCGGAUGCCUACGUGACCUAGGGAGGCUGCUAGUGACCAAAACGAAACAGUAGGCAUAUUUUGGUCGUAAACGUCUACGACCUUCUCACAGAGAAGGUCAAAAAUGUCAGUUUACGACCGUCAGCUUUUGAUCUUCUGGUUUUGGUCACAAAAAGGUCACAAAUGGAAAACCAUGACCAUUCAGUGACCAAUAGUGGUGGUCACAAGUUGACAUAUUUCUUGUAGUGAGAGUUUUGGUCUUCUUGCCGAUUGAGCAAAUUUCGUUUCAACCAAAACAAAGCAAUGAUCUGAUUCAACCGUGCUAAUAUGCCGAACACGGACCGGAUCAAAUCGCUGCAGAAAAGCUUCAUUCGCUACACGUCUAUCAAGGCGGGAUUUAAAAUUCAUUGGCCCCCCUUGUUUGUUAUCCCAUGUGAAUGGUACCCCUAAGAACCCUACACUAGUAGAAAAGGGGGCAUUAGUGCCUGUUCGUAAGGGCCUUUAGUCCCGGUUCUUGAACCGGGACUAAAGGGUCGUUACUAAUGCCUCCCCCCUUUAGUUCCGGUUCAAACUGGAACCGGGACUAAAGGUCGCGGCCACGUGGAGCUCCACCUUUAGUACCGGUUGGUAACACCAACUGGGACUAAAGGAAAUUUUAUGAUUUUUUUUUGAAUUUUUUUUAUUUUCAAAUUUCUGAAUUAUUUUAACCUCUAAUCUCUAAUCACCACCCCUUAUCACUGCUCAAUUUAUCCUCUAACCUCUAAUCACCCCUCAUCAUUCCUAAUCAUCUAACUUCCCGAACGGUCACCCAUCCUCCCACUCCCCCAUCCUGAGCACGCUUAACUUCCGGGUUCUAUUCUCCCUUGUUUCCAAGUCUGCAUUUGUUGUUUUGCUGACAAUAGUAAGAUGUCAAUCCUAUUAACCCUCAGGAAUUUUGCGUAAGCAUGAACUGACACAUUUCACUGUUUGAGUUUGAAACUAUUGUUUUAAAAAACAAUAAUUAUUUAGUAACACUAGUAUUUCUUGAAUAAUUAGUUUGACCAUUGUUUGACCAUUGUUUGACCACAGUUUGACCACAAUUUGACCAGAUUUGACCAAAAUUCAAAAUAACUGAAAUAAUUAUUUAGUAACACUAAUAUUCUAGAAUAAUUAGUUUGACCAUUGUUUGACCAUAGUUUGACCAUAGUUUGAAAUUUUUUCGAUUUUUUCCACUCUAGAUCUUAAAAGCCCCGUAACUUUUUUCUGUUAGAUUUUUGAGGAUUCUAAAAAUGUUUAACGAGUAGAUGAUUUUUCAUAUAAAAAACUUUUUCAUCCGAGUCAGUAUGCAAAAGUUAUGCCCAUUUUACUAAAUUCUAGAGAGAUUUUGCAAAUAAAGUCGAAAUUCAUAUUUGUAAAUUUUCCCAACAACUAGACCACAUAUCACAUGGGAAACUUAUUUUCUUUUAUUUUUUGACAUUUUCAUCAUUUUCUUUUAUUUUUUUUAAACUGAAAAGGCGAUCCACAGGGGGGUGGAGUUUGAAAAUUGGACCUUUAGUACCGGUUCGUGCCAUGAACCGGUACUAAUGCCUCAAACCCCAUUAUUAUCGGUUGGUGGCACGAACCGGGACUAAAGGUCUAACCCUUUAGUCCCGGUUGGUGCCACGAACCGGGACUAAUGGGCAUCGCACCCUUUAGUCCCGGUUCGUGGCACCAACCGGGACUAAAAGAUCCAGACGAACCGGAACAAAUGACCCACGUGGCCCCUGGGCGCACGAACCGGGACUAAUGCCCCCAUUAGUCCCGGUUCUAGACUGAACCGGGACUAAUGGGCUAACCCGGGGUGGACCAAAGCCCUCUUUUCUACUAGUGCUAGGUCCUGCAAGGAACAAUCUUCCAAUGCUUCUCGAAAAGCUAACAUUUGCGUCUCUGAUCGCGCAGCCCUGCUAAAGUGUUCUGCGCCAUACAUAGUCUCGUUAAAAUCUCCAAAACACAGCCAGGUAAGGUGCGGUAUUGCAUGCAACAUUCUCAAGCAUCUCCAGCUGUGGUGGCGAUCUUCAGACCUUAAGGCUCCAUAAAACCCCAUAAACCUCCACUCCGGAGUAGAUAAAUCAGCUGCCCGGAUGAUUACAUCAAUAUGUCCAACACUGUAACUCUUUAACUCUACUUGUACAUCCCUUGACCAAAACAGGACAAUUCCACCAAACCGCACUGUCAACCGCAAAGCACCCCGCAAACCUAAACUGUGUUGCAGAAUCUCCACCCUCUUAGCUCUGAUCUUCGUCUCUGAAACAAAGAGCAAAGCAGGCCCUUCUUGCUUCGUUAAUUUCCGAAGCUCUCGAACUGCCUCGGGGUUCCCAAGCCCCCGGUAGUUCCAACUCAAACAUUUCAUGGCUCCUGGCAGGGCUGACCCGCAGCCGCUGCUGAGUUUUUAGAAGAUGUGGGGGUUGGCUUCUUCUUCUUUGGAUCCGGUUGCGUAGCUCGAGCGUCUCCUCCCCCAUCCCCCUCUACACCAGCCGAACCAUCAGGUUUCUGAGCUGUGAACACAACCAUAUCAGUAGGUUUGCCACCUGUGUCUGUCGGAUUUCCAGCACUUGGCAGGGCAAGUGUUUCAACCCUACGAUAAACUUUUUCAUUCUGAGGGACACCCUUCCUUUUGUGUGGAGCUCUCUUCUUCGGGGAAUUAACCUCCUCAUUGACACCUGAUUUGUUGUUCGAUGAAGCUGCAUCUUUCUUACUGGUAGCAGAAUUUUGUGGCUCCUUAGCCGAGCCAUCACUCGACGCAGCUCCCUUCCUGUCCUCCGGCGCUCGCAAACUAGUAUUAAAAGGUAGAUCUCCGUUCUCAUCACGGGUACCCGGAGUAGGACAAACUAGAUCAGUGUGGCCAAGCCGACCACACGAGAAACAAAAGUUCGGCACGUGCUCAUACUGAAUAUCAUACCAGUCCUGAGACUUCCUCUUCGCUGAAUCAAUCAGGAUCCAACAUCACAAAGGUUUGUGGACAUAAAUUGUAACCCUUGCCCUCAAGAAUCCUCCCAUGGGAUCAAAGUGGACUGACGUAGCGUUGACAUCAAUCUGUUUAGCAAUCUGUUCCCCCCAAUCUUCAGUCUGCAGGUUGAAGGGGAGAUUUGGAACCCUAGCCCACAAAUGCAAUCUGUCAAACUUUAACUUCGACGGUCUCAUGCAAUCAUCAAAAUCUGCAAGGAUUACUGCAUGCCGGCUCACAUGCCACGGCAAGCCGUCACGCACACGAUCGCGAUCACGACGAUUCUCAAAAUCAGCCAUGAAGGUGUUCUCACCCACCGGCCUAAAAGACAGACCCCUAGGAUUACCCCAUGCCGGCCUCAAUGCAUUGGCCAUGGUUUGGAUAUGAAAGAUCUUCCGAUGCAGAACUUUGCCGGCAAUUUACCACUUCUGCGGGACUCCUUCAUCGAGAUCGUCAACCACCAAGGGGUGGCUUCUUCCUCGGUGAGGUCCAACUUUCCCAUCACCUCCUCCAUCCGUGCCCUCGCCGUCCUCGGGCAUUGCGGCCCCCUCGAACUGCCGCUUGGAUCCGUAGAUGCAGCUGUCGGUGUCAAAACCGGGGGAUCUCGGGUAGGGGGUCCUGAACUGUGCGUCUAAGGCUAAUGGUAACAGGAGGCUGGGGACACGAUGUUUACCCAGGUUUGGGCACUCUCGAUGGAGGUAAUACCCUACUUCCUGCUUGAUUGAUCUUGAUGAUAUGAGUAUUACAAGAGUUGAUCUACCACGAGAUCAGAGAGACUAAACCCUAGAAGCUAGCCUAUGGUAUGAUUGUUGUUGUCCUACGGACUAAACCCUCCGGUUUAUAUAGACACCGGAGGGGCUAGGGUUACACAGAGUCGGUUUACAGAGGAGGAGAUCUACAUCUGAAUCGCCAAGCUUUCCUUCCACGCCAAGGAGAGUCCCAUCCGGACACGGGAUGAAGUCUUCUAUCUUGUAUCUUCAUAGUCCAAUAGUCCGGCCAAAGUAUAUAGUCCGGCUGUCCGGAUACCCCCUUAUCCAGGACUCCCUCAGUAGCCCCUAAACAAGGCUUCAAUGACGACGAGUCUGGCGCGUAGGUUGUCUUCAGCAUUGCGAGGCGGGUUCCACCUCCGAAUACUCCAAAAUUGAUUCCGAACACAAGGACCGUGUACGGCUCUGUAAGAUAAAUUCCAUAUACCACCAUCGAGAGAAUAAUAAUCCAUAAAUCUAAUCUGCUGACAAUUCUUCGAAAAGUGACAUCAUGCCACGGUCCGGUUUUUAUUCGAACCGUUUUUACAACUUGCUACCGCACAUACCACGAGGCGGUUUCCUUGGCAAGUCCUGUCAGAGAAGAGAUCGUGUCCCCCUUACUACGGGAUUCUCAUCAAUACGGGUAUGGGUAAUCCAACCGUGCCUGUUGGCAUGACCCCGUGUUUUUAGGCAAGUCCCGAGCGACCACGUUCGGGACGCUUGAUGUUCUUCCCCCUUUAUAAAGGAGCCGAGGCCUAUCCCUCUAUCUCCACGCUCGCACAUCUCGCACCCUGAGUUCCAACACCCAAAGCUCGAGCCUAAGCACCCCGGAUCUUCGAUCAUGUCCGGAUCCGACCAUCAAGGCCGAUGGAUGGCUUCCUCUGUCACAGAGGAGGAUAUUGCGAAGCUCAGGGAGGCUGGGUAUUUGACCGCCGAUGUCAUGCACAGGCUUCCUGCUCCCGAACAGGUUAUCCCCACUCCUGAGACCAACGAGAGCGUCGUAUUUGUCUCCCACUUCCUUCGGGGCUUGGGUCUUACUCUUGACCCCUUCGUGAAGGGGCUCAUGUUCUACUACGGGCUAGAUUUCCAUGAUCUAGCUCCGGAUUCCAUCCUACACAUCUCGUCGUUUAUCGUUGUGUGUGAAGCCUUCCUCCACAUCACCCCCCACUUCGGCUUAUGGCUCAAUACUUUCAAUGUGAAGCCGAAGAUGAUUGAGGGGCGACACGCAGAGUGCGGAGGCGCCAUAAUAAGUAGGAACGUCGAUGCCCCGUGGCCGAAGGCUCCUUCCCGGAGGUAUCUGAUUUAUGGCAACAGAGGUGGUUCUAUGUCACAGCUCCUCAAGGCUCGAAGUGGGCGGCCGCGCCCGCCUUCCGCUCGGGCCCUUCACCUCAACUGGCAUCGUGGGCCAAUGUGGGACUAAAGUGGGGGCCUGCGAACGAUGUAGCAAUGCUACAAAGACGCAUUCGGGAGCUCCUCGAGAGGGACAUUACUCUUGUCAAAAUAAUCCAGGUAAUGCUGGUUCGGCGGAUCCUGCCGUGCAAACGUCGGCCUCUCCGGAUGCGAGAAUUCAAUCCAGAAGGUCCGCGAACCAUUCAGCAUUUCUUCGGCAUGACGCCCGAAGGGAUGUAUAAGUUGUUCUUCGGACCACGAAUAAAGUGUCCGGACACCACCGAGGAUGCAGGCCUGAGCUACAAUCGCCUAGAUAUCCAAGUAAGUAACCCUAUAACCGAACACUUUGAUUAUAUUUGUCAUAGCAUUGUUCUGAAUACUGUCCGCAACCAGGAUUGGCUUAGUAAGGAGGAGAGGAUCAGGUGUCCGGCCCCGCUGCCCGAAGGCUCGCCCGGUCCGGCAAUGGCCAGCAUUCAUAAACGGACACUAAGUCAAGUGCCACCAGAGAAAGCUGAAGGGAAGAGUGGGGAGGCCAAGAGUGGGCCUCACACAUUGCACAUCCAAACAGGGGGAAUUAACAUUUCCACGGAGGAGGAGAAUCGGGGGGCGCGAAUCUGAGGUUUCCUCCCCCCGCAGGAAGAAGAGGGCUGCCUCCGAAGAUUUGGAGACGGGGGCGCCUAAACAAGGGAAGAGAACUUCAUCAAAGGGCCCUUCCCCAAAGGGAGUCCUCACCGUGCAGUGCCCGCAAACGGGCCAGCCCUCCACCGAGCUGUAAGUUUAAUUAAACAAGGAACUUAUUGCUUUUUCCUCUGAGAGUAAUAACCACGACCUGUUUUUUGUAGUCCGGUCAGCAGUUCAUCUCAACAGGGCUCGUCCUCGGGGGAUCUUCUUCUGGAGAUUAUGGAGAGUGAAACCCCACCUGCCUCUCUGCCCAGUGAAGCGGGUGACCCUGAGGUAUCGUCACAGAGGAGUCCAGAUCCAAUGGGGCCGGAAGCUAACACUUCGGCCGCCCCGAGCCCAGCGUGUUUGGCUCCCGUGGCAGACAAUGAAAAGGGUCCGGGAGAGUCCGGUGUCGGGCUGAACAUGCUGACGAGCCUCCUAGAGUCAGCUGCUCUCUUGGAGGAUCAUCGUACACUAAUGGGUAUGGUGUUGGAGAAAAUCUCCUCCGCCACAAGAGCUUUAAACGAAGCUUUCAAGAGCCUGCUCAAAGGCUUUGAGGUAAGCCGCAAAAAUACACAGAUUUUAGUUGUACCGCACGCGAUACAUGUGCUCUGUAUAGAUAGUAGCCCCUGAGACUGUGGAUGCCAGCCCAUGGCGGCAAAGGGAGGAUCACACUCCCAGAUAAUGAUCACACUUGUAUUGAUGUGUAGGUUGCUAAGGGUUCGGCAAUAGACCAGGCCGUUGAAUGCGCUGAAUUGAGGCGGCAGAUUGACGUGGUGGAGGCCGACGUCACGCUUGUGAACAAGUGAUUCGAGGAGUCGCAGAGUAUGCUUUCCUAUAUCCACAUCUAUUUUGGGAAAUUGCAAGAAGGUUGUAAUAUUAAUGUGAUGUGAUGUAGUUGCAGGCGGAGCUGCUGCCGUUGAGGCCCUGAGGGUGGAGCUUGCCCUAGCCAAGGAACAAGCCCAGGUUAGCAAUGCGGCUUCCCUAAAGGCAGCCGAAGAAUUGAAAGCCGAACAUGCCUCUCAUCUCCGAAGCGAAGAAAAGAUAGCCGAGGUGGAUGUGGAGCUGAGGGACGCCGCCAGCCGGUAUGAGCUUCUCAAGAAAGAGAAUCAGGCGAAGGUGUCUGACCUGAAGAAGGCGCUGGACUCGGCUAAAGAGACACGCUCUCAGAUUAGAGACGCGCGGGAGGAACUUCGACAAGUCGGGGAAAUCGUGGCUGGAAAUCCUUAUUUGUUGUGGAUGAAGUUUUUAGAUCCAAAGUAUGCUCCAUUGGAUAAGCUGUGGAGUGCUGCAGAUGAGUAUGCGGACUUGGCAAAGAGUGCGGCUGAUGCAACCAAGAUGUUCAAGGACCAUGAAGAUAAAAUAGAAAGACUAUUCUGGUCGCAGUUUAAUGCCCCAGCACGUUCCUUACCCUUGAGUGAGAAGAUGGCCGCUAUAGCCGAGCUCCAUAGGCUGCCCGGCCUUGCAAUGAGGUCUGUGAUAGACCAUCUAUGGCCGAAGGGGGCGAAGCCGGACAGUUACUUUGGUUUGGUGCAACAAUUAUUUGGCGCUAGAGCGUAGAUCGAUGCCGUGAAGAGAUCGGCGUGCAUAGAGGGUGGGGAUGGCUCUUGCCUAUGUGAAAAGAUACUAGGCGGAUAUGGAGGCCACUAGCAUUGCAACCCAGGGUCCGACAGGAAGCCAGGAACCAGCCAGCACUAUUUUGAGUAGGUCAUAGAAGGUGCUCGUAGAAUAGAGGCACAGUGCUCAAAGAAUGUCAUGUUUGAAUGACGAUUCUAUUAAGUGUAAACAAUUAUUUGUUUGAUUAUAGAGGCUGUUUUUUAUACUUUUUGCCUGAAAGUAUUAUAAUGUCUCAUGUGCGGCUGUUUAUGUAUGCAUAUAACAUGAAAGUUAGCAGUCGUUGGCUUCGGCCCCCACGCACAUAAUGCGGGGGUGUUCGAGAAAAUAUGUGUGAACACACUUGAUCCAACAUCUUGGUCCUUUAAGGAGGUGAUCGCACAUCGAACCAGGCAACCGGACUAUAUAGCUGUAACACUUUUCACUUAGCCAUAGGAGUUUGAAAGGUGGGGCUACUAUGUAGCCCCUAGUACUUCCGUGAGCGUCCAGAUACGGUGCGCGUACUUGACCGGUAGACCGGUCCUUCGUUAAUGCGGAGGAAUCUUAUAGAUUCUGACGAGUCCUCGAGUGGUUGACCAGUCUCUCGAUGUAUCAUGACAGUCAGUUUUCGGCUUUCUCUACUGAGGUGCUCAUCCGGAAUAACCAGGGCACAAUCGCAGUAAUUCUCCUUUGGCCGCCUUAGCCGAUAGAACGGAACGUAAGGCAGCAAACCUAGGAGCCGGGCUAACCCAACAUUUGACCAAAGACAUGAUUCGGAGCUGAUGCAUAUAAGGCCAAACUCGUGACGCCGAACACUCCCGAAGGUAUUCGGACUUUAUAACAUAUCUGGCUGAAUAACGCCCUUGACCCUGUGAUUCCAGGUACGUGCAUUGAUCUAUCGUGGCAAAAAGCCUAUAAGCCAGUAUCCCUUAUAGGUUUAUGAAAUACCCACGGGAUGUCGAGCAACAAGAAACAGUAAAGAAGGUUUACGCAGGGGCUUAAUCUAAAGAGAAACAUGUGGGCGGGGCCCUGCUGCACGUCUGCACCUAUGUCUCUAUUGUGCCGUAUCCUGGAAGGGUGUCUCACUGGUAGUGUCUGUAGAAAAAAAAAGCGUUCGAAAAGUUAGUUAAGCUCGAGGAAUGUUCGAUAGCCGGCUUAUUAAUGAGGCAAGCCGAAUUGUGGGCCUUUGUUACAUGUUUGCAGCCCCUCGUAUUAUUUAUGGGGACACAUGUACAUCACCUAGCUCAGGUUUAUCCGAGCCAUUGUGAAAAAUGGUGUACUGGACUCGUCUAACCGUGUACGUGGUCUUGACGACCGGUCAUGCGUUCCGGUGGGAGAGGCCGCCUAGAGUCCAGCGCCGGGAACUGCCGCGUACUGCUCUGUGUUUCUGCUAACCGUGAUGACGCCGCGUGGAUCGGGCAUCUUGAGUUUAAGGCAGGCGUAGUUCGGUAUUGUGUUAAAGCAAGCGAAGGCCGUUCUUCCAAGCAAUGCAUGAUAAUCGCUGCUGAAAGGGGUGAUGUUGAAGAGUAGGUUCUCGCUUCUGAAGUUGUCGGGAGAAUCGAAUGUCACUUCCAAUACGAGGGAGCCCCAACAGUGGGCUACCACGCCUGGAAUCACUCCAUUGAAGGUGGCGUUAUUUUGACUUAUUCUGGAUGGGUCUACCCCCAUCUUGCGGAUGGUGUCUUGAUAUAUCAGAUUAAGAGUACUGCCGCUGUCCAUUAGGACGCAAGUAAGAUGGUAUCCAUCAAUUAUUGAGUCGAGCACCAAGGCAGCCGAUCCUCCAUGCCGGAUACUGGCCGGGUAGUCCUUGUGAUCAAAAGUGGUCGGGCAGUUGCCCAGGGACUGAAUUGGGGGGCUACGAACUCUGCGUGAGUUACGUGUACCAUGUUUACCGUUCUGACUUCCGGUGGGAAUUUUUUCUGGCCCCCGGUGUUCGGCUGGUGUGGUUCGCCCUCGUCUUUGCUUCGUGUUUGGCUUCCCUUGUGUUCGGCGUUUAAUUUGCCGGCCUGCUUGAAGACCCAACAUUCUCUGUGGGUAUGAUUUGCAGGUUUUUCAGAGGUGGCAUGGAUUUGGCACAAUCUGUCCAGGACUUUGUUCAGGCCAGAUGGCCCCUCUUUACUGCCUUUGAAUGGCUUCUUUCCUUGAACGGGCCGAGGUCCCCUGAAUCCGGUGUUGACCGCCGUAUUGUCCGGACUAUCGCUACUCCGACGCUUGUGCUUAGUGUACCGUGGCUUCCCAAUUGCCGUCUCAAAUUUCGGAUGUACCCGAGUCGUUGGUGCCUCUACGGGCCAACUAGCUGUCUUCGCCUGCACAAAAUCGGGUCAUGAGGCUUGUUAAGGCUGCCAUCGUUCUUGGCUUUUCUUGGCCGAGGUGUCUGGCAAGACACUCGUCUCGGAUACUGUGUUUGAAGGACGCUAAGGCUUCGGCAUCCGGACAGUCGACAAUUUGAUUCUUCUUAGUGAGGAAUCUGUUCCAAAGCUUGUGGGCUGACUCUCCGGGCUGCUGUAUUAUGUGACUUAAAUCGUUCGCGUCCGGAGGCCGGACAUAGGUUCCUUGAGAGUUGGCCAUGAAAGCGUCCUCAAGUUCCUCCCAACUUCCAAUUGAGUUUUCGGGGAGGGUUUUCAGCCAAUGACGAGCUGGUCCUUUUAACUUGAGGGGGAGGUUUUGAUGGAGUGGAGGUCAUCCCUACGAGCCAUGUGUAUGUGAAGGAUAAAAUCUUCGAUCCAGACCCCAGGGUCCGUCGUUCCGUCGUAUGACUCUAUAUUCACGGGUUUGAAUCCCUGUGAAAAUUCAUGAUCCAGCACCUCAUCGGUGAAGCACAGGGGGUGCACAACCCCUCUGUAUCUAGCCGUGUCGUAGCAUGUUGUUGGUUGUUGUUGCUCACGGUGUUGAUUCCGGACUGGUAAUUGAUCAGUAUGAUCAUUGUGGUGACCAUAAUCCCGCGUCGGAGCAUGUCCUCUGGAGCUGUAGAUGGAUCUGGCCGCACUGGCCUUUUUGUCCAGGAGCUCUCGUAAAUCAUGUGCGGUAGCAGUGGUUGCUCUACCGCGGCCAUGAGGUGGUUGGUUCGGCCCAAUGGCCGUAUUGUUUUUUGGCGGAAUGGGCGCUGCGGCUUCGUCGUCAAAUUCGGGUAGCAGUUUGUGCUUUGGGUAGCUCUUCGUGUGGCGAUCGUCGCCAAAUUUUCCUUCGGAGUCCAGCACCUUGUUCCAUCUUCCAUUGAGAGUAUCCUGCGCGGCCUUGAGCCUUUGCUUCUGCUUCUUCAGGCUCCGUGCUGUGGCCAGCAGUUUUCUGUGGAGGUUAUCUUGUUCCAGAUGCUUUUCUGGGAUGAUGAAUGCAUUGUCAACCGGACUGUCCUCCUCUUUGGAGGUAGUGUGAUGAGUUCGGCCUUCUGGAUCGCUGUGAUCGGGCGUCUGCUCCGGGCUAUGUUCAACGUGUCCUGGCUUGUCCUGCUCCAUCGCUGGGUCCCUAUGGUCAUUAUUGCCUUUGGAGUCAACCGGAGUGUCAUCCUGUUUUGUGUUGUUAUCGCUAUUUUUACUAUGACGGACUUAGAGCGGCGCUUGCNNNNNNNNNNNNNNNNNNNNNNNNNNNNNNNNNNNNNNNNNNNNNNNNNNNNNNNNNNNNNNNNNNNNNNNNNNNNNNNNNNNNNNNNNNNNNNNNNNNNNNNNNNNNNNNNNNNNNNNNNNNNNNNNNNNNNNNNNNNNNNNNNNNNNNNNNNNNNNNNNNNNNNNNNNNNNNNNNNNNNNNNNNNNNNNNNNNNNNNNNNNNNNNNNNNNNNNNNNNNNNNNNNNNNNNNNNNNNNNNNNNNUCCUCCGUUGUGUCCUUUUUGUCACCAUUGUCUUCUUUAGGCGUAUCCACCAUGUAGAUGUCGUAUGAUGAAGUGGCAGUCCAGCGCCCUGUGAGUGCUGGUUCCAGGUCCUCCCCUACAUCGACGUCCAUACCAUCGAUGUUGUCGGAGUCGACGUCAAGCAUGUAUGUUAGGUCAUCGACAGUGGCUAUAAAGUGUGUGGUGGGUGGGUCGCGAUUCUUCGUCCUCCGUAUCCCACACGGGCCGGAUACAGUCCGGCCAAGAGUCUCCUGAUAAAGAGAGAGAUUUUAACGAAUUUAGCACAUCGCCGAAGGGGGAGUGCUGGAAGAUAUCCGCGGAGGUGAAUUCCAUUAUUGGAGCCCAAUCGGACUCGGUUGGUCCGGAUGCACGCGGUUCGGAGCCCACGCCCGGACACAGGUCCGGGGGCCCGGAGAUACAGAUUUCCUUGGGGGAGGAGUCUGCGUUCGGCCCUAACGCCGAUGGGUGUGCGGCUUCCCGGGCGGAGUCCAUCCAUCCGUCCUCGGGAGGCACAACUUGCUCUAGACCGAAGUCCGGAGCAGUAGCAGGUGCGAUAUUCUGAAUACUGUCUGACGGAGGAUCUAAGUCAUGCGCGUGGCAAUCGUUCGGCGCUCCUGACAUGGGCUCGAAUCCGUCGAAGAUCAAAUCUCCGCGGAUAUCGGCAGUGUAGUUUAGGUUUCCGAACUUGACCUGAUGGUCAGGGGCGUAGCUAUCGAUCUGCUCUAGAUGGCCAAGCGAGUUGGACGGAGUUGUUGAAGGUUGGAGAAGACAUCGAGCCUUAUAGCGACGACACAGAGGAACUCUCAAUGAAAGCACCAAUGUCGGUGUCAAAACCGGCGGAUCUCGGGUAGGGGGUCCCGAACUGUGCGUCUAAGGCUAAUGGUAACAAGAGGCUAGGGACACGAUGUUUACCCAGGUUCGGGCCCUCUCGAUGGAGGUAAUACCCUACUUCUGCUUGAUUGAUCUUGAUGAUAUGAGUAUUGCAAGAGUUGAUCUACCACGAGAUCAGAGAGGCUAAACCCUAGAAGCUAGCCUAUGGUAUGAGUGUUGCUGUCCGACAGACUAAACCCUCCGGUUUAUAUAGACACCGGAGGGGGCUAGGGCUACACAGAGUCGGUUUACAGAGGAGGAGAUCUACAUCCGAAUCGCCAAGCUUGCCUCCCACGCCAAGGAGAGUCCCAUCCGGACAUGGGAUGAAGUCUUCUAUCUUUUAUCUUCAUAGUCCAAUAGUCCGACCAAAGUAUAUAGUCCGGCUGUCCGGGUACCCCCUUAUCCAGGACUCCCUCAGCAGCCAUCUCUAGACCCAAAGUUUUGAUGCGCCCCGCCAACGAGACGUCGACGAGCGCCGCCUUUCCACCGAAACCCUAAUCGCCUAUCGGGAGGCUCCUAGUUUUCCGGGGAACAAAACCUAUCGACUGCAUGUAGGAAUUGACCUGCGCUUUCUCUACUGUCCACAUGCGGCCAAAAUCACUGUUCUGACCUUGUCAAAAAUCUUUAACAUAAAAUGAUCUCUCUCAGAAAUUAUUUCACGAUCUAACCCUUUCUGAAGUGCCAAAUCUUAUGGCGUUACUGACCAAAGUAUAAACGCCGUAUUAUUCAGCGUUGCUAGCUGCCCACGUGGCAAGUCGAAACGCCAAAGUGAGCCGCGUUGGUAGAAUUGCCAGACCCUCUGGCGUUGUUGUUGCACAUCACAACGCCAAAGGCUGUGGCGUUGGCAUCAAGGAGAAUAUGGCUGUAGGAGGGCUGAUGUCUUGCCUUGCCGAUAAUGUUUGGCCAUGGAAGAGGUUAGCAUUGCUAUUAUUUUGCAGUCCAUGUGCUAAAUAUGUUAAAUUAAUCUCUUUUGGAUUGUAGAAUUUAAUUAGGUACUAAAAUAAUGGUUCGUUUAUUUCUCGGUGUUCCCGCAGGUGAUGCAGUAGCCAGAGCAACUCCAAUGCGGCGACCCAUUUCGUCCGUCACCGUCGGUUUGGGUCACCGCGGACAAAAGUGAUGGCCCGACGCGUCGACCCAUUUACAAAACGCGUCUGCUUCGCGUCCGCGUGGACCCAUUUUUAGACUAAAUUUGGGCAUAAAUUGCGUCAGCGCGGAUACAAAGAGGAUGCGUCGCGUGUUCUCUCGGUGUCCGCCGCGUCCCCACAUGGCAGCCUGUCAACUAACCCAUACUUCUUUAUUAAUGACGAUCGCAAACCACGGGCCCAUCGUCAGUGACGACAGGCGGCCUUUUUUAAUCCGAGCGUGCGAGAAGGGGAGGGGACGCCCUCAUCCUCUUCCAGCCUCCCGUCCCCAUCUAGCCAUCCUUCUGUUCCCCUGGGCUGGGCCCGGCGCCGACGCUCAUCGACCUCACCGGCCCCCACCACGACGAGGAGGACACCUCGAGCAGCGCGUCUCCUCCUCGUUUUUAGUUAAGUUAAAUGUUUUUAAUUAAUGUGACGUGGAUUUGUGGACUCUCGCCGGCUUUUGUGGCCGGCAAUUAUGUUUAUUUAACAUUUUAACUUCAAAAUAUUUGCGUAAUUUAUUUUUUCGCGCGCGGACUCGAGAAAUGGGUCCGGCCAGUGAUGGGCGCAAGCGCUGACCCAAACGCGAAAGCAGAAAUGGGUGUUGCUCUCACGUACAAAAACCGCGAGAGAUUGACCGACCCAAACGGACAAAAACGGACAAAAUCGCUAUCCUUUUGGGUCGGCUAGUUGGAGUUGCUCUCAUGUAUAGAAACGGCAAGACGUCGACACAGUAUCUGCGAAACUCAGGCUUUUUCAUACCUGAAGGUCAAAGUCUACAAUGUGUACUACAUGUUGUGCCUUGGUGGCUGACACAUGAUAUGAGAGAUUGGCGUUUUGAAGGACCAGGAUGGCAACGCUACAGACUUUGGCGUCGUGACGUGCAACAGCAACGCCAAGUGUUCUGGCGUUUUUACCACGCGGUACAGUUUGGCGUUUUGACUUGCCACGUGGCCAGCUAGCAACGCUGAAUAGUACGGCGUUUUUACUUUGGUCAGUAACGCCACGAGGUUUGGCGUUUCAGAAAAGAUCAAAUUGUGAAAUAAUUUAUGAGAGAGAUCAUUUUGUGUUAAAGAUUUCUAAGGAUCAGAACAGUGAUUUUGGCCUCCACAUGCAAAGUACUGACCCGUCAUCUCUCUGCUGUCUACAUGCAGGUACUGACCCGUCAUCUCUCUGCUGUCCACGUGCAAGGUACUGUAGCCACGUGAGUUUGCUGGGAACUGAACUGAAGCAGAGAGAGCGCCGUUGUGCAAAGUUUUUUUAGAAGAUUAAGAGAGAGAGAGUUGCAGCUGACCCAGAGAGAAGCAUCGAGUGCAUUGUAUUACUUUUCAGUGAGAGAACCUGGAACCUGCAUGGGAUAGUUACAAAGAGAAAAUAUUUCUUUUAAACUCUGAAGAUAGAUAGGAGGUGACUGUAUGAGAGAGAACUCGGCUUUUUCAGAGAAGUGAUAGAAAGAAUGUUUUUUUUAGACAAGUGGGAAAGAGAAACUGUGUGAGAGGGAUGUUAUUUUGAAGUGGGAAAGAGAAACUGUGUGUGAGAGAGGUCAUUUUUCGGUAAAAAAUAUGUGAGAGAGGAAGCUUGGCUCGUGCAUGCACUGAGGUGCAUGUCUACAUGCGAGACAGCUUUUAACAGUGAGAGACAUGGCAUGGGAUAAAGAGAAGUGACUUGUCUUGUCAGUCAAUAGUAACCAGCCUGUGCCGCUGCACCUCUAUUAAAAUGAUCAAAUGGCCUGGACAGACAUGCUUACGCUGCAAAUCCUCUGUGGCUUGUCAGAACAGGGUACGAAUCUUGGCGAGGCUCCAACGCACAGGAUAACCGAGGGUCCCUCGGGACUCCCGGGUGCUACCACGCUUUUUCGGGUAACACAUAUAGGUGGAAAAGGUUCACAUGCAAAUAUAGUAUAUUCGAACAUGAGGUCUUUGAAUGACAAUUUUACCCAUUGUAAAAUGCUGUAUAAUUGUGUUGUAUGUAAGUUAAAAUGAACUGGAUCUGAUGCACAUAUGUACUGCUGAAAAUAUGUGUUUGCGCAUCACCUGUAUAACCUGAGGGUUAUGAAAUGCGCAGAGCAACUCCCGACGCCGACGAGGAUCCGGCAGACGGAGGCAAACGAGGAGGCGAAGCUGAGCUCGUUCCAGCAGGAGAUCGUGCAGCUGGCGGCGGUGCUGAACGGCGACCACCAGCUGAGCAGCCUGCAGGAGAGGAUCAGGGAGAGGAUGAAUGUGAGGGAAGGCACCUCCUACAUGAGGUCGGCCGUGCGGCGCUUCUUCAAGGCCGGCAUGUCGGCCAAGAGGAUGGGCCUGGCCGACGAGGAGCAUAUCGUCAAGAUGAGGC